GUACCAUUACCAAUGACCAUUCUCUCUGUAUUUUGUGCAUUGCAGAUAUGAUCUCUUGUACAUAUGUUCCUUUUGACAACCUGCUGAACAAUGUCUACAUAGGUCCUAACUUUCUUCAUACUUCAUAGUUGCUUAAUUGGGACUGAAAGCUUUGUUUGAUCCUUGACGGGCCUUUUGCUAUAUAUUAAUAAUUGCCUAAUGGUGGAAUUCUUUAGAGGAAAGGUGCCUAUGGUCCAGUGGUCUAACCCUUGCUACACUUCCAGUUACAUUUGGUGUUGAGGUUCCAUAUUCAAAGGGAAUUGGGAUUUGGUAUCAUUUAUGCAAAUUAAUGAUGUUCAAUUGUAACCUUAUAUUGAUUGUUCUGUCCCAGUGGACAAAUGAACAUCUGCUCAUGUUUAAAAGUGAAGAAAACAUGUUUGUGAAGUUCAAGUCAUCAUUUGCCAGACCAUUUCUGUGUUCAGCAUUCAUGUUUGUUCAGUGACGUUUUUCUUUGCUUGAUUUGUAGGGGUUGUCAUGAAUCUAAAAUAAUUGAAGAGGAAGAGGAUGAAGAAUGUCUUAAGGAGGAAGAAGAUGGCUUGUCUGGUAUGGGAAAUGCGCAGCUGCGGACACAACCCUCUUGUAAUCUCUCUCUCUCUCUCUCUCUCUCUGGUUUGAUUGAAAGAAGGAUAGUCUUUGCUGCUCAUAUCUCUGCUGUACCCCUGCUUUGGCUUGGAGAAUCUGUAAUGUUUGCUGCAAUUUCAGAAUGCUAAAUAAUGAGGGAUUGUAAAUGUUCUCUUUGUUGACAUGAUUCCUUAUCACUAACAAUUACAAUACUCCAAGUACUUACUUUGGUGUUGACUAAGUAGAGAUUUUUGGCAUCCCUUCCUGGCCCUUGUCUAGGUGGGAACCUCUUGCACUGGGGACACCCUUUAUUGUAUUGUCGUCUGGCUCCAGAGAGAUUCUGUUUUGCUCUGAUUUAUGCAAUUAUCUUGCCAACAGGAUAUCUCCAGCAAAUAUAAGUUAACUGCUUUAUUAAGUUCUAUUUGUAUGGUUUUUUGCAGGUAUACAAGGGAAGAUGAGGGAUUACUAGCUUGCUGGAUUGAAUUGGCUCAUAAGAUUGUAUGAGAAUGGCAUUAACAGAAUACUUGCAGAUGAAAUGGUAGGUCACGGGCUGCAGCAUUUAGACGUGUGCAGUAUGGAAGCUGGAAAGGCUAGAAGAUGCAGAGCUCAGAGAAAUUUGCUAAUAGAAAUUCCAAUGAUAUCUUAGAGAUAUUCAUCUUGUAAGAUCUUGAAAUUGACAUGUGCUGAGAUAACCAAUUAUCGAGGCUCCUAGAAAGUCUUAUAUGCCUACAAUACUCAUACCGAGUUGAUGAUGGCAUUUCUGGUCUCUCCAACUUGAAAAGCUUGAGAGAUUCGUCCUGGGCUAGCCAAUAACUCUCUUCCCCCAGUUGACUAGGAACUUGAAAAGAUUGUGGAAGAUUCUAUCCCCGGUGGAUUGGUAGGUUAAAGAGACUGGAGUCUUUAAAGUUGUCCUCUUCGAUAAUGACCACCUUAUCGCAAGAUAUUCCGCAACUUUCUCAUCUCUAGAGAGUUGAACUCUGUCGGGAAUGUCUGUAGUGCCUCCCGAGGCUUCCCUCGAGUUUACCGUCCAUAUGUAUUAGACAUUUCCUAUCAGUGGGUACAUUAAUAGACCUAUCAACCUUGAAGAAACUGUAAGAACUAAUUGAGUAUUGUGCAGUUACAGAGAUUCAAAGCCUUGAAAGUCUGGAGAAUCUUAAAACUUUGGAGCUGAACGAGCUCCACUGCCUGGACAAAUUGGCCGACUGAGUGGCUAGAAGAAACUAAUGGCUUUUCAUUUACAUCAUCGUAAUAAUCUGGUUGACUGGAAUUACCGGACAAUUUGUCCGUCUACUCCAGCAACUUUAUCCUGAAGUUUCUAAUGUUUCAAAGUGGAAGCAAUUAAAAUGAAUAGGCAUCCAACCCCAGGAGAUUUGAAAACUCAACACAUUAUAUAGGAGCUCGAUCAAAUUUGGUAAAUUUCUGCAAAAGAGAAAAGAAUGGACACUUGAUCUGUUGAGUACUUUUUUUUUUUUUGGAUAAGAGGUGCUUCCCAUUCUGUUGUACAUAUGUGUAACAAAGAGGUUUAUGUAAAUUUUCUUUUUUAAGUUCACUUUGCAUGUUGACUAGUGAUAGUUCUGCAAGUACCCUUGUUCAGAUUUUCUUUGUUUUAAUUUGGUUUGGUUUGGUUUAAAUGUUUUAAUGGCUUUGAAUUGCUAAUUGACUUACCUCAUGAGGUCAAGUCAAAUUAUAUGAACUCUAAGUGCAUUAUUUUGUCAAUUUACUAUGUGAUGAUUUAUUUGAGGUACCUUAUAAAUUGACACUUCAUCUUAUUGAAUUUGAAACUAGUCAAUGCCCAUACUUCAUGUAGGAGAACUUUAAAGUAGCUGUUACAAUGUGCAUGAAAGCAUCUCGGCACUUGUGGCAUCACCUCUAUGGUAAUAACAAACACAAAAUUGCGACAUGAAGAAGAAUAAUAAUCUACAUAGGUAAACACAUGUCCAAUUUGGUUUUUGGGUAAAGCAGAUUUCUUAACCGGAUUCACACAAGAUGAAGAGAAGUGGUAAUGAUUCUUAAAUAAAUUAAAGAAAUGUUCUAGUUCCAACUUGGUCCGGCAUUAUUUAAUGUUUACGUAAAUAUGAAAUAAUGACCCAAUCAUCAAAUUUCAAAUGAAUAGAAGUGUGGCAAAACUUUUUCCAAGUCUAAAUAUAUAACAUGGAAUAAUCUCGCGCCGUCUGCAAGUUCUUGUCUUUUUGCCUCUUUUUUUAUAUCUUUUGUAAUAGAUAAUCCACAAGCAUUAACCGAGAUAAUGAAGAGCCACAACUUCGAAAACACUAUUUGAAAUAGAGAACUUUCAUACUUGAGAUCAGGAGUCAAUCUAUCUAUAUAAUCAUUAUAGUCAUUAGAGAGGCUUCACAAAACUUUUUGCCAAUCACUAAAGAGGCUUCCGAGUUUGAUUGGGAAUUUAGAAUGCUGGUUGAGUUGGAUUCCAAAUGGGAUUUAACAAGUCACAUCAAAUUCGUGAGCUUAUUUACCUGACUUGUAGUGGCCCAAAGUUCUAAUACAGCACUCAUGAAUAAUUUUUCCCAUCUACAUUGACACAAGACUAUGCUUACACAUUGGUUUUGUGUACUCUAUUUUAAUAGUAUUUUGUAUAAUAAUCAGCACAAAGCAUGGAUUUAUGGGGGUUAAAUGCGAAUGUUGCUUCACCUCGGAAUAAAUGUGAUUUUUAUAAUUUGAUUGGUAGCUGGGGGAGUGUCUUGGAUGAAGAUCAAGCCCGAUAAUUCCAUAGAGCUUCAUGUUUUGGUGUCAAUUCGGGCCUGGGCCCUCUUAGCUUUAUGUUUUAAUUGUUCUCUUGCACGAUGUGCUUUGAAUUGUCAGAAUUGGCAAUUUAUGCUUUGAAAUGAUAAAGGAAUUUCAUUUUUUCUGGUUUCCGCUAAUGUUUACUUCGGCAAUAAAAAAUAGAAGGUAAAAACUUACAGCUCUCAUUCCAAAGGCCGCUCAGAUCAUUCUUACAUGUCUAAACCAAGAUGAUAUAAAUUAUUUACCUCUAAAAGUUGAAAUUCAGCAAAGGUUGCCAAUUGAAAUGACAUAAACUUCAGACAAGAUCAUCAUUUGUUUCCAAGAUGGCUUGACUUAACUGUUAAUUUGCAUAAUUUCCUACCAAGGAAUAGUUGAAGUACUUGGUUGCGUGGAUGUGCCAAUGAGCUAGUAGUAGAAAGUAAGGUCACCGAUUGAAAAGUUUUCUCCCUAUACAAUCUUUAUUUCACCUUAUAAAACCGGUUAAUUGCAAUACCAUGCAAGUCUUACAGUUCCAUAGUUCACACACAUCUGCCGAUUAUGUGCACUUCAACACUAGUUCAAUCCCAAAAAAAGGAAAAAAAAAAAAAAAAGAAAGGAAAAAAGUUGCGUGAUUCAGCCGUGGACAGCUUAGCUCAGCAUGCGCACAUCUUUAUUAGGUUUUAUCGAGUCUGACAGGUAAACUUGUGAGCGCAUUCAUUCAAUAGGCAUCACAAAGUUGUAUUUACAAGGAUGAUACAUGCAACUUCCUGCUUGUUACAUUACAAGUGAAUUUCGGUAGAGAUCCUAUGCAUAUUGUGAUGGACAUGGAAAAAGAUUGAUGGAAUGCAUUACGUGAAUAAAAUUCACCCAGAGCUGCCUAAUGAUCUUCAUGAAAGUAGGCGCUUACUUAGGAGCAUUUUAUUUUAAGUUACUCUUGGCAUCGGAGUCUUAAUACAGCCUCAAUGCAGAAGGACUCCUGGAAAGCAUAUGGUUUCCUUUGUCUUUGCUUCCAUAUUCCUUCAAUCGUGGAUCCAUGAUGAUUUUGCACGAUCCCCAUGUCUCCACCAUUAAUUCUUCACCAUAGUAGACUAAAUGGUCUGUGAGGAUGUUACCAGUUACCAAUCUGCAGGAACACAUUCUGAUAAGUCAUCCGUAAAUAUUUCUAGUAAUAAAGAACUGGCAUUCUCUAGAACAAGCUGGUCUGUCACGAGUUAUUGCACCUAGCAUGAUAAAUCCACAAAAUAAUUGCUUGUAACAGGUAGCUACGACUAAAACUACCUCCUUGCCUGCUGCGCGUUGGACCUUCUCCAAAGCCAUCGCAAACUUUCUCGACCUGAUAAACCAAACAACCAAAUCCUAUAUUAUACAACCAUGCCUACAAAAAAAGGAUUCCAAUUACAUGUGAACACUGACAUAGAAAAUAUUAAAAUUAUCACCAGACAAGCAGGUGGAAUCAAAUUAUUUCGCAUUAUCUCACAUCAAUAUGUUUAUCCAUGGCUAUCAUAGAGAUAGUCACCAAUGAUUACAGGCAUUAGUGAUGUGCAUAAUUUAAUGAGUAAUACCUUAUAAUUGCACAGAGCUUAAGACUAGGUCAUCAGCCAUAGAGAGAGAGAGAGAGAGAGAGAGAGAGAGAGAGAGAGAGAGAGUAAAUGAUACACAUUAUUACGUGUCUUAAAUUUUGGAAUUGGUAGAUUGCUUUAUGGGAAUGAGAAGAGUUACUAAAAUAUUGUUAAAAAGGUCAUGAGUACCGCGAACUACCCUACUUUGUUAAGAAGAUAAAACAAACAAAACAGAUAAAAUUUAAACGCUGAAAAAAGUAAGAGUACAAACAUUGUUGGAAAAGAUAAAGACUUCUCCAGUUAGAUAGGUUGAAAUAAACGCAAAGCAAACGUAAAAUGCAGUCAGCAACAAUUCCCCAUAAUUUACGUGAUAUUCCAUCAAGAUCAAAGUCAUAACACCCUAGGGAAGUGAUGGUAUAUCUUCCGUGGGAACCAAGAAUAACACGGAGGCAAAUGAAGCACAAUCUCAUGUCUAUUAUUUAUAUGUAUCGUAUUUGGCAUGCUGUAGUAAGCAAAAAACAUUGCAUUGCCAAUACAGGUUUGUGCAAAUGUCAAAACCUGGACAAUCUGUGCUUCUUGGUUUACUGGGAAAUUAAGCAUCGUUAGUUAUCUAAGUAAAUCAAGCGAGUGAUGGUUUGGAAAAUACAGCUCCAGCACACGUAAUUAGACGGCCAAAUUACUUGAACAUUAAUAAUUUCACAAGAGGAAAAAGUACUACGCAUCAAUGACCAUAUAUUGCAUUUCACAUACGAAGGUGAACGAUGGAACAGCCCUUUCUCUCCAUAAUGGUUGGAGGUCUAGCGUUACUCUGUCUAGAUCCCAUCCAUAAUUUUCCCAAAACCAAAUCCCACAGCCACAACAAAACCCAUCCAAGCCUCACCACCACAAAAAGUUGUUAAUAAUUUGGAAUAGUGGGAUUGGGGGUUAAUUUACAACCAAUGCGCAUUUAAAUGCUUCCACAAGAAGCACUUUGGAUGUUGGCAGGGUGAGUCAUAUCCUGCAAAAAACAUGAACAAAACAAUCCAGGUUCAUGCUGAAAUUGACCCUUGAACCUCAAAACUUACAGUCAUAAAUAGCAAAGGAGAAACUAAAUGUUAAAAAGGGCCAUGACGCAUGCAAAGGGCCACGACCCAUGGGCAUGAUGUCACGAUUGGCUCAGAACAAUUUUCAGCAAGAAACCACCAAACAAAAAUCACAUUUUAAAUCAUCCAAGUGUUUGGACAAGAUGUAACUUAUGAUCCUAUUUUAGGCACAUGAAUGUCUGUAUAAUCUGAGUCCAAUCCAAAGUUUGACCCUAAAAAAUCACAACUUGACAUGGAGAAGAGAUUUAGUGGGACAUGGCUUUGGGGUGGGCACCAUUUCUGGUACCAGUUCCACAACAGGUGCCUAGAAAACUCUAGACACUGUCCAAUAAAGCAGAGAUAAAAAGCAUAACUUAGACAUUUUAGAAUUGGCUCCAGCCUACAACAUAUAUGGCCUGUAUUCGGACUGAAAAGGAGAUGCUUUUUUUGGUUAGAAAGAGACAGAUAGAAACAACACACAUAACACAGAUUUAGGAUGAAUAUAUUUUAGUUUAAAAUGCAUUAACACUUCAAGAUCACAUGACAUAGAUUUUGAGCUUCAAGUGCUUGCAAACGUUAAAUAGCCAGACCAUAAGCAUAUCAAUAUACCCAUAAAGUUUCCAGCAAGUAAACUUUGUAAUGAUUAGUUGGAAGUCUUUAUCCACUAUAUAUGGGUUUUCAGCCUACUUGAAGAUUCAUGGCUUAACAUGUAAGAAAAUUCACACAACUAAAAACAUAGACCCUAGGUGGUUCAGGUAAAGGGAUGUUUGCAACCCAUUCUGCUUGUGUUUGUCUAUGGGUGGAUUUACCAAAAAAGACAAUAGAGAGAGAGAGAGAGAGAGAGAGAGAGAGAGAGAGAGAGAGAGAGAGAGAGAGAGAGAGAGAGAGAGAGAGAGAAGAUGCUGACCAAUUGUAAAUAUAAAUAUGAAGCCAUAGAAAGUUCAAGGUAUCCAGAGUCUAAACUCUUCAAGGCAGAGUUGGCAGGGAAUUCCAAGUAAUUCUUAACAGACCAAAACUGAAUAAAUGGAAGAACACAAUAGAGAAGAACUGAUAUCUGAACCAUAGCAAUUUUUUAAUUGUGUUACCACAAGAUCAAAUCUGCAAAAGGAUGCCACAGUCCCUCCCAUAGAAUGCCCUAUCACCAUGAUGUUGAUGUCUCCAUAUAAAUCCUUGGCUCUUUUAACAGCAUCCAAAGUGCCAGGUCAAAUUGUUGCAUCGUGAUAAGCAUAAUAAAUCCAUGAUGAAUCUAAGUAAAGAAAAUAGAAUAAGAAUGUAAUUCAUUCCAGAUCAGAAGUAUCCACAACCUGCAAGAAGAGGCUUAUCAUCUCUAGAACUCACCAUGGCACCACGCAUGCCAAGUAGUUUAUGUCGAGCCGUUUCCAAUAGAGAUCUUCAACCCAAUUCUAUAUGCUGUAGACAUAAAUAGAAGUAAUCGCUUACUGAAAAGCUCAAACAACUUUUCCAAGAACAGAAUUAGUGAAGUAUGUGAUUUCCUCAUGACAAAAUCUAAAAUUACAAGCACAUAACAUCUGUGUCACGAUGGAAAUGAUUCACUGUUUUCCCUUCUUAUGGACAGCAUACCCAUGUAUUUUGUGUACGCAUUCACUGGAGGCUACUCUUCUUAGCUUAAAUUUUCAUGAAAUCCUUCACAUGUCAAAUGUAAGAGGAAUAAUUGCUAAAGUUAACAAGCAUACCUAUGUUCUCGAGUACCUUAGAAAGCUGUAACCGCGGCAUUAGGGUCCUAGGCACCAUAACAUAAGCCUAUAUGUAAUAUAUAUUGAUUAGAAAUAAAGACAAGAAAUUAUAUGAAAUUCAAACAUAGAGGCAUCACAAGCAUCGCAAAUUGGUCGCCACUGCAACAUGAAUUAAGCACUUGUAAGCAGUGCUGGACGUCAACUAUCAGUUCAAUAACUUCGAACCCCUAAUUUCAUAUACAAAGGCAUUAAUAACCAGUCAGAAGCUAAUAAGAGAAGGCAACAUAUGCCCACAAAAUCUCAUCUCAAGAAAUGGCCAUUUAGUACAGAGGACCCAUUCUUUACGCAACCUUAGCAACCAUGUCAUAUUAAAACGUAGUCAAAUUACCUUUUCUUUCCAUCACAACUAGGACAAAUCCAACUAAAAAGUUAUGUCAAAUCUGACAUGUAAACUUGCCAAAUAUAAAGCUCUGCAUCUAAUUACAAUGUUAUUGUAUUGAAAUGGUGAAACCUGAAGGGUAAUAACAACAAGCUCUAGGUAAAUGUGAAAAUCUUUAUAAUGAACACUUACAGCAGAUGCAUACUCCACCACCAUCGUUGCAAGAGUGUGAUUGUAAAUAGCUGUAUGAGCCUUGGACCUCACUCUAAGUUCUGCAUUUACCAAUUGAGAAAAAUUCAGAUUGAAAAUGCAAUCACAAGCUCAUUCAAUUACAAGCAAAGAAGCAAGGCUAUUAUGUAUCUAGCAAACUAUUUCGACAAUCAAGUGGGAGGAACACUUCAAGGAAACAUCAACUCAAAACAACAUUUCAGUAAAUUUCUACCCUUCCUCCUUCUUGAACUUAAAUAACUAUAUAUCAAUGUGAUGAAAGGUGAAUAAGUGAACAACAUAAGGCUCCUCUUUCCCAUAAAGCUACUCUGUUGUAAGCUACAAGCUACAGUCCAUUACUCGACAGGAGAAAAGCUGAAUAGCCAAUAGUCGAUCAUUGUGCGAUACUCAACAAAUUUUAUCCCCAAAGUAGAAACAACAAGAUGAAAUCUAUAUCGAACAAAUAUAAGGAAAUUCUUGAUCCAGACUUGGUAAUCUGAGAGCUUUACAAAUCCAACCAAAUACAACACGAUGCUCAGUCAGUCACAUGCUUUGAAAACAUCCAAACCUACACCAGAGGGAUCAUUCGACUAUAGUUUGACCCAUUCAAUCAGGCACUACAGCUCCACAACACAGUCAACGAUUGGCCCCAACCCUGAAAUGCCUAAUCAGCCAAAUCCACUACACAAAUCUCACUUCCCCAGGCUCAAAACUGACGUACUCGAUACUAGAGCCUGUCUAUAUGAACCUUAUCGCAAUCUAGACUCCCAAUCCGAAUCAAGUCAGAGGAUCACAACCAUAACUGAUUACAUGAACAUGAGUUGCAAUGAAGCAUUAUUAGAACCACCAUCACCCUUAGCUCAACCAUGAUCAGUUCCGCUCCACAUUAUUCUGCAAGAGGGACGGAUCGAACAACGUCGUCAAAGGAAGGAUAAAAAAAAAAAAAAAAACGAUUUCGCGCAACAAAAGAAAUUCCAAUCUCCGCAACCUUUCCAUAUACGCAAAACGAUCACGCGCGAUCAGAUGGCGCGAUCACCUGGCGAGAUGGAGAGGUCGAUUGCGGUCUCUGUCCAUGUUGCUCGAAUUCAAACCUCGAAUCCUGGUCUUCGCAGCGUUCGUGGACUCUGUAGCGAUUUUCGCAACAAAUGGCGAUCGAAAGCUGCGGCAACUUGGGGGGAAAGGAGGGCGGGGAUGAGGAGUUUACCGAUUUUCCUGAUUUGCUCUCGGGCGCUUGUUCUGUUGGUGGGUAUAUUCGGUGUCAUGUCUGGUGAUUUUGACAUUUCUGUGAGGGCAAUGAAGGAAGUUUCGCUAAAAUGAGACGUGCUCCUGGACAAACUUGCGUUCUCUCUGUCUCUUGUUUUGGCGCUUCCUUUGGACCUUUGAUGUCUUUCAAAUGCGCACUUUGACUCAGCUUGGUUCAAUUAGUGGGUUCGAACUAAAAUUAUGAAAAAUGCACCAAAAUUGGAGUCAAUAUUACUUAUUUUUUGUUGAUAUUCAUGGAGGUAUAUAAAGAUGCGGAGUACUCUAAUAUGAUCAUAAACUUAUUGAGAUAAAUUUUUGCAAUUCCAAGGUCAAAUCUGUCUCCUAACUCGAAUUAUUCGAGAGUUUUUUUUUUGUCAAUACUAUUCAUACUUGGAAAGAAUGCGAUUUGACAUGUGUGAAUCAAGUGGAGAUUAAUUAUGGAUUGUGGAACCACAAUUCGAGAACGUGGCUUAUUAUGACAUAUCGAUUCUUAAAUAUUUUUUGAAACUUUAUAGAAGUGGAUUCAAUAGUUUUUUUUUUUUUUUAGAUAAAUGUACAUACAAUAGUUUUAGCUGAGUCGUUUUAUCUAAAAUUUACAAAAUAUUUAUAGCGUGAAUACGAUUGGACUAAUCACCAUAUUAUAAAAUGAUGCCAUCACCAUCUCAUAAUUGCUUGAUUAAUAAAUGAGUCAUACAAUUAUAGGGAUUGGAAAAUUUACUUUAUGAGUAAAAGAUUAUUAAAUAAAAGAAAAAGGUCCCUAAUCUUUGAGAACAAAAGUCAUUGGACUUUUUUCACGGGCUAUAUUCAAAGUAAAAAGAGUUGUGACCUCGCGCAACAAAAGUCACGUAACGUCAUUUUAAAAAUAUCAAAGAGUGUGAAUGAUUUUUAUUUUUAAAUCACAUUUAGCUCACUCAAACAAAAUAAUAUAAGAACCCCACCCCAAUGCAUGGGAAGUUAAAGAAUAAGUUUGGUGGCUCUCACGGAUUUAUAUUCAUAGUCAAAUGUUUAUAAAAUCACAAAAAAAAUCAGUACACCAAAAAAAGAAGAAGUGGAAGUUAAAGAAUAAGUGAAAUCCAAGAGAAAUUACUAGGAAGAGUAAAUUAAUCAAUUUUAUAGAAACCAAUCUUCAAAUCUCUUCCUUUAUUGGUAACAUGUACGCAUCAAUCCCUCAUUCUCCUUAAGUCAAAUUUUAUAAGCACAAAACAAAAUUAUAGAUCACUCCUUUUUUUAUUAGGCUCAUAUGCCGCUCAUUCACUUUGAAAGUAUAAAAAAACCCAAAUUGAACGUGAAAAAGCCGUAAUCGCAAUCCAACCCCAAGCAUGGCAACCCAAUGAUGAAGGGAUCAUGCCAUCUUCCAUUAAUUCACGAGUUCAAAUCAUGUCGCAAAUGAACUUUUAAAGGCAUUCACAACAUUCUAUGGAAAGAUUUUUAAGCUUUUGGCAUAUUAGUUAUGAUGAUAGACUCGCACACCUGACGAUGGGCCGAGUGAUUAUGGCUAAAAUGAGAUAUUCUAUGAUGCACAUAACACUUUAUGUGAUGAUGAGAAUGGAUAAUCGUAUUGAUCAUCUCUUCCCACAUUUUUUAACUUAUCAAGAAAAAAACAAUUGCAAUCCAUCGAGACUCGGGCAGGGAGGCCAAGUCGGACCUCCCCCAAUCCUUGGGCCGGUGGGUCCAUCCUACUUGUAAGCCCACAUUAGCUUCAAUUUCCACGGCGGGAAACGAAAAUACAUUUCCCUCCACCGGCUGGCGGGAAGUUUUCACAUCACCCGCAUAAAAUGAAAAUGGAAAAAAAAAAAACCGCAAUAAAAAAACUACUACAAAAUUAAUAAUAAUAAAAGUGAAAAACUAUUUAAAACAAAAUUAUGAAAAAACGACUCUGAUCGAACGACCCACUCCUCUCUCCUCAUCCUCCUCCACUUGCUCAAAUCUUCUUUGUUUAAUUUUUGUCUGUUUAGAUGUUACAGUGGCUUUGAAUUGCUAAUUAACUUACCAAGUGAGGUCAAGUCAAGUUAUGUAAAUUCCAAGUCCAUUAUCUUGUCAAUUUACAAUGCGGUGAUUUAUUUGAAAUACCUUAUAAAUUAUUGUUCCAUCUUACUGAAUUUGAAAUCGGUCAAUGCCCAUGCUUUCUAUAGGAGGACGUUAACUUCAUCAUACUGUAUACAUUAAAGUAGCCGUUACAAUGUGUACGAAAGUAUCACACUAACAGCAAUGUGAAGAAGACAAAUAAUCUACAUUGGUAAAUGCAUGUCCAAUUUCUUCUUUUUUUUUUUUGUUUUUUGUUUUUUGUUUUUUUUGUUUUUUUUUUUCAGGUAAAGCACGGCUCUUUAUUGGAUUCACAAGAGUUGAAGAGAAGGCGUAGCGAUUCUUAAUUAAAUUUUUUAAAAAAAUUAUAGUUGCAAAUGGACUUGAUUUGACAUUAUCUAAUGCUGAGGUAAAUAUGAUAUAAUGAUCCAAACCGUUUAGUUUCAAAUGAAUAGAAGUGUGGCAAAAAAAAUUCCAAUUCUAAAAGUAUAACAUGGAAUAGUCUCGCAUUGUUUGCAAGUUCUUAUAUCUUUCGCCUCUUUCUUUUCUUUUGUAGUAGAUAAUCCAUAAGCAUUAAUUGAGAGACUAAGGAGCCACUCCUUCAAAAACAUUAUCUAAAAUAAAGAACUUUCAUACUUAAUAUUGGGAGGAGUCAAUAUCUUGUCCCAUCUACGUUGACAUAAUAUUGUACCCACACAUUGAUUUUGUGUACUUUAUCUUAAUAGUAUUCUGUAUAAUAAUUAGCAAAGAGCAUGGAUUUUGUCUAACUAUAUCACUUUGUGACAAGCAAUUUGUUGACACUAACAAGGGAUUAAAUGCGAAGGAUGGCUUAUCAUGAAAUAAACAUGAUCUUUUCUUUAUUUGAUUGAUCGCUAGGGGGAGAGCUUUGACAUAGAUCAAGCAACAUAAUUUUACUAGGCUUGAUGUUUUGAAGUCAAUUCGGGCCUUGGCCCAAUCAACUCUUUAAACUGGAUAGACCGAAGUUCACCUUAAUUAGGAUGGGGGCAACGAACUUGGUUGGAAGUUCCAUGUCUGCUUUUGUUGACUUUGACUUUGAAUGAAUCCGCCCAUUUUUCUAGGGGCAAAAGUCGAUUCUCAUCCACACAAUUUUUGCACCACGCCAACCCGCGUCAAGAAAUGUAAAUAAUUAUCGACUUUGAUGGCCUGGAGUGAUGCUUCGAGGAAGCAUCCUUACCGACUGAUUUUGCAGCAAAACUGGCCCACGACUCUUUGCAUGUUCAAUCGAUCGUUUGGCUUCUAAGUUCAAAUUCAUUUUUAGUACCUCAAGAUUCUGCGAGAAAGGAACAGAGGUCUUGAUAGUUAGGCCCACAUAUGCACAAAAAGUCUCUUUCUUUUCCUUCCAAUAGAGUAUGCCUUAUGGUAGUGGUACCCACCUGUUUUCUCUUCUUUUUGGAGCUUUUGAGCUAUAAUCGAGGAAACUCAAUUUAAAUUCGAAUGGAAGGAGUAUGAUUUUUAAAAAAUCCACAAUGAGACUUUUGGACUUUCAUUUUACUAAAAUAAAAGUUUAAUGAAGUGAUAAUCAAAGCUAAAGCUAUCGAACAAAUUUGGUUUUCCUUUGAUUUCAAAUCGAUGAAUUUAAUACUUCUUAAGAGCCUUUUUUUGCCUCAUUGAAUACUAAUAACUUUAAUUUGUCAGAUUCGGAUGUACAUCUAAAAAGACUUAAAGAGCUUGUGAAUUCUGGAACGUAGCAGAUUUAGACCUCCGGAUCUUGAGAGAUUUUACUUUUCCUCCUUGGCUGCCCCACCAUUUCCUCCGUGUUGUCCUCAUCAAAUGACACUAGGUUCGUUUAGUCCACAUCAAUACCCAUCGAAAUCUCAAGGUCCUUCCUCUUAAAAAAUAAAAAAUAAAAUCUGGAGGUCUUGCUGUUGUUGGAGCAUUCACAUCAAUCAUGCACUCCCCGGCAACUUCGAGGAGGUCAGCUCGUCAAUCACCGGGAAUGACCAUGGCCAUGGGCAUGGGGUUAGGGUUUUGGAGGCGUGCGAGCAGAGAGCAAUGAUGACGAGGGGAAGAUCAAGGAUUUGGAGCAAAGGAAGAAACGUGCGAAAGGUCGAGUAAGGAUGUGGAAGGAGUUUGUCGUGGAGUUUACAUGAAAUAUACCUAGAAAAGAAACUAAAUAAAAGGAAAAGAUAAAAAAAUUCUAACCCUGGGCAUGUUGAAUAUUUUGGCCUCUUCAUCCACAUAAAGAGAAAUCCAUCAUAUGCUUUGUUCUCCCAAAAAGAAGUACGACCAAAAGUGAAAUGCUAAGGAGAAGGUGGACGAAUGGUGAAGUCUCAAGUGCUUAACUGAAAAGGCUAGAGGCAAAGCAAGAAUUUAUAUUUCCAUUCCACCUUUUUUUUUCUUAAGUUAAAAUUAUAGCUCGUUUCUUUUGCAAGAAAGACCGCGUAAGUGGAUCAUCUCUUUUCUUGAAUCCUAAAAGUUGCUAAGUCCAGUUUUUUGAUCAAAAGCUUAAACUUGUGACUCUAAAAAUUGCAGAGUUCAUAUUUUUAAUUUCGUCGCUGUCCAAGCAAAAUGCCACAACAUCUGUCGUGGACCAAACUUGAUGAAACGUAUUUUUUGGUUACCACACAAGUUUCGGAUUUUGAUGAUAUCAAAACAAUUUGGAUAAUCCUUAUCCAAAAAAAAAUAAAUAAUUUGGAUAAUUGGUAUUACGGUAUAUAUAAAGGUUAGGAUUUUUUAUGGAACCGCCCACUUGCCAUCAUCAACUUUGCUGCCCACCCAUUGCCAUCACAAGCCCUCAACUUCGUGCACCGGGGAGUUAACGCCUCACUCACUCGAAUCUUUUUUCUACGCCUUCGUGUCUUUUUCUUUCCGCGUAAAGUUCAUAACCUAUGUCCAUGGAAUUCGCGACCGGCAGAGGUCGCUAGCCUCGCACGGCCAAAUCUAAGGUUGCAUGGGCGCGGUGUCGGGACUCCACUUAGUUAAUUCACUUGAUUUUUUUAGUAACGGAGAGAGGCCCUCAGCCCUGUUUAUCAUUAAAAUCAACACCUAAAAAGAAAAAGGAUAAAAAAACUCCUCGACAUGGGGGGCAUUUGGGUAUUCUUGCAGUAGCAAAAAGACAGAAUGAGAUUGAUAGGGGAGAGAGAGAGGAGCCGAGGGAAAAGGACAAGGGAUUGUGAUUAUGGUGGACGGAACGCAGAAAUGUCGGUGGUCACAUGACUCACAUGGGGUGACUGAUGAUAUCGUGGGUAGUGGAGCAGAAGUCAGUUAAUAAUAAAAAGAUGUUAAAUCAAUCAGGGCUCACGCGUACCAUUGGAUGAGAUGGACCCAUUACGGAAAAUUCACAUGAGCCAUCUGUGCAUGAGCUGCGUAAGCACGCGCUGCUGCGCGGGCGGACAAGACCCGCUCCAAUAAUAGGGAGGAAGUGAAGAUUGAAGAGAGCUGUAAAUCCAGUCCAUAUGCCGCGUUUGGCAAGGGCAAACUCCGAAAUGAUGGAAUUCCAGCCCACGCGUCCUGAUUGAAAUUGCCAUAUUUUCCCAAACUUCUGUCGUAUUUUUCAGGUUCGGAGAGCACGAAAAAAGGAAGAGGCGUUUUCCCCAAAAUAGCCCCGAUUCUUUUUCCCUUUUCUCCUGACUGAGACACACCCCUAUCCCGAAAAUGACCCCACAAUUAUGUAAAAGCAAAGCCAAGAGUGGGUCCCGUACCCCAUCCCUCGUGUAAAUUUGUUGGCAAGUGCCUGGGCAUUUAUCGCCAUACAGUGUUCUCGGAUAAUUUAAUGGAAGAAGGAAGACGCGUUGGACACCGUGCGGUCCCGUUUCAGGGUGAAAGCAAACUCUACAAAGACAGCAUCAUUAGAAUACAAUUUGGCCCGGAACUCUCUACAGAGUUAGCCAAUCCGUCCUCUAUGUUUAAUGACCUGCGGUGAUCACCAUUUAUAAUUCUGGCUUCUUAAAGUGAUUUAGAUUUCGUCAGGUGUUGUGAUUUUGCUGCUAUACAGUUCAAAUUUUUUUCUCCAAGAAAGGAUUAAGAGAGAUCAAUGGAGGAGAGGCAAUGCUUGGUUUAUUCAUCAUUGGAUUGAUCAUUAUCCUAACUGUAAAAAUCUUAUGAUAUUAUACGUGCUAACUCUUUACAAGUGACUUUGGUUGGCUAAAGAAUGGUGGAUAGAAAUUGAUUCUGGCAAAUGCAACUAAUUUUAGUUUCUGUCAAGUCAAUAUCGUGAAACUUCAGUUGCAAAGCGGCUAUUUUUCUAUUGUGAAAUAUAGAAUUUUCAGUUACCACGACAUUUAUCUAUAAACUUAAAAAUACUUCCAAACAGACAUUAUUUGUUCAUAAACAUUUCAAUUUUUAAAUAAUCUAAUCAAUCGUGUCAUCGAUCAAUAAAAAAAGUUUUUACUGUCUUAAUUUAACUAAACUGAAAGUACAAAAGUGUGGUGUGUGUGUGUAUAUAGUUCGGCCUUGCAUUGAAAUACAAUCGUUAGAUUAAAAAUUGCAUGAGAUUGGCCAAUGUGAUGUUGAUACGGACGCCGAUGAUCCAAGCCUAAGCCUCACUAUGCUUCGUUUUAACGUGGCAUUAACGUUCGCUGCUACUCUUAGAAAGAGAGGGAAAAAUAAGAAGACUGAAACAUCACGGGAUUAGAAGGGCAAAGUCAAAGUCUACGAAGACUUGGAAUACCAAUGGUCCAUGAUAAACCAGCAAUGCUCCAAGAAGGAAUCACACCGAAUGAUUCAUUUAUCUCAUACUUUGUGCCUCACAGCAAACUUCCAUGAACGUCGAGAUUUAAUCAAAAAGUAAAAAAAAAAGUCUUUAGAUCACUCUAUUAUAUCCAACAUUGAUUUAUUGUUCUCUCAUUCACCGGCAAAAAAAGGGGAAAUUGAUCUCCAAUUCUCAUAUUCACCAAUAAUUUAAUCUUGCAAUUUCCUCUGGUCAAAUACCAUCAUUUGAAAAUUGAAAAUUAUAUAAAAACAAACUCUUAGGGCAUGUUUAUUUCAAUGAUGAUUUUUUUGUCACGGGAAAAUGUUUUUAGGAAAUUCAAUUUUAGAGAAGGUAAAUCAGAAAAAAAAAUCGUUUAUGUUGAAAACUAGUUGAAAAAAUUAAUUUUAUCGUAAUAGGUAAUAAGUGAAUCCACUAAAUGUGACUUGUAUUGUUAAGAGUAAUAUGUAAUGACUAAUAAACCGGAAUCGAUAUUGUCUUCAUUUAUUCUGCAAUCCAUCAGCAUAACAAUGAUUGCAAAGAAAUUAGGAUAGAAAUAAAGAAAAACGAUUCCUUUUUAUCAAGUCAUUUUCUCUAAGCUUUUUAUUUUUAGCUAGAUCGAAUAGUUUUACAUAAUUCAAACAUUGAAAGUAUGGAAAAAAAUUUCAAAAAUGAUUUUUCAUCAAACAAGCUGACCUUGACUUAAAUAAUGAAGGAAGAACGUGAGAGAGAACUCCAUCUUUUGUUUUCUUUUUUUGGGAAAGUAUUGCCCUUCGGAAAAAAUUGUACAAAUGUUUGCAAGCUAACGUUGUUGAUGAAUCCAGACAUAAAAGAAAAAUAUGUUGAUAUAUGUCAAAAUUGAAUGAGGUGGACCAUAUAAUUGAUGCCAAUAAAGAGAUCCAAAGUGAACAAUGAUAUUAUUUCGUAUCCUUUCCUGUCCCGAAAAGGAGAAGAACACAGGUGAAAUGCUAAAAAGAAGGUGGACGAAUGUAAGGUCUCAAGCGCGUAGUGGAAAAGGACAAAAGAAAAGCAAGACUAUAAUCCAAUCCAUUCCACUUCUCUUAAAAUGAGUUGAAAAUCACUUAUCUAAAAGUAUCGAAGUGUUUGGUCAAUAUCGACCACCAAGUAGAUAAAAUCAUGAAAAUGAGGAGCACGCAAAUAAGUAAAAUACUGAUUAUUUGAAUUUAUGAGAUGGCUGGCAUCGAAAAGAUGAUUAUUGUCAAAAUCAUAUGCAAUUAACUUUCACACUAUAUUGGAAAUUGUUGCUUUCAUCCAGAUAUCCAAGACUUGAGACUGCAGUCAGAACAAAAGGAAAAAUGGGAAAACAAUAUCUCAAUGACGAUGUUUCACGAACAUAACUAGGAAAAGAAAUUCCUCGUGGCCGGAAAAGAAGAGGGCAAAAUAGGAAGAAGCAAAAAUUAAUAAUUUCUUGCCACCGAAAUGCAUCCCAUGUUUCUGUUUUUUUCCCGCACGGGCUCUUUCAACUAAAAUCUUGCCGACAAAACAAAGGCUGGCUAAUUUCAAAGCAUGGGCUGGUUAACUUUCCCAUGUUAGCGGGACCCACAUUUUCUUUUUUCCUUUGCUUUGGUUCUUUAUUUCUUUUCAUCAUCACUUUGCUUUUUUGACAAGAUUUUCGUUGGAUUCUUGCGGGCCGGUUUCAUCGUGAACGACGAUUGAGGUCCCCGUGAGUUAAUUACUUUGAUCGUGAAUGACGAUUUGGCGCAAGGAAGAAAUGUGCAGUCUUAAGCUCAUCAUUGAUCAAGGAAACCGCCACGUUGGAUCUUCAACAUCCGUCAUGGACCAAAUUUUGACGGAACGUAUUUUUUUCAUUAUCAUACAAGUUUUGAAUUUUGAUGAUAUAAAAAAAAAUUUGGAUAAUUGGCAUUGCGAUGAAUAUAAAGGUUAGGAAUUUUUAGGGAACCGCCGCUUACUGUCGUCAAAUUUGCUGCUGACCCAUGGCCAUCACAAGCUCUCAACUUCGCAUGUCAAUUUAUGAUGGAUGAACGGGUGCUGUCAGCACUCGGUGAUCACAUCGGGUGCUGUCAACUUUUGUUGACUUGACUUUGAAUUAAUUAUUUGGGGGCAAAAAUCGAUUCUCAAUCCGAAAUAUCUACACCACAUGACCCAGUGAUUUUCCGCGUUAAGAAACUUAAAUAAUUUGUCAACUUUCGCCGGCUGCAGUGAUUCUUACAGAAAGUAUCCUUACUGUCCAAUUUUGCAGCAAAACUGGCCCAGAACUCCCUGCAUAUUCAGCCAAACCUUUGACUUCCGAGUUCAGCGACCUCCCAGAAAGUAAUUAAAAAAAAUCUUCCCUUCUAAUAUUUUUGUGGUAAAGGAACAAAGAUCUCGAUGAUUAAGGCCCGUCUCUGUACGAAAAGUCUUUCUUUUCCUUUGAAAAAAAAAAGGAGUUUAGGCAAUGGAUCCCACCUAUAUUCUCUUCUUCCCUGAGCUUUUGAGCUAACGGAGGAAACUUAAUUUUGAUUUGGAUGAAAGGAGUCUGAUUUUAAAAGAAUUUGCAACAAGACUUUUAGAGUUUCAUUUUUACUAAAACAAAAUUUUAGUAGAAUAUAAUCAAAGCUAAAGUUAUGGGAAAACAAAUUGGAUACUUCCGAGAGUCCUUUUAACUCAUUGAGUUAUUGUGAUUAAUGACUUUAAUCUUAAUUUUUUUGUCACACUCAGAUUUAUGCCUAAAAAGAUUUAAGAACUUAUGAAUUCCACCCCUCCAAAUCUAGCAAGAUUUUGUUUUCUAUCCUAACACGUGAAAUGUUUAGUUAUCACAAAAUUGAUUUAGAAAAUAAGAAAAUACUUGCAAACAAACACAAUAAAUACUAUGGCCAAUCAUGUCACCAAUCAACAAAAAAGUUGAUAUUGUAUGAUUUAACUAAAUGGAAAUGGAAUGUGCUGCAUAUAUAUAGUCUUGUGUUGCAUCGAAAUACAAUUACUAUAUUAAUUGCCUGAAAUUGGUCGAUGUGAUCUUGAGAGAAAAGAAUCAGAACAGCGUGCGAGGCGAUGCAAGAAGACUGAAACCAAUGAUCGACCCAAGUCAAAGUCUACAAAGACUUGGACUACCGACAAUCCAUGAUGGACUAGCUUGCUCAAGAAGGAAUCACACCAAUGGUUGACCCAAGUCUACGAAGACUUGGACUACCAAAGGCACACGCUAAAGCAUUGGCGGGACUUCCUUUCCACAUUAGGAUGUCCCCAUCUUCUUUUUCCUUUGCUUUUUUUGCUUUAUUUAUUUUCAUUACCACUUUGCUUUUUAACAAAAAUUUCCCCGAGAUUCUUUGAGGUGGUUUCGCCAUGAAUGACUACUGAGGUUCCCGGUGGGUUACUUACUAUGAGAAUUUUGUGAAAUAAUAUCCAUUCGACGUUUCACAUAAUAAAUGGCAUUUUAAUUACAACUGCUAUCAAUAUGUGGAUUUUUUUUUAAUAUUGUUAUUAAUAUGUGCACUUUUACUCAAUAAGCACGAGUUCUUUAUCGUUUGAAGUUUAACCAAUAAAUCUAGAUUAUCUAUGAGUAAUUUAAAUAAGUAUACUAGAAUCGAUACAUUAAGUGACAUGAUCAAAUCAUGAUUUACCAAGAGUGUUUUUGGACUCAUCAAGUCAUCAUGAGUAAUAACUUUAAUCUUAAAUGUUGUUUUUGGUCACCCUCGGAUUUAUGCCUGAAAAGAUUUAAGAACUUAUGAAUUUCGGAAUGGAACAUCUUUACACCUCCAGAUCUAGUGAGAUUUUGUUUUCUAUUGUGAAACACGGAAUGUUUAAUUACCACAAAUUUGAUUUAGAAAAUAAAAAAAAUACUUGCAAACAAACACCAUUUGCUGAAAAAUACUUUGAUUUUUAAAUAGUCUAGCCAACUAUAUCAUCAAUCAAUAGAAAAAUUGAUACCAUCUAAUUUAAUUAAAUGAAAAGUACGAAAGUGCCGUAUACAUGUGGUUUUUGUUGCAUCGAAAUAUAAUCAUUAGAUUAUGAAUUGCAUGAGAUUGGUCGAUGUGAUUUUGAUACGGACGCCAACAAUCUAAAACCUAAGCUCCCUAUGCCUCGUUUUAAGGCGGCACUAACAUUAGCUACCUUUCUCAAAAAGAGAGAAAAACAUAAGACAGAACAGCAUACGGUUGAUGCAAGAAGACUGGAACAUCACGGGAUUAGAGGGGCAUCAAAAGUCUAUGAAGACUUGGACUACCAACAGUCCAUGAUGAACCGGCUUUGCUCCAAGAAGGAAUCACACCCAUGAUUCAUUCACUUGGUAACUUUGUCCCUCAAAGUCAUACUUCCAUAAACAUAGGGAUUUGAUCAAAAAGAAGGAAAAAAAAAAUGUCAUCGGAUCACUCCGUAAAAUCCAACAAUGACUCAUCGUUCUCCCAUUCACCCGCAAAAUUUACAUGGCAACAAAUUGAUCUCCAAUUCUCAUAUUCAUCGAUAAUUUCAAUAAUGACUCUUACGAUAUCUUUAUCUCGCGUAUAAUUUUUUCGUCUUGGGAAAAUGCCUUUAGGAAAUUAAAUUUCAGAUAAAGGGAAUCAAAAGAAUUUGAUUGCUUUGAAAACAAGUUUUUUUUUAAAAAAAAAAAAAAACUGAUUUUAUCAUAAUUGGUAAUAAGUGAAUCCACUAAAUGCGGCUUGUAUCGUUAAAAGUAACACAGAAUGACUAAUAAAUUGGAAUUGAUUUCGUCUUUGUUUAUUCUAUAAUCCAUCAAAAUAACAACGAUUACAAAGAAAUUAGGAUAGAAAUUAUGAAAACAUACUUGUAAAAUAUAGAUAUGAUCGUGCUUUGGGAAUGCAGAGAAUUUGAGAAUUAAUAAAGUAUAUUCAUCUCAGUUCGAAGGGUAGCAAGAAAAUAAGGGUAACGAUUCCUUCUUGCCAAGUCGCUUUUCUAUAAGCUUAUUGUUUUUAGGAUUAAUACCACGAAAAAUCUCAAAUUAGUACACCCUUAAUAACACAAAAAAUCCAAAACUGACAUGUUUGUGACAAACUUAAUCUCUUUUAGUUUUUGUUAUAUUGAGUUAAUACUAUGAAAAAAUACAAACUAGUGCACAUGUAACAAAUAGAGAGUAAAACCCUAAAUUAAUAUAUCCAUCAAUUGCCAAAAUUUGAUGUAUGCUUUUGUUGACUUGACUUUGAAUGAAUUCUCCUUUAUCAACUUUGGCAGGCUAGAGCGAUGCUUUGUGGAGUCAUCCUUAUCAACCAAAUUUUGCAGCAAAACUAGCCCAUGACUCUCUCUACAUAUUUCACCCAGUCCUAUGGCUUCCAAGUUCAAUGACCUACCCAAAAGUCAUUCAAAAAGAUCUUUCCUUUUCAUUACCUUGAUAUUUCUAUGGUGAAGGAACAAAGGUCUUUGAUAGUUAAGACUCGCAUCUAACACGAAAAGUCUCUAUUUUCUUUAAAAAGAGUAGGAGUUAGGCAAUGGAAUCCCACCUGUUUUCUCUUCUUCUUGAAGCUUUUGAGCUAUAAUGGAGAAAGCUCAAUUUCAAUUCGAAUGGAAGGAGUAUGAUUAUAAAAAUACCCACAACAAAACUUUUGAACUUUCAUUUUACUAAAACAAAAGUUUAGUGGAGUAAUAAUCAAAGCUAAAGCUAUCGGAGAACAAAUUUGAUAUUCUGUUAGUCUUGAAUCAAUGAAUUUGAUAUUUCUCAAGAGUAUUUUUUGACUCAUCGAGUCAAUUGAUUAAUAACUUCAAUAAUAAAAUUUCUAUUUGUCAAAUUCGGAUGUGCAACUGAAAAGACUUUAGAGCUUAUGAAUUCCGGAACAAAACAGCUUCACAUCUAGCGUGAUUUCAUUUUUCCUCCUUGGCUGCCCCACCAUGUUCUUCCUUCAUGUCGUCCUUGUCAAAUACCAAUCGUUUAAUCGACGUCAGUACCCAUCGAAAAUUGAAGGUCUUGCUGGUGUUGGAGCAUUCACAUCAAUCAUGCACUCCCCGCCAACUUUUAGGGCGUCAAUUGGUCAAUCACGGGGAAUGACCAUGGCCAUGGGUUAGGGUUUUGGAGGCGUGAACAGAGAGCAAUGACAACGAGGGAAGAUUGAGGAUUUGGAGUAAAGGAAGAGACGUGCAAAGGUCAAGGAAGGAUGUGGAAGGAGUUGCCAUGGAGUUUAAACGAAGUUUACCUAGAAAAGAAACUAUAUAAAAAGAAAAGAUUAAAAAAAUUCUAAACCUGAGCAUGUUGAAUAUUUUGGUCUCUUCAUCCAAAUAAAGAGAGAUCCAUCAUGGGCUUUCUUCUCUCGAAAAGGAGUGAGACCAAAAGUGAAAUGCUAAAAUCAAGGGGGAAGAAUGGUAAAGUCUCAAGCGCGAAGCGAAAAGGAUAAAAGCAAAGCAAGAAUUUAUAUAUUCCCAUUCCACUUUUCUUUUGAAGUUAAAAUUGUAGCUCGUUUCUUUUGGAAGAAAGACCGCGUAAGUGGAUUAUCUCACUUCUUGGACCCUAAAAGUUGUUAAGUCCAGUUUUUUUUUCCAAAAGCUUAAACUUUGACUCUAAAAAUUGCAGAGUUCAGACUUUUAAGUUCGUCCUGUCACAACAAAACGCCACAGCAUCCGUUUUGGACCAAAUUUGAUGGAACAUAUUUGCGAUUACCACACAAUUUUUAGAUUUUGAUGGUAUAAAAAUAAUUUGGAUAAUUGGUAUUACAGUAAAUAUAAAGGUGAGGAUUUUUUAUGGAACCGCUCACUCGCCAUUGUCGACUUUGCUGCCCACCCAUUGCCGUCACAAGCCCUCAACUUCAUGCAUCAGUCUAUCGGCGAGUUAACGCCUCGCUCAGUCGAGUCUGUCUUCUAUGCCUUUGUCUUUUUUCUUUCCGUGUAGAGUUCAUAACCUAUGCCUAUGGAAUUCGCGAUCAGCAGAGGUCGCUAGCCUCGCAUGGCCGCAAAUCUGCGGUUGCAUGGGCCCGACCACCUAGUUAAUUCGCUCGAGUUUUUUAGUAACAGAGAGAGGCCCUCAGCCUUGUUUAUCAUUAAAAUCAACACCCGAAAAAAAAAAGGGGGGGAUGAGAAGUUCCUCGACAUGAGGGGCAUUUGGGUAUUUUUUGCAGUAGCAAAAAGACAAAGUGUGAUUGACAGGGGAGAGUGAGAGGAGCAAAGGGAAAAGGACAAGGGGUCGUGAUUAUGGUGCACGGAGCGCAGAAAUGUCAGUAGUCACAUGACUCACAUGGGGCGACUGAUGACAUCGUGGGUAGUGGAGCAGGAGUCAAUUAAUAAGAAAAAGAUGUUAAAUCAAUCAGGGCUCCCGCGUAUCAUGAAUGAGAUGGACCCAUACGGAAAAUUCACAUGAGCCAUCUGUGCAUGAGCUGCGCUCGCACGCGCCGGUGCGCGGGUGGAGAAGACCUGCUCGAAUAAUAGGAAGUGAAGACUGAAGAGAGCUGUAAAUCCAGUCCAUAUGCCGUGUUUGGCAGGGGCAAACCCCGAAAUGAUGGAUUUUAAGCCCACGCGUCCCGAUUGAAAUUGCCAUAUUUUCCCAAACUCUUGUUGUAUUUUUCUGGUUUGGAGAGCACGAAAAACGGACAGGGCAUUUUCCCCAAAAUAGCCCCGAUUCUUUUCCCUGACUAGGACAUACCCCUAUCCCGAAAGUGACGCCACAGUUACGUACAAGCAAAGCCAAGAGUGGGUCCCAUACCUCGUCAAUCCUGUAAAUUUGUGGGCAAGUGCCUAGGCGUUAUCGCCUUACAUUGUUGUCAGAUAAUUUAAUGGAAGAAGGAAGACGCGUUAGACACCUUGCGGUCCCAUUUCAGGAUCAAAGCAAACUCUACAAAGGCAACAUCAUGAGAAUACAAACUGCUCCGGAACCUCUGCAUAGUUAGCCAAUCCCGUCUUUUACGUUUAAUGACCUGCAGUGAUCUCCAUUUAUAAUUCUAGUCCCUUAAAGUGAUUUAGAUUUCAUCACGUACUGUGCUGAUUUUGCUGCUAUAUAGUUCAAAUUUUUUUCUCUGAGCGAGGAUCAAGAGAGAUUAAUGGAGGAGAGGUAAUGCUUGGUUUAUUCACCAUUGGAUUGAUCGUUAUCCAUACCAUAAAAAGCUUAUGAUAUAGUAUCAACUCCACUAAACUUUGCGCGUCAAUCCAUUGGCGUGUUAACACCUUGCCCGCUCAAGUUUGUCUUCUACGCCUUCGUCGCCUUUUCUUUUUGCAUAGAGCUCAUAAUCUAUGUCCAUGGGAUUUGCAACCGACAGAAGUCGCAAGACUCGCACAGCCACAGAUCUGAGGUUGCUUGGCCGCCGAUGUGGGCCUUGACUUAGUGAGUUUGCUCAAUUUUCUAAACAACGGAGAGAGGCCCUUGGCUCUAUUUAUCAUUAAUAUUAAUACCCAAAAAGGAAAAUAGAUAAAUAAAUUCCUCGCCAUGAGGGCAUUUGGAUAUUUUGGCAGAAGCAAAAAGACAAAUGCAAUUGAUAUCGAGUGUAGUGAAACAAAGAAAAAGGGGUAGUGAUUAUGUAUGGAUGGAGUGGGUGCUGUCAAUUGUCGGUGGUCACAUGAGGUGCUGCCAGCUUUCGUUAACUUGACUUUGAAUGAAUUAUUUGGGGCGCAAAAGUAGACUCUCAAUCCGAAAUUUCUGCACCAUAUGGUCCAGUGAUUUUCCACGUUAAAAAAAAUAAUUUGUCAACUUUGGCAGGUUGCAAUGAUGCUUCGAGGAAGUAUGCUUACUAACCAAUUUUCGUAGCAAAAUUAGCCCACGACUCUCUGCAUAUUCACCCAAAUCUUCCGAUUUUGAGUUCAGUGACCUCCGGAAAAGUCAUUCAAAAAAUCUUCCCUUUAAAUAUUUCUGUAGUGAAGGAAUAAAGGUUUUGAUAGUUAAAGCUUGUCUAUGUACGAAAAGUCUUUAUUUUCCUUUCAAAAGAAGAGGAGUUUGGGCAAUGGAUCCCACCUAUGUUCUCUUCUUCUAUGAGCUUUUGAGCUAACGGAAGAAACUCAAUUUCGAUUCGGAUGGAAGGAGUCUAAUUUUAAAAGAAUAUGCAACGAGAUUUUUGGAGUUUCAUUUUUACUAAAACAAAAGUUUAGUGGAGUAUAAUCAAAGCUAGAGUUAUUGCAAAACAAAUUUGAUACUUCUCAAGAGUAUUUUUUAACUCAUCAAGUCAUCGUGAUUAAUAACUUCAAUCUUUCUUCUUCUUCUUUUUCUUUUUUUGUCGCACUCGGAUUUAUGCCUAAAAGGACUUAAGAACUUAUGAAUUUUGGAAUGGAACAAUUUUACACCUCUAGAUCUAGGCAGAUUUUGUUUUCUAUUGUGAAACAUGGAAUAUUUAAUUACCACAAAAUCGAUAUAGAAAAUAGAAAAAUAAUUGCAAAUAAACACCAACCAAUCAUGUUACCAAUCGAUAAAAAAGUUGAUACUAUAUAAUUCAACUAAAUGGAAAUAGAAUGCGAUGCAUACAUAUAGUCUUGUGUCGCAUCGAAAUAUGAUCUUGAGAUUGGUCGAUAUGAUCUUGAUACAAACUCUAGCAAUCUAAAACCUAAGCUCUUUGUGCCUUGUCUUAACGCGGUAUAAGCAUUAGUUACCACUCUCGGAAAGAGAGAAAAGAGUAAGACAGAACAGCGUGCGGGGCGGUGCAAGAAGACUGAAACCAAUGAUUGACCCAAGUCAAAGUCUACGAAGACUUGGACUACCGACAGUCCAUGAUGGACCAGCUUGCUCAAGAAGGAAUCACACCAUUGAUUGACCCAAGUCUACAAAGACUUGGACUACCAAGGACACAUGCUAAAGCUAACGCAUUGGCGGGACAACUUCUUUUCCACGUUAGGAUGACCCCAUCUUCUUUUUCUUCUUUGCUGUAUUGCUUUAUUUAUUUUCAUUAUUCAAUUUUCUUCUUAACAAAAAUUUCCCUUGGACUCUUCGAGGCAAUUUCACCAUGAAUGACUAUUGAAUUAAUGUUAUGAAAACGUUCAUCAUGUCGAGGUGAUUUAGAUGAAGAUGUUUGUUUAAGGUAGGAUUAGGAACUGACCAAAAAAGAAAAGGUGGGAUUGGGUCUCGAGCCAUUAAUGGGAAGGUCAAAUUAAGUGAUUUGUUUUUCGCAAUCUAGUCAUAAAUUUUUUACCAAAAAAAAAAAAAGUCAUCAACUUUAUAUCUCAAAGUUAAAUUACCAGGCAUUUUUUUACGGUAUAUCAUAGGAAGAUUGGCCAUUCAUGAGUAUCUCUGAAUAUUUAUGGCAUAUACCUAUACUGUGACAAAUAUUAUUAAAUGGAAUUGAUUUUAUCUUUCAUUACANNNNNNNNNNNNNNNNNNNNNNNNNNNNNNNNNNNNNNNNNNNNNNNNNNNNNNNNNNNNNNNNNNNNNNNNNNNNNNNNNNNNNNNNNNNNNNNNNNNNUCCGCCGCCAACCGUGGAGGGCCGAAGUCCUCAAUCCCUGCCAAAAGUCGAUUCUAAUCCCAAAAUUUAUGCACCACAUUAAGAAUCGACUUUUGGGAUUAGAAUCGACUUUUGCCCCCCAAUAAAUGGCGGAUUCAUUCAAAGUCAAAGUCAAUAAAAGCAUACAUCAAAUUAUGACAAUUGACAGGUGUAUUAAUUUAAAGUUUUAUCCUCCGUUUGUCAUAUAUGUACUAAUUUGUGCUUUUUCAUAACAUUAAUUCAAUAGUCAUUCAUGGCGAAAUUGCCACAUUAAGAAAAGUGGAUAAUUGUUAACUUCGGUCGGAGUGAUACUUUGAGGAAUCAUCCUUAUUGACCAAAUUUUGCAGCAAACUAGCCCACAACUCUCUCUGCAUAUUUAGCCAAUCUUGUGGCCUCUAAGUUCAAUGACCGACCCAAAAGUCAUUUAAAAAAAUAUUUCCUUUUUAUUUCCUUGAUAAGUUUGUGGUGAAAGAACAAAGGUCUUUGAUAGUCAAGACCCGCAUUUUUCUUUUCCUUUAAAAAGAGCAGGAGUUAGGCAAUGGAUCCCACCCAUUUUCCCUUCUUCCCCCGGGCGCAUUGGGAAGGAAGCUCAAUUUCGAUUCAAACGAAAGGAGUCUUAUUUUAAAAAAAAAAAAAUCUACAAUGAGACUUUUUGACUUUUGUGUUACUAAAACAAAAUUUUAGAGGGUCUAACCGAAGGUACAGCUAUCAAAGAACAAAUUUGAUCUUCCACUGGUUUCAAUUCAAGGAAUUUGAUAUUUUUUGAGAGUCUUUUUUUUUUUUUAACUUAUCUAGUCAUCGUGAUUAAUAACUUCAAUCGUGAAAUUUCUUUUUGUCAGGUUUGGAUGUACAUCUAGAAAGACUUAAGAGCUUAUUAAUUUUAGAAUGGAAUCGUUUUAUGCCUCCGGGUUCAUAUGUACAUUUGAAAAGACUUAGGAGCUUAUUAAUUGUUUUGUGCCUUCGGAUCUUGCGAGAUUUUACUUUUCCUCCUUGGCUCCCCCAUGAUGUCCUUGUCAAGUAUCAAUAUGGUCAGACCAAUCAACAUUUAUGCCGAUUGAAAUCUGAAGGUCUUGCUAGUGUUGGUGCGUUCUCAUCACCCAUGCAAUUGCCAAGAACUUUGAGGAGGUCUUUUAGAAUGACCAGGGCAAUGAGGAUUUUAGGAUUUUGGACAGGUGUGAUAGAGCAGUAAUAGACAUGGUCUUUUGGGAAAAGAACGUGCUUACAGCUGCAGUGUAAAUCUUGUGGUAUCUAGGUUUUGUUUUGUUUUGCAGUUCUUUUGAUUUAUUUGCUUGGAAGUUUUCUAUUUUCUUCCCAUAUUCGAAUAUGACAAAUAAAAAAAUUUAUCUUUCAACCAAAAAAAUAAAAUACCGAUGGAUAAGGUGGGCCCUAUGGAGAAUUCACCGAUCUAUCGGUGCACAAGUUGGGUUUACAUGCAUCGGUGCACAGACAAUACCCACUCGAUGAAUAGAUAGGGAGAGAGAGAGAGAGAGAGCGCGCUAUAUAAUAUGUCCAGGCAAAGACGCGAGUGUGAAAAUCACCGGAAGCAACUCAAUUGCACCCCCCCAUCUCUUUAGAAAAUCCAGGGUUUUCUACUAGAGCCUUGGCUUCCGCCGGAGCUGCUGCUGAAGUUGCGCGCGUGGACAUCCCAAACCCGUCCACCGAAACACCACCGCAGUCUCGGCACGCGCGGCGAAUCGCUCCCUCCGUCGAGCCCCUGGCGAAGGACCCGUCGAUAUUUCACCUCGAUAGCUCCUUGCCGCGAUCGGAGCCAGAUCUGAGGUGAGUCUCCAAGGACCCCACUUUUUGGUGUUUAAAAAGAACCCUGGCAUUUUAUCAACUUUGAUUGGCUGCAAUGAAUCAUUCUUAGUACAGCGAUCUCAUGGCUUCGAAGUUUUUACCAUCUUCGGCUGCCGCUGCUUUGGCUGCCGCUGCUUUUGCUGCUAUCCUGUUUCGACUUUUUUCUCGAGGAGGAGAUCAAGCGAGAUCAACGGAGGAGAGUGCAAGUAGAAAUGAUGGAACAGCAGGAGGCGCUUCUUCUACUCACGCGUCAACAGAAGGUCAAGAAGUGGCUACUUCAUCGGGAUAUGAUGGAACAACAGAAGGUCAAGAUCAAGCGAGAUCAACGGAGGAGAGUGCAAGUGGAAAUGAUGGAACAGCAGGAGGCGCUUCUUCUGCUCACACGUCAACAGAAGGUCAAGAAGUGGCUACUUCAUCGGGAUAUGACUAUGAAGUAUUCCUGAGUUUCAGAGGACCAGAUACUCGAGCAGGUUUUACCGAUUUUCUUUACACAAGUCUUAAAGGUGCGGGUAUCCGCACAUUUAAGGACGAUGAAGAUCUUCGCAAAGGUGUAGAAUUUGCCCCAGAACUUCUCCGAGCAAUUAAGCAGUCAAAGAUCUUCAUACCUAUCUUUUCGAUAAAUUAUGCCUCCAGUAUUUGGUGUCUCAAGGAGCUAGUCCAGAUGGUCGAGUGCCAGAAAAAUGGAAGACAAACGAUCAUGCCUAUCUUUUAUGAUGUGGCCCCUUCAGAGGUUCGAUACCAAAUUGAUAAUUAUAAAAAGUCCUUUCUUUUACAUGAAAGAAAGGAGAGGUAUGACCAAAAGACUAUCGGAGAGUGGAAGGAUGCUCUUUGUGCAGUUGGGAAAAUAAACGGAUUGGACCUGCACAGCAAGACCAAUAGGUGACUUCUGUUAGCAUUCCAUCUCAAGUGCCUUGUAUCAAUAAAAAUUGAUGCAUUUGAUUUGGUUUCUUUUGUAGAUUUCUGUCACUCUGGUUGAAAUUGUUGAAUUUUAUGCUGCAGAAAUCACGCUAAAUGAUGGCACAGUCCCAAAUUUGUCAUUUUUUCAAUUAAUAAAUCAUAUUUUUAUUUUAGGCCAUCCAUUAACUCUUUACUACCAACGUUAGUUCAUGUACGAUAAAAUAGAUCCUCUAAAAACACAUGCCGGAUGGGUCUGCAGCUUUCAAUUUUGCUUUUGUCAGAUUCAACACAAUUUUCUAACUUGUUGCCUUUUGACCUUCAACAAACACUAGGCGAGAAGGUGAGUUUGCAAAAGAAGUCACUAACCAGGUUUUCAGAGAAUUGAAAAAGGGUUAUUUGGCUGUAUCAGAUUGCUUGGUUAGUGUUGACAACCGAGUAGAUGAAAUCAAGGAGAUAAUAGGUGUUCAAACAAAUGAAACACGGAUUAUAGGAAUUUAUGGGAUGGGUGGCAUCGGAAAGACGACGAUUGCCAAAAUCAUCUACAAUCAACUUUCAAGCAAUUUCAAGAAUUGCUGCUUUCUGGCCAACAUCCGUGAAGUGUCGAAACGCGGGGACAUUAAAUGCCUGCAGAAGCAACUCAUCUCUGACAUCCUCAAAGAACAGAUGGAUAUAAACAAUGUAGAUGAAGGGACUGGGAUAAUUAAAGACAGGUUGCCCAAUAAAAGAGUGAUCCUCCUUCUCGAUGACGUGGAAGAAGCGAGUCAUAUCGAUGCAUUUGUAGGUAAGCGUGAUUGGUUUGGCAGUGGGAGCAGAAUUAUUAUUACUACAAGAAACAAAAAUAUUCUUUGUUUUCCCAAAGUGGACUGCAGUUAUGAGCUUAAAUGCAUGGAUCGUGUUCAAUCUCUUAAACUUUUUAGUAAACACGCCUUCAGAAGAGAUUCUCCUUUGGACGAGGAUAUGAACCAAUCCAACAGGGCAAUAGACAUUGCUAAAGGUCUUCCGCUUGCUCUAGAGGUCAUAGGUUCACUUUUAUCUAGCACUGAAAAGGAAAAGUGGGAUGACAAAUUGAAGUUGAUGGAAAAUGUUCCUCCUCAGGACGUUCUGGGAAAGCUGAAAAUAAGUUAUAACGCAUUAGGUAAUCGAGAAAAGCAUAUAUUCCUUGAUAUAGCUUGUCUUUUCAUCGGAUAUAACAAAGACAUUGUCGUUUAUUUUUGGGAGAAAUCUAAAUUUCCGGAACAAGCCAUGGAAGUUCUGCAGAACAUGUCUUUGAUAAAGAUUGAAAAGGAUAAUGAAGUGUGGAUGCAUGACCAACUCAGAGACCUCGGAAGAGAAAUAGUUCGUCAAGAAAGUAUGAUGAAAAUAGAGGAGCAAAGUAGGGUGUGGGAUCUUGAGGAAGCAUUGGAUUUUUUGAGCAGAUGUGAGGUAAAAUCCCCCAUCACUUAUGGACAUUUCUUCUUUUUUUUUUUAAAAACCCAAUUUAUUUUUGUGUUCUUUAGCACCAUUCGAACUUGCUUCAUUAAUUUUUUUGUUCUUUCUUGAUUAAAGGAACGAUAGUACUCAACCCCUUAAAAUAGUGAAUUUGAAUAAAUGUGUUUCGUUUCAACUCUUUUGUAUUUAAAUUUUUCCAUUGGGCAGGGAAAAACAAAAGUUGAAGCUCUUCGUCUCCACUUUGACCAUGAGCCGCAGUACUGUUUUACCUAUAAGGACUUUGACAAAAUAUCUAAUCUAAGGUUUCUUCAAGUUGACGAUUCCAAGGAAUACUUUCAUGCAGAAGAGAGGCUUCUUUGGCAUGAAUCGCUAUCAAAUGUUCUUCCAAUUGAUAAUUUCCAGGAGAAUUCAUAUCUCCUUCCCCAAUUACGAUGGCUUUCUUGGCCUAAAAUUCCCCCAACAUUUAAGAUUACAAACUUCUCCAUGAUGAAUGUGGUUAUUCUCGAUCUAUCAGAGAGUAAAAUUACGCACAAUUGGAAGGGGUGGAGCCAUAUGAAGGUAUGUUAUAUGCUAGACAACACUUAUUAUUUCGUCUUAUUAGAUUAUAAGUAAUCUUUGCAUGAUUUUUCUUUUUUAUAGGUGAUGAGAAAUUUGGAAGUUAUGAAUUUGACUAGAUGUGUUUGCUUGGAGAGAACCCCCGACUUCUCUGCUCAUUCAAAAUUAGAACGUUUGAUCUUACAGGGCUGUGACAAAUUAGUUGAAAUUGACAAGUCGAUUUGUCAAUUGAAUAGCUUAGUCUUUUUAGAUGUAACAUCUUGUGUGAAGCUUCGAGGGUUGCCGAACGAGAUGGGUACAGGUCUUGCAAGUCUCAAAUACUUAUAUAUGAGCGAUUGCCAAUCGUUGGAGGGGCUUCCGAAUACAAUCGGAAAUUUGAAAUCAUUGAAGGAGUUGAAUAUAAGUAGAACGGAGAUUAAGGAACUCCCUGAUACGAUCUGGAAGUUGGAGAAGCUUGAAGUAAUAGAAGUCGAAAUGAUGCAUCGUUUUGAUAUGGAAAUCGGCAAUGGCAUAUAUGGAAAUCGAUCUCUGAGGAUCUUGAAAUUAUAUUGUAAGAGAAUACGCAUGGUAUCGAGGCUUCCCGAAAGUCUUACAAUUCUAGAGUUGUCUACAUUCUACACGGAUACGUUGCUAGAUCUCUCAAACCUGACUAAUUUAAAAGAAUUAUGGCUGGAGUUCGGGCCACGUGGAAGCGACUCCAAUUGGCCUGUGGAAGUGGAAGAGAAUCCGAUGCCAUUGCAAACUGGGAAUUUAAGCAAACUAGAGUCUCUAACUCUAAAGUCUCAGUAUGCGACCACCAUACGAAUCGAUAUGAGAAGUCUCCUUCCCCAACUCAAGUCCCUUCGACUUUGGCCAUGCCCUAAUUUGCGUUGCCUCCCAAGCCUUCCCUCCAGUUUAUCAAAAUUGGAUUUGGAGUCUAAAUACAUUACCACCUUACCCAUGGAUAUGAGUAGUCUCCUUCCUCAACUCCAGUCACUUCACCUCGCGUGCCCUGAGCUGCGUCGCCUCCCGAGCCUUCCCUCCAGUUUAUUAGAGUUAAGCGUCAAGUCGUGUUGUUCCCUGGAGGAUCUAUCGAAUUUGAAGACACUAUCAACUCUUUACAUCACUGACUGUGCUGUCUCAGAGAUUCGAGGCCUUGAUCGUUUGGAGAACCUACGAGAAUUGUGGCUUUAUGAUCUUCAACAGGUGAAGAUAUUACCUGAUCUAAGUAAUCUCAAUAAAUUAAGGAAUCUUUUAGUAAUCCGUUGUGGAAAUCUGGUUGAGAUUCAAGGCGAACUCCCACCAUCUUUGGAAGAAUUGAUGAUUUGGACAUUUGGAUCUUUACAAAAGUUGCCUAAUUUGUCAAGCUUGAAGCGACUGCGAGAAGUUAAAAUACGGGGUUUCGGGAAAUUAAAUGCGGAGGAUUUAUCGAAUUUGAAGACACUAUCAGGUCUUUACAUCUGUGACUGUGCUAUCCCGGAGAUUCGAGACCUUGAUCGUUUGGAGAACCUACGAGAACUGUCACUUUGGGAAAUUCGACAGGUGGAGAUAUUACCCGAUCUUAGUAAUCUCAAUAAACUACGGGCUCUUCAAGUAUUUAGUUGUGGUAAUCUGGAUGAGAUUCAAGGCGAACUCCCACCAUCUUUGGAAAAAUUGGUGAUUGAAAAAUGUGAAUCUUUACAAAAGUUGCCUGAUUUGUCAAGCUUGAAGGGACUGCGAGAAGUUGAAAUAAAGGGUUGCAGGAAAUUAAAUAUGGAGGCAAUUUCUUCGCUUUGCUCGAAGAAGGGGAUCAAAUUUGAGGGAGACUAGACGAUCGGAGGGAUAAGACGAAUGUGGAUCCAAAUAUGAAUAUGGAUCCGACAUAAGUGCACGUCGCUUUUGAAAUCUUGUUAAUCCCUGACCACAAAUCGUUCUCUUGUGCGCGAACUUCAAACGAAGUGAGGUAAUUCCUUUCUUCUGGCAACCGAUAUUUUCCUUUUCCGCAAUCGAUCUCUUUCAUGGAUGUGAAUAAAGAAGCCUCGCAUGCACUUUUUAAUGACCUUUUCGCGAGCUGACAUCUGUAAAUCUGAUGAAGGCAUUGAAAUUAUGUUACCUCCAUUUUGGUCUGAUUUCUCCUUGGUUUUAUGUUUCCUAGCUGGAGUUAUGCAUCUUGAUUGCAUCAUUUUUAUUUGAUACGUAACAAAUUAUUAGAGAUCCUUGUCGAUUUGCUGUUUCACAUAUGUUGAAGUUGAUGACCUCGCUUCGCAUUUGAGAUGACUUCGUUAUGCUGUAAACAAUUAGAUGGAAUGUGUGCUGGAAGGUCAUAUAAGUAUGAUUCUCAUCCUGUAAAUUUACAGUAUAACCAACUCGUUGUUGCGACUGUGAAGUAGACAAACCCUCUGCGCUGAUAUGCUUAUGUUUAGUUUAUUUUCUUGGAAAGGUAUGCUUCUUAGUGGGAUUUGCAAAUGCUAGGGAGAAGUUAUAAAAUAAAGAAAGAUGAAUUUCACUUGGGUAUUGGCAUCAAUAGUUGUUGCAGCACAAUUUCCAUCUGUGACAGGAGAGGAGAACUAUUUAGCUUCUCCAAGGUAUCAUGGAUCAUCUUGCAGUUAAGGCUAGAUUUCAGUAAUAUCAAUGCCUACUGCCUAGGACAUAUGAUAAGUCUCACUGGGGUCAGAAAUCAUGUAAAUGGACUUUUUUGUGAUCUCCAUUAUUGCCUAUAUUUUCUAGAAAUGGUUAUGCUUAGGUGAUCAUCUGUAAUAGAAGCCCUUCCAUUCACCUCAAGUUAUACUAGAGGAUUCUUUCAGGUUUCAAGAUUGACAAGAAGUGUUAAGGGAGACAUCUCAAACAACUGCCUUUUUGCCAAUUUCUAAUGUUGCUGAGGGGAAUUAAAGUUUGAAGAACUUACCGAAAUCUUUCUGUGUAGGAAGCCGUGGCUAAUUGGGCAAAUAUACAAAUGAAGAACGAAUAAAGGAAAAUGAAGAUGACAUUCAAAGUGAAGUUUUACGUCCACUUUUUAAUUACUUUCUUGUGGGUUGAGCCUGGAAAUCUGAAGAAGGUAUCAAAGUUAUGGUACCUUCGUACAACCAGAGAGUUCUUAAUUAUGUACAAAUGUAUGUUUUCUUUUCCUAGUUUGGUUUGGCCUUUUUAGCUAAAUUCUCUUUGGAUAGUUUCUCCUUGCUUUUAUGUUUCUCAGCUGGAGGUAUGCAUGUCGAUUGCAUCUUAUUAUUUCAUUUACGACACUUCAUUAGAUAUUCUCGUUGAGUUGCUUCUUCACAAACUUUGAAGUUGAUACCCUCUGCUUUGCAUUGGAGUUAACUUUGUUAUACUGUAGACAAUUAGAUGGAAUGUGUGUUGGAAGGUCAUAGCCCUAUGGUUCUCAUCCUAGAAUUUUACAGCAAAUCAACCCAUUGUUACAAUUUUGAAGGCGAUAGACUCUGUAUUGAUAUGCUUAUGUUCAAUUUGUGGUUCUUAGUGGGAUUUGCAACUGUUAUGGAGAAGUUAUAAAAUGAAGAAAAAGGAAUUUCACUUGGCUAGCGGCAUCAAUAGUUGGAGCAGCAAAGCUUCCAUUUGUGACGGGAGAGGAGAACUGUCUAGCUUCUCUAAGGUAUUAUAAAUCAUCUUAUAGUUGAGGCUAAAUUUCGAUACUAUCAAUGCAUAGGACAUGUGAUAAGUCUCACUUGGGGUCUUAAAUCUUGUAAAUCGACCCUUGUGUGAUCUCCAUAAUUGCCUCCAUUUUCUUGAAAUGGUUAUGCCUAGUUGGUUAUCUGUAAUAGAAGCCCUUCCAUUCACCUCAAAUUAUACUAGAUGACUCUUUUGGGAUUAAGAUUGACAAGAAGUGCUAAGGGAGACAUCUCAGACAACCAGCUUUUUGCUGGUUUCUAAGGUUUCUGAGGGACUUAAAAGUUUAAGAAACUUACAAAAAUCUUUUUGUGCAGGGAGUUGUGGCUAAUUGGGCGGCUGUAUAGAUGGAGACCGAAGAAAGGCAGAUGAUGGAUGAAAGUUGAUGUUGACCAUGUUCCCCCUCACAAUCUUGGGGUGGUAAACCCUGUAUUCAUUUUCUUUUGGGGGGUAAAAGGGCUAUUUAGGCCAACCUGAUUGUGUUUUUGCCCCCUUUAUUGUGUGCCCACAAAAAUGCUUAUUAUAUUUCAUCUGAACGUGUGUUCUCUUGAUUGUUAUGCAAUAGAACUUGUUUAUCAGUACCAAAUGUUCUUUUACGAGGUUACACUGGAAGGGCUUGUCUGGACCUGGAGAAACAUUGUGUGCUUAGUGUGGUCCUUGAGGUAGUCGUAGUUGCUCCCUACCAAAACCAGUUCAUGGACCUCUCAAUUUGAAAAUGAUGUUCAAUGUAGUCUUAGUCAUGAGUAUGAUAGGCACUUACAACUUAAGAAACAUGAAUUGCUGGUAUUCAUGGAAUGAGCUGUUUUGGAGAGAUGACUCUCGCCAAACUUAUCCACAAUCAGCUUUCACAUGGUUUUGACUUUUGAGCACUCUUGCUUUUUUUCUAACAUCCGUGAAACCUCAGAGCUAAAGGGUAUUCAAUUCUUGCAGAAUAACUCAUAGCCAAUGUCCUCAACAGGAAAUUGACAGAAAUAAGUAAUGUUGAUGAAGGGAUCAAGACAAUUAAAGAUGGCUUUUUAGUAAAGGAUGAGACCUUUUUGAUGAUGUUGACCAGAAUAAUUAAUUGAAUGCACUCAUGGGACAUCAAUGAUAUUCGGGCAUUACUGAAUUCUUCAAUGCUGAACAUCAAGUGCUGAAGGAUCUCGAAAUUCUCAGUGCUUUUUGUUUUGUCAUUGAACAUCAGUGCUUUUUGUUGAUCGAAGGCACUGCCAUCCUUAAUGUGAGUUGAUUCGGUUGAAAUACUUUGCAGAAAGGGACGUGCGAUCCCUCUUAUCUGGUCCAAAUGAUGCAAUGUCUGGCAUCGCUUAGAAGAUUCAACCAUUUCUUGAAAAAUUUAGAAAGCAUGCUCGGCAAAGGAGUUCAUUUUCCAAUAAGAAGUGCAUGUUGUACUUGAAAGGUCCUGCAUCCACAGCCAAGUCUAUUGUCAAGGAAGAUUUGACACUUAUAAACAAAUUUCUUAUUACUCUACGUCAUCUCACCAGAUAUUGAUUGUUGUCUUUCUUGGGAUCGUUAUCUGUUAUACAUAAAUUACAAUCACGCUUUGGCAAGUUGACUUGAAAUCUAUUGUGCUUGUACAUAUAGUUAUCACUAGCUGUUUUCGCAACCGCUUCCUAUCUUUAAGAUGGAUUGCUGUAAACUACUCAUGAAAAAGGGACCAUGGUUUCUUUUGAUCUAUUUCAUGAGUUUUAUUUGGUUUAGAUAUAUUACUUUGUGACGGUUUUGGUUGGCUAAUUGAGUUACCAGUAAAAGACAGGUCAAAUUGAUGCUAGUGUUACUCCAUUCGAGUGCAUUGUAGUGUUACGACAUUCAAGUGCAUUACUUUUCUCAAUUUACACUUUAGUCUUUUAUGUGAGAUCCCUGGAGCUUGCUGGUUUGUACUUUAAAUUUGAACCUUAUAACCCUGGCUUGUAAAUCUUUGUUAUUCCUUAAACAAUGAAGGAUCUAGUCAAACAUGUAGGUUUUAAUCUGUGACAAAAGCUCCUCCAUUUACUUUUUGGUUACCUAGGAAUGGAGUAAACGACAAGAGAGUCCUAUAUGACGGCCUGAGCUCUUCCCUCUCGGUAAUAAGUAAGAAAAACUUAUCGGGGUCUUUCUGUAAAGGAAAGCUACCCCUAGCUAACAAGGUAGAUUUGACGACCAUAUAUCUUUCCUAACGCUUGGAUGUUAAACUUUGGCUUCUAUUUUAAUGUACGAACUCCAACUAGUGUCAAGGACUUGACUGGUCUCUUGCACAAUGCGCUUUGAAUGGCCACAAUUGGCAAUUUAUGCUUUGAAAUGAUGAAAAAAUUUCAUUUUGCCAGUUUCCGCUAAUGUUAAUUCCAGCAUAUCAGAAACACAAGGUAAGAGCUUAUAGUUUGCAUUCCAAAGGCUGAUCAGAUCAUUCUUACAUAGCUAAGCCAAGAUGAUAUAAAUUGUUUACUUCCUAAAACUUGAAAUUCAGUUGAGGUUGCCAAUUAAAGUGACGCAAACUUCAGGCGAGAGCAUCAUUUGUUUCCAAGAUGGCUUGGUUUAACUGUUAAUCAGCAUAAUUUUCUGCCAGGGAACAGUUGAAGUACUUGGUUAUGCCAAGAAAUCUUUUAUGUGCCGAUGAGCCAGUAGUAGAAGGCAAGGUCACCGAUUGAAAAGUGUUCUCCCUAAAAAUCUCUAUCUCACCAUAUUAAAUCUGGUUGAUCGCCAAACCGUGCAAGUCUUACAAUUCCAAAAGUCACACAUUUGACUAUUUUGCGAAGUUCAACACGAGUUCAACCCCCAAAAAGGAAAAAUUAAAAAAGAAAGGUGGAAAAAAGUAGGGUGAUUUAGCUAUGGAUUGCUCAGCUCAGCAUCCACACAUACUCGUUAGGUUUUAUCGAGUCUGGCAAAUUAGAUUAACAGGUAAACUUGCGCACAGAGUUGUAUUUAUGAGGAUGAUACAUUCAGCUAUAUGCUAUUUACAUUCCAAGUGAAUUUCAGUACAGAUCUGUGCAUCUUGUGAUGGACAUGAAAACAGAUUGAUGGAAUGCAUUACAUGUACAAACUUCAUCUAGAGCUACCUAGUGAUCUUCAAGAAAUUAGGUGCUGACUUAGGAGCAAUUUACAUUAAUUGACUCUUGGCAUCGGAGUCUUAACGCAGCCUCAAUGCGGAAGCAGAAGCAAUCCUGGAAAGCAUGAGGUUUCCUUUGUCUUCGCUUCCAUAUUCCUUAAAUCGUGGAUCCAUGACGAUUUUGCACAAUCCCCAUGUCUCCGCCAUUAAUUCCACACCAUAGUAGACUAAAUGGUCCGCAAGGCUGUUACCAGUUACCAAUAUGUAGAAACACAAUUUGAUGAGUCGUCUGUAAAAAUUUCCGGUAAUAAAGGAUUGGCAUUCUCUGAAACAAGCUGGUCUGUCACAUGACUUAUUGCACCUAGCAUGAUAAGUCCACAAAAUAAUUGCUUGUGACAGGUAGCUAUGACUGAGACCACCUCCUUACCUGCUGCACAGUGGAUCUUCUCUAGAGCCAUCACAAACUUUCUCGACCUGAUAAACCAGACUACCAAAUCCAAUAUUAGACAGCCAUACCUACAAAAAAAGGAUUCCAAUUACAUGUGAACACUUACAUAGAAAAGAGCAAGAUUAGCUCACAUCAAUAUGUUUAUUUGUGGCUGUCGUUGAGCUAGUUGCCAAUAAUAUAGGCAUUAGUAUUUAGUAGACAUACAUAAUUUAAAUGAGUAAUACCUUAUGAUUGUGCAGAGCUUAAGGCUAGGUCAUCAGCCAUCAUAGAGAGUAAUACAUAUUAUCAUGCAUCUUCAAUUUUGGAAUUGGUAUGGGAAACUCAUGAUAGCUUUAUGGGAAUGAGAACCGUUCUUAUAUAUUGUCAAAAGGUCAUGAAUAUUACGAACUACCCUGCUUUGUUAAGAAGAUAAAACAGACAAAACUAUUAAAAUUUAUACGCUGAAUAAAGUGAGUACAAACAUUGUUGGAAAAAAUAAGACUUCUCUAGCUAGAUAGGUUGAAAUAAAUGCAAAGGAAACAUCAAAUGCAGUCAGCGACAAUUCCCCAAAAUUUAUCUGAUAUUCAAUGGGAACUGAGAAUAGUACAGAGGCAAAUGAGGCACAAUAUCCUGUCCAUUAGUUAUAUGUUAUUGUAAUUGGCACGUUGUAGCAAGACACAAACAUUGCACUACCAAUAUGAGAUCAUCCAAAUGUCAAGUAAAUCAAGUGAGUGCUGGUCUGGAAAAAACAGCUUCAGCGCACACAAUUAGACAGCCAAAUAACUUGAAUGUUAAUACUUUCGCGAGGGGAAAACUACUACACAUCAAUACCAUAUAUUGCAUUUCACAUACGGAGGCGAACAAUAGAACAACCCUUAUCACCAUGAGGGUUGGGAGUCUAGCGUUACUCUGUCUAGACCCCAUCCAUAAUUUUCCCAAAACCAAAACCCACAGCCACAACAAAACCAACCCCACCCUCACCCCACAAGAAAAAGGUGUUCAUGAUAUGGAAUAGUGGGAUUGGGGGUAAAUUUAUGGCCAAGGUGCAUUUAGGGGCUGUUUGUUUGUGUUCUUUCUUUCUGUUUAUGAACCUAAUUUCUAUUUUUUUUGUUCUGGAGAAUAAAAAAAGAAUAGAAACGCGUUUGUUUGCGUUUUUGUUCCAAAUCUACUUUUUUUGUUCCCAGGAACAAAUUUGGAACAAAAAUCAGAAAUAAGAAAAACUCGUUUCUUGUUUCUAGAACACUUCCGAAAAACAAUUUUUCUCUCUUAUUUUUUUCUUCUCUUUUUUUUUUUUAAUUCUUCUUUUUUCUGACCUCGCCGGAGCGUCACCGGCCUCCGGCGAGGCCGAGCGUCGCCGGCCCCUGGCGAGGCUCGGCCUCGCCAGAUCUAGGUGAGUUUGAGCUCACCCAGCCAAGGCGACGCCGACCUCGCGCCAACUGGCGAGGCUCGGCCUUGCCUUGGCUGGGCGAGCCUCGCCGUGGCUGGGCGAGGCCGCCGGCCCUCAUUGGCCGGUUGCUGGCCAUGACUGAGGUCGGCGACCGACUAAAAGGAAGAAAAAGGGAAAAAGGAAAAAUAAAAUGAAAGUAUUAAAAAAUUAAAAGAAACAAAAAAAUUAUACAAGUUUACGAAACGUGUUUCUGUUCCUUUUCUAUUUCAGGAACAAAUUUAUCAAACGCGUUAUUCUGUUUAAAAAUUAUUCUCUGGAACAGAAAUAGUUUUCCAUUUCUAUUUCCUGGAACAAUUUUUGAACGGAAACGUUAUCAAACUCACCCUUAAAUGCUCCCACAAGAAGCACUUGGAUGCUGGUGGGUUCAGUCACAUCCCGCUAAUGACAUAAACAAAACAUUCCAGAUUCAUAGUGAAAUGCCCCUUGAACCCCAAAACUUAUGGUCAUUAAUAGCAAAGGAGAAAUUAAAUCUUUAAAAAGGGCCACAAUGCAUGGAAAGGGCCAUGAUGUAAACAAAAAUUCCAGGUUCAUGGUGAAAUUGCCCCUUGAACCCCAAAACUUACUGUGAUUAAUAGCGAAGGAGAAAAUAAAUCUUAAAAAGGGCCAUGACAUAUGGAAAGGGCCACGACGUAUGGAACAUGAUGGCUCAGAACAAUGGUCAGCAAGAAAUUAGCAAACAAAAAUGACAUUUUAAAUCAUCCAAGUGUUCGAACAACAUGUUACAAUUGCUACUAAUACUUUGAGAUAAGGUUUAGUCUAAAGUUCAUGCAACCUAUGAUCCUAUCAUAGGCCACGUGAAUGUAUAAUUUGAAGACAAAGUUUGAUCCUCAAAAAUCACAACUUGUCAUGGAGAAGAGAAUUAAUGGGACAUGACUUUGGAGUUAAAACCAUUUCUGAUACCAGUUCCGCAACGGGUGCCUAGAAAACUCAGGACCACUCUAUCCAAUAAAGCUGAGACAAAAAGCAUAAUUUAGACAUUUUGGAAUUGGCUCUAACCUAUAACGUAUCUAGCCCCAUAGUCCAACUGAAAAGGAGCUGCUUCUUUUGAUUAGAGAGAGACAGAUAAAAGCAAAGCGCAAAACACAGAUUCAGGAUCAACAUAUUCUAUUUUAAAAUGCAUUCGAACUUCUAGAUUACAUGACAUAGAAUUUGAGCUUCAAGUGCUUGCAAAAGUUAUAGGCCGAACAUAUCAAUAAUCCCUUUAAGUUUCCAGCAAGUAAACUUUGUAAUGAUUAGUUGGAAGUCCUUAUCCACUAUAUUUAAGUAUUCCACUAACUUGAAGCUCCAUGGCUUCACAUGUAGAACUCAAUUCACACAACUAAAUAUAACGACCAUAGGUGGUUCAGGUAAAGGGUUAUUUGCAACCCAUUAUGCUUGUGUUUUGUCUAUCAGUUAAUUUGCCAAAAAAGAAGAAAAAGAGAAAAAAACAAGAUGCUGACCAAUUGUAAAUAUAAAUAUUAGGCCAUAGAAAGUUCAAGAUAUCCAAAGUCUAGACACUUCAAGGCAGAGUUGGCAGAAAUUGCCAGGUAACUCUUAACAGACCAAAACUGAAUAAAUGUAAGAACACAAUAGAGAAAAACCAAUAUCCGAACCAUAACAGUUUUUUAACUGUCUUACCACAAGAUCAAGUCUCCAAAAGGAUGCCAUAGCCCCUCCCAUAGAAUUCCCUGUCACCAUGACGUUGAUGUCUCCAUAUAGAUCCUUGGCUCUUUAAAAGCAUCCAUAUACCAGCUUGCAUUGUCGUAUUGUGAUAAGCAUAACAAAUUAAUGAUGGACCUAAGCAAAGACAAUAGAAUAGGAAUGUAAUUCAUUCCAAAUCAGAAGUAUCCACAACUUGCAAAAGGCUUAUCGUCUCUAAAACUCAGCAAGGCACUAGACAUGCUGGGGUAGUUUAUGUCGAGCUGUUUCUAGUAGAGAUCUUCAACCCAAUGCUAUAUGCUAUAGAAAUGAACAGAAGUAAUCACUAACUUAAAAGCUCAAACAACUUUUCCAAGAACAAAAUUAGUGAAUUAUGUGAUCUCCUCAUGAAUCCAUCUAAAAUUAUAAGCACAUAACUUUCGUGUCUCAGUGGAAAUGAUUCAUUGUUUUCCCUUCUUAUGGAUAACAGACCUGUGUGUUAUGUGUAUGUGUUCAUCGUAGGCUACUCUUCAUAGCUUAAAUUUUCAGCAAAUGCUUCGCAUGUCAAAUGUGAGAGGAAGAAUUGCUAAAGUUAACAUGCACACCUUUGUUCUUGAGUACCUUUGAAAGCUAUAACCGUAGCAUUAAGGUCCGGACCUCUCCAAUAUAUGCCUAUAGGUAAUAUAUAUUGAUUAGAAAUAGAGACAAACAAUUAGAUGCAAUUCGAACACAGAGGCAUCAGAAGCGUUGCCAAUUGGUAGGCCACGACAACACGAAUUAUAUACCUUUAAGAAGGCCGGACAUCAACAUGACUUUGAACCUCUACUUUCAGAUAAAAAGGGCAUUAAUAAUCACUUAGAAGCUAAAAAAAGAAGGCAGUAUAUGCCCACAAAAUCUCAUCACAAGAACUGGCCAUCUAGUACUGUACUGGGGUCCUAUUCUUUAAGUUUACGCAACCUUAGCAACAAUGUCAUAUUAAAAUGUAGUCAAAUUACCUUGGUCUUUCCAUAUCAACUAGGACAUGUCCAACUAAAAAGUUAUGUCGAAUCUGACAUGUAGACCUACAAAACAAAAAGCUUUGCAUCUAGUUACAAUGUUAUUGUAUUGAAAUGGUGAAACCUAAAGGGCAAUAACAACAACAAGCUCUAGGUAAAUGAGAAAGUCUUUAUAAAGUACACUUAGAGCAGAGGCAUACUCCACCAUGAUCGUCGCAAGAGUGUGAUUGUAAAUAGCUUUAUGAGCCUUGGAGCUCACUCUGAGUGCUGCAUUUACCAAUUAAAAAAAUUUCAGAUUGCAAAUGUAGUCACAAGCUCAUUCAAUUGCAAGCAACAAAGCAAGUCUUCUAUGUCUCAAUCAAGCCAUUUCGACAAUCAAGUGAGAGGAACGCUUCAAGGAAACAUCAACUCAAAAUAAUAUUACGGUAUAUUCCUGCCGUCCUUGUUCAUGAACUUAAAGAACUAUAUAUUCAAUGUGAUGCGAUGAAAGGGGAAUAAGUAAACAACACAAGGCUCCUCUUUCCCAUAAAGCUACUCCACUGAAACCUACAAGCUAUAGUCCAUUAUUUGACUAGAGAGAAGCCGAAUAGCUGAUAGUCAAUCACUGUGAGACGCUCAGCAAAUUUUAUACCCAAAGUAGAAACAGAAAGGUGAAAUAUUACUAUCAAACAAACAUAAGGAAAUUCAAUCAAACUGACCAUAUUCCCGUGGUAGCAUUGAUCUAAACUCGGUAAUCUAAGGGCUUAACAAAACUAACCAAAACACAACACAACACCGUCAGUCAUAUGCUUUGAAAACAUCCAAAUCUACACCUGAGGGACCAUUCAGCUAUAGUUUGCCCCAUUGAACCAGACACUACAGCCACACAACAUAGCCUACGACUUCCCCCAACCCUGAAAUGCCUAAUCAGCCGAAUUCAGAAUACAAAUCUGACUUGCCAAGUUCAAAACCAAUGUACUCAACACUAGAGCUUGUGUCUAUUCGCACCUCAUCACGAUCAAAACUCCCAAUCCGAAUUGAGCCGGAGGAUCACAGCAGAAACCAAUACAUGAACACAAAUUGCAAUUGACGUCUCGCCCCACUUGCUGCAUUCAAGCACUUUAGAACCGUCACUCCCAACCACGACCCGUUCCGCUUCAUAUUCUAUGGGAGAAACGGAUCAAAUAGCGUCAUCGAGGAAACUAUGGCUCAAUUGAACCCAGACAACACUUUUUAGCUUUUCACAGAAGGAAUUAGGUAUACUGCGAUCAAGCAGCGAGAUAGAGAGAUCGACCGCGGAUCUUUGUCGUAUUGCACCAAUUCCGAUCUCGCAGGUUCGUGGAUUUCAUGGCGAUCGAAAGCUACUACGACUUGGGGAAAAGGAAGGAGAGGAAGAUGAACUUACGAAGUUCCCUGUUUUGCCCUCAUCAUCUCCCUCCGUGGGAAGUCAUAUUCGGUGAUUUCGUUGUUUGCGUGAGGACACUGAAGUAAGUUCCGCUAAUAUUUCAAAUAUGGGGUUCUCUCUUUUGGAGCUUCCCUCUUAUGUUUCCACAUUAGCACUUUGACUUGAGCCUAGUUUUUUUUAGGUUGUCUCUCGAGCUUAGUUCUUCAAUUAGUUGGGUCCGAACUAGGGAUUCUGAAAUUCGAACAAAAAAUAAAAAAUAAAAAACAAAUCAGAAUUCUCAAAAACGCACUAAAAUUAAGAUCAAUAUCAUUUAUCUGUUUAAUUUAUAUUUUUUGAGGUAUAUGAAAAAUGCACCCUCCAAUGAGCUUUUUGAGUCAUAUUUUCGAAUUCAAACUUCAAAAGAAUGUAACCGAACUUGAGUGACUUAUGAAUUGAACUUAAUUGCAAAUUAGAAUUUGCUGUUAGGUAUGAAUUCUUGAAUGUUCUCUGAGUACUUAUGUUGAACUGGAUGCGAUAUUUAUUUAUUUUUCCUUUUUAGUUAGAUGCACUUAUAGUCUAUGUAGCACCGACACGCGACACGCUACACGCGACACGACACGACACGACACGCUACACGUCAUUUCUAAAAAAGUAGAGAAUUUCGACACGUUCCGACACGUUAAAUAUUAAAUAAAUAUUUUUAUAUAUAAAUGCAUAAAUAAGUAAAUAAUAAUAAUAAAAAAAGUCUAGAAUUAGUCUAUACUAAAAACAUUAAUCAUACAUUUGUUAAUAUCAUUCAUUUUUUUAAUUUGAGGAAUUCAACUAUAUUUCAUUGUAAUAAACCAUAAAACUUGAAGGAAAAAACAAGUAAUCCACGUUCCACUAUUAAAUUUAAAAUUUAACAAUAAGCAAAUAAACAAUCAACAUUCCAUCAAGUAAUAUAACAAAAAGUCAUUCAUCCACAUUAUCCACUUCUUCUGCAAAAAAAACAGACUCCAUCUCCGGCUCAUCAAGUGAAAGAUUUGCAACUUCAAGCACUCCUACAUCUUCAAACGAGUCAAAUGCAUCUCCACCAAUAUCCCACAUCUUAGUCUCUCCUUCCGCAUAGUGUGGGCUUUUUCUUGAUAGAAGACGGAGAUUGCUAUGAAUAAAAACCAAAUCUUCUGCACGUUUUGGGGUCAUCUUAUUUCUUCUUGCCGAGUGCACAAAUGAGUAAGUACCCCAAUUUCUCUCAGCACAUGAUGAAGAAGAAGGUUGUGCAAGAAGCUUUAAGGCUAUACUUUGAAGCAUCGGUGCACAUGCACCAUGAUUGACCCACCAAGCUUUAGGAUCCAUUGAAUAUCGAUUUUGAAUGGAAUCCAAUUCUCUAAAAUCUCCAUUUUUACUUGCAAAAUCUACGUAUUCCAAAUUCACCUUGUUGCGCUCAUCCAAGUUAGGAAAGUAUUUCUUGAAGCAUUUCAGUCUUUCUUGGUUGAUCUCCUUAUUCUUGUACGGAGAAAUUCGAGUAGAAUCUUCAUCAAGCCAUUGAUCACUAUAGUACCUGUUAUUUAAUAAAAUGAAAUAAAAUUAGAAAACAAUAAUAAAUGAGAGGAGUAUUAUAUUAUCAUGUUAAAGAAAGAAUAACUACUAAAAUAAUAAUCUCAUACAAUUUUAGAACUUACCUAGGAUUUAAGGCAUGUGCCAAGCAAUGAAGUGGAGUAUUGUUCUUUGUCCAACGAUCUACAAGAAUUGUGUGAAUCACCUCAUAAAAUGUGGACUUCUCAUCUAGCCUCUUCACUUCAUGUGCAUAUAUAACUUUCUUCACUUUUUCGAUCAUCGAACCCCACAUAUCAUAAACUAAGUGAAGACAAGGCUUAUCGGUGUCACAAACUCUAAGCAUAUCAUAAAUAGGAGCUGUGAAGGAAAGUAUAUAAUCAAUCAAAUCCCACCAAAAAUCAUCCAACACCUUCUCCUUGACAAGCUUAGCUUUCUCUUGAUUAACAUCUCAAUAGAUAUUCCAUUUGUCACAAAUCACCAUGUUUUGAAGACCACUUUUUAUCAACUUGAAUCUCUUGAGCAUCACAAUCAUCGAAGCAAAACGUGUAUCCGCUACAGAAAGCAACUUCAAGCUAACAAACUCAUUGUAUAUUGCUAAUCUCAUAGAAUGGUUUAUGAUGAAAUGUUUGAUUUGCAUAACUUCCUUAACAAUAUCUGAAAUCCAACUACAUUCAUCAUAAACUAUUUGAUUGCUCUCCAUAUUUUUUGCAGCACAAAUAUUCUUCAAAGCUAGAUUAAGGGUGUGCACCACACAAGGUGUCCACAUAAUGGAUGGAAAUUCUUGUUCAAUGAGUUGUCCCGCACCCUUACAAUUUGAAGCAUUAUCCGUAAUUACUUGGACCACAUUCUCAUGCCCAAUUUCAUUGAUAACUCCUUUCAACAAGUUAAAAAUGAAAUGCAUAUCUUUUGUUUCUCCCGAGCAAUCAACCGAUUUUAUAAACAUUGGUUCUCCAUCCGAUACCGCCAUGAAAUUAAUAAGCGGUCUUCUAUGUGAGUCGAUCCAUCCAUCACUCACAAUACUUACACCCUUCUCCUUCCACAUGAUUUUGAUAGGUGUACACAACCUAUCAAUAUUUACCUUCUCCCUUUGCAACAAAGUGGUCCUCAACAAAUUAUAUUUCGGCGGUACAUAACCCGCAAUAUUAUGAUUAGCAGCAUAAGUGAAAGCGGAUUGAAAAUAAGGAUUCCUUGCUAGGUUAAACGGCAAGUCCGCCGAAUAAAACAUCCUAGCAAUCUCACAAUCUAGACGAUCCCGUUGAGUCAUAUUAAAUGCAUUUUCAAGUGAUUUUCCACUCCCACUUUCGCCUUUCCUUUUUUUGGAGUUCAAUGAUAAAUCCAUUCCGUCACCACCACCACCACCACUAAGUGAAUAACUAGCAGGAGGCAAAGGUACAUUUCUAGGUGCAAUACUCAUUAAUUUAGUAUUGACCUCUUCAUCUAAUCUUUCCAUCUCCAAAAGAUCUUUUUUUUCUACUUUUGUGCACUUUCCAAUUCCUUUUCCACUUAUCAUCAUCAAAUGGCACCUCACUCUUGUAUAUGAACUCUUAAAAUCUUUUUCACAAAAGUUGCAUCUCCAAGACAAAUUUCCCCCCGCAUCAGUAUGAUUAACUAACUUAGUAACAUACCUCCAUAAUGGUUGUUUUACAACUUCAUUGCUAGAGGUAGCUUGUGUGCUUGAAGUACUACUAGCCAUAUUUGAACUUGAAGACAUUCUGCAAAAAAGAAGAAAAAAUAAACAUGUUAUUAUCAAUUGCUAUAUAUCUCGAGUCGGAAACAAGUGAACCAACAUCAAUGCUAGUCAAACACCCAAGAAGAAAGAAAUCAGAACAGAGCACAAUCCAUAUCAUCUUAAAAACCACUAAACCUGUAGUUUCUCACUGUCUACCUCAUGUAGCCCCCUUUUCUAAACCAACAUUCAGAACCUAGAUCAUAGAUUGCACUAAUUGUAUGAAUGGUAAUGCUUUAAUAUCAAUUACAAAUCAGUAAAUAGCCCAAAAAAUAACAGAUUACAAAUUAGUAAAUCACCCAAAAAAUAAAAGAACUCUGUAAAGGGGAGAAACACAUUUGAAUGCUAUAGAAACAAAAGAACAAAAUUCGAAACUAUCCCCUCACAAGACUAUCCUUGUUUAUCAGUAAAAAUUUUGGCAUAUCGAAUAGCAAGCUCACUUAGAUAUGUCGAUUGUUUCUUCCUUUAUGAUAACAAACUCACAAGACUCCAUUACUCUCUUUGGUCUUUGCAUCUAUGUCAUGAACUCAACCAAUGAUUUCAUCAAGUCACGAUACAAUUGAAAACAAUGGCACUCAUAGUAUGCAACAACCCCCAUGAAAAGGUAAGAUGGACUGGGGAAAGCGAGACAUGCUUGGCUACAAAGGAUUCAAAUCGAAGCACACAAAAAAAAGAAAAAAAAAACAAUUCUUUAGAUCCAAUUUCUGAAAAAACUAGAAGGUUUUGCGUGUACGUGUUAGGAAUGGAAUCGCCAUGAUGGUAUGCGAGACCAGCAAAAGAAUUGAAACGUUUUCCCCUGCCUUCCCCUCAGUCAACGAGCAGUCCACCAAACAAAAACACGAGACCAGCAAAAGAAUUGAAACGUUUUCCCCCGCCUUCCCCUCAGUCAACGAGCAGUCCACCAAACAAAAACAACAACAACCCAGGGAGCGAGACCAGCAAAAGAACGACAUAAGAGCGCUGGAGACAGAGAGACGGAAAGAGGGUCCGAAAAAUCCCCCUUUCCCCGAACUAGGAAUUGCCAAAAAAAUCCCAAAUCGCAAGAUGCUAACCUGAGGCGCGGGGGCUACGGCGAGUCGACGACUGGUGGGGUGGGCCGCGCGGCCGGCAAAGCAACACCGGCGAAAGAAUGGCGAAAGAAGAGAACCAAAGUAGUCUGCUCACUGCUCAGGCUCGUUCGCUGCGACUGGAGAAGACAGAGAAGACUGAAUAGAAGAUUGAACUGAAGAACCCGUGCGUGCGAGUGAACAAACGUGAAGAACCCGUGCGUGCGACUGAACUGAAGUGAAGAACCCGUGCACUCCCAAUCGUGAACAAACCGAACGGACAGAGCACCAAAAUCUGAAAAAAAAAAAGAGAACGCGAAGUAUCAAUCAAUGAGCAGUCCACCAAACAAAAACAACAACAACCUAGGGAGCGAAAUCGGCAAAAGAACGGCACAAGAGCGCUGGAGAAAGAGGGUCCGAAAAAUCCCCCUUUCCCCGAACUAGGGUUUGCCAAAAAAAUCCCAAAUUGCAAGAUGCUAACCUGAGGCGCAGGGGCUACGGCGAGUCGACGAUUGGUGGGGUAGGCCGCGCGGUCGGCAAAGCAACACCGGCGAAAGAACGGCAAAAGAAGAGAAUCGGUCACUGCUCAGGCUGGUUCGCUGCGACUGGAGGAGAAGAUAAAGAGAAGGCCUAAGAGAAGAUUGAAGUGGAGAACCGUGCGUGCGAGUGCGACUACAUUUUAACUUUUAUAUUUUUUGUUUUUUUAUAUUUUUUUUCAUAUAUUUAUAUUUAGAGCCCAAAAUUUUUCAAAAUUUAUAAAAAUAACCCCGUGCGUGUCGGAGUCACGUGUUGGAAUUUCCGACUCGCGUGUCGGAGCGUGUCGGAAAUAGUUGACCGCGUGUCGACUUUCCCGACACGCGUUGACUGCGUGUCGGAGCGUGUCGGACACGUGUCGGAGUGUCGGACACGACACGAAGGGUCCCGGAGAGUGUCUGUGCUUCAUAACUUAUAGUAUUUUGAGUCGAGUCAAUUUGUCUAAAAUUUACAAACUAUUUAUAAUGCGAAUGCACUUAGAACUUAUAACCUUGUGGAAACUAAUAGCUUUCUUGAAAAUUGUGGCAUUAUCUUGUUAGGAAUGCGAAUUCUUGAAGAGAGAGAGAGAGAAAAAAAAAAAAAAAAAAGGAGACAAGCGAAACGGUUGAAGUACUUGUGCCAAGAAGACAAGGUUGCCGGUGGAAUGAUCCAAGACAAGGUCAUGAUCUAUUUCCAAGAUGGCUUGAGCAUAGACCCUUGCCAAGAAACGGUUGAAGCACUUGUGCGAAGAAGUCUUUUGUGACAAUGUGCCUAUAGUAGAAGGUAGGGUCACAGACUGCGCAUAUCAACUAUAAAUAACUUAGCUCAGCGUCCACACAUUAUUGAGUUUUAUCAAGUCUGAUGAAAAAGCCAUGGGCCCAAGAUUAGAUUGACGGGCAAACUUGCGAUCACAUUCAUUCAAUAGAAAUCACAGAGUUGUAUUUACAGGGAUAACACAUUCAACUUUGUGCUGUUUACACUCAGAGUGAAUUUGAGUAGAGCUCUUAUGCAUCUGGUGAUGGAUAUGGACAACAGAUCGAUCAAAUGCAUUUCGUGACCGUCAUCACAGAGGUCCCUGAUGAUCUUUGAGAAACCAGGUGCUGACCCAAGAGCAUUUUAAAAGCUGCUCUUGGCAUCGGAGUCUGAAGGCAGCCUCAAUGUAGAAGCAGAAGGAUUCCUAAAAAGCAUAAGAUUUCCUUUGACAUCUUCACCUCCGUAUUCCUUCAAUCAUGCGUCCAUGACAAUUUUGCACAAUCCCCAUGUCUUAGCCAUUAAUCCCACGCCAUAGUAGACUAAAUGGUCCGCAAUGCCAUUACUAAUUAUCAAUCUGCAGAGGUGAACUCUUAUCACAGUUGUCCACAUAUGUUCCUGGUAACAAAGGACUGACAUUCUCUAGAAAAAGCUAGUCUGUCAUGAUUUAUUGCAUAUAUAGCAUAGCAAAUCCACAGACUAAUUGCUUGAACAAGUAGCCACGAAUGAAACUACCUCAUUACCUGCUACAUGAUGGAUCUUCUCCAGAGUUAUCACAAACUUUCUCAACUUGAUAAACCAGACUACCAAAUCCUAUAUUAUACAGCCAUACCUGCGAAGAGGGAACAUUCCAAUUACAUGUGAACACUGACAUAGAAAAGACUAUGAGUACUCACUAGAGAAGCAAGUGGAAUCAAAUCAUUUAUACAUUAUCUCACAUCAAUAUGUUUAUCAGUAGUUGUCAUUGAGCUAGUCGCCAAUAACUAUGACCAUUAGUAGACAUACAAUAAAUAAAAUGCAUAUAAUUGCACAGAGCUUAAACUAGGUUCUCAACCAUCAGGAAAGAGAGAGAGAAAGUAUAUAGCAAACAUUAUUACGCGUCUUAAGCUUCAGAAUCAGUAUGAAAAACCUCAUGAUGGCUCUUGCAGGAAUAAGAGUUACUCAAUUUUUUCUGAAAAAUUAUGAGCACUACAAACUAGCCAGCUUUGCUAAGAAGAUGAAAAACAAAAGAGUUAUUUUUUAUAUGCUGAAAAAAGAGAGUACGUACAUUGUCAGAAUAAGUGAGACUUGGUAAGACAGGUUGGAAGAUAAGCAAAGCAAACGUCCAAGUCAGUCAGCGACAAUUCGCCAUAAUUUAUAUGAUAUUUCAUCAAGAUCAAAGCCUAACCUCUUUAAGGAAGAGAUGGUAAGUCUUCUGUGGGAACCGAGAAUAGUAUGGAGGCAAAUGAGGCACAAUAUCAUGUCCAUUAGCAAUACGUAUUGUAUUUGGCACACGGUCACCGUAGUAAGAUGCAAACACUGCAUUGCCAAUACGAGGCUGUCCAAAUGUUAAAACGUGAACAUUCCGUGCUUCAUGAUUGACCUGGAAAUGAAGUGUCCCAAGUCAUAUAAGUAGAUUAGGCAAAUAUUGGUCUGGAAAAACAACUUCAGCACACAUAAUUAGACAGCCAAAUAACUUGAAUGCUAACACAUCAAUGGCCCUGUCAAGAUGGGCGAAAAAAAGUAAAAAACAAUGUGCAUCAAAAGCCAUAUGUCACAUUUCGCAUACAAUGGUGAACAAUAGAGCAGCCCUUUCUCUCCAUGAGGUUUGAAGGUCUAGCGUUACUCUGUCAUGUUCCCAUCCACAAUUUUCCCAACACCAAACCCCACACCCAUAAUAAAACCAACCCCACCCUCAGCUUCAAGAAAAGAUGUUAACAAUAUGAAAUAGUGGGAUUGGGGUUGUUAGGAAAAUCCUUAUGAUGUUAAAUAAAUCAAAGGCUACUAACGUGUUUAAUUGUUGAGUAACAGAUUAUGCAGAUGAUAUAAUAUGUAAAGGUUUUGUCCAGAAUCUAUUAUGAAGAUUUUCAGACUUCUAUGUCAAAGUCCGAAGACUGCCAGACUUUAGUGUCAAAGUCUGUUCUACAUAAGAAGUCUGCUUACUCCGACAAAUUCCAUACUAAACAUGAAUGAAGAACCAGAAGACAGAUUCUAUGCUGAAGCUGAACUUAUUCGGACUAUAUCAAGAUCUUAAAGCUAAAUCUAUUCAGAAACAGAAUAUGCUCAAACUCAGAUUGUAAAGUCUAUUGCUCUCAAACUUUACAUCUAGAACGAGACAGAACGUAACACAAGCCCCAAUCAUAUAACGACUAGUGAUCUGGUUUGAAUUCUAUAUCAAGAUUGAUUUGAUUGACUCAAUCUAAUUGGUUGACAAUUAGAUCUUGAAGACAAGAACUUUCUAUACGAAGAAGCUCUACUUAUGGAAACCAAGAUUCUGUUUGUAUGGGCAAUCGAAAUCAUUUUGGGAUUCUACUUUUAUCACUCAACGGCUACCAAAUCUUCUAGAUACAGAUCUGUCCAAUAGGUAGAUUGGAAGAUGAUCCUCAAGAUACUGUCCAACGGUUAGUUUGGAAGUGGAGGAGUAUUUAAGGAGAUGAAUGACCAAUGAGCAAGUAAGAGACGGAGCGUAGAAUUUAUAAUUCCAAAGUCUGAGCGACCUUCGAUCAUACACUUAUCUUUGGUAAGCUUAAAUGUUUGUGAUCACGAGAAAAAUACCAAAAGAGUGACUUAGCGAGAUAGUGUGAUCUACUACUAAGUGUUUGCACUCAAAGUUGUAAUCUCUUGUUGAUUGCUUAGUGGAAUCCAGCGAGGAAGCUGUUAGCGUGAGAGAGUGGACGUAAGCUUGAUCUAAGCCAAACCGCUAUAAACUCCGUGUUCUUAUUCUCUUCUUGAACUCCUUUAUUUUGUUCGUAGUUCUAUUUAACUACUAAAGUCUGAUCUCGCUCAAAGUCUGCUGUUAAUCAAACUCAGUUUCAAAAGUCUGUUGUUAUUCAGACUCAGGUUAAAAGUAAAGGUUUUCACCACUUUUUGCAUAAUAUGUUUUUACACCUAUUCACCCCCUCUAGGUGUUCAUACUAGCACUUUCAGGGGUGAAUUCACAAUCAAGGCGUGUUUACAUGUUGCCACAAGAGGCAAUUGGUUGUUGGUGGCGUGAGUCACAUCCUGCUAAUGGCAUAAAAAAAAAAAAAUCCAGGUCCAUGGUGAAAAUGCCCCUUGAACUCCAAAACUUACUAUCAUAAAUAACAAAGGAGAAACUAAAUCAAAAAAAGGGCCACAACGCAUGGGCAUGAUGUCAUAAUUGGCUAAGAACAGUUUUCAGCAAGAAACCAAAAAACAAAAGUAAAAUUUUAAAAUCAUUUGUGUUAAGACAAGAUGUUAUGCUUGCUACUAGUACUUUGAGAAAAAGUAUAGUCUAAAGUUUAUGCAACCUAUGAUCCUAUCAUAGGCCACAGGAAUGUUUGACUCUAAAAAAUGACCUUUUAUCAUGGAGAGAGAACAAUGGGACGUGACUUUGGGGGUACCAUUUCUUGUACCAAUUCCAUAACAGGUGCCUAGAAAAGUACAUUGGACCACUCUGUUAAACAAAGCUAAGACCAAAAGCACAAUUUUAAACAUCUUAGAACUAGCUCUAGCCUACAACAUAUCUGGCCCAGUAGUCCAACUGAAGAGGAGCUACUUCAUUUGAUUAGGGAGAGACAGACAUUAAUAGCACACAAAACACAAUCCCAUGAAGUUUCCAGCAAAUGAACUUUGUAAUGAAUAGUUGGAUGUCUUUACCCACUACAUUUAAGUAUUCAACCAACUCGAAGCUCCAAAGCUUAACAUUUACGACUCAAUUCACAUAACUAGAUACUUCGAUAAUUGGUGGUUCACAUAAAGACUGUGUGCACCCCAUUCUACUAGUGUUUUGUCUAUCGGUUGAUCUAAUGAAAACAUAAGAAAACAAUAUGUUAUGUAUGACCAAUUGUAAAUACAAAUAUGAGAGACAUAGAAAGUUCAAGAUCCACAUAAAGCGUCUAGACACUUCGAGGUAGAGUUGGCAGAGAAUUCUAGAUAAAUCUUAAUAGACCAAAAUUGAACAGUUGAAAGAACACGAUAGAAAAGAAACCAAUAAAAUUCACAAGUCCCAGGCAUAACAUGUUUUCAAUUUAUCUUACCACAAGAUCGAGUCCACAAAGGAUGCCAUAGCCCCUCCCAUAGAAUGCCCUGUCACCAUGACGUUGAUGUCUAUUGAUGGUUUUAUGUGAUGGGCUUAAGGCCCGACCGCCCAUGUUGGGCCUAAAAGCCCGGCCCACAGGAUUAGGGCCCAUGAAUGAAGGGGUAUGUUUCUAUUUUGGAGAGAACGCACCCUUUGGCAUAACGUACGUACGUUCCUCUCCCUCUCCCCCCCAAAAGAAAAGCUAAGGCAAAAAGGCGAUGCCGUCUUCCUUUCAAGGCCAAUCGACGUUAUUGGAUCGAACGAGAUCGGUUUUCUCUUCCUCUUAUCGGCAUUGGUGUUUAAUCUGUGGCUAACAAGGUACGCUCGAUUUCAUGAUGUGCUUUAGGAUCGGUGAUACAUGUUUUUCCCGGGCUUGUCUUCCGCAUUCGUUUAAUCGAUUUGUUGGAGAAAUCUUCUUGAAGUGUUUUGAAGCUGACAAAACGUUUCCAUUAGUCUAGUCUGAAGGUUUGCAGACUCAGCUACUUAAAGUCUGAAGACCUCUGGAUAGCCAGACUCAAGACUCAAAGUCUAUCCUCAUUGAUAGUCUCUAAUCCGUUGAAGAAAUGUUAUCUAGAACUGGAUGUUUCGUUAAUGAUUCAACCUUAUCAACUGGAGAAGAUCUCGUGGCUGGAAAAGACUUAACGGAAUCCUUUGAUUGAUCGAGAUUGAUUCGAUGAUUGAAGAUUUGAUAAUUGUCUAAAUAUUCUUGGAAGGUUUUACUUAUGGAAACCGAGAUCCUGAUUAUAUGGGUGAACAUGAUUGAUGGGCUAUCGACAUGUUCCUUUAAUAGCUCGAACAAUCUUCCUAAUUGAUUCCGUCCAACGAGUAGAUUGGAGGAAUUCCUUUGAUAAGUGCCAACGGGUAUGAUGGCAUAAAAGAGUAUAUAAGGAAGAUGUUCUAAGUUGUUCAUGGUGUGCGCGAUAGAAGAAUUUCAAAGUCUGAAGCUCCUUAUUGUUUAGACAAUUACUUUGAGCGAUAAACAUUGUAUUCAAAAGAGAGUCUAUAUUUGUGAGAAACCUUGAGGAGAUGUGGUAGAACAUCUACACUGUGGAAUCAAGGAAAAGCUGUGUUGUAAUUACUCUUUUGAUCAUAGUGAAAUCCAGCCAGUGGGCUGUCAGUGCGGAAGAGUGGAUGUAGGCUUGGAAUAAGCCGAACCACUAUAAACCCUGUGUUCAAUUCUCUCUUCCUUACUCUCUUUACUUUGAUCGUACUUCAUUUUCGUUAAUCAAUAGUGAACUUCCUUUCUAUCGUUUGCCAAGAAUUGCUUCCGUAUUUCGAUAAAUUGUUUAUGCACCUAUUCACCCCCCCUCUAGGUGCUUAUACUAGCUAUCUCACGAUUUAAUGUCGAAUCCGAUUUUUGGGAAUCUGACAAUCCUAAUAUUGGUAUCAGAGUCCUAGUUCAUGUUUUCCUGACCCCUUUGAUGUUUUUUGAUUGAUUUUUCGCGAAGGCCGACACGGAUCGGGGCGAAAAAUCUCGACAUUGGAGCACUGUUUAUCCACUUUUUCGAGUUUUUAUAAGUCAAAAUCGAUUUCUGAAGGCAUAAGGUGAAAUAGCUCGUCGAGAUGAGUCCGUCAAUGUGUCGUGCGCCGCCGGGCGACGCCGGACGCGCCCACACGCGCGGCUAGAAGCUGCUGUGUGUGGGCGCGACGCGCCCGAAGUGCUGACUCGGCCAGCGCGUGCGCCACACGCGCUGGUCGGUGAACCGGCACGCGUCGGUUGGCGAACCGACGCGUGAUGACGUCACCAUGAUGUCACCCAACGGUCAGUAACCGUUGGGAUGACGUCAUCGAUGACGUCAUCGCCGGCGACAGUUGGCCGGCCGGCGACCCGACUUGACUCGAGAUCUGACCGGUCACUCGCGCGUGCGAGGCACGUGCCGGGUCGGUUUGUCCGACCCGGCCCGACCCGCUGCCCGUUGACCGUUGACCGACGACUAUCGACCGUUGACCGUCGACCGUUGACCUGAAGAAAAAAAAAAUCUGUUUCUUUUUCAAUUAUGUCUAUGUGGGUUAUAAAUAAUCCAUUGUUAAUUCUACAUUUGUUGCAUAAAUCAUGAAAAAUUAUAUAUUUUCCCUUAUGUACAUUAUGGAUUAUAAGUGAUCCAUUUUUAGUUCUGCAUUUGUUGUAGGAACUAUGAUGCGUUAUGCACGGAUACUUGCAAUCCCGAAAACGGACAAGGGAAGUGCAAGACUUAAAAGGCUAAUGACAGAGUUAGUUAAUUAUCGAUGGCAUGACAGUAAUUUAGUAUCACAUGUGGUCAGAGUCAAUCAAAUGAUACAGAAAAUCAUCUGGAAUGGUUAUCUUUUGCCGGAUUUUGAGAAGGUGCCGGCUUUGAUGAAUACUGUUCCACCUGAAUGGCAAGCAGUAUUAGAUCGGCUAUGGGAGGUCAACGUGGUCCCAGGUUAUAGGAGGCUAGUGGUAGCUUUUGUUAGAGAGUAUUAUAUGAUUGAGUUGACCAAAACUUCGACCAUUAGAUUGAGCACCACAUGGCGCAGAGAGAAUGCGCCUUGGAGGCGACAUGAAAGCUCUCCAAAGGUUUUCCAUGAUUGGCAAAUAUGCCUUCAAAUUUCUCAGAUAUUUUGACUGAUAGAUUAGAAGGGACAUUCCUUAUUUAUUUCUUAGAUUAGUUUGAGAUGUUUUUAGGUGUGAAUAUCUUUUUCUAUGUUGAUAUUUCUUUAUAUAUAUUGCUUAGUGUAAUGGAUAGUUGUAUUAUUUGAAAGCAUUAUCAUUAUAUUGGAUGUCAAAUAUUAUUUGCUUUCUAUUGUUGUUGACUGAUGCGGGUAGUUCAUAGAAGUUUUUGUAACUUCAUAGAAUUUAUUUUGCAUAAGACAAUUAUAUUAAUAAUAAUUUUAAGUUAUGAUUUUUGGAGGAUGAUUGGAAACAUAAUGACAUUUUGAUUCUGAAACCUUACUUGAAAUUGUUCAUUGAUAUGAUGGGUCUGUGCAAAAUGGAUGCAUAAAUUAUAGGUAUUAAUUAUUCGUGCAUAUAUUUAUCUGAUGUGUUCAGAUCAAUGGUUUCAACAACUAAGAAGGUAAUUGUUGAUAUGAACGGCAACGAUUGUGAAAUAUUGAAUAUGAAUAUUCAAUAUGUGCUGGAAAAACAAGAAGCACUAGAAGCUCUUGACCAUAUUAUGGAAGAUCUUGAGAAUGCCAUGCGUCAUCUUGAGCUAGCAGAGGACCGCCUAACGGCAUUUGAGCCGAAAAUAGAUAUUUGCAAUGCUAAUUCUAGCUCAGAAAGGGCUUUGAGCUCUAAGCGCAAGCAUAUUAAUUCGUUCAAUAUGUGGGAAUGCAAAUGAUCAAGUCCUUAUUGCAAGAAAUCAAGAGUUAACCAACACAAGAGAGGAAAACGUCCUCAAGUGAAGAAAAUGUCAAGGGUGAGAUGUUACAAUUGUGACAAGAAAGGUCACUAUGCUCGUAACUAUUGUGAGCCGAAAAAGGUAAACACCUCUUGUACAUUUGAUAACUUUGCUUAUGUGUUAAGUUCUGUAUUAUUGGCUGAAUCCGAUCCUUUGUGGACUAUAGAUUUAGGAACGACAGACCAUGUAGCGAAGGAUAAAGAAUCCUUUGUGGAAUUCCGACUAUUCCAACUGGAACUAAGUGGAUCUAUGUGGGAAAUAACUCUAAAGCUGAAGUUAAAGGGAUUGGCACCUGCCAAUUGAACAUGCGUGGUGGACGCACCUUGUUCCUACAUGAUGUUCUAUAUGCUCCGGAGAUUCGUCGAAAUUUAGUGUCUGUUUUGGUGUUGGUUAAGCUUGGUUUUAGUGUGAACUUCCAUAAUAAUGGUGUAGAUUUGUAUUUAGAUACAAACUACUAUUGUUAUGGUCACUUUUUGGAUGGUUUUAUUGUACUAAAUGUUGACUGUGGUGAUGUCAAUAUUUGUUAUCCCAUUGUUUCACGUCUUCUACUUCAUAUGAUAAUGAUGUGAAUAUGUGGCAUGCUAGACUUGGUCAUAUUGGCCAACAACGUAUGAAUAGACUAGCCAAAGAGGGCUUGUUGAGCAACAUUGAAAAAGUCGAUUUGUCCAGAUGUGAGCAUUGCCUAGUAGGGAAAACGACAAGGAAACCAUUUGGAAAAGAUAAAAGAGCUGAAUUUCCUCUGCAUUUAAUCCAUUCUGACGUUUGUGGUUCAAUGAAUGUGAUAGGAAGGGAUGGGGUUGUUUAUUUCAUCACUUUUAUAGAUGAUUAUACUCGAUUCGGAAAUGUCUAUUUGAUUUAUCAUAAAUCUGAAACAUUAAGUUGUUUUAAAAGGUUUAUGAACUUGGAAGGAAAUCAAUUAGACAAGAAAAUAAAAGUAUUAAGAUCCGAUCGAGGUCGAGAAUAUUUAUCUGAUGAGUUUAGAAAAUUAUGUGAUGAAAAGGGAAUAGAAAGACAGUUGUCUAUUCCAUAUACUCCUCAACAAAAUGGUGUUGUAGAGAGAAGAAACAGAACCCUAAUGAAAAUGGUUAGGUUCAUGAUGGCGCAUGCUAACUUACCUAUCACUCUUUGGAGUGAUGCGUUGUUAACUGUUGCCUAUAUAUUUAACCGGGUGCCUUCUAAAUCAAUUACUUCAACUCCAUAUGAGUUAAGGACAGGUAGAAAAUCGAACUUAAGUUUUCUUAAGCCAUAGGGUUAUGUUGCCUAUAUUCAUGAGUCCUCUCACAAGUUUGGGAAAUUGAGUCCUAGAGGAAAGAAGAUUAUUUUCAUAAGAUGCUCUGAACACUCGAAAGGGUAUGUGUUCAUAGGUGAGCAGAAAAGUGAGAGUAUAACUGAAUUUGAAUCACGGGAUGUCACAUUCUUAGAGGAUGAAUUUCCUAAGAAGGGUGAAAUAGGGGAAGAUUACUUCCUAUUUAUAAUCUUGGAUCAAAAUAAUGAUAUUAGUGGAGUUUGUCCAAGUGGGAGUAAUAUGAGAAGUGAUGAAUUGAAUUCAACUCAUUCUCAAUUGCAACCACAUGAUGAGACGACGUCAUCAUUAUCUAAUCCUAGUGGGAGCAUAAUGAGGAAUGAUGUAUUAAGUGUACAAUCUCCCAUAAGGCGAACAAGUCGCCAAAGUAUUCCCCGUCGACGUUUUGAUAUUGAAGGAGAAACUUUAAUGAUUGCUCCGCAAGAUAAGGAUAAGCCAAGAAAUAUUAAUGAGGCUCUGAAUUGCCCUAGUAAGGAAAAAUGGAUUCAUACAAUGGAAGAGGAAAUGGAGUCAAUGAAAUCAAACCAAGUCUGGGAACUGGUUGAUCUUCCAAAAGGACACAAAGCUAUUGGGAACAAGUGGGUUCUCAAAAUAAAGCGAAAAGCUGAUGGCUCGAUAGAAAGAGAUAAGACUCGCCUUGUGGCAAAGGGAUAUAAUCAACAGGAAGGAAUUGAUUAUGAAUAAACAUUUUCUCCUGUAGUGAGAUUUACCUCGAUUCGCAUUGUUCUAGCAAUAGUGGCUAGUAUGGAUCUUGAGUUACAUCAAAUGGAUGUAAAGACUGUUUUCCUCAAUGGAGAAUUAUAGGAAGAAAUAUAUAUGAAACAACCUACUGGUUUCAUUAAAGAAAGCCAAGAAGGAAAGGUAUGUUGACUUUUGAUAUCGAUAUACGGCCUUAAGCAGUCAUCGAGAUAAUGAUAUAUACGUUUUCAUAAUGCCAUAAUGGCAUAUGACUUUACAAUGAUAGAUGAUGAUCAUUGUGUAUAUAUCAAAAGAUCCAAUGAUCAAUUUGUGAUCAUAUCAAUAUAUGUUGAUAAUAUACUAAUUGCCGGAAGCAAUAUGGAGUUUGUUAAUACUGUCAAUAGUUGGUUAUCUUCCAACUUUGAGAUGAAGAAUAUGGGUGAGGCUGCAUAUGUUCUUGGAGUUAAGAUUUCAAGAGAUCGUUCGAAGAGAUCGUUAUCUCUUUCGCAAAAAACAGAUAUAAAUAAGGUUCUUGAAUGAUUUAGUAUGCAAGAUUGACACUCCUAUUGCAAAAGGUGAAUGAUUGAGCCAUAAACUGUGUCCAAAGACUCCACAAGAGAAUGAACAAAUGAAACAUGUUCCUUAUGCUAGUGCUGUUGGAAGCUUGAUAUACGCUAUGAUCUGUACAAGACUUAACAUAUGUUUUGCAGUUGGAAUGCUGAGUAGAUACCAAUCCAAUCACGGUCAAGCACGUUGGAAAGCCAUUAAGAGAAUACUGAGGUAUCUAAAAGGGACUGCUGAUUAUACGCUGAGUUAUUAAGGAAAAUAUCUGCAACUCAAAGGCUAUUCUGAUGCUGAUUGGGGAGGAGAUUUAGAUGAAAGAAAAUCUACCUCUGGGUUUGUUUUCUUACCGAAUAAUAAUUGCGCCAUAUGUUGGAGUAGUAAGAAAUAAACAUGUAUAGCCUUGUCUACGAUGGAAGUUGAGUUCGUGGCAUUAUCAGCAGCAGUAGUAAGAAGAUGUUUGGUUUAAGAGAUUUUUGGAUCAUUUAGGUGUUAUUGAGAAAGCUGCAAAUCCAUUGUUGGUUAACUGUGAUAGCCAAGCGGCAAAAGUGUACACCAAAGAUCCAAAAUAUCAUGACAAGACCAAACAUAUAGAUAUCAAGUAUAAUAUUGUCAAAAAUAUGAUUGCACGAAAAGAUGUGAACUUACAGUACAUAUUACGCAUAGAAUGGUAGCAGAUCCUAUAACAUAACCAAUAUCUAGAGAUGUGUUUUGUGGCCAUAUGAAAUCUCUAGGAUUGCGUAGAGGCUGAUGUACUGAAUAUUGCAAUUUCCAUAAGUGUUCACAUUUGAUGAAUUUGUGUUUUUUCAUCAUUAAUACCUAUGAUUCUUUGUUUAAUCUUUAUGCAUCUUAAUGCUCAGUGCAUUACUUUAAGUUGAGAAAGUAUGUCGGACAGAUAUAAGAUUGGCCCACUCACACGGGUAAUCGCCUCUAUUUACUGUGUGAUAAAUAGAGAUGAGACUGUUUUUAAGCUUAUUAUCUAGGUGAUAAUCGAGAGCUCAAGCUUAAAAUAUGUAUGUCGCCUUAACUGAGUGUUAAGAUGAGGACAUAAUAUUUACUGUGUCCAAAAGUAAAAUAACCCACAUAUUUUACUUUAUCUGUCUAUGAUGCCAGAUGUGAGUUCUGAUGAAUUUUGUAAAUGAGUAGAUACAUGAAUUUAAGUUAGACAUUGGGUAUGUCUGAACUAUCAUCUGUACGGUAUUUAAGGUGUAGACAUAUGCUCUAUGGGAAAUGAGUUAAUACCAUAAUACGUAUUUCAUACUACGUAUGCAUGAGACGACCAAUAAGAGUGGCAAAAGUUUGAUCUCAACUUUUAUGUCUUGUGAGACUCUUAAGGAAAAGAGUUCCUCAAUUUUUUAGUCCCCUCAUGACUUUUACUUAUUCUCAAGAUUUCUAUUUAGUGUUUGUUGUCUUAAGAUGUUGCCAAUGGUCAUGAGUUGAUUCGAUCUAAUGGGACAUUUCUAGAAAAGCAAACUGAAUUGAAAUUGAGAGUUUGAAGGAAAGAGAAAGAUCGAAUUUGGAGAAUCACAUUAUAGUUUUGUAUUCACUAGUUAACCAAUUAUGACUGUUUUUGGGAUAAUAUAUAUAUAUAUACCAUAAAGGGGUUAGGAUCGGAGUACUAUAUGAGAGAACAAGAAUGUAUAGAGAUUAACAGAACUAUAUGAAAGCAGGGAAGAAUGUAUAAGAACAAGAAGGUAAAUGACUUAAAUAAAAUCGCGAGAAUUAAAGAUAAUGUAAAGACUGAAAGCAAUAUAUAUAAUAUAAAGUAAGAGUAUGCAUAAACAAAAACCAACCAUGAAGGUGGUAUGAACUUGUAUAUAAAGCUGAAAAGCUGAAAUUACAUGUAUUGAAAGAUGCAGAAACUAAAGCAUCAAGUCAUCCACUAGGGCGGUAAUCCGCACUCCAGGGAGUAUUGAUGUUUGUAUUACAAGAAAUGGUUAACCAACUAUCAUGUAAGUUGGUAACCCUGUAUAAAACGAUGUAUAUGAAAACUAACUUACUUUGAAACCAGGGGAUACAAGGUAAGAGAGGUUGGAGAUGGAAGAGAGGAUGGUUUACAAGUGAGAGGGAGAGUGAAGAAGAGAGAAAUCUGGAAAAUUUCGAGGUCCCCUCUUCUAUGUCGAGUGGGUGUAUUUAUAGAGGGUGCUACAGUGAAAGUGCUACAGUGCUGAACAGUGUAAAGUGAACAGUGUAAAGUGAAUAGUGAACAGUGAACAGUGAACAGUGUACGAACAGUGUAUGUCUACUAUGCUCCGGUGUGUAGCCUUUGCGCCGUUUGUAAUAGUAUUUGCAUGUGAUGUCUUUUAAUCUCUAUCCAGAUUGAUCCCGUAGCAGUCGUCUUCAUUAGUGUUUCCACUGUGAUAUGAUUGGGAGGAUCCGUCUUGACUGUUUUGAGAUUUGGAAGAUCCACAUUGUGAUUCUUCUGCUUCUGAGAGCAUCGUCCUGAGGAUGUUGCAGUAUUCCUCUCUGUUUUGGACUGCUGCAAGUGCUGCACUUGCCAUGGAUUUUUCCUGUAAAAACGAUGUAUUUGAUGGGGAUGCGAUUAUUUGGGUUUUCUGGCUAUUUAGCCAUGUUUUAACCGCAGCUUCGGAUCCUUGAUCAAGAAAUCUGAAUCGAUCUCACCAUUUUGUUUGUAUUUUCGGACAAGUACUGGUACACCCGGUUUAUUGGAUGUAUUGUAUUCAAAUUCCCAUGCUGUUACCCAAGAGAUUCUGAAUAUGAUGAAGAAAUGCAUAAGGCAUGGGAACCUUAUAUCAUGAGGUAUUGGUAUGAAGCGUUCACUGAAAAUCUUGUAUCCCUGUUUGACUGUGGGAUGUAAUAUUAUGUCCAAAUGACCAAAGAGAUCCCACCAGGAGUCAAACCAGUUUGGUAGGCUUUGUCUUAGGAAGUUGUCUUUGAAGAAUAAUAACCAGGAGUGUUGGAAAUUUGUAUUCUGUCUGAAAAAGACGUUCCACCAAGCUUGUUGGUAGUCCCAGUAUGUAUAUGAGGAGGAGUAUGGCAGGCUUUGGGUAAGUCUGGUUUGGAAUUUUCUGAGUGUAUGGGGUGAGGCUCCCCAGUGUGAGGGGUGUAUGACUUUACUGAUGGAUAUAGUGGAAUAAAGGAUAUUUUCUGUAUUGUUUUUAUCAGUAAAGUGAGUGAACCUUGCCGAUUCUGUUUCCACUAAAAUUUGCUCAUAAUAAGCAAGGGUUUUGUUUGUAUUGUGAGGUUUGAAAAGCCAAUUUUUUGGAAAUAUGGUUUUUGCAAAUUUGAUUGGAUCUUUAUCAAAUAAUCCAUCUUCCACAGUAAAUAUUUUUUGAAAAGAUGUUUUGGGAAAAAUUUUUGAUCUUUGAGAAGGAGGGGUUGCCUGGGGCUUUAUAACCACCUCAUUCGAAAUUCUUUUGUAUUCCGCUUGUUUUUGUGUAGCAAGCGGGGAAGAAUUGUUACUUACCUCUAUGGCACUGGAUGGCUCUUUCUUUACGUUUUGUAAAAACUGGGCAAGUAACAAUAUUGUUUCUUUUGGUAGUAUGUUGGCUAACUGAUUAAAGGUCCAGACUAGAAUUAGAUUUCUUGGUCAUUACAUCCAUUUAGGUACUAUAACCCCUUUAUGGUAUCAGAGCCAGUAGGAAAGUAUAGAUAGUCUUUGUAAGAACAUACACUUAGAUAGAGAGCCAUUCGUUGGCAUCCUUCUUGUUUCUACAGAGUGGUCCAGGCCGUAAGUCCCUGAGUGGCUAUUAGACCGUUGGUUUAGCUUUGUAACGGUUCUGGAGAAGGAAUAGUUCCGGUCUAAGUAUGAGCUUACUUAGAAGAUCUACAUCUUCCUCUAGUUCUCUAUCACAAAUGGACUCAGAUCCAAGUCCUAUACAUAGAGAAGAAGUACGGAUAGAAGAUUUCAACAAAUCUAUAGAAAAUUGGGAAAUUCCUAAAAUACAACUUAAGGAAAUAUACAAGCAAUCAAAGUUGAAGUUUUUCAAAAAAUCAGACUAUGUCAUAUCUACCGAAGAAAGAGAUGUUCCUCUUUCUAAUUCCUAUGAAAAAAUACAUCUUUUGAAUAAAGAGUCCAUCCAAAAGCACAAACAAAAAUACAAUUACAUUCAUAUAGGACUAGUCCAAGUAGGAGUCAAACCUCUUACAAAAGAAGGCCUUAAUACUUCUAUUCUCUUAGUUUUAAGAGAUUCACGUCUUCUAAACUACGAUGAAUCCAUUCUUGGUACUGUAGAGACAAGUCUCUGCAAAGGACCCAUACAUUUUGACUGUUACCCCAAUUUUUCUGUAUCUCUCAAAGAUAAGAACAUUCUUAGAGCCCUAACACUCCAAAUCAAAACCCAUAAUUACAAAGUGGCAGAUGGUUCUAUUCCUUUAGCCCUUGUUUAUAGAAUUCAUUAUAAAGCCAUGUCCUCCGCCUUUGGAGAAAAUGCUUUCAAACAUAGUCCUCGAGGAGAAACGCUUCUCCUCCAAACUGACAUUUCUAGAGCUAAUACAACUAUUCCUAGAUCUAUUAAUUGGAACCAAGUUACUUUACCAGAACAAUGGGAAUUAGAAAACCAAAUUCCCCAACAAGUUGUUCAAAAUACAGAUCCGACUAAUGUCAUUCAACAUCCAGAAGGAAGAGUGACCAUUAUAUUUCCUAGAAGAUUUUUCGAUUCAAGAUCUAGUCCUUCUUUUCAUAAUUCUUAUACGAGGUCCAUAGAUCUUAAUCCUAAUCUUCCUCCUAUAAUCACCAUUCCCCCCAGUACGCACAGGAACACUCCUCCUCCUAGUAUACAUAGAGAAACUCCCACACAUGAUACAACACCUUUACCUCCUUCCACCAGUAGAAGUAAUCAAGAGACACCUCCUGAACCAGAAAUUAGCGGUUUAGAUAAUAGAUCAGGGAUUUCUAGGCCAGUUUAUCAACAAAACUAGCCUGAACCAGUCCUAGAAAAUACAGAUUCCCCUCGUCAUUCUCCUACUUAUUCUCAAAUGAUAGAUGCUGAGCUUAAUGUUUUAGAAAAACAUUUUGAACCAAACAAAACUUUUCUUAAUAAAGAAUUUAAUUCUGAAGACAACAAACAAAUCAGAGAAUGGUUCUUCAAAACCUUUGCUGACAAAGCAAUAUACAUCAAACAGAAAUAUUACGACUACAUAUACAAAUAUGAAGUCCAUAUAUUCUUCUUUGAUUGGUUAGAAGAACAAUUCAUUGAACCAAAAGAAAUACUUAUUUUAGAUUAUCAUUAUAAGUGGAAACUUGAUAAUGGUGAAACCAUAGAAUCCAAUCAUCCACCACUUAGAAGAAUAAAAAUACAACAUAGAGAAAGUGAGGUUACAGCUACUCCUUUUAGACUUCCAGAUCAAGGAGACUCUCUUUAUACUCAUAAAGUCAUCGAACAAAAUAAUUACACUAAUCAACAUUUAGCGACCAUAGGAAAACAGUUGAAUAGGAUAGAAUCCACUAUUCAGAAUCCAACUCAACUCGUCACACCGCAAGUCGACACUUUCAAAAAACCCAUUUUCAAAGCCUUUGAAUUCCCAAAAAACCUUAGCCCAGAGUUUGCCAAAGCCAUAGAACAAAAGAAAAAACUCCUAGGAAAAACAAAGCUAGAACCUACUCCGAUUAUAGACACCCCUAAAUUCCAGAAUCUUAUUAUUAGAGACACCCCUGACCAACCCACUAUCAGUACAUUGACCAAACAAUCUGGUGACUCUGAUAAUGAAUCAGUCGCUGAGAUUAAUAGACUCAAUUGGAGAUAACCUCAGAAACUUUAUUAUAGUAGGGCUACUCCACCUGACAUCGCCCAAGAAGAAUCAUCAUAGAAAAUACAGAAUAAAUACUCUCCUGAUGCCAUUUAUGAAUGGAAUAUAGAUGGUGUUGCCGAAAGCAAUAUCAUGAUUAUUCUAAAUAACAUGGUCAUGCUUGCCAAUGCUUACAAAACCCAGCAAGAUGUUUCUGAUCAUGCUGUUGCUAAUCUUUUAGUAGCCGGAUUUACUGGACAACUAAAAGGUUGGUGGGAUAAUUAUUUGACUGAUGAACAAAGAAUACAAAUUUUAACUGCCUAUAAAAUAGAUGAUUUUGGCCAACGCAUGGAUGAUGAUCAAGGACAUCUCAUCCAAGAUGCGGUGAAUACUCUUAUCUAUUCCAUUUCACAACACUUCGUAGGAGACCCUUCACAUAUUAGAGAUAGGAAUCAAGACCUCUUAUCCAAUAUGCGUUGCAAAUCCUUAGGAAGGUUUAGGGAAUACAAAGAACUCUUCCUUCAAAGGGUUCUCAUCAGACCUGAUUGCAAUCAACCCUUUUGGAAAGAAAAAUUCUUAGCAGGUUUACCCCAAAUUAUAGGUGAUCAAGUUAGGGAUAAAAUUAGAGAAGAAUACAACGGCCAAAUACCUUAUGAUCUUCUUCCUUAUGGUGAAAUAAUCUCUUAUGUUUACUGUCAAGGAUCACAAAUGUGUAAUAAUAUCAAAUUACAAAGACAGCUCAAGGAAGAACAAUCUCUCACCAAUAGAAGUUUAGGAGAUUUCUGUGCUCAAUACGACCCUUCUUAUAAUGAAAAAACAAAACCAAAAUGUAAGGGAACUUGUCCCUCUGAGAAAGAAACAAAGAAACAUCACAACAAAUCUCAACCUCGUAGGAAUAAACAAAAACACCAGAAUAACCAAAAUAGACCUCAUAAUGAUAGGAAAAAUUUUAAAGACAUCAAAUGUUAUUCUUGUGGUAAAAAAGGUCAUAUUUCAAAAUACUGUAGGAUUAAUAAAAAAUUAAAUGAACUCUCUCUUGAUGACAAUACUCUUAACCAGCUAAAUAACAUAUUCAUAGAAAAUUGUGAUACUUCUUCUGAUGAACUUCUUGAGGAAGAAGGUCUUCAGAUUAAUGAAAUAGAUUCCUCUUCUGAUUCUGAUUAUGAAGCGCCUCUCCUGAAAAACCCGUUCCUAAAAUAAACAUGCUAACAAAAGAAGAAGAAUUUCUCCUUAGCACUGCUGAUAAGAUUACUGACCCCGAAGCCAAGAAAGAAGACUUAGAUAGACUUCAUUCUUCCCUAAAUAUUACUUCCAAGCCCAAUACUUCUUACAAUUUAAAAGACAUCUUGAAUAGAAACAAAAAAUCUCAGUCUAGACCCGUUAAUAUAAAUGACCUCCAAAAUGAAAUAAAACUACAAAAAUUAGAAAUCCAAGCCUUGAAAGCAACACAGUUAGAUAUGAAAAAAGAAAUUUCUGAUAUAAAAUCUUUUGUCAUAAAAGGAAAAACAAAAUUAGAAGACCAAAAUGAAAUCACCAAUACAUCUGACAUUCCAGAUCCAACCUUCCUUAUGUUAUUAACAAAAAUAACAUCUAGAAAAUGGAUAAUAAAUAUUAUGAUAAAAAUCAACAAUGAGUUUAUUAUUGAAACAACAACACUCUUUGAUACAGGAGCUGAUCUCAAUUGUAUCAAAGAAGGACUUGUUCCAACAAUAUACUUUGAUAAAACUUCCGAAUCCCUAAAAUCAGCAUCAGGUGAUAAACUUAAUAUCCAAUGCAAAUUACCAGAAGCCUUAAUAAUAAAAGAUCAAAUGUCUUACAAAACAUCUUUUCUCUUAGUAAAAAAUAUGAGGCAACAGGUAAUUCUUGGAACACCUUUUAUUCAAUUAAUCCAACCUUUUACAGUUACUAAUGAAGGCAUUGAAACUCAUGCUUUAAACAGAAAAAUCACUUUUAAUUUCGUGACAAAACCUCAAAAAAGAAGCCUAAACAUUUUGCAAGAACAUUCUAUUUCUGAAAUAAAUUGUCUCAUAAAAGACAAAGAAAACCAGCUUGAAUUCCUAAAAGAAGAUUUAGAAUUCAAAAGAAUAGAAGAAAAUCUUAUAAAAUCCAACAUGGUAGAAAAAAUAGCCUCCCUACAAAAACACGUAGAGAAAACUAUAUGCUCUACUCUACCCAAUGCCUUUUGGGAAAGGAAGAAGCAUAUCGUUGAUUUACCUUAUGAACAAGAUUUUUCUGAAAUUAAAAUACCUACCAAAGCUCGCUCGACACAGAUGAAUCAAGAAGUUUUGAAAUUCUGUCAAGCGGAAAUACAAGACCUCUUGAAUAAAAAAUCAUAAGAAAAAGCCAAUCACCAUGGAGUUGUUCGGCUUUUUAUGUCAAUAAAAAUGCUGAACUAGAAAGAGGAGUUCCCAGGUUAGUUAUUAAUUAUAAACCUCUUAAUACAACCCUUAGAUGGAUAAGAUAUCCUAUACCCAAUAAAAAAGAUUUACUAAACAGACUUUGUAGAUCAAAAUUAUUUUCAAAAUUUGACAUGAAAUCAGGAUUUUGGCAAAUACAAAUAUGUGAAAAGGAUAAAUACAAAACAGCUUUUACUGUCCCUUUUGGUCAAUAUGAAUGGAAUGUUAUGCCAUUCGGUCUCAAAAAUGCCCCUUCAGAAUUCCAAAGAAUCAUGAAUGAUAUCUUCAAUCCUUAUUCCGAUUACAUCAUUGUUUAUAUAGAUGAUGUUCUAGUUUUUUCCUCUAAUAUAGAACAACAUUUCAAACAUCUUUCUACUUUCAUAAAAAUAAUUAUACAAAAUGGUCUAGUAGUCUCUCCUACUAAGGUUGCAAUAUUCCAUAUAUAUAUAUAUAUAUAUAUAUAUCAUUGUUUGAAAGAGAUCAAGAGAGAUAUAAAUGUGAUCGAUCGAUCUAGGGUACUGCAUACUAAAUCUACUCAGGAUGUGAUGCCCAUUAUGAGCUGCUAUAUAUUCCUAACAAAUGUAUGGCAACGAGCUCUCAAAGUAUGCUGGUCGCAUGGAUUAUUCACCGGUAUGAAUGUUGAAGAGAGGUAAAGAGAAUCAUGUUCGGCCCAGCAUGUGCGAGUGGGAGAUGAUGGUUUUAUGUGAUGGACUUAAGGCUCGUCCGCCCAUGUUGGGACUAAAAGCCCGGCCCACAGGAUUAGGGCUCAUGAAUGAAGGGGUAUGUUUCUAUUUUGGAGAGAACUUAUAUAAGGGAGGAAAGAGAGGGAGAACGCAGCCUUUGGCAUAACGAACGUACGUUCCUCUCCCUCUCUCCCCCCAAAAGAAAAGCUAAGGCAAAAAGGCAACGCCGUCUUCCCUUUAAGGCCAAUCGACAUUAUCGGAUCGAACGGGAUCGGUUUUCUCUUCCUCUUAUCGGCAUUGGUGUUUAAUCUGUGACUAACAAGGUACGCUCGAUUCCGUGGUGUGCUUUAGGAUCGGUGAUACAUGUUUUUCCUGGGCUUGUCUUCCGCAUUCGUUUUAAGGGUUCGAUUUAGUGUCGAAUCCGGUUUUUGGGAAUCCGACAAUCCCAACAUCUACUUAUAAAUCCUUUGCUCUUAUAAUAGCAUCUAAAAUACCAAGUCUAAUUGUCGUAUUGUGAUAAGCAAAAUAGAAUCCAUGAUGAACCUAAGCAACAAUCAAUAGAGUUAGACUACAACUCAAUCCAAAUCAGAAGUAUCCACAGGUUGCAAGAGGCUUGUCAUCUCUAAAACUCACCAUGGCACCAAGCAUGCUGGGGUAAUUUAUGUCAAGAUGUUUCCAAUAGAGAUCUUCAACCUAAUUUUGUAUGCUAUAGACAUAAAUAAAAGUAUUCACUAACUAAAAAGCUCAAAUAAUAAAGAAAGGUGACGGAAUUUUUCACAGAACAAAAUUAGUGAAGUAUGUGAGGAUCGAACAAAUCUAUCGACACAAGUUGUUCAUGGGAGAAAAUUGAGUUAUUUGAGCCUUAGAGGAUUAACAGGGCAUCUCCUCAUGACUCCAUCUGAAAUUACAAGAAAGUAACUUCCGUGUCUUGGUGGAAAUCAUUCACCCGUUUUCAAUUCGUGUGGACAGCAGUCCCAUAUGCCUUGUGUAUGCAUUCACUGAGGCUGCUCUUCUUAGCUUUUCGUCAAAUCCUUUGCAUGUCAAUUGUAAGAGGAGGAAUUGCAAAAGUUAACAUGCAUACCUAUGUUCUUGGGUACCUCUGAAAGCCAUAACCAUAACAUUAAGGUCCUUGGCCACCCCAACAUAUGCUUAUAUAUAUAUAUAUAUAUAUAGUUUAGAAAUGAGACAAACAAUUAGAUGCAAUUCAAACAUAGAGGCAUCACAAACAUCCAGUUUGAUAGGCCACUGUAAAACGAUUUAUAUACCUAUAAGCAGUGCUAAACGUGAACUAUCAGUUCAAUGACUUCGAACCCCUGCUUUCACAUCAAAAAGGCAUUAAUAACUAGUUUAGAAGGUCAUAAGAUGAGGCAGCAUAUGCCAACAAACUCUCAUCUUAAGAAUUACGCAUUUAGUACUAAAGAUCCAUUCUUCACGCAAACUUAGCAACAAUGCUAUAUUAAAAAGUAGUCAAAUUGCCUUGGUCUUUCCAUCACGUCUAGGACAUGUCCAACCAGAAAGUUCUGUCAAAUCGAACAUGUAAACCUGCAAUAAAAAGCUUUGCAUUAAAUUACAAUUUUAUUGCAUUGAAAUGGUGAAACCUGAUGAGUAACAACAACAAGCUCUAGGUAAUGCAAAAAUCUUUAUAUAGAGCACUUAUAGCAGAUGCAUACUCCACCAAUAUCAUGGCAAGAAUGUGAUUGUAAACAACUUUAUGACCCCUAGAUGUCACUUUAGGUUCUGCAUUUACCAGUAGAUAAAAUUUCAGGUUGAAAUGCGGUCACAAGGUCAUUCAAUCACAAGCAAGGAAUCAAGUUUCUUAUGCCUCUAGCUAGAGUUGGCAAAAUGGGUCAUAAACCCAUAUUAUGACCCAUUUAACUAAAAAUGGGUCAUAUAUAAGUUAAGUGAACGUUAAAUAUAGGUCAGAAAUUGGUAAAGUGAAAGUUCAAUAUGGAUUAGAAAUGGGUCUGAGAAAUUAAAACACAAAAAAAAAAAAAAAGGAUCUAAAUGGGUUAUUAGGAAAGGAAACCCACUUUAAAGUUUAAGCUUAUGGCCUUUUUUAGUUUUAUAUAAAAAAUUUAAUAAAAAUUCAAAAUUAUAAUUAUUUUUCAUAUUUCAAAUUUUUUUCUUUUUCUUUUUUCUUUCUUUUUCUUCCUUCCUUAGCUGGCAACUGGCAGGGCGACGGCCAACCCGCGAUAGGCGAGGCAAGGCUUGAGCUCUCCAACAGGUCAAUUAAAAAUAAAAAUAAUUAAAUUCGAUUAAAAAUUAUAAUUAUAUUUUUUAAAAAUUAAAAUAAUUAAAAAUUAUAUUUAAAAAAUUAAAAAUUCGAUUAAAAUUAUAUUUGAAGUUUUAAUCCAAUGAGCAUAUAGUAUAAGUGGGUUUUCCUAGAAUAUUAAUAGGUUUUAGCAAUGCAGGUCUAGUCGGGUAUGGGUCAGAUACGGGUAGCGUUGGGUAUGAGUCACAAGAUUUACAUUACAAAAAUAUAGGUCAAAACGGGUUAAAUGGGUCAAAUAUGGGUCGACCCAUUUUCGACCCGACCCAUACCCAACGCGACCUACCCAUUUGCCACCCCUACCUCUAGCAAGCCAUUUUGACAAAUCAAGCAAGGGGAACACUUUUAGGAAAACACCAACUCAAAACAAUAUUUAGUAUAUGUUUUUGCAGUCCUUCGUGAAUUGAAAGAACUAUAUACACAAUGCAAUGCAAUGAAAGGGGAAUGAGUGAACAAUGUAGGGCGCCACUUUCCCAUAAAGCUACUCCACGUAAACCUACAAGCAACAGUCCAACAGUCCAUUACUCAACAGAACCUACCAUAUACAACAAAACGCUCGUCAGUUAUAUACUCCGAAAACAUUCAAAUUGUACACCAAAGGGAUCAUUCAGUUAUGUUUUGCCCCAUUAAAUCAAGCACCAUAGCUCCACAACACGGUCUACAAUUUCCCCCAACCCUGAAAUGCCCAAUUCGCCAAAUUCACAAUACAAAUCUCACUGUCCAAGCUCAAAACUGACACACUCAGCUAUGGUUGUCUCUUCACACCUUCUCACAAUCUAAACUCCCAAUCUGAAUUGAUUCAAAGGAUCAGAGCAACAAUUGAUCACGUGAGCACGAAUUGCAAUUACCUCUCGCUCCACUCGUGGCAGUCAAGCAUGUUAGAACAACCAUUGCCCUCAACCACCCCCUAUUCCCGCUCCAUAUUCUUUGCGAUCUUUCUUGAUUUACCCUCGGGAUCUUCUUCUGUUGGCGGGCAUAUUUGGUGUCCCAUCUGUUGAUUCCGACGUUUGCGUGAGGGUACUAAAGGAAGUUUCGCUAAAAAUCGGGACGUCGAGAAAGACAACGUGGCGAUUUCUUCAAUUGUAUUUUAGCCCCAAGUAAAAUGAGACGCGCUUCUUGGUUUAAAUAUUCUGCUUUCGAACAAAUUUGGGGGUUCUCUCUCUCUCCUUUGGAGCUCCCCUUUGAUGUCUCCACGUGAGCACUUUCACUCUAAGCUUGGUUCCAUCUAGAAUUCCAAAAAGGGUUAAUACCCUAAAAACCUCAAACUAGUACACCUGUGACAAAUUUAGCCAAAACUAUUUUUUUUACCACAAAAAACCUCAAACUAGACCUCAAACUGGUACACUUGUGAUAAAUUUACCCUCUAUUAGUUUUUAUUAAAUUUUACCGUCAAAUUAUUAAGUUAAAUAACAUGUGACAAUUGACUGGUAUACCAAUUUGAAAUUUUACGCUCCAUUUGUCAUAAUUUACAAUUUUUAUAAUUUUUUUGUGGUAUUAAUCCAAUUUAGCGGAGGGUAUAUUUGUCACAAAUUUACCAGUUUUGGAUUUUUUGCGGUCGAAUAAAUUAGUUUGGGUACCAAUUUAGGGUUUUUUAUGGUUAAAAAAAUAUUUUGGGGUAAAUUUGUCACAUGUGUACCUGUUUGAGAUUUUUCAGGGUAUUAACCCUUCCAAAAAAUACACUAAAUUUAAUGUUAAUAUUCGUGGAAGUAUAUGAAAAUGCAUGUACUACUUCGGUCAGAUAAUUUCGAGUUCAAGAUCAAAUUGAUCUAAUAAUUUGAAUUAUUCAAAUUUGAAAAUAAUGUAAUUAAACUUCAAUGACUAGGGAGGGGAGUUUGACCGUGAAUUAUGGAACCCACUUCUCUUGAUUUUAAGGCAACUUGCUAUACGUAACAAUUCUUGAAUACUCUUGGCAUGCUUGUGUUAAAGAUGCAAUAAUUUAUACUAUUUAAGAUAAAUUCGUGUGUAAAAAUUUGAGCUGAGUCGUUUGUCUAAAAUAUAUGAACUUAUAAUGGGAAUACAAUUAGAAUUGAUUACUGCCUUAAAAAUCAUGGCCUUGUCAUCUCACAUGAUUGCUCGAUUGAAUGUAUGAGUCGUGGAAUCAUGGGGAUCAAAUAUUUUACAUGUAAAAUAAUAUGAAAUGAAAUAAAAUGUCCAUCAACCUUGAGAACAAAAGAAAAAUGACUUUUUGUUGGCUAUUUGCGAUGUAGAAAGAGGUUGUAACCUCAAUAAAAAGUCACAAAAAAUACAUUAUAAGAACACAAAGAGCGUGAAUGAUUUUAUUUAUUUAUUUUGCAUUUAGUUCACACUAGUAAUAUGAAUAAGAACAUUAAUAAUGGUAUGGGCCAUAUUUGGUGGCUCUCCCAUAUUUAUAUUGGUAGUGGAAUAGUUACAAAACUAGCGAGAAAUUAGUACACAAAACAAUAGGUAGAAGUUAAAGAAAAAAUCGAGAUUCAAGAAAAAUUAUUGUGAAGAUUAAAACAAUCAAAAUUGUAGGAGCAAUCUUCAAAUCCUUUCCUUUGUAUAAAGUAUAGAUAAAUCAAUUGAUCAUCUAACUUAGGUCAAACUUUAAGGAGCAUAAAACAAAUUUACACACCAUUUUUUUUUUUUUUUUUAUCAUGUACCUUACUCAUUCACUUUAAAAAGGAAAAUUUUGAAAAUGAAAAAAUCGCCACCCCCCAAGCAUGGUACCUCAAUAAUAAAGGGGCUCAACAGUCUUUCACGAAUUCACAAAUUGGAGCCGUAUGGUGAGCAAACUUUCGACCAAUUAAUAUUUUUAGCAUUUACUACUUCAUUUGAGAUGACUUUUAGACUUCUAACCUGUUGAUAGAAUUUAUAACGAUAAAGUCUUACAUUUACAUAUAAAUUGACUAAUUAUGGUUCAAAAUAAACGCAUCCUAACUGACAUAAAAUUAUUAUGAUAACACCAACUAUGGAUAGUGACUCAGGCGGCGAGGCCCAGUGGGACCAUCCCAAAUCCUGAAGCUUGCGCGAGUCGACGCUGGCUUCGAUUCCCGCGGCGGGAAACGAAAAUACAUUUCCCGCACACUGGCUGGCGGGAAAAUUUUUGCACCACUCGCAUAAAACAAAAAUGAAUUUAAAAAAAAAAAAGCCACAUAAAAAAAUUAUAAUAAAAGCGAAAGUUUAUUCACAACAAAAAUACGAAACAGCGCAAACCCUCUCUCUCUCUCUCUCUAGAACAAGCAGUGACGGCCUCGACCGAUCGAUCCGUCGAUAUCCGCCGAUUUCCGUGGCGACACCCUAAAAGCAGCAGGCGUCUUCCGACGAUUCCCCGUCCGACGGGUACGAGGAGGAGCAUGAGUAGCCGCAGCUCAGCGGAGCCGGUCAACGAGGAGGAGCUCGACGCCGUCGCCCGCGCCGCCAGUUGGACGACGCCGCCGCAGCAGCUGCCGACGCCGACUGGAAUGGCGAGGCAGAGGAGGAGGACGACGACGAGGUUCGAUGUUCGCCUGCGCCGUUCCAUACUGGAUGUGUCGGGAUUUCGGUGCGGUGAGAGGCCUCUCCGGUGUCUUGCGCCAGCACGAUCAACCUCCCAGCCAAUCCGCCACGGCCACCGGAUCUUCCGGAAGCUCAGGAGGUCGAGCCCCUCCACAAAAGCCCAACGCUCGAACCCUCUUAAAAUUCGAUCAGGUUCGAGAGAUCUGGAAGUUUGCCUUCAUGUUAGAUCGUGACAAUCGGGGAGAUCGUCAGUGAUGAGCUCCUGUAGAUGUCAUUUGGUAUUUUCACCAAGCGCUUGUGACUGACCAAAUUGAUUUACCGAUUUGAAGUUCUUUGCUAUCUGUGAAAGAAGAAUCAUGUGAAUUAUUGGUCCGUUCAAUCUCAUAGAACCGGAUGCUAAUAUAUGUCAAGUAGCAUAGUAACUCACCUUCGUAUGGCUCUUCCCCUUUCAGUCAAUGUGUAAUUCCACUCUAAGAAAGAUUCAGAAUAAUUAGAUUCACUCAGGGAAAAUUCACUAUAUCGAGCAUUUGGGGGAAAUAAUUAUUCUGAGGAACUCCAGUGCAAUUGUUGGAGGAGAAUUGACACCCCCGGAAAACAUUGGUUGGAAGAAAGUUCGACGAGAAAUCUUCCCCGAAAAACCCUCGCUUGCGUACGGACAUCUUUCUUCCUAGAGAAACGAGUUCAUGUUAACAAGAGAAAGCAAAGGUCCAUAUGUCUUCAAUGACUUUCAUCAACCCAAUGCAAUAUGAUGAAAUAAUAUAAAGGCUUUUGUGUUUAUCUUCGAAACAUUGUAUUGUAUAAUUGGGUUCAAUGGAAUGUUUUCAAUAAGCAAGCGAAGAUAGAGUCAACAUUAAAUAAGAUAAAAAGGAGGAUAUUUGAUAUAGGUUAAUCUAGUAUCUAGACUGGUAAUUAAAUUAGCAUAAUCGAAUCUAUUUAUUUGAAUUAUUGUAGUUAAAGUGGAGAAAGUGGGUGCGCUAGUGCUUGUCAUGUAACAAUUGCAUUCGUGCAUGGGUUUGCGAUACCAACUUGGUCCAGUGAGGUUCGAUCUAUCUCUUUGAAUCAAGACCUUAAAAUGGUGCGCAAUUGAAUUGGGAUAAGAAAUUGUACAAGAGACAGUUCAAAAUCUAAUUGGAAAAUAGUGCCAACCCAUCAUUAAGCACCAAGAGUCAUUAAUUCUUGAACUUCUACCUUUUUUUUUAAAGAAAUUUAUUUGAAUGAAUUUUACCAUUUUCCGACUACUUUGACUUUAUGCUAAUGUGGUGCUCUUAUAGCAUCACAGUAUUUCUCACGGGACUUUUAGGAGAAAAUUCCUGAGAUUAGUGCGAGUAUUUAUAACUUAAAACCUCACAGUACAAAUUAGCAUGUCUACUUUGAAUUCAACAACACGUCAGUUCACAAGAUUAGUGCAAGUAUUUAUACAUUUCAAUGUGUGCAUAUAUAUCUAUUGGAAAUGAGUUUCUACAUUACUGAAAGUGUAUGAUUUGCUUACUACAGAUGCUAAAAAGCUAAAAAGAACCCUCUGUAAUUACUUGGAUUUCCAUAGACAUGAGGGUCCAGGGACACAUCUUCUCGUCGUGCCAUUUCACCCCUCCAAAACGAAGAAAAGAAAGAGGACUGAGGAUGCUAUCUCACAUUUUGAAUCGUCUCUCCACAUUCCUUGGGCCGACACGUGGCGUGUUGGGUUUCGUUCGAGCGAUGUCUAGCCAUUCACGCGCGUUGCAGACUCUUCGUGGGCUUUUAGAUGACCCAACACGACAGGUCCGUCUCGAACGCAAGAGAACAACGGGAUGAGACGUCGAAAAAAUUGCCCCUUGCAACAAGGGCCGUUUUCUCAGACCAUCUUUGUCCAGGUCCAACCUCUCUGUCUUUAACCUUAGGAGUUUGGGCCUUGUCCUAAUGCUUUGUCUUUCAAACAAUGGUUUGAAUGAGAUGGCUAACGAUGUCGAUCUAGGGCUCUCAACCACCGUGGUUAGGACUAGCGAAGGAAAUUAAGGAAGCAAAUCUUGGAACUGUGGAUGGACCUCAUUCAAAGUAUUAGGUGUUCAAAAACAUGGAAGAAUCCAACCACAUUAUUUCACUAGUACAUCAAGUUCCUACUGCAUUGUAAAAUUGUUUCAAUUUUAUAAGUAAUGACAUUUAUAAAUCCAGUCAACUGUUAAUACAUUGUCAAUGAAAUAAUGAUUUUACCAUCUCGUUGCUAGAUUUAGCUUUGAGUAGUAAACAUGAAAACUAGUUUGUAUGUUACUAAUUCAUCGAUUGUUGUAAAUCGCUAACAUUGUGGUAAAUUACAUAAAUAUACAUGAUUGGCAGUACAAUGGAAUGCACAAUUUUAUCUUUAUAAUUUAAAAUUUACAAAUUGUGUUGCAAGUUUUCUAUAAAUGACACAUUGUUCCAUUUUGAGAAGCAUAACAUUAGAUAAUGUCCCGUUAAUUAAUCUCACUGGGGAUUUAUGAUCUAUGUUUCAUGUCCUAUUAGAUUUAGGGACAGUUUACAGAGAUAUUUACGUGGUGCAGGAUAAGGUCGUAGGAAAAGGCAAAUGCAUCCUUUCAUCCCCAAAAUGUGAACAAAUCAAAGCAAUUGUUUGAAUUUACAGGGUCUUGUACUCCAUUAGAAUCAAUCUAUAAACAUCGUCAUUCAAUUUAAAUCAUUUGCACUAACAUAUGACACGAUUAAUCCAUCCAUAAAUUAUAGAUCUGGAAAAUAUCUCUACGACCUUAAUUAAUUAGAAAUCAUGUACAGACACCAUCAUUCAGCUCAAGUCGUUUUCGCUAACAUUUGACCCAAUUAAUCCAACUAUAAUUAAUUAGAAAUAUUAAAAGAAUCAAUCGACAAAAAUUUAUUGCGAUAUUCUGAAUGAAUUUUUUCCCGGAGAAUAGUUUGGUUUGAUGUGAUUUUCAAAUUCCUUCAACUACUACCUCCAAUAAAUAUCAGUAAGGAAGGAGAGUUUGGUUUGAUGUGAUAGUAUCCAAAUGCUCGGCCAGAGUUGACAAUCACAUGAACGAAAUCAUGAGCAUGGUGGUUUUGGAAAAAACAACUCUCGCAAAAAUCAUUCGCAAUUAGCUUUUGCAGGAUUUUUCUAAUUGUUGUUCAAAUUUCAUCAAAACGCGUGUCCAGAUUGUUUUUGCGGAAAUCCAUGGUUGUUAAUUGGAUCAACAGGAAUUGAAGAGAAGCUCUACCAAUUCUUAAAUGAAUUCAGGAAUGUUUCCAGCUGCCAGUGGGCUUAGUCUAACAUUAUCUAAUGUCCAGCUCAAUUCGAAAUAAUGACUCACAUCGUUUAAUUUGAGACGAAUACAAGUUUGGCAAAAUGUCAUCCAAGUAUGAAGAUUUACCGUAUAAUAGUACUGCGUUGUCUUCGAGUUGUUUUCCUUUUGCCCUUUCUUUUUAUUUAUUAUAUGAGACAAUCUGCAAGCAUUAGCUGAGAGGGUGAAGAGCCACACCUCCAAAAAUAUCAUCUGAAACAGAGAACUUUCGUCCAUGAAAUCGGGAAGGAAUCAAUAUUCUUCAAUCAUCAAAGUCUAUGAGCUCUGAACCUUGAGGUGGUACUAUCUUUAAAGAGUUAACUUUCUGCAAUGUAGACAUCAAUUUAAGAAAUGCCUGAUGAUGUUGCCGUGGCCCUGUCCUAAUACUUUUGAUAGGUCAAAAGUGGUUCUCAACCACCGCGGUCGAGCUGGCUAAAGAAAUUAUCAAUGAAAGCAUCCAGGAAACCACCGGUGGACCUUAUUUUAUGCAUUGGAUGUUAUCUUACGUGCAUUGUCAACUUUGAAACGGUGCAAUGAUGCUGCAAUGAAUCGUUCGCAUUGACCGAUUCUCGCAAACUGGCACAUAGCUCUCUACAUAUUUAGCCAAUUCUGGCUGCCUCUAUUUGUAAUUCUGCCUUCUUAACUUAUUAAUCUCUAGUACCUUCAAAGCAUGAUGAAUAGGUGACUAAGCAUUAUAUCUGGUGUGCCUUGCUUCAUUAAACUCCGACCCAUUUCGUUUGAAUCUUUUCUCGGAUUUUGUUAAAAAAAAAUUAGCAUUGUCAACUUUGACAAGAUGGAGCAAUGUUGCAACGAAUUGUUCUUAACGACCAAUUCUAAAAAAGGGAUCAUCGAAUCACAUUAGGUGAUCAAAUCACAAUGAUAGAGUCAUGGUGCCUAAACUCAAAGUACUUCCGCAAAUACAUUUAUUCAAAUGCAAUUUGAAUGUCGAGUUAAACUUGAAAUAAUGACUAGAAUAUUGGCACUUCAUGUUUAUUUUAACACAUCGAAUGAAUAGAAGUAUGUAUAAGUUCUGUUCUAAACUCAAAAUAUCCGUUGUAGGUUAGGUCUCACAAUAUUUGCAAGUCCUUGGCAAAGACUUUGAGACUAGUCUAUUGGAAAGUGGAGGGCCACAUCUCCAAGAUCAACAUAAAAAAGAACCAAUUUUCGUGCUUAGAUAUGAGAGGAGUCAUCUUUUUUGCCCUAAUCAUAUUUUAUGAACUUGGAGUCUAGUGCCAUUACAUUUUUAAGAAUCAUUUAAUGAGGACAUCUUUAUCUGAGAUGCCUGACAAUGUCGACAUGUGCCUAUCAUUUUGAUAGAUUAAUUAUGUAGGAAGCCGAUGGUGUAUCCAUUCUUCCCUAGUUAGAGCGGAAAACAUUCCCAACCACCGCGAUUAGAUUGUCCAAAAAAAAAAUUAUAUCGAAAGCAUUCACGAAAAAAAUUAUAACAUUCAAGUCAGCAUUGUAUAAAAGUUAUGACAUUUCUAAUGUUUUUAUCCUGAAAAUUUACAAUUGAUUAACCCCGCACUGUUUGCAAGUUCUUUUCUUUUCACCUUUUUUAAUUUUUGUAAUGAACUAUCUGCCAACAUUUGUCGAUAAAGUGACCAGCCACACCUCCAAAAAUUUCAUCUGAAUGGAGCACUUUCAUAAUUGAGAUUUGCCAGGAGUCAGUGUUUUUUAAAUCAAAGUCUAUAAGUCCAGAACCUUAUGCUAAUACUUUUUUUUUUCGAAAGAGUUAGACUUUAUAAGAUGGGGACAUAUAUUUUGAUAGGGCAAGAGGGUUCUCAACCACCGCGAUUAUGCUGGCAAAAGAAAUUAUAGAUGAAGGCAUCCAGGAAGUUGCUGAUUAACCUUAUUUUUCGCAUUAGAUGCUAAUCGACGUGCAUUGUCAACUCUACCACGGUGCAGUGAUGUUGCAAGGAAUCAUUCAUAUUGACCAAUUCUCUCUGCAUAUUGAGCCAAUUCUGGCUUUUAAGUUUUAUGAAUUACAGAGAUCUUUAUUUGUAAUUGCAGCUUUUGAACUUAUUAAUCUCUGUUACCUUCCAAAGCAUACUGAACAGGUGACUAAGCGUUAUAUCCAGUGUACUCUGUUUCUUUAACAUUCGAUGCAUUUCAUUUGAACCUUUUCUCGGUUUUUGUUGUCGGUUUGUUGAAAUUGAGCUUUGUCUAUGGAAGAAGACCCCAUAAAUCACUCGGUGAAGCAGCACGGUUUGAUCAUAAUUACAUCAUUUCUGGUACAGAUCAUCAUUCGUUGGCACUCGCUGCAAAGGCUAAUUCAUCUAUGACUAAAUUAAAUUUUUUAGAAAAUUCAUUUCGAAUAGUUUUGUAGUCUGUAAUUUGAUCUUGUCAGAACAUAGUUUGGUUUAAAACAAUUUUUUAAAUGCUUUUCUUUUUACCUCCAACAAACAUUCGGCAAGAAGCUUUUACAAAAACAACCACCAAAAGGAUUCCACCGGGUUGAAAAAGGCUUAUCUAGUGAAAGAGACUACUUUGUCGGUCUUGACCAACAUGUCCACAAAAUCAUAAAAAUAGUAUGUGCUUGGAUAAGUGAAACACAGAUAGUUGGAAUCCAUGGAAUGGGUUGCAUUGGAAAAAUAAUUAAUGCGAAAUCAUCUGAAAUCACGUUUCACACGAUUGUAAGUAUUGUUGCUUUCUUUCAACAUUCGAAAAACUUUAAAGUAAAGGGAAUCAAGUGCAUAUAUAAUCCUUUGAGGUUCUUCGGUACAUUGGAAACAUAGAAAAAGUCAUAGUAGCCAUUAGAAAGGUUGUUCUUAGCUCAUAACAUUCACUUGGAGAUAAUUUAUGAACCUUGUAUAAAAUAGACAAAACUGCCUCUUGCGAAAUUGCUUGACAUUUCAUCUACUUACCCAUCAAACUUCUCUAAAGUGUCUGAGGAUUUUAAGGCAAUCCAUAUCGGAGUUGACACUUAAAUGAUCAUUUUUUUUAAAGUAGCAUUUAAGUGAUCCGUAAAAAGCUUUUGGCACUAAAGUAAGCGCCGUACACAACUUUUAACACUUCUAGUGUACUUACCCCAUAUAUAUUUCAUUCCAACGUUCUUAGAUUUAAAAGUUGACUCUUUUCUUUUGCAUAUUGAGGUAAAAAUUGAGGAGUCCACUUUGUUAAGUUGGCUCAGGUCACAUCAGAUCCACAUUGUCUCUAUUUACCUGCCGUUGUUCAUGCAUGCCGGCAUAUUAGGAUAUUUACUGCUUAUCUUAGACGAAACUAUGACGAAAGCUGCUUUUCGGUCAUUAGUACAAAUCGAGGUAUUUUUAGUAAUACGAUAAAAAAAAAAUGAAAAAUAUACGUCAAAUUGGCAAAGUAUAGGUUAUUCUAUGAAAUUUUUCCAAGCAAUACAUCCAUGUUAGAUUUUUAAGCUUGUUGUUGUCCAAGCAAGCCACCACGUCGGAUUUUCAAUACCCGUCUUAGACACAAUUUUGACAGAACAAAUUUUUUGGUCACCAUACAAAUUUUGAAUUUUGAUGCCAUAAAAACAGUUUAGAUAAUUGGUAUUACAGUGCAUAAAUAUGCUAUAAUUUUUUAGGGAACUGCCACUUGCUGUCGUUGAAUUGUCGCCCAUCCAUUGCCAUCACAAGCCCUUACCUUCGCGCGUCAAUCCAUUGGCAAACUAACUCCUCAGUCCUCACCCACGCGAGUUGUCUUUUACACCCUCGUCUCUUUUCAUUUCCGCGUAAAGCUCACGACCUAUGUCCAUGGAAACCGCGAACUGAGAUCGCUAGCCUCGCACGGCCACAGAUCUGUGGUUAAUGGCUAUGGUGUCGGGGCUCGAAUUAGUUAAUUCGCUCGAUUGUUUGAGCAACGGGAGGGCCUCUGCCCAUCUUAUCAUUAAAAUCAAUUACCAAAAAAGAAAAAAAAAAUUCCUCGCCACAAGGGCAUUUGGUUUUUUCGGCAACGGCAAAAGUCAAAAUGCAAUUCUUAGGGGAGAGAGGAGCAGAGGAAAAAGGACAGAGGCUGCGUUUGGUUCAACAUUUACAAUGGGCUUGGAAAUGCUAAAAACCUAAAGCUACUUGGGAAAAUGCAAUUGUGUUUGGUAAAAAAAAUUUGCAAAUGGACUUUGAGUUAAAUGUGCAUUUGGAAAAGAAAACUUUCAUAAUGGGCUUUGAUAGGUAUAUAUAUAUAUAUUUAAAAUUGAACUAAACCCUUCGCCAGACCUGCGAAGGGUUAUGGCCAUCGGCGAGUCAGAUCUAGCGCUGGCAGCCAUUGGCUAAGGUCGCCCGAGGUCGGGCGACUUUUGGCGAGGGUCGCGUGACCCAGCUGAGGGCUGUCGAAGGUCGCUCGGCCUUGGGCGACCUAGGCGACCACUGCCUAGGUCUCGCGGCCGUAGGCGGCCCUCGACUGGGUCUCACGAGGGUCGCCUACGAUGGCGAGACCCAGGCGGCGGUCGCCUAGGUCGCGCGACCCUUGUCGAGGGUCGCCCAAGAUUGGGCGACCUCCGGCAGCCCUUAACUAGGUCGCGCGACCCUCGCCGGAGGUCACUCGACCUCGGGGGACCUCAGUCGACGGUCGCCAGCGCUAGAUUUGGGUCACUAGCGGCCGUAGCCCUUCGCCAAACCGGCGAAGGGCUGCCUCCUUUUUCAAUCAAAAAUAACAAAUAAAUAGGGGCAAAAUGGGAAAUAUGAAAAAUUAGCGAGGGUAGUUUUGGAAUAGAAAAAUAAUUUUAGCAUUUCGCCGAAUGCUGAAAACCCAAAGCUACUCCUUACUAGCUUUUGGCUUUCAGCAUUUUGAAGGCAAGUUGAAAGCUGAAAGCCAGCAAAAAAAUUGAACCAAAUGGUCCAGCAUUUUCCCAAGAGACUUUCAGCUCUGAAAGCCCCUUGGGAAUGCUGAACCAAAUGCACCCAGAGCGGGUCGUGAUUAUGGAUGAGGUUUGAGCCGUUAGGCAAAGCCCCAAGGGACCAAGGCGCAAGUGUGCCUAGUGAAGUGAAUUUGGGGGCAAGUGUGUGGGCAUUUGUGUGUUCUCAGAAAAUUCAAUAGAAGAUAUAUUCAUAAUUUAGGGUCGGUUAAGUGUGAAACAACCCACAAAGAUAGGACAAUUAAAAUUCAAUAAUACAAAAGGAACGCGAAGGGUUUCUUUCAACAUUUCGUUUUAGUCACCGAAAGCGACCGAGUGGUACGGUUCUCUUUUCAAUUGCGUUAUGACGGUGGAGAGAUAAGAGAAGAAUUUCGUUUUCUUUUUGGUCAGAAAAAGACUGCUUCUAGUGCUCAUUACUCCGGCAACGGUCGCAAGUGUAGAAGGCCUCAGGAGAGGUUUGGACAACCAACCAAAGCUGAAGAGUCCAACUCAAGUUGAAGACUGAUAUCGCUUCGGGUGCUGAGAAAAUCUAGGGAUUUCUUCUAGAGCCUUCGCUUCCGCCGGAGCUGCUGCUAGAGUUACGCGCGCGGACCUCGUGAAUCCGUCCACCGAAACGCCACCGCAGUCUCGGCAUGCACGGCUGAUCGCUCCUUCCGUCGAGCCCCUGGCGAAGGACCGUCGAUAUUUCACCUUGAGAGCUCCUUGAGGCUGUCGGACCCAGAUCAGAGGUGAGUCUCCAAGGGCCCACCUUUCGGUGUUUAUAAAGAACCCUGACAUUUUGUCAACUUUGACGGGCCGCAAUUAGCACAAAGGUCUCUCCAUUUUGCUAGGUUUUGGCUUCCGAGUUUUUCCCAUCUCUGGCUGCCUCUGCUUUUGCUGCCAUCCUGUUUCGACUUUUUUCCUUGAAGAGGAGAUCAAGCGAGAUCAAUGGAGUGGAGUGCAAAGAGACGGCGCACGGGUGGAAAUGAUGGAACAGCAGGAGGUGCUUCUGGUACUCACGCUUCAACAGAAGAUCAAGAAGUGGCUACUUCAUCAGAAUAUAACUAUGAAGUAUUCUUAAACUUUAGGGGACCAGAUACUCAUGCAGGUUUCACUGAUUUCCUUUACACAAGCAUGAUGGCUGCGGGAAUCCGUGCAUUUAGGGACGACAAAGAACUCCGCAAAGGGGAAGAGUUUGCCCCAGAACUUCUCCAAGCAAUUGAGCAGUCAAAGAUCUUAAUACCUAUAUUUUCUCAAAGUUAUGCCUCAAGCAAAUGGUGUCUCAAGGAGCUAGUCCAGAUGGUCGAGUGCCGGAAAAAUGAAUGACAAAAGAUCAUGCCCAUUUUUUAUGAUGUGUCACCUUCCGAGGUUCGACACCAAAUUCGGGGUUAUGCAGAGGCAUUUCUUUCACAUGAAAAGAAGCAGCGAUACAAUGAAGAGACUAUCCACGAGUGGAAGGCUGCUCUCAGUGCAGUUGGGGCAAUAAAUGGGUGGGACUUGCAUAGCAAGACCAACAGGUGACUUCUCCUAGCAUUCCAUCUCAGUGCAUUGUAUCAACUUGAUGCAUUUCAAUUGGUUUCUUUUGUAGAUUUCUGUUAGUCUAGUUGAAAUUGAACUUUAUGUCACAGAAAUGAGGCCAGUCCCAAAUUUGUCAUAUUUCAUCUCACACAACAUAUUUUUCAGUUUAGGUCAUUCAUUAACUCUUAGUACCAAAGCUAGUUCAUUUACAAUAAAAUCGAUCCUCAAAGAACAAAUGUUGGAUAGUUCUAUAGUUUUCAAUUUGCUCUUGUCAAGACAUGGUAGGGUUCAACACAAUUUACAAACUCGUUGUCUUUUGACCUUCGACAAACACUAGGCAAGAAGGUAAGUUUGCUAAAGAAGUCACCGAGGAGGUUUUCAGAGAAUUAAAAAGGGCUUAUUUGGUGGUGUCAGAUCACUUGAUCAGUGUUGACAACCAUGUGGAUGCAAUCAUGGAGAUGCUAGGUGUUUAGACAGGUGAAACACGGAUUGUAGGAAUUCAUGGGAUGGGUGGCAUCGGAAAGACGACUAUUGCCAAAAUCAUCUACAAUAAACUUUCAAGCAAUUUCAAGGAUUGUUGCUUUCUGUCCAACAUUCGUGAAACGUCAGAACACAAGGGCAUUGAAUGCUUGCAAAAUCAACUCAUCUCUGGCAUCCUCAAAAUAAAAGGGACAUAUAUAAACAAUGUAGAUGAAGGGAUUGAGACAAUAAAAAAGAGGUUGUCUAAGAAAAGAGUCAUCCUCCUUCUUGAUGAUGUGGAAAAAGAGAAUCAUAUUGAUGCAUUUGUAGGUAAGCGUGAUUGGCUUAGCAGAGGGAGCAAAAUUAUUAUUACUACAAGAAACAAAGAUAUUCUCUAUGUUCCCAAAGUGGACUACACUUAUGAGCUUAAAUGCAUGGAUCGUGAUCGAUCUCUUCAACUUUUUAGCAAACAUGCUUUUAGAAGAGAUUCUCCUUUAGACAAGUACAUGGACCAAUCCAACUGGGCAAUACGCAUUGCUGGAGGUCUUCCGCUUGCUCUAGAGGUCAUAGGUUCACUUUUAUGUCGCACUAAAAAGGAAAAGUGGAAUGGCAAAUUGAAGGAGUUGGAAAAUGUUCCUCCUGAGGAUGUUCUGAGUAAGCUGAAAAUAAGUUAUAAUGCAUUAUGUGAGCGAGAACAGCAUAUAUUCCUCGAUAUAGCUUGUCUUUUCAUUGGAUAUGAGAAAGACAUUGUGAUUUUUUUCUGGGAUGAAUCUAUAUUUUUUCCGAAAGAAGCCAUGGAUGUUUUAGAGAACAUGUCUUUGAUAAAGAUUAAUGACAACAAUAAAGUGUGGAUGCACGACCAACUUAGAGAUCUUGGAAGAGAAAUAGUUCGUCGAGAAAGUAAUUUGAAAAUAGAGAAGCAAAGUAGAGUGUGGGAUCCUAAGCAAGGAUCAGAUUUUAUGAGGAGACUUAAGGUAAAAUCCUCCCAAUAUAAUUUCUGGUAUUUAUGGAUUUUUUUUUUUCCCAAAAGAAGUCAGUUAACUUUUGGGUUCUCUAACACCAUCACGACUUCAUCAACCUAUACGUUUGCUCUUUUAAGAUCAAAGGAGCGAAAGUACUGAACUCAACCGCUUAGUAUAGUCAACCUGAAUAAAUGCGUUUCCCUUCAAAUUUUUUGUUUUUGAAUUUUUUUUCUUUGGGCAGGGCAAUAAAGAAGUUGAAGCUCUUCGUGUCAACUUCAACGAUCAGCGGUCGUAUUGUUUUACCUAUGAGGCCUUUGAGAGCCUAUCAAAUCUAAGAUUCCUUGAUGUGAGGUGUCGGGAUAGAUAUUUUCGUGUAAAAGAGAGGCUUAUUUCGCACGAAUCGUCAUCAAAUCUUAUUCCCGAAAAUUCGGAUCUCCUUCCACAAUUACGAUGGCUCUCAUGGCGGAAUAUUCCCCCAACAUUUAACAUUAUGAAUUUCUCCAUGGAGAAUGUGGUUAUUCUUGAUCUAGCUUACAAUGAUAUUAUGAAGGAUUGGAGGGGGUGGACCCACAUGAAGGUACGUUAUAUGCUGGACAACAUUUCUUAUUCUAUCUCAUUAGAUUCAAGAGUAAUCUUUGCAUGAUUUUUGUUUCACAGGUAAUGAAGAAUUUGAAAGUUCUGGAUCUGUCCGAUUGCUGCAUGCUUGAGAGGCUGCUGGACAAGCUGGGUGAAGAUCUCGCAAGCCUUGAAUACCUAAAUUUAGGAGGGUGCAGUUCGUUGAAGGGGCUUCCAGAUACAAUCGGGAAUUUGAAAUCGCUGAUUAAAUUGGACAUAUCAAUGUCGAACAUUAAAGAAUUACCUGAUUCCAUCGGAAAGUUGCAAAAUUUGAAAGCAGUGUACAUGUUUGGAUAUGGCGUAGAAAAAAUACCUUAUGCCUUGUGGACGCUUGAGAAGGUCGAAGAAAUAGAACGCAUCAAAGAUUAUCCGAGCAAUCCUUGCCAUAUGAAAAUUGGCGAUUGCAUCUACAAGAAUCAGUCCCUGAGGAUCUUGAGAUUGUGGGGUCAGGAUAUACAUAUAUACGAACUGCCGAGACUUCCUGAAAGUCUCAUUAUAUUAGAACUGGGUAUUUUGGGCAUGGAUACGUACCCAGAUCUAUCAAACCUCACUAAUUUAAAGGAAUUGGAUCUGAGUUUAGGCUGUCCAGAUAGGAGUUUUUGUUGUGGGCCGGAAGAGCUAUUGCCACGGUGGAUUGGGAACUUAAGGAAAUUGGAGUUUCUGGGCCUGUGGUUAGAUUGGGGGGCCAACGCACCAACAUGCCUCAGCUUCCUUGAUCAUCCCGAGAUAAUUCCGCCCCCGCCCCCGAGGCUGCCCUCAAGUUUAUCCUCCUUACGUGGGAACUGUGAAAACGCAGGUAAGUACUAUGUUAGAUGGGAGUAUCGAAUUUGAAGAAACUGUCAUCUCUCUAGGUUGUGGACUCCGCAAUUUCAGAGAUGUCUGGCAUUGCUAAGGAGAUUCAGUGAUUUCUCAGAAAAAUUUAGAAGACAUGCUCUGCAGAGGAGUACAUUUUCCAAUGAGAAGUGCCUGCGGUUCCCGAAAGGUCCUGCGUUUAUAACCGGAUCUGUUGUCAAGGAAGCUUUGAAACAUAAACAAAUUGCUUAUUGCCCUAUGUCAUUUCUAGCAGACAUUCGUAAUUGUCUUUCUCUGUUUAUGCAAUCAUUUACUACCUUUAAAAUGGAUGUUUGUAAACUGUUCAUGAAAUGGGACCAUGGUUUCUUUUGAUCUAUUUCAUGAGUUCGAUUUGGUUUGACUAUCUGCCCUUUUGACAGUCUUGGUUGGAAAAUUAAGUUCCUGGUAAAAGAAGAGUCUUAACUGAUGCUAAUUUUACUACAUUUAAGUGCAUUAAUUUUGUCAAUUUACACAGCUAGUCUUUCAUGUAAGAUCCUCGGAACUUGCUGGGUUGCAUUUUAAAUUUGAAGCUAAUAUCCAUGCCCUGUAAUCAUUAACUUUGUUACAACUUAAACAAUGAAGGAUAUAUUAAAAUGUGUAGGCUUUAGUUGGUGAUGAAGCUCUUUCAUUCACCGUUUGACAUGUAGAACCACUGCCUGACAAAAGUCGUAUAGGAUAGCUUGAGCUUUCUCUCUUAGUAACAAGAGAAAUUUACGGGGUCUUUCUGUGUAGGUAAGCUGUGGCUAACUCAGUGUGUAGAAUUGACAACCAGCACAUCAAGUAAGAAAGAUAUAGAUGAGACGAUAAUAUAUCUUCUUCAACACUUGGGUGUUGUACUUUGGCUUCUACGGUAAUGUACAAACUCUUUACUUAUCAUAAGGUAUCAAGGACAUAGUCUCCUGCACAAUGUGCUUGCGAUGGUCAUAAUUAGCAAUAUAUCUUUUGAAAUGAUUAAGGAAAUUUAGUUUUCAUGUUUCCACUAAUGUUAAUUCAUGUAUAUCAAGGAAAAAAGAAGGUAAAUCCAUACGACUCUUGUUCUGGCUGAUUAGUGUUACAUGUCAAAGCCAAGAUGAUCUAAAUUGCUCAUACUCCUAAAAUUUAAGGUUUAGCAAUGGUUGCCAGUGGAAAUGAUGCAAGACAAGGUCAUCAUCUCUUUCCAAGAUAGCUUGAGCAUAACCCUCUCUAGGAUACAGCGGAAGUACUUGCGCCAAGAAGUCUCUUGUGACAAUGUGCCUAUACUAAAAGGUAAGGUCACAAAUUAGGAAGUGGUCUCCCAAUUUUGUGAAGUUCAACACGAGUUCAACCCCAGCCCAAAAGGGAAAAAAAAAAAAGGAAAAUAGCUGCAUGAUUCAACUAUAAAUAUCUCAGCUCAGCAUCCACGCAUCCUUAUUCGGUUUUUAUCUAGUCUGGUAAACAAAGCCAUAGGCCCAAGAUUCGAUUGACAGGUAAACUUGUGAACGCAUUCAUUCAAUAGAAGUCGCGGAGUUGUAUCAUGGCCAUUGUCACAGAGGUCCCUGAUGAUCUUUGAAAAACCAGGUGCUAACCCAGAAGCAUUUUAACUGAAGCUGCUCUUGGCAUCGGAGUCUGAAGGCAGCCUCAAUGCAGAAGCAGAAGGAUCCUCGGAAAGCAUAAGAUUUCCUUCAACAUCUUCAUCUCCGUAUUCCUUCAAUCGUGCAUCCAUGACGAUUUUGCACGAUCCCCACAUCUCAGCCAUUAAUCCCACACCAUAGUAGACUAAAUGGCUCGCAAUGCUGUUGUCAGUUACCAAUCUGCAGAGACGCACUCUCAUCAGUUGUCCACAUAUAUUCCUGAUAACAAAGGACUAAUUCUCUAGAACAAGCUGGUCUGUUACAUGACUAUUGCGUCCAGCAUGACAAAUCCAAAAACUAAUCGCUUGAACAAGUAGCUACAAUUGAAACUACCUCAUUACUUGCUGCAAGAUGGAUCUUCUCCAGAGCUAUCACAAACUUUCUCAACCUGAUAAACCAGACUACCAAAUCCUAUAUUAUGCAGCCAUACCUACAACAAAGGGAACAUUCCAAUUACAUAUCUCACGUAUAAAAGAUUAUGGUUAGACCUGAGAGAAGUAGAUGGAACCAAAUUAUUUUCACAUCAUCUCACACCAAUAUGUUUAUCCGCGACGGUCUUUGAGAGCAUUAGUAGACAUACAAUAAUUAAAAUGUGUAUAAUUGCACAGAGCUUAAGACUUGGUUAUCAGCCAUCACACACACCCACACACCCACACACACGCGCACCUAGACACACCCACACCCACACACAGAGUAUAUAGCAAAUAUUAUUACACGUCUUAAACUUCGGAAUCAUUUUGAAAAAUCUUAUGAUGGCUCUUGCAGAAAUAAGAGUUACUCAAAUAUUUCUGAAAAGUCAUGAGUACUACAAACUACCCAGCUUUGCUAAUAAGAUAAAAAACAAGACUGUUAUAUUUUAUACACUGCAAAAAGUGAGUACAUAAAUUGUUGGAAUAACUGAGACUUCACCACUUAGAUAGGUUGAAAGAAAUGCAAAGCAAACUCCAAAUUCAGCUGGCGACAAUUCCCCAUAAUUUACAUGAUAUUCCGUCUAGUUCUAGGCCUUACCUCUCUAAAGGAGUGAUGGUAAGUCUUCUGCGGGAAGUGAGAAUAGUACAGAGGCAAAUGAGGCACAAUAUCAUGUCCAUUAGUAACACGUACUGUAUUUGGCAGACGGUCACUGUAGUGAGACGCAAACACUGCAUUGCCAAUACGAGGUUAUCCAAACAUUAAAACCUGAACAUUCUGUGCUUCAUGAUUGACCUGGAAAUGAAGUGUCAUCAGUUAUAUAAGUAAAUCCAGUGAAAGCUGGUCUGGAAAAAACAGCUGCAGCACACAUAAUUAGACAGCCAAAUAACUUGAGUGUUAAUACACCAAUGGCCCUUUCAGGACGGGGGAAAAACACUCCACAUCAAUAAUCAUAUUUCGCAUUUCACAUACAAUGGGGAACAAUAGAACAACCCUUUGUCUCUAUGAGGGUUGAAGGUCUAGCAAUACUCUGUCAAGAUCCCAUCCAUAAUUUUCCCAACACCAAACCGCACACCCACAAUAAAACCACCCCAUUCUCAGCCCCAAGAAAAGGUGUUGAAUUUACAAACGAGGCGCAUUUAAAUGCUGUCAUAAGAAGCGCCGGAUGUUGUUGGUGUGAGUCACAUUCUGCUAAUGACAUAAACAAAAGAUACCAGGUUCAUGGUGAAGAUGCCCCUUGAACUUCAAAAGUUGCCAUCAUAAAAAGCAAAGGAGAAAUUAAAUCAGAAAAAGGGCAAUGACGCAAGGGCAUAAUGUCACAAUCCGCUAAGAACAAUUUUCAGCAAGAAACCAGAAAACAAAAAUGCAAUUUUAAAUCAUUUGUGUUAGGACAAGAUGUUCUACUCCUACUAAUACUUUGAGAAAAGGUAUAUUCUGAUGUUUACGCAACCUAUGAUCCUAUCAUAGGCCACAUGAAUGUCUGCUUCUCAAAAAAUCACCACUUGUCAUGGAGAGAGAAUCAAUGGGACAUGAUUUUAAGGUGGGUAUCAGAAGUUCUGCAACAGGUGCCUAGAAAAGUACACCGGACCACUCUGUUUAAUAAAGCUGAGACAAAAAGCAUAAUUUAGACAUCUUGGAAUUGGCUCCAUCCUACAAUAUAUCUGGCCCAGUAGUCUGACUAAAGAGGAGCUGCUUCAUUUGAUUAAAGAGAGACGGACAGAAACAGUGCACAAUUGAUAUAUAAUCUAUCGUAAAAUGUAUUAGCACUUUAAGAUUACAAAACAUAAAAUUUGGGCUUCAAGUCCCUUAAAAAGUUAUAUGUCCAGACCAUAAACAUAAUUAACAAUCCCAUAAAAUUUCCAGCAAGUAAACUUUGUAAUAAAUGGUCGGAUGUCUUUACCCACUACAUUUAAGUAUAUGAUCAACUCAAAGCUCCAAAACUUAACAUGCACAACUCAAUUCCCACAACUAGAGACUUCAAUAAUUGGUGGUCCGCAUAAAGGGCUGUUUGCACCCCAUUCUGCUUGUGUUUUGUCUAUGGGUUGAUUUGCCAAAAAUGUAAGAAAACGAGAUGCUAGUAUGGUAAUUGUAAAUGUAAACAUGACAGCCAUAGAAAGUUCAAGAUCCAGAUAAAGAGUCUGGACUCCUCAAGGUAGAGAUAACUCCUAAUAGACCAAAACAGAGCAGUUGGAAGAACACGAUAGAAAAUAAAACAAUAAAAUUCACAAGUCCCAGCCAUAACAAUUUUAUAAUUUAUCUUACCACAAGAUCAAGUCUGCAAAAGGACGCCAUAGCCGCUCCCAUAGAAUGGCCUGUCACCAUGACAUUGAUGUCUCCAUAUAAAUCCUUGGCUCUCAUAACAUCAUCCAAAAUACCAGGUCGAAAUGUUAUGUUGGGAUAAGCAUAAUAAAAUCCAUGAUGAACCUAAGCAAAGAUCAAUAGAGUAAGACUGUAACUCAAUCCAAAUUAGAAAUAUAUACAACUUGCAAGAGGCUUAUCAUCUAGAACUCACCAUGGCACCAGGCAUGCCAGGGUAGUUUAUGUUGAGCUGUUUCUAGUAGAGAUCUUCAACCCAAUUCUGUAUGCUGUAGACAUAAAUAGAAGUAACCACUAACUGAUAAGCUCAAAUGACACAGCAGCAACAUAAUUUUUCACAGAACAAGAUUAGAUAAGUAUGUAAUCUCCUUAUGACUCCAUAAAAAUUACAAGCACAUAACUUUCAUGUCUAGGUGGAAACAAGUUACCCUUCUCCCUUUUAUAGACAGCAGACCCAUACACCUCGUGUAUGCACACAACAGAGACUGCUCUUAUUAUAGCUUAAAUUUUCAUUAAAUCCAUUGCAUGUCGAUUGUAAGGGGAAGCAUUGCUAAGGUUAACAAGCAUACCUAUGUUCUUGAGUACCUCUGAAAGCUAUAACCACAGCAUUAAGGUCCUUGGCCACCCCAACAUAUGCCUACAAAUAAUAUAUAUUGGUUUAGAGAUAGAAACAAACAAUUAGAUGCAAUUCAAACAAAGAGGCAUCGCAAGCAUUGCAAAUUGGUAGGCCACUGCAAGACGAAUUAUACACCUGUAAGCAAUGCUGGAUGUCAACUACCAAUUUAGUGACUUCAAACCCCUGCUUUCAGAUCAAAAGGCAUUAAUAACCAAUUCAGAAGCUACAGACGGGAGACAGCAUAUGCCCACAAAAUCUUGUCUCAAGAAUUGGCCAUUUAGUACUGAGGAUUUAUUCUUCAUGCGACCUUAGCAACAAAGUCAUAUGAAAACAUAUUGAAUUACUUUCGUCUUUCCAUCACAUCUGGGACAUGUCCAACUAAAAAGUUCUGUCAAAUCUGACAUGUAAACCUGCAAAAUAAAAAGCUCUGUAUCUAAUUACAAUUUUAUUGUUUCAAAAUGGGAAAACAUGAAAGGGUAAUAACAACAAGUUCCAGGUAAAUGCAAAAAUCUUUAUAAAGAACACUUAUGGCAGAUGCAUACUGCACCAAAAUUGUGGCAAGAGUGCAGUUAUAAACAGCUUUAUGAGCCUUGGAUCUUACUCUAAGUUCUGCAUAUACCAGUUGAGAGAAUUUCAGAUUGAAAAUGUGGUCGCAAGCUCAUUUAAUUACAAAAAUUGAAGCAAGUUUCUUACGUCUCUUGCAAGCUAUUUCGACAAAUCAAUGAGGGGAACACUUUGAGGAAACAUACAACUCGAAGUGAGGGGAACACUUUGAGGAAACAUACAACUCGAAACAAUAUUUGAGUAUAUCUUUGGCUUCCUUCUUUGUGAACUUAAAGAACAAUAUACAUGAUGCGAUGUGAUGACGAAAGGGGAAUAAGUAAACAACAUAAGGCUCCACUUUCCCAUAAAGCUACUCCACUACAAACCCACAGGCUACAACAGUCCACUACUGGACUGGAGAAAAAGCUGAUUAGCUUAUAUUCAAUAACUGAGGCACUCAACAAACUUUAUCCCCAAAGAAGAAACGGCGGAAUAAGAUCUGUAUCGGACAAAUAUAACGAAACUUGAUCGAGCUGAUCAAGUUCCAGGCAUAGCAUUGAUCUAAACUCGGUAAUCUAAGGGGCUUACAAAACCAACUAACUAUAACACCGGGCUCUCGUUAGUUAUAUGCUGCGUAAACAUCCAUUUGUACAAAGUCAACGAUUGCCCCCAACUCUGAAAUGCCUAAUCCCCCAAAUUCCCAACACAAAUCUCACCGUUCAAGCUCAAAAACCGACGUGCUCAAUUCUAGAGCCUGUCUAUUCGCACCUUAUCACUAUCAAAACUUCCGAUCCAAGCUGAUUACAUGAACGCGAAUUGCAAUCACCUCCCGCCCCACUUGUGCCAAUCAAGCUUGUCAGAACCACCAUCGGCCUCAACCGUGACCCGUUCUGCUCCAUACUCUUUACGAUCUUUCCCGAUUUGCCCCUGGGAUCUUCUUCCGUUGGCGGCCAUAUUCUGCGUCGCGUUCCGUGAUUUCGUCGUUUGCGAGAGGGCACUGAAGGAAGUUCCGCCGAAAUCGAGACGUUUUACGAAGACCCGCACAGCGACGUCCACCGUCGGGUUCUUUUAGCCAAGAGAACGAGACACUUUUUUGGGGUUCGAUCUUCCCUCUUUCGGAGAUUCCCUCCCUUCGACGUCUCCACAUCAGCAUUUUGACUGGCUGGGUUCAAUUUAUUUGGUUCACACUAAAUUUUAAAGAACAUGCUAAAUUAAAGUUAAUACUAUCUAUCAUUUUAUUUAUAACUAUGGAGAUACGCGAAAAUGCAAUUGGUCCAUUAUGGCCGCAGGCCUCUCGAGUUGAGUGUUUUCAUAUUCAUCAUCCAAUUGAUCUAGCACACAACUUGUUCAAAUUCUAGCAAAGUAUAAUUGAACUCCAGUAAUCAACGAGUUGAGCAUAAUUGUGAAUUACAGAACCCACUUAUCUUGGGUUGAGAGUUCAAUAAGGCAACUUGGUAUUGUGUAUUAAUUCUCAAAUAGUAUCUCUGAAUAUUUAUGUUGAACUGGAUUUUUUUAUAGAUAAAAGUACCCAUAGUUUUUUAAAAUUGAGUCAUUUUGUCUAAAAGUUUUUGGACUAUUAUGAUGUGGACACAUUUGAAAUGGAUCGACGUCCUAAAAAUCAUGGUAUUGUCAUCCAUAAUUGCUUAAUUGAAUAUAUGAGUCAUACAAUUGUCGAGAUUGUAUACUUUACAAGUCAAAGAACAUGAAACAAAAGAAAACGUCCCUAAACCUUGAGAACAAAAGUUAAUAGGAUUUUUUCACCGGCCAUGUGAGAAGUAAAAAGAGCAUGUAACCUCUGACAAUGCAAGUCACAAAUGAAUUUUUUAAGAACGCAAAUGGUGUCAAUAAAAUUAUUUUUAUUUCGCAUUUAACUCACAAUAAUAGCACAAAAUAAAAAUCCCAAUGCGUGGUAUGCGCCAUGUUUGGUGGCUUUGGCAAUUUAUAGUUCUAGUGGCAUAUACUGAUAAAUUAGUUCACGAAACAAAAGUGAACAUGAAGAAAAAGUGAAAUUUAUGAGAUAUUAUUGUGAAGAGUAAGAUGAUCAAUUUUAUAGAGAUCAAUCUUCAAAUCUUUUCAUUCGAGUUAACUCAAAUUUUAACCACGCAUUUUUUUUUUUCGUAGGGUCAUGCACUACUCAUUUACUUUGAAAAGAAAUAAAACUGAGCUUGAAAAAUUCUCAACCCACGCCCAAGCGUGGUAAAGCAAUGGUAAAGAAAUCGCGCCAUCUUCCAGAGCGUAUAGCCUCUUAUCAUUUUGUGGAUUUGCUACCUCAAGCAAAAAGACUGGACUUUUAGGUAGCGAUUGUUUGUGUUCUUUUUUACUAGUCAUGAACACAAUUUUUAUUUUUUUGUUUCAGGGAACAAAAAAAGAAUAGAAACGCGUUUGUUUAAGUUUUUGUUCCAAAUUUAUUUUUUUGUUCCUGAGAACAAAUUUUGAAUAGAAACAAAAAAAAUAAGAAAAACUUGUUUCUUAUUCCUGGAACAUUUCUAAGAAAUAAUUUUUUUCUCUCCUAUUUUUUUCUCUUUCUUUUCUUAUUCUUUUAUCUUUGGCCGGUCGCCAGCCUCGGCCAUGGCCAGUGACGCCGGCGACCUCACCGAAGCGUUGCCAACCCCCGGCAAGGUCGAGCAUCGCCGGCCCCUGGCGAGGCCAAGCUCGCCUAGCCAAGGCGAGUUUGAGCCUCGCCUAGCCACGGCGAGCCUCGCGGUGGCUAAGCGAGGCUGCCAGCCAAAAGGAAGAAAAAAGAAAAAAGGAAAAAAAAUAAAAAUAUUAAAAAAUUAAAAGAAAUAAAAAAAUUAUAUAAGUUUACCAAAUGUGUUUAUAUUCUUAAUUUAUUCUAAAAACAUAAAUUUUCUGCAGUUACCAAAUGCAUUCUUUUGUUCAAAAAUUGUUUCCCAGAACAGAAAUAGUUUUUUCUAUUUCUGUUCCCCAGAACAAUUUUUGAACAGAAACGUUACAAAAUACUCCCUUAGCAUAUCUAUAGGGCUACAAUGACAAAAAAAAGUAGGACAAAACAAGGAAAAUUGAAAAAUCAAAUUAAAGUAAACCAAAUUUUCAGUUCGGGUCAUAUUUGAUUUAGGUCGCGAUUCAUUUCGGUUCGAACCAAACUGUUGACAUCCCGAGUUACAAUGAUAGACUCAUACACCUAGUGUUAGAUUGAGUUGAUAUGCUCAAACGCAACCUUCCGUAACUAGUGCACUCCCUUGGUGGCGACACCAAGAAUGAGUAAUUGUACUUCCUAACUUUUUUUAUUUUAUUAAAAAUAAAAUCGCAAAAAUCGUGACCAGUGCAGCGAGGCCAGGUCAGACCAAUCCUCGAGCCCUGGGUCCAUCUAAUGCACAAGUCAAUCCUGGCUUGAAUUCCCGCGGGGGGAAACGAAAGUACUUCUCCCCUACUCUUUGUUUUUUGUUUUUUUUUUUUUUUUUGGUCUAACAUAAAAUUUCAUUCACUCAGAAGAGCAAGGAACACAUGAUUCAAGGCAUAACACAUGGCGACCCCAAUCGGUGGAUACUUUUGUGCUAAUAUAACCUCACAGAACAUAUAUCUAUACGUAUAUACUUUUGUCUUAUCAGACUUCAUGCUGCGCAAUGCACUAGUAGAGCGGAGGAUCGAUACAGCAAGCGCCGAUCUGCAGAACCGAAUGAAGAACGGGGGUUUUCCCCCUUUUUUUUGGACUUUCCUUGUGAUUAAAAGCUUCAUCGAUCACCUCACACCAUAUACAAAGUGGGAAACGAUGGCGAACAGAGCCUGUCCAUCUUGCUCUGUUUCUGUCUUCACAUACACUGACUUCUUAAGUUGGCAAGGGCUUCCAUUCGUCUGGAAUGUUGUGGUUAAGAUACUUGUGGUUAAAAAAAAGGUAGGCUUUUGCUUUUGGUUUUCUAUAUUUUGAAUUUAGUGUUUUACCCAAAACCGUAAUUUAUAAGGAAAGGUUCUUGUUAAUGAAUGUCUUGGGGCAUUGUUGAGCACGCUUAAAGGGGAAAUUUUUUAUUUCCAGAGUAUUGAUUACACAUAAAAUAAGAAAAAACAAUGUACGAGAAAAUUGUAGUAUCUUUAUUAUUGAGUUACUUAACAAGUGUCCCAGGGGCACUAUUCAACAAAAUCCCUGAGAAAAAGAUUCCACGAUGCCUCACAUGCAAGCCGAUCUUUACAUAUGAAGCACAUAAUCUAUACGUCAACUGGAUGCAGGAAUAAAGGCAUUUAAACAGAGGUAGCAAGAUGGAAGAAAAUGAGGGAGCGCCAGGAUUUAAAAUCGUAACAUGCGGUAUGAUACCAAUUUUUAUAAUCCAUUUUUGUCCAAAAGCUUACACUGCAAACAAGCAAGUUCUGUGUAUUGCAUAUUGAUCUUUGAAGACGCUCUGUUUAAUACCGAAAAAAUAUACUUCCGAGAUAUGUCUGUCUUAAAGAUCUUAAGUUGGUCAUCUCUUAUGUAUAUGAAAUCCAAAUGCCUGAUUGUUUUUUGUGAAUGAAUUUGCAGGCUGCCCAGGCAAUCUGCAAGCUUGGUGAAGUAUUGGGUGAAUCCCUGUCUCCUAGUCAUCAAGUUUUGCGCAUAUCUCUUAUGGAAGAACUUCCAGGUCGAUUACGGGAGGUAAGAAAUGUCUUGGACUUUUUUACAGGAGAGGCGAUGUGUAGUUUGUCUUCUAAAGUACUGACGCAAUGGCAUGAAACUAGAAUAGCAGGAAUAAAGGCUGAAUUAUGUCACAUACCUUGCCAGUUAAACUUCUUUGCCUUCUUAUGACAAAAGAAGAUAAUAAUAAUAAUAAAAAACAACUUCCUUGCCUUCUCAGAUGUUAAUCCGUCAAUUCCUUCCUACAAUAUUGUAGGGGAAGGAGGCUCUCUUGUUUGCCUUGGGUGCUCUUUCAAAGUCUUGCCAUCAAGCCAUCUCCAAGGAAGAUCCCAACGCUGCUGGUGCUCUUCUGGAUUUGCUAUCCUCUGCAUGCACAAAAACGGACAAGAAAUACUGGAAAGUGGUACUUUUAAGCCUUGAUCAGGUAAUUCCAGAUUAUUGUGUGUUCGCGAAUGCAAUUGUCUUCAAUUAGAAAAUGUGGGGCUUUUACGAGCUCUCACAUCAAGAAACUUUCCAGCCGUACAUUUCGGAAAGUGCUGUUUCAGGUCAAUUUCAUCUUUUUAAUUCCCAACUAAAAUCUGCCCCCAACAUCCCCCUUCCUCUCUAAUGAAGAUCUUGAUUUUUUCAUGGUUUUUCAGAUUAUAAAAGCAUUUGGCAAUCAUGAGUUCUUCAACAUGGUUUUUCCAAAAUUGUUUGACAUGUGCAGUUUAGGCACUUCUGAUAAAUCUGGACAAGCACAUUCAGCAAGCGAUUCUGCUAAAUCAGGUUCAUCCAUAUUUCUAACUUGUAACUGUCCAGCUUUCAGGAUUUUGAGUUGUCCUGCAUUGCAACCUUUGAAUUCCAUAUCAUAACUUUCUCUCGUUGUUAAACUGUGCAUUUUACAUGGCAUGGUUGAUAUGUGCAGACUAUGAUGGAAAAGAAGAUUCUUCUGUUCCACUAGAAAAAGUACUGGACUGUAUCCCAUCAUGUAUCCAUGUGGCGUAUAUUGAUGAUAUUCUUGAAAAGAAAAAUAACUUGGAGCACCUCUGCAUUGCCUCUCUCUCACCUGAGUUGUCAUGGACUGGUACCAUCAUAACCAAAUCUUUCUUAGGUAAAUGCAGCAUGGAAAGUGUUUCUAUUAACCGUUUCAUCAUGCAGUCAAAAUAUCGGCUUUUCUAUCAAUUAAGGGACUCUGCUCAAGGAUUCAUGACAUUUUGCUUGAUUCUCAGCAAGCUUCUCAACAUGCAAAUGCAGCAUCUUUGUUUCAUGACAUAAUUAGUAUCCACUUUCUAACAAUAUUGCUGAGGAACAGGGUAACUAAGGGAUGAUAUCUCUAACUUUGGUUAAGGAAAAUAGCUUUCCUUUAUUAUGAUGGACAUGUUGCACUUACUGGCUUUAGAAUCAGUUGUCAUUCUGUUCUCCAAAUUCCUUAUCUGGAUUCUGAUCAUCUGUUUUUCCUACGCAAGUUUAAGCUGUUUUCUUCGAUGUUACCCAAAGUGGCAGACUGCAUAGCCACUGUUAAGAUAGCACAGGUAUUUCUUCACUUUCCCCUUUGUGGUGGAAAUUGCCUUUGCCUUCAUCUUCGUCAAAACCAUCUGAUCUUGUGUGGCUUUCACCUAGAUGUAGGAUUGUAGCAUUAUUAAGUCCUAUGCAUAUAUAGGUGACAUUACUCCAGUAAAUAAGAGUUCCAUUAAGUUAUCCAUCAAGAGUUCUGGAGUCUAGAUAGCAUACAUGCCUUCACAAUGUGAAGAAGUAGAAUUUUUCCUUGUCUUUAAUUUUUCAAGUUUCAAUGGUUCUUCUGAUGAGGGCUCUGUAUUAAUCAGAUUGCUGCGUUCAGCUGAUGUUUUUCUUGGAUUCAAUUCCAUUCUGACUCAAGGCACUAGAGGCAUUACCUUUUACUUGGCUUACAUUUUUUAUGAUGAUUCCUUACUAAGUAGAUCAGCCAAACCAGAGAGAUCAGUUGAUAGCACCCCAAGGAUAUUUAUGUAUUAAUCAUCAUAGCCAUUUCUUGUAUGUGCGAGCAAGAGUAAGUAAAUAUUUUGCAGGGAUUAUAGUUGACAUGGAAAGUGGACCACUUAAGAGUUAUCGAUCAUCUUAGAUCAUUCUUGCAGAUGCAUUUUAGAUGUUCAUCUUGCACUGUGGACCAAUAAUCUAUUUGAUACUUUUUCAAAUUUAGGUUCAUGUCAGUGCUUCAGAGUGCCUUUUGGGGAUGAUCACCCUUUGCAGGGAGCUUCCUUCAACGUUCUGGACAGAUGCAGGUUCGAAGGGUUUGCUGGUUCAUCUACGUGAGGUGGAAAAAAAUGAACAAGCCAAGUCCUUGCUUAAGAGAUGCAUCCAUUUACUAGAGACUUCUUAGAGGAAAAUGUGGAAGCGAGUUGAUUUCGAAGAAAGGUGAGUAGAGAGUUGUAGCCACUGCAGGUGAAGUAUGAUAAAUGGGUAAAAUCAGUAAAAAGCUGAAGUGAGGAAGUAAAUAUAAAAUGGGUAAUGAUCGAUCUUGACUGUUUGGUGAAUCAAGGCUAACACCGCCUUAGCAACCUUUUGGAUAAACUAAAAUGUUCGACCAAAGGAAGAAGCAAGAAUUAAGCAAGCAAAAGAAGAGCUUAGCUAGACAUGUUUUAGGAAGUACACACGUUGGUCCUGCAUAUCUCAAGCGUGGACAGAUUUAAAUAGAUAUUGCACAGGCUUGAUAUCUUUCAUUUAAUGAGCCGACUACUUUGUUCUUUUUUACUGUCGUUCAGCUCUGUACGUUCAUAUUAGCAAACACCAAAUAAUUCUGAACUAACCAAUCCGAUUUUCAGUGCAUAAGAUGAUCUUUUUUUUCUCCUGUUCGAACAUGAGCAUACUAUUGUUUUUGUUUUUUUCAUUGUUUUUGGUUAUUUAGUUAGAAUGAAUUUGUGGGAGCAAGAAUCCCGAUCCAUCUAAUGAUUGGUGAUCCGAUGCAGCCUGUUACGCCUCACUAGUAAAUUCUCCAUGAAUGGAGGGACAUUUCUUUGGUCUCGUCCCUGAAGCCUCGCCAUAGACAGAGACACCGUGCGGACGACGUGUUCAUGAACAAAGAUUUAUUGCUGUGGUUGCAGAACACUAACACAAGCGAUCAUCCAUUUUCCUGCUUUGACAGGAGAAUCUGGUGGGGACAGAACUGCUGCUUUCACGUGCAAGUACACAGACUGAAGGGACUGAGGAAUCUAUAUAGAUUAACGCUUGUAUACUGUGCACUUAGGAUAGUCUGGGGUUUCUUAAUCGGGUCUUUCUUACAUUAUAAAACUUUAGUUUAGACUGGGAGAAAUUUGAGGGCAAAAAGUAACGCUCUCGGUGUAUGAUCUUUCACAUGGACUGUCUACCAUCUUAACUAAGAGAUUAAUUUCGGUAUGAUGUCGUGAAUGACCCUAUAUAUAUUCUGACAUCUAAACAAACUAUGUCAGGUUCCUUCAUUGUAGGGUGAUUCUUUCAUCUUUCUUUGCUUGAGAAGAUCUUUACCUCGAUCCUUCCUUUCUACUUUUGAAGAUACGCUUUUCUUCGCUGCUCAAGCACCUAUUCUCAAAAACCUGAUCAUUCGAUGUGUUUAGUGUUAUUGCAUAAAGUAAAAUUUGUCAAAAAUUCUGAGGAAGUUCGACUCCUAGGUGAACAUCUGCUGGUAAAAUAAUCUGAAUUUUUUAAAAUUGCGAGUGUUCUAAGAAAAAGGAUCCAAAAAUCUAAUGCUAAGCUUCUUAUUCUAAUGUAUUAGACAUUAGCAAUUCAAACCCAAUCGAGGUGAUGAUGUGAAUAGCAAAGCAUUUGUUUCUUUAACGUUAUAACUUGUUGGGGCUUCCAAGCUUGCUUGGCUAAUUCAAAUGCGCUUGGAUUUUGGCUUGUUAACUCAGGUUAUAGCUGACCAAAAAAAAAAAAAAAUCAGAUUAUAGCAGAAAGAGUGAUAAAAGAAGACAAGAAAUCGAUGGAAAAUGAGGAAAAAAGAAAGUGCUAUUUCUUUCUAUGUUUAAUUACAUUAAAUUUGAAGGAAAAAAAUUAUGUCAAAUAUUCAAGGAUAAAACGUAUACUCGUGUGCAUGCAUGGUCAUCUAAUCAACGGAAAAUAUCACUUAACUUAUAAAUUUGAUUAAUUGAAAAUCAUCAAAAAGUAAAAACCCAAGAAUAUAAACAAAAAGCACCUGGAUUAUUUUUUAGUUUUGUAUGUUGAUCUUUAUUCAUUCUAAAGUCCUUUUUUUUUUAUUUGCAUGUUGGGGAAAAGGACUUUUGUGCAAUUAUUCAAGGCUAAACAACCAUUUGGCCAGAUGAUUCUUAAUUUGUCAUGAUAUCCUACAUUGUGUAAAAUUUUCAAUAGUUAGCAAAUUUGACAACAAUAUCAACUUUUUUUCUGUUUGAAUUACUCGUAGCAGAUUCAAAGAAGAUUUGGCAUGAAGUUGGACGCCUAUGAUGUGUGAAACUUAUGCUUUCUUUUACUGUGAAAAUGCAAUUUUACAUGACAUUGCCUGCAGAUUAGACUCUUUGAUGUCACUCUAGCACUGAAAACACAAAUUACAUAGUAGGAGCAUGUUCAUCAAACUAGAAAAGUCUUUAUUUAGUUGUGUGGAUAAUAUGAAACAUAAGAAAAAGUAAAAAGAAAAAAACAAAAAGCAGUUCCUUUUCCCAUUCGAGAGGAAAUUAAUAUGUUGGUCCAAAGGGGAAGCAAUUUUCUGAUAUCUUUCUCUCUCUUCUUUCGUCUCUCUUAUUACUACGUCCCAAAUAAAGCAAAAGGAAGCCCCAAUUAGGAGGGGCCGGGGGGGGGGGGGGCGCGGGAUGGAUAGGCUCAUUUAAUUACAGCUUACAUAUUUACGUUUCUCUCUUUCUUAAUCUAGAAUUAAGAGAAAGAUAAAAAUAAACACGCCAAUUGAAAUAGUUUGAUAUAAUUGUCCCAGUUUAUCUAGAAUAUAGUUAAGUGGAAAAAAAAAAUACAAAUACUCAUGGAUAAGCACAAGGUGCAUGAUUCGUCUCUGCCCAUAUCUAUAGACUCUCUAACCGAGAGAGAGAUCCAUUACUUCCAAAAUUGAUUCUCCUUUGAAGUUUGUGAAAAUAAAAUGGUUUUCACUAUGUUAUACACAAUUGAUGAUAAUUUAAUUCAGAUUGAGAGAUAGUAAAAGUUAUAAAUUUCGCUUAUUUGAUACGAUGUUGCUUUUCAAAUCACAUAUUUUCCCUAAUUCAUAAUACUAUCGUUAAGAAGAUUUUUAUGUUCCUUGAUGACUUCCUCUUUCCUCUUUUCAUCUUUUGUUUCGUGGCAUGGCGAGGCCACCUUGAGCGCGGCGGAAGAGAGUGACUACAUGAGAGGACAGCAGCACCGUGGUGCCAGAAGGAGGGGCAGAGACAGAGGGAAUUAUGGGUAUUUGUCAGUUUUUGGGUUCAAUAUUUUCUUAAAUAUCAUGGUCUGCAUUUUGUUUUUGGUGAAGUUGCUAAAAAGCUUUUCAUGUUUGCUGCCUGGAAUAAUGGCAUCUAUUAAGUGAAGCCCCUUAAUGUGAAUUUAUGUCUAGGCGUGAGGCGGCCCCACUCAGAUGUAAUGUCAUCUAGUAAGCAAGGCCUUCGCGGCCGGCGAGGACCUCAUCCACAUCUGGUGAUAGCCCCCGCCCAGGGGCCUUUGCGGCCCUUGAGGGACUUGGAAUUAAAAAAUAGAAAAAUGAAAAAAAUAAAAAGAUUCAAAAAAAUAAAAAAAUUUAUAAAAAUUGUCUACAUUAGUAAUUUUUGACAAAAAUUACUAAGAAGAACUGAAUUAGCAAAUUGUUAAAAGGCUUAAAAUUAAAUUGGUCAAUUAAAAAAUUAAAAACUAAAUUGUCAAAGGGUUUCAAACUUUUUCGUAAUUUUCCCGAAGCUUAUAAGACAUUUGCUAGAGUUGACACUUCAACAACUAACACUUACUGAAGAAUUCGAGUGACCUUUUCUGGAUGCGUCUUUUCAUGCAUUAGAGCCUCUCGGUAAAUCCCAAGUUGAAUGCCUAUCCAUGAUCCACGAUGUAAUUACCCGUUGCAGUGUUCAUCCAUCAAUUAUUCGAGAGACGUGCUCCAAAAAAAAAAAAAAAAAACUGAGGGUAUGUACAAUGAUCGAUGUGAUGAUUUUGGUAUUUGAAACGUAUCAUGACUAUAUCUCUAUUAGCAGUUUUCAUUGUGCCAAGUUUGCAUAUAACCGCUUAAGCCAAAAUCAGAAAAUCUAUGGCUUGGAAGAAACUGAAAGUCCAUUCAUCUACCGUCCUUUGUUAUCCCCAAGACUUCCCACCUUGCUUCAAUUAUAUGAACAAUCCUAACUGGACCAACCGAUAUCACUCCCAGUCUAUUCUCGUCAAUGGAUUUGCGCGCAUUGUCAAGGCAUCCUCUGCUGUGCAAACCGAAGUGCUUGCUUUGCUGGAAGCUAUUUGGAACUAUACUCAGAUCAAUAUAUCUGAUAUGGUGUCUAACUAGAGCGAAUUAGCCCUUGGGACUACUCUUUAGCCCUUGGGACUACUCUUUUCAGAUUUAAGAGUGGCCCAUUGUAACACAGAAGCAAAUAAGGUGACGAAUUGGAUUUUACAUCCUCUCAAACCCUUUGAGCUCUAUUAUGUUCUGAAGCUGCUCCUUGUAUGGUCAAACAAUUUAUUACUGAAUGGUUAUUAUCCUCCUGACCAAAAAGAGAAAAAGAAAGCAAGGUCCUUUUCUUUUUGCUGGCUCACCAUUCCGUUCUCUCUCUCUUUUGUUCCUCUCUUCUAUCCAUUGUAGAAGAACUGUAACAUCGGUCAAAGGCCCAUUUGACUUUAAAAGACUACUCUUUUCGGUUAUAUAUGCCUACUUUUUUCUCAAUUUGGCUUCACAAAUGGUGGAAGAGGAGAGCUCCAAUGAACCAAAGUUAUUGGGCCUUCAGAGUGUAGAACCAUUAGUCACUUCGGAGAAAAUAAUAUGUCUAGUUUGAUUUAACAUGCGGUCCUUAAUCUAAGUUUCUGAAUAUUCAGGCUUGGACUGUGGCCAUGAUGGACGGGACAUUUCGCAAGAAAAAGAAAAAAGUGGCGUCUACAGUGGCAGAAGGAACAAGAGACAAUAGCAAUGCUGAUCCUGAAGAGGUACUUGAUUUGUGAGUAUGUUUGUAAGGCUGAAUAGAAAUGGUCGGGGAUGCAGAAGGGAAUGAUAAGAUCCAGAUUGGGGUGCAGGACCAUUGUGAUAGGGAUUACGUUAUGCUAGUCUUCAUGAAUUCCCGUUUCUCCAAAGAAAUGCACCAUGCCUAAGUGACUGUCAAUGGAUGAACUCAUUUCAUAAUUCAUGUUGGGGCAAUGCAAAGACCCUACAGUAAAACAUUUGUAUUGUAACUGUAAACCAAGGCGUUCCUAGAUGAUUUUCUGGUGAAGUAGAAGUUCCUCCAGUGAAUAUUAACAUAAUCAUAUCUAUGUGCAGGAGGCCGAGGCUCAUUCUGCAGCUGUAGUAAUUAGAAGAGCGGUUAAAUUGAAGAGUCAGGACUGGAUUGAAUCUUUUCUUCCAUGAUCAUAAAGAGUCUCUUGGGAUGCAGUCAAUCUAGUGUCUCGUUCUGUUCUCAGCACCCAAAGUGUUGAACGGAAUGACAUGUUGGAUGUUUCAAUUAUGAUAGCACAUGAAAUUCCAGGAAUCGAAUCUUACAGAAGGCUCCAAUCAUUCACCCGGUCAGCUUAAUAAUGAAUUUUGUCAUUUUAUGAUUUGAUUGAAUAACAACAAUAAAUCUGGUAAAAAGUGCAUUCUUUUCAACGGCCAGAUGAGCAAAAAAUAGUUUAUACACAAGAUUUAAACGAAGUUCUAGGCAACCCAUGGGUUGGGCAAGUCUAUCAAUUGAAGUGAAGAUUAGUCCCACGACAUGUUUUAUUUUCUCACUCUUGUACGUAAACGAUCUCAAGUUUGAAUAUCUACUUGAAAUUAUCUUGCAUUGUAGUCCAGCACCACUACAUUCCUAAUGCGCCUCACGCUCAAGACAGAUUCUUGAAUAGAGUCCGAAAGCGUGCUAAUUAUGCACAUGAAAAAGAGAAACUCCCCUGCACCUGCCUGGUCGCCAAAUGCGCUUGUUUUGACAUUAGCUAAUGUUUAGCUUAAUGACCCAAAUCAUUUAAUUUCAGAUGAAUAGAAAUAAAGCAAGUUUUUUUCUUUUUGCCUUCUUUUUCCCUUGUUAAUUCAUAUCCGAAAGCAUUAACCAAUGGAGUCGAUAGCCGCAUUUUUGCAAAAAAUCAUCUAAAGGAGAGUCUUUUCAUACUUGAGAUCCAACAUAAAUCAAGUCUUCUAUUAAUCAACGUCUAUGAGCUUAGACCCUUGUGCUAAUGCUUUCUUUAAGACUUAGACUUCAUGUAAUGUGAACAAACGUUGGUAAGAAAUGCGCAACGUUGUUGAUCAAGGACCGUCCAAAUAUUUUGAUCGAUUACAUGGGGGCUCUCAACCAACCGCAAUUAGGACAGCAAAAAGAAAAUGAAGGAAGCAUCUUGGAAUUGCAGGUGAAUCUUAUUUUAUGCAUUAGGUGUUGAACGACUUGAAAGAAUCCAUCCACGUUAUUUCACUAAUGAGCGUUAAUUUAUCCAUUAGGAAAUUGCAUUAUCAACUUUGGCAAGCUGUAGUGAUGGUGCAAUGUUGUCAUUGACCAAUCCUAGCAAGCUGGGCCGCAACUUCAGCCAAUCCUAAAUUUCCUUGUAUCUUCUUAUUUGUAUCAUAUUCUUGUUCCCUUGCUAUUGUCGCAUACAUUUAAGCUUGUCCCCGAUUGAAAGCUUCUCUGCAGUAUCCAUGGAAUGGAUGGUAUUGGACACACGGCUAUUACCAAAAUCAUAUACAAUUAGCUUUCACAUGAUUUAGUAUUGUUACUUUCUUUUCCAAUAUCCGAGAAAGUUCAAGUAUGAAGGGUGUCAAUCAUUUGCAAAAUCAUUUAAUCUCUAACAUCCUUAAAAAAAGGAAAUUGACAGGUAUAAUGAAUAUUAAUGAAGGGAUCAACAAUUAAAAAUAGCCUAUCUAAUAAAAGAGUUCUCCUACUUCUCAAUAAUGUGGACAAAAAGAAUGAUAUGGAUUCACUUGUGAGUACACAUGAUUGAUUGGGUACAGUAACCAAAUGUGCUUGCUCUAGUUAGCUGAUGUUGAGCUAAAUAUAAAAAAUGACUUCAAUCAUUUAGGCUCUAUUUGUUUCACGGGAAAUAAUUUUAAUUUUUUUUUGAAUUUUAUGAUAUUUGCUUCACAAAAAAUAAACUUGUCAAGGAAAACAUUUUCCGUCAAUGGAAAAAACACCUUCAAAAGUGAAAAAAAAAAAAGAUUUCCUCUCUUUGAAAAAAUGAAAUUAUUUUUCCUCAUCUUUCUUUCACCCAGAUCAAGCACAUUCUCCUUUGUGCACUUCUUUUGAUCAAUUUUUUUUUAAAAUUUAUCUUUUUUUUUUCUUUCUUCUUCAAUUGGUCACUGGCCAUGACGAUGGCCAUCAACAGGCCGAGCGAGAAGAAUGACUUCCUGAAAAAUAUUUUUCAGAAAUGUCACAUUUUUUCCUAAAUAACUUGAGCCUUAAUUUCAAAUGAGCAGAAGUGUAGCAAGUUCUUUGAUUUUUUGCCUUGUUUUUCUCUUUAUAAGACAUAUCCGAAAGCAUUAACUAAGAGAGUUGAGAGCCGCAUCUUUUGAAAACAUAAUCUGAAAGAGAGAACUUCAUGAGAUUCGAUACAAAUCAAGUCUUUUUUUAAUCAAAGUCUAUGGGCUUAGAGCCUUCUGUUAAUGCUUUUUAAGACCAAGACUUUGUGCCAUGUAAACUAAUAUUAGAAAGAAAUGCCCGGCCACUGUUGAUCUAGGACUGUCCAAAUAUAUUAAUAGACUACAUAGGAAGCAUCUUGGAAUUGACAAUGAACCUUAUUGUAUGCAUUAGGUGUCGAAAAAAUUGGAAGAAUCCGUCCCCAUUAUUGCCACGAUGAACCUUAAUUUAUGUAUUAAGGUGUUAAAGAAACUGCAUUAUCAACUUUCACAGGCUAUAGGGAUGUUGCAAUGUUGACCAAUCCUAGCAAACCUGUCCACGACUCUCUACAGAUCUAACCAAUCCCGAAUUUCCUUGUAUCUUCAUAUUUGUAUCACAUUCUUGUUCCCUCGCUAUUGUUGCAACCAUAUAAGCUGUCCAGGAGUGAAAGGCUUCUUCUUUGCAAUAUCCAUGGAAUGGAUGGUAUCAGACAUACGGCUAUUUGCCAAAAUUAUCUACAAUUAGUUGUCACACAAUUGAACAUUGUUAUAUUCUUUUCCAAUUUCCAAGAAAAUUGAAACAUCAAGGGGGUCGAGUGCAUGCAAAAUCAUUUCAUCUCUAAUAUCCUUAAAAAGGAAAUUGACAAGCAUAAUGGAUAUUCAUGAAGGGAUUAACAAUUAAACAAAAAUUAUCUAAUAAAAGAGUUCUCUUUCUUUCUUAUGAUAUGGACAAGAAGGAUCAUAUGGAUGCACUUGUCGGUACACAUGAUUGGUUGGGUACAGUAACCAAAUAUGCAUGUUUUUACAUUAGCUAACAUUUAGCUAAAUCUGAAAAAUGACCCAAAUCAUUUAAUUUUAAAUGACUAGAAGUGUGGCAAGUUCUUUUCUUUUCACCUUCUUUUUCCCUUUAUAAUACAUAUCCGAAAGCAUUAACCAAUAGAGUUGAGAGCAUAACAAGUGCUGAAAAAGUUUAAACCUAUUUUAUUGGUACAUAUUCAGGUAUAAAUCUUUUAAUUGAACUAAUUUAAUUAUAAACCAUUUCGCAAUGAUGCCAUUUUGUCCAUUCGGCCAAAUUAGGUUGGAAAUCAUUGAUGUAGAUAUUAGCAAUCUUAUGUGCUACGACAAUACUGAUGUAGACAUUUUUUUAAUAAUAUUUUGAAUUUUAAAUUAAAAUUUAAUUGUUAUUUUCUUUUUUAAUUUUUUUUUCUUGGCCUUUUCUUUUUGGUAGUGGUCGAUCGUCGACCAUAGGCCAUGCCCAACAAGGGCGAGCCUCGCUUGGGGGAGGCUUGGCCUUGCUUGGGUGAGGGUGAGCGCCUACAAAGCCCCCCUCACCGAAUUUGACAAGGGUCGACUCUCACCCAGGCUAGGGUGGCGUAGUUAAGCAUUGCCUAGGCAAGGGUUGGCCUUGCUUGGCCUAGGCAAGGCUUGCUGGGCCUCGCCCUCACCCAAACAAUGCCUAGCGAGGUCGCCCUAGCUUACACAAGGAUCAAUCUUGCCAAAUCUAGCAAGGGGGGCUCAAUGGCGCUCGCCCUUGAGCAACCCCCCCCCCCCCCCCCGGGUCGCGCUGGCCAUGAGCCAUGGCCGAUCGCUAGCGACCGGCCACUAUAAAAAAUAAAAGGCAAAAAAAGGAAAAAAAUAAAUAAAAGAUUCAAAAUAUUAUUUAAAAUGUCCAUGUUAGUACUAGCUGUGUCACAUAGGACCACUAGCAUCCAUAUCACCAAUUUUUCGUUUAAAUUGAUUGGAUGAAAUGCAUUAGUAUCAAUGUGAAAUUUUUUUUUGAUUAAAUUGGUCAAAUUGAAAGAUUUAUAAGUAAAGUAGUAUCAAUGUAAUAGGUUUAGUACUUUUUUAUACUUAUUUCGUUGAAAGUCACAUCUUAAAUAUCAACUGAAAGAGAGAACUUCAUGAGAUUCGAUACGGAGCAAGUCUUUUUUAAUCAAAGUCCAUGAGCUUAGAGCCUUCUCCUCAUGCUUUUUUUUUAAAAAAAAAGAAAAGAUAUGGACUUUAUGUCAUGUGAACAAACUUUCGAAAGAAACGCCCAACGCUAUUUAUCAAGGACUGUCCAAAUAUAUCAAUAGAUUACAAGGGAAGCAUCUUGGAAUUGGUGACGAAACUUGUUAUAUGCAUUAGGUGUUCAAAAAUUUGGAAGGAUCCAUCCAUAGUGUUUCACUAAAGACCCUUAUUUUUUUUUUUUUUUAUGCAUUAGGGGUUAUAAAAACUGCAUUAUCAACUUUGAUAGGCUGGACUGAUUUUGCCACGUGAACAACCUUUCGAAAGAAACGCUCAACGCUGUUUAUCUAAGACUGUCCAAAUAUAUCAAUAGAUUACAAGGGAAGCAUCUUGGAAUUGGUGACGAAACUUAUUAUAUGUAUUAGAUGUUCAAAAAUUUGGAAGGAUCCAUCCAUAGUGUUUCACUAAUGACCCUUAUUUUAUGCAUUAGGGGUUAUAACAACUGCAUUAUCAACUUUGAUAGGCUGGAGUCAUGUUGCCACAUUCUUAUCGACCAAUUCUAGCAAAGUGUUCCCCGACUUUGCAUAUUUAGCCAAUCCUGACUUUCUUUGUAUCUUCAUAUUUGCUUCACAUUCUUUUUGCCUCGAUAUUGUCUACAAUAUCCUUGGAACGUGUGGCAUUGGACGGACUACUAUUGCUGAAAUCAUCUUUAUCAUCUUUCACAAUCUUCAACACUGUGCUUGCAGAUUCAUUUCAUCUCUUGUAGUCUUAAAAAGAAAAUUGGCAGAUUAAUGAUUAUUAAUGAAGGGAUUAACAAUUGAAAAUAGGCCAUCUAAUAAAAGAGUUCUCAUUUUUCUUAAUUUAACAUUUUAUAAGUGAAUAUAUAGAUUUAUAAAAAUAGAUACUAUACAAGCGUGAAAAUAUGAAUAGUUCUCAUUUUCUUUUCUUUUUUUAAUAAAAAUCAUUUCUGGCAAAAGUGAAAGUUCUUCGGAUCCCUUUAGCUUGAUAUUCUAGAGAACCUUGAACUUUCCACUUGCUAUUAAAAUUAACUGAACAUUCAACUUUAUCACAGAGAAUAUAAGCAUUAUGUUUAAUAUUAAGAUGUGAUGUGUUGGAAUAAUCAAAUAUUAAAUCACGCCUUAGUCUAACAAUUUAAGCUUUUAGAAUAGUUAGCAGUAGUUCUAUAAAUUCCCACAUGGUAUCAAAGCUAGAAGUCUUGUAUUCGAAUCUUUCUAGGCCCUUGUUGCCUCUCCAAUUCUCCAAUUAAAUAUUUGCAUGCUUAAUACUAGGCAAAAAGGCUAGACUACAUGUGAGGGGGAAUGUUGGAAUAAUUAAAUGUUAAAUCACACCAUCAUCUAACAGUUUAAGCUUUUAAAAUAGUUGAUAAUGGUUCCACAAAUUCUCACAUGAUGAAAUUUUAAUUUUCUUUAACAAUGUUCUAACCUUUCAACUUUAUCAAGUUAAUUUAGCUAUUGAAGGAAGAUGUCCAUAUUGUAGAUUUGAUAAAUAAGUUCAAUAGAUCAAUUCAAAGUUUGAGACCCCAACCCCUAGAGUGCCAAAACUUGGCACAGGAGUACUUAAAUGUCAAAAGUUAGGAAAUGUAUACUUAAAUAUCAAAAUUGAAGCAAAAUAAAUCAAUCAAGUGCUAAUGACAAGGAAAUCCAACUAAAAUGUGAAUGUGACGUUUUUUCGGAGAAACUAAUACAAAACAACGUCGUUUUAUACACUGACAUAGCUAGAUAAGCCCAAAACGACAUCUUUUUGUAUCGGAUUUGAAUUUUAAUACAAAUAUUAAUUAAAUUAAAUUUAAAACUAAAUUUAGAAUAUUAAAAAAAUGAUUGCAGCCCUCUCUUAGAUCCAACGAAGGUCGCUGGCCCUUCUCGACGACGGUGGGGCAGUCGUGGCGAGAGCUUGCACAGCUCUCAUCAUUUUGUAACUCCUUCCUAUUUUAAUUUAAUUUAAUUAAUAUUUAUAAGAGUCAAAACAACAUUGUUUUGACUUUUCUUUAAUUACUCAGCUUUCCGGUGAGUCAUGUAGGCGAGUUAUAUUAUUAAAAAAUUGCCUUAUAGGAUUUUCGACGAGAGUCAUUGGACUUGACACUCAGAUGUCCCAAUUUUCACAAAAAGUAGCACUUAAAUGUAUUCUUCAUAAUUUUUGACACUUAAAGUAUCUUUCAUACCAAGUUUUGGCACUUGUGUGGUUAUACUUAUGCCUUCAAAGUUUCUAUCUUCUUGGCCCCCCGUUUGACGUAUAAUAGCACUUGUUUUUUUUUUAAGUUAGUGUUAUUCCUUUUCAUUGCUUCUGCGACGACCACAAGCGCAUGGAUACUGUUCUUGGCCAAUGAAGUACGAAUUUUAAACCAUGUAUUCAUCUGUAAGAGCCAGAAACUUGCAUAUUAGUUAGGGAAGUCGUUGCCUACUGAUGAAAUCGUUGUACCUGUUGAACUCGAUCUGAAGUUUACUUGAAUGGUUCGUCCCUUUUUUAAGAGAAAUCAUUAGAGCAGGGUAGAAAAUUUAUUUUGUAAUUUGGGCAUCAUAUGUAAUGUUUGUUUGGGGAGGGGGGGGGGGGGGGGGGGGAAAAGGACUAUUUAGGAAACCUGACUGUUUUUUUGGCCUUUUUAUGGGGCGAUAAAAAUGAAUAUUGCAUUUCAUCUAAACGCGUGCUCUCUUCAUUGAUACGUAAUAGAACUUGUUCAUCAGUAUCCAAAUGUUCUUUUACGAUGAAAAACUUGAAGGGCUCACCUCAGUAAUUCUUUGUCUCCAGUGGAUGACUUAACAAGAUAAAAUAAGGAUAUUUGAUAUAGAUUAAUUUAGUAACUACGCUUGCAAUUCAAUUAGCAUAAUCACAUUGAUAUAUCUAAGUCACUAAAGUUAAAGUGGAGAAAAUGGUUGCAACGGUGCAUGCCCGUAGCCAUUGCGUUUGUGUAUGGGUUGGCUACACCAACUUGGUCUAGUGAGGGUGACAGCUAUCUAUUUGAUUUUAUCAUGCAUUUUAGUCCAUUCACCACUCCAUUACUAAUCCGUUACACACUCGAGACAGAUUCAUAAAUAGAGUCAACAACCGUGCUAGUUAAAUACAUGAAAAAAAGAAACCCCCCAAACAAGCCCCCAAUCCAAAUAUAACAAAUACGCUGCCAUACUUGAUAUUCGACCGGAAUCGAUUUUUCUUUUUUAAAUCAAAGUCUAUGAACUUAGAGCCCUGUGCUAAUGCCUUUUUUAAGACUUAGACUUUAUGUUGUGUGAACAAUCGUUUGAAAGAAUGCCUAAAUAUGUUGACCUAGGACCUCUCCUAAUAUUUUGAUAGAUUAUACCAGGUUCUCAAUCACUGCGAUUACGAUAACAAAGGAAAUUGAGGGAGCAUCUUGGAAUCUCUGAUGAGCCUUAUGUUAUGCAUUAGGCGUUUAAAAACUUGGAAGAAUCCAACCCUUAUUUCACUGAUGAACCUUAUUGAAUGCAUUAGCUGUUAUAAAAAGUGCACUAGUCAAUUUUGACAGGCUGGAGUGAUGUUGCAAUGAAUUGUUUUAUAUUGAUCAAUUGUAGCUAAGUGGACCACGACUCUCUGCAUAUUUAACCAAUUCUGGCUUCGAAGUUGAAUGACCUACAGAGAUCUCCAUUUGAGCUCACACUUCAACAGAAGACCACAUAAUGGCUACUUCAUCCAAAUAUGACUAUGAAGUAUUCUUGAGUUACAGAGGACCAGAUACUCGAUCAGGUUUUACUGACUUCCUCUAUACUAGUUUGAUGGAUGCAGGAAUUCUUGCAUAUAGGGAUGACGAAGAGCUCCGUGUUGGGGAAGAGACUAGCCUAGAACUUCUCCAAGCCAUUAAUCAGUCAAAGAUCUCGGUACCUAUAUUUUCAAAAGGUUAUGCCUCUAGUGUACGGUGUCUCAAGGAACUAGUCCAGAUGGUCGAGUGCCAGCAAUCUAGGGGACAAAAGAUCAUGCCCAUUUUUUAUGAUGUGGCACCUUCAGAGGUUCGACAUCAAACUGGAGCUUAUGGAGAGGCCUUUCGUUCACAUGAGAACAAGAAACGACAUGCUGAAAAGACCAUAAGUGAGUGGAAGGCUGCUCUCAGUGCAGUUGGGGCACUAAAUGGAUGGGACCUGCAAAGCAUACCCAACAGGUGACUACUUCUAGCAUUCUAUCUGGUGUGCUUUAUAUCAUUAAAACUCGAUGCAUUUAAAUUUGGUGUCCUUGCCAGAUUUGUGUUAAGUCUUGUUUACAUUGAAUUUAUGCUUUUGAAGUUUUGCCGCAAAAAUCGUGCUAAAUAAUGGCACAAUCCCAAAUUUGUCCUUUUUCAUUCCAAACAUCUUUUUUUCAGUUCAAAUCAUUCAUUAAAGCUUAGUACCAACGCAAGUUCAUGUACAAUGGAAUAAAUCCUUGAAGAACACAUUUCGGAUAAGUUUAUAGUUGUCAAUUUGGUAUUGUCAGAACAUAGUUUGGUUUUACAUAGUUUUCUAACUCAUGGCCUUUUGACCUCCAACAAAUAUUAGGCGAGAAGGUGAGUUUGCAAAAAGACUUGUCCAAAAGGUUUUCAAUGAGUUGAAAAAGGCUUAUCUAGUGAUAUCAGACUGCUUGGUCAGUGUCGACCAACAUGUGGAUGGAAUCAUGGAAAUGAUAGGCGCUCAAACUGGUGAAACAAGGAUUGUAGGAAUCCAUGGAAGGGGUGGCAUUGGAAAGACGACCAUUGCCAAAAUCAUCUAUAAUAAGCUUUCAAACAAUUUUGAGGAUUGUUGCUUUCUUUCCAACAUUCGUGAAAUAUCAAAACUCAAAGGCAUUGAAUGCUUGCAAAAUCAACUCGUCUCUGACAUCCUCAAAAUGAAAUGGAUGGAUAUACAAAACAUUGAUGAAGGGAUUCGGAUCAUUAAAGAUAGGUUGUCAAAUAAAAGAGUCCUCCUUCUUCUCGAUGAUGUGGAUGAAAAGAAUCAUAUGGAUGCACUUGCAGGUAAGUGUGAGAUGUCCUUAAUGUUCCCGAGGUGGACUGCAGUUAUGAGGUUAACUGCAUGGAUCCCGAUCAAUCUCUCCAACUUUUUUGCAAGCAUGCCUUCAGAAGAGAUUAUCCUUUAGAUGAGUAUAUCAACCAAUCAAAGAGGGCGAUAGACAUUGCUGGAGGUAUUCCAUUAAUGCUUGAGGUCAUCGGUUCACUUUUAUCUUGCACCGAAAAAGAAAAGUGGGAUGUCACGUUAGAGAAGUUGGAAAAUGCUCCUUGUGUGGAAGUUGACGUGGGAGCAUUAAAGCUUCGAAAUUCCAUUGAUCAACUGAUAAGCCCAACUCAAGCCUCUUCAACUAAUGAUACUCAUUUGUGAAUGGUGCAAGCAAAGGGCUAUGUGGCCACAACAUAAUCCAAUGGGUCCAGAACGUCCAAGAUGGAGCAUCUAGAACUUGAAUAAUAACUGCAGAUUGAGGAGCAAGGCUGGAGGGGUCAGAUUCUAGUUCCCACGCGUUUUCUAGUUCCUAAAUUUUUGUUGUUUCCUUGUUCCUAACUUUAUUGUCUCCUAGUUCCGAUGCUUUUAAGGUUUCAAAGUUCCUGUGUCUUUGUCUCUUUAUAAAUGAAAGGUGCAUUCUCCACUAUAAGGAAUUUAGACUUGAAUUCAUAUUGUAUGAGAAUUUCUCUCUAGUGAGUGAAUCCUUCGAUUUUUUAUCCAAUCCAUUAUUGGUGAACCCUAAUCCUUUGGUUAUUGAACCGUAUAAUUUUUUUUUUAUUGGUUGGUGAAAUACUCCAUCAUGACUAAGCCGACCUUAAUUUAAUUCAUACAUAUUUCAUUUAGCCUCUAAUUCACGAACCCAACAAAUCCAUACUUUGAACGUCCAGCAUCCUCUGAUUCUCACCACACAUCAAAAGUACAGGGUAAGCUAAAAAUAAGUUACGAUCUAUUAGAUGUUCAGCAAAAGCAUAUAUUCUUACCUUUUGACCCUCCAGGUUAUUGAAGAAGCUUUCAGAUUCAAUCUGGAAUUUGGAAUUAUUAAUUGAGUUGAACAUAUCCAUAAAGAUGUUUUGCCGGUUUUGUUUUUGCAACGAAAUACCUUUCACUGGGAGGAUAACUCCAGACAGGAUAUCAAAUGCAAUGCGAAUAAUGUCUUUCCAAUCUCAAACAACAUUAUACAAUACCGGGUCAAGUCGAAACCUAAUCCAUUAAUAAGCCCACAAGCUUCAAGACCAAACUUAAACUAUGCUAGGAUUUAAUCAAGGACACAAUUUAAGGACAAUUGAACACAAUGUUGGAAUCUAAUCAAUGACAUUGUCCCAGGAUUGUGAAAUACAAUGUUGGAAAUUAAUCAACGACAAUGCACUGGGAUGAAAGACAAUGCCGGAAUAUAAUCAAUGAUGUUGUAUCCAUGUAUGGAUACAUGCUGGAAUCUAAUUAAUGACAACGAUCUAAUAGCUACAGCUAUUGAAACUAAAGUGCGGUACAGGAAAUGUAAAGAUAAGAUAUAACAUUUUUAUUAAGUUUAUGUGACAUCCAGAUUUUUCGACCCUGUCUUCUACUGAAUAAAUCGGGCAUUUCGUUGACGCGUCUAUAGGGCUAUUCUCAGAACUGAUCAUUCUUGAGAUAACUAGACUAUCUGGGGGAAAUUAUUAGGAAUUUUGGCUGAAUUAUGUCACAAACUAUACCAGUUAAACUUCUUUUCUUAUGACAAAAGAUGAUGAUAAUAAUAAUAAUAAUAAUGAUAAUAAUAAUAAUAAUAAUAAUAAUAAUAAUAAUAAUAAUAAUAAUAAUAAUAAUAAUAAUAAUAAUAAUAAUAAUAAUAAUAAUAAUAAUAAUAAUAAUAAUAAUAAUAAUAAUAAUAAUAAUAAUAAUAAUAAUAAUAAUAAUAAUAAUAAUAAUAAUAAUAAUAAUAAUAAUAAUAAUAAUAAUAAUAAUAAUAAUAAUAAUAAUAAUAAUAAUAAUAAUAAUAUAAUAUAUAAUAAUAAUAUAUAUAUAUAUAUAUAUAUAUAUAUAUAAUAAUAAUAAUAAUAAUAAUAAUAAUAAUAAUAAUAAUAAUAAACAACUUCCUUGCCUUCUCAGAUGUUAAUCCGUCAAUUCCUUCCUACAAUAUUGUAGGGGAAGGAGGCUCUCUUGUUUGCCUUGGGUGCUCUUUCAAAGUCUUGCCAUCAAGCCAUCUCCAAGGAAGAUCCCAACGCUGCUGGUUCUAUUCUGGAUUUGCUAUCCUCUGCAUGCACAAAAAAGGACAAGAAAUACCGGGAAGCAGUACUGUUCAGCCUUGAUCAGGCAAUUCCAGAUUAUUGUGUGUUCGCGAAUGCAAUUGUCUUCAAUUAGAAAAUGUUGGGCUUUUACGAGCUCUCACGUCAAGAAACUUUCCAGCCGUACAUUGUUCGGAAAGUGCUGUUUCAGGUUUAUUUCAUCUUUUUAAUUCCCAACUAAAAUCUGCCCCCGAUCAUCCCCCUUCCUCUCUAAUGAAGAUCUUGAAUUUUUCAUGGUUUUUCAGAUUAUAAAAGCAUUUGGCAAUCAUGAGUUUUUCAACAUGGUUUUUCCAAAAUUGUUUGACAUGUGCAGUUUAGGCACUUCUGACAAAUCUGGACAAGCACAUUCAGCAAAUGAUUCUGCUUAAUCAGGUUCAUCCAUAUUUCGGGCUUGUAACUGUCCAGCUUUCAGGAUUUUGAGUUGUCCUGCAUUGCAACCUUUGAAUUCCAUAUCAUAACUUUCUCUCGCUGUUCAACUGUGCAUUUUACAUGGCAUUGUUGAUAUGUGCAGACUAUGAUGGAAAAGAAGAUUCUUCUGUUCCACUAGAAAAAGUACUGGACUGUAUCCCAUCAUGUAUCCAUGUGGCAUAUAUUGAUGAUAUUCUUGAAAAGAGAAAUAACUUGGAGCACCUCUGCAUUGCCUCUCUCUCACCUGAGUUGUCAUGGACUGGUACCUUCAUAACCAAAUUUUUCUUAGGUAAAUGCAGCAUGGAAAGUGUUUCUAUUAACGUUUCAUCAUGCAGUCAAAAUGUCGGCUUUUCUAUCAAUUAAGGGACUCUGCUCAAGGAUUCAUGACAUUUUGCUUGAUUCUCAGCAAGCUUCUCAACAUGCAAAUGGAGCGUCUUUGUUUCGUGACAUAAUUAGUAUCCACUUUCUAACAAUAUUGCCGAGGAACAGGGUGACCAAGGGAUGAUAUCUCUAACUUUGGUUAAGGAAAAAAUAGCUUUCCUUUAUUAUGACGGACAUGUUGCACUUACUGUCUUUAUAAUCAGUUGUCAUUUUGUUCUCCAAAUUCCUUAUCUGGAUUCUGAUCAUCUGUUUUUCCUACACAAAUUUAAGCUGUUUUCUUCGACGUUACCCAAAGUGGCAGACUGCAUAGCCACAGUUAAGAUAGCACAGGUAUGUCUUCACUUUCCCCUUUGUGGUGGAAAUCGCCUUUGCCUUCAUCUUCGUCAGAACAAUCUGAUCUUGUGUGGCUUUCACCUAGAUGUAGGAUUGUAGCAUUAUUAAGUCCCAUGCAUAUAUAGGUGACAUUACUCCAGUAAAUAAGAGUUUCAUUAAGUUAUCCAUCAAGAGUUCUGGAGUCUAGAUAGCAUAUAGUGCCUUUGCAAUGUGAAUAAGCAGAAUUUUUCUCCGUCUUUAAUUUUUCAAGUUUCAAUGGUUCUUCUGAUGCGGGCUCUGUAUUAAUCAGACUGCUGCGUUCAGCUGAUGUUUUUCUUGGAUUCAAUUCCAUUCUGACUCAAGGCACUAGAGGCAUUACCUUUUACUUGGCUUACAUUUUUUAUGAUGAUUCCCUACUAAGUAGAUCAGCCAAACCAGAGAGACCAGUUGAUAGCAUCCCAAGGAUAUUUAUAUAUUAAUCAACAUAGCCAUUUCUUGUAUGUGCGAGCAAGAGGAAGUUAAUAUUUUGCAGGAUUAGUUGACAUGGUAAGUGGACCACUUAAGAGUUCUCAAUCGUCUUAGAUCAUUCUUGCAGAUGCAUUUUAGAUGUUCAUCUUGCACUGUGGACCAAAAUCUGUUUGAUACUUUUUCAAAUUUAGGUUCAUGACAGUGCUUUCAGAGUGCCUUUUGGGGAUGAUCACCCUUUGUAGGGAGCUUCCUUCAACGUUCUGGACAGAUGCAGGUUCGAAGGGUUUGCUGGUUCAUCUACGUGAGGUGGAAAAAAAUGAACAAGCCAAGUCCUUGCUUAAGAGAUGCAUCCAUUUACUAGAGACUUCUCAGAGGAAAAUGUGAAAGCGAGUUGACUUCAAAGAAAGGUGAGAAGAGAGUUCUGGCCACUGUCGGUGAAGUACGAUGAAUGGGUAAAAUCAGUAAAAAGCUGAAGUGAGGAGGCAAGUAUAAAAUGGGUAAUGAUCGUCUUGACUAUUUGGUGAAUCAAGGCUGACACCGCCUUAGCAACCUUUUGGAUGAACUGAAAUGUUCGACCAAAGGAAGAACCAAGAAAUAAGCAAGCAAAAGAAGAGCUUAGCUAGACAUGUUUUAGGAAGUACACACGUUGGCCCUGCACAUCUCAAGCGUGGACAGAUUUAAAUAGAAAUUGCACAGGCUUGAUAACUUUCAUUUAAUGAGCCGACUACUUUGUUCUUUUUAUUCUCAUUCAGCUCUGUACGUUCAUAUUUGCAAACACCAAAUAAUUCUGAACUAACCAAUCCGAUCUUCAGUGCGUGAGAUGAUGUUUUUUUUUUUUUUUUUUCUGUUCAACCAUGAGCAUGCUAUUGUUUUUGUUUUUUUUCCUUCUUUUUGGUUAUUUAGUUAGAAUGAAUUCUUGGGAGCAAGAAUCCCGAUCCAUCUAAUGAUUGGUAAUCCGAUGCAGCCUGUUACGCCUCACUAGUAAAUUCACCAUUAAUGGCGGGACAUUUCCUUGGUCUCGUCCCUGAAGCCUCACCAUAGACAGAGACGCAGUGCAGACGACGUGUUCAUGAACAGAGAUUUAUUGCUGUAGUUGCAAAACACUAACACAAGCGAUCAUCCAUUUUCCUGCUUUGACAGGAGAAUCUGGUGGGGACAGAAAUGCUGCUUUCACGUGCAAGUACACAGCCUGAAGGGACUGAGGAAUUUACAUAAAUUAACGCUUGUAUACAGUGCACUUAGGAUGGUCUGGGGUUUCUUAAGUCUUUCUUACAUUAUAAAACUUUAGUUUAGACUGGGAGAAAUUUGAUGGCAAAAAGUAACGCUCUCGGUGUAUGAUCUUUCACAUGGACUGUCUACCAUCUUAACUAAGAGAUUAAUUUCGGUAUGAUGUCGUGAAUAACCCUAUAUAUAUUCUGACGUCUAAACAAACUACGUCAGGUUCCUUCAUUGGAGGGUGACUCUUUCAUCUUUCUUUGCUUGAGAAAAUCUUUACCUCGAUCCUUCCUUACUACUUUUGAAGAUAUGCUUUUCUUUGCUGAUCAAGCACCUAUUCUCAAAAACAUGAUCAUUCGACGUGUUUAGCGUUAUUGCAUAAAGUAAGAUUUGUAAAAAAUUUUGAGGAAGUUCGACUCCUAGGUGAACAUCUACUGGUAAAAUAAUCUGAAUUUUUGAAAAUUGCGAGUGUUCAAAGAAAAAGGAUCCAAAAGUCUAAUGCUAAGCUUCUUAUUCUAAUGUAUUAGACAUUAGCAAUUCAAACCCAAUCGAGGUGAUGACGUGAAUAGCAAAGCAUUUGUUUCUUUAACGUUAUAACUUGUUGGGCUUCAAAGCUUGCUUGGCUAAUUCAAAUCCGCUUGGAUUUUGGCUUGUUAACUCAGGUUAUAGCUGACCAAAAAAAAAAAAAAAAUCAGAUUAUAGCAGUAAGAGUGAUAAAAGAAGAUAAGAAAACGAUGGAAAAUGAGGAAAAAAGAAAGUGCUAUUUCUUUCUAUGUUUAAUUACAUUAAAUUUGAAGGAAAAAAAUUAUGUCAAAUAUUCAAGGAUAAAACGUAUGCUCGUGUGCAUGAAUGGCCAUCUAAUCAACGGAAAAUAUCACUUAACUUAUAAAUCUGAUUAAUUGAAAAUCAUCAAAAUUAAAAACCCAAGAAUAUAAACAAAAAGCACCUGGAUUAUUUCUUAGUUUUGUAUGUUGAUCUUUAUUCAUUCUAAAGUCCUUUUUUUUUAUCUGCAUGUUGGGGAAAAGGACUUUUGUGCAAUUAUUCAAGGCUAAACAACAAUUUGCCCAGAUGAUUCUUAAUUUGUCAUGAUAUCCUACAUUGUGUAAAAUUUUCAAUAGUUAGCAAAUUUGACAACAAUAUCAACUUUUUUUCUGUUUGAAUUACUCGUAGCAGAUUCAAAGAAGAUUUGACAUGAAGUUGGACGCCUAUAAUGUGUGAAACUCAUGCUUUCUUUUACUGUGAAAAUGCAAUUUUACAUGACAUUGCCUGCAGAUUAGAGACUCUGAUGUCCCUCUAGCACUGAAAACACAAAGUACAUAGUAGGAGCAUGUUCGUCAAACUAGAAAAGUCUUUAUUUAGUUGUGUGAAUAAUAUGAAACAUAAGAAAAAGUAAAAAACAAAAAGCAGUUCAUUUUCCCAUUCGAGAGGAAAUUAAUAUGUUGGUCCAAAGGGGAAGCAAUUUUCUGAUAUCUUUCUCUCUCUUCUUUCGUCUCUCUUAUUACUACGUCCCAAAUAAAGCAAAACGAAGACCCAAUUAGAGAGUGGGGGGUGGGCUUUUUGCAUUGGCGUUUGCAUCGGAGACGGGAUGGAUAGGCUCAUUUAAUUACAGCUUACAUAUUUACGUUUCUCUCUUUCUAAUCUAGAAUUAAGAGAAAGAUAAAAAUAAAAACGCCAAUUGAAAUAGUUUGAUAUAAUUGUCCCAGUUUAUCUAGAAUAUAGUUAAGUGGAAAAAAAAAUACGAAUACUCAUGGAUAAGCGCAAGGUGCAUGAUUCCCCAUAUCUAUAGACUCUCUAACCGAGAGAGAGAUCUAUUACUUCCAAAAUUGAUUCUCCUUAGAAGUUUGUGAAAAUAAAAUGAUUUUCACUAUAUUAUAUAUAAUUGAUGAUAACUCAAUUCAGACUGAGAGAUAGUAAAGUUUAUAAAUUUCGCUUAUUUGAUACGACAUUGCUUUUCAAAUCACAUAUUAUCCCUAAUUCAUAAUACUAUCAUUAAGAAGUUUUUUGUGUUCCUUGAUGACUUCCUCUUUCCUCUUUUCAUCUUUCGUUGCGUGGCAUGGCGAGGCCACCUUGAGCGCGGCGGAAGAGAGUGACCACAUGAGAAAUCGACUGAAUAGCAGCACGGUUGUGCCAGAAGGCGGGCCAGAGACAGAGGGAAUUAUGGCUAUUUGUCAGUUUUUGGGUUCAAUAUUUUCUUAAUUAUCAUGGUCUGUAUUUUGCUUUUGGUGAAGUUGCUACAAAGCUUUUCAUGUUUGCUGGCUGGGAUAAUGGCAUCUAGUAAGCAAGGCCCAUUAAUGUGAAUUUUUGUUGACGCACAAGGCGGCCCUACUCAGAUUUGGGCAAGGCCACGAAAGGCCAGCGAGGACCUCACCCUCAUAUGGUGAUGGCCCCGCCCAGGCUCACCAUUCCAUUCUCUCUUUCUUUAGUUCCUCUCUUCUAUGCAUUGUAGAAGCACUGUAACAUCGGUCAAAGGCCCAUUUGACUUUAAAAGACUACUCUUUUCGGUUACAUAUGCCUACUUUUUUCUUUUCUCAAUUUGGCUUCACAAAUGGUGGAAGAGGAGAGCUCCAAUGAACCAAAGUUAUUGGGCCUUCAGAGUGUAGAACCAUUAGUCGCUCCGGAGACAAUAAUAUGUCUAGUUUGAUUGAACAUGCGGUCCUUAAUCUAAGUUUCUAAAUAUGCAGGCGUGGACUGUUGCCGUGAUGGAGGGGACAUUUCGCAAGAAAAAGAAAAAAGUGGCGUCUACAGUGGCAGAAGGAACAAGAGACAAUAGCAAUGCUGAUCCUGAAGAGGUACUUGAUUUGUGAAUAUGUUUGUGAGGCUGAAUAGAAAUGGUCGGGGAUGCAGAAGGGAAUGAUAAGAUCCAGAUUGGGGCGCAGGACCAUUGUGAUAGGGAUUACGUUAUGCUAGUCUUCAUGGAUUUCCGUUUCUCCAGAGAAAUGCACCAUGCCUAAGUGACUGUCAAUGGAUGAACUCAUUUCAUAAUUCAUGUCGGGUCAAUGCAAAGACUCUGCAGUCAAACAUUUGUAUUGUAACUGUAAACCAAGACGUUCCUGGAUGAUUUUCUGGUGAAGUAGAAGCUCCUCCAGUGAAUAUUAACAGAAUCAUGUCUAUGUGCAGGAGGGAUCAUUCAAUUAUAAUUUGCCCCACUCAAUCAGGCACUACAGCACCACAACAUGCUCAACGAUUCACUCCAACCCUGAAAUGCCUAACCAGCCAAAUUCACUACACAAAUCUCACUUCCCCAGGCCCAAAACCAACGUACUCGAUGCUAGAGCCGGUCUAUGCGAACCUUAUCACAAUCCAGACUUCCAAUGCGAAUCAAGUCAGAGGAUCACAACCGUAACUAAUUACAUGAACACGAGUUGCAAUGAAGCAUUGUCAGAACCACCAUCGCCGUCAGCCACAACCUGUUCCACUCCAUAUUAUUCUGCAAGAGGGAAGGAUCGAACAACAUUGUCGAGAAAAAAACACGAUAUCGUGCAACAAAAAAAAUUCCAAUCUCCACAACCUUCCUUCCAUAUACACAAAACGGUCACGCGCAAUCGAAUGGCGCGAUCGCCCGGCGAGAUGGAGAGAUCGAUUGCGGUCUUUGUCCAUAUUGCUCGAAUUCAAACCUCGGAUUCUGGUCUCCUAGGUGAGUGGACUCUUAUAGUGAUUUUCGCGACGGAUGGCGAUCGAAAGCUCCAGCGACUUGGGGGCGGGGGGAGGGGAGGAAGGACGGGGACGAUGGAUUUGCUGAUUUUCCUUAUUUGCACUCGGGCGCUUGCUCUGUUGGCGGGCGUAGUCGGUGUCACGUCCGGUGAUUUCGUCGUUUCUGUUAGGACAAUGAAGGAAGUUUCGCUAAAAUGAGGCGUGCUCCUGGACAAAUUUCCGUUCUCUCUGUCUCUCUUCUUUUGGCGCUUCCUUUGAUGUCUUUCAAAUGAGCACUUUUGACUCUGCUUGGUUCAAUUAGUGGGUUCAAACUAGAAUUACGAAAAAUACACGAAAAUUAGAGUGAAUAUUACUUAUCCAUUUAUUGAUAUUUGUGGAAGUAUAUAAAGAUGCGGAUUACUCUAUUAUUGAUAGCAAGCUUAUUGAGAUAAAUUUUUGCAACUCCAAGCUCGAAUCCAUCUCAUAACUCGAAUUAUUCAAAAAUUUUCUUUUAUCGAUAUUAUUCAAACUUGAAAAGAAUGCAAUUCAACAUGUGUGAAAAGCAAGUAGAACUUAAUUGUGGACUGUGGAACCACAAUUCGAGAACGUGGCAUAUCCAUGACGUAUUGAUUCUUGAAUAUUCUUUGAAAUUUAAUGGAAGUGGAUUCGAUAGUUUUUAUUUUUCUUUAGAUAUAUAUAUAUAUAUAUAUAUAUAUAUAUAUAUAUAUAUAUAUAUAUAUAAAAUUUACAAAAUAUUUAUAGUGAAAAUAUUACGAACUGAUUACCAUAUUAUAAAAUGAUGCUAUCAUCAUCUCAUAAUUACUUGAUUGAAAAAUGAGUUGUACAAUCAUGAGGAUUGAAAACUUUACUUUACGUGUAAAAGAUUAUUAAAUAAAAGAAAAAGGCCCAUAAUCUUUGAGAACAAAAGUCAUUGGACUUUUUUCACAGGCUAAGUAUGAAGUAAAAAGAGUUGUAACCUCAUGUGACAAAAGUCACAUGAUGUCAUUUUAAAAAUAUCAAAAAGAGUGUGAGUGAUUUUUAUUUUUAAAUCGCAAUUAGCUCACACAAACAAAAUAAUAUAAGAACCACACCCCAAUGCGUGGUAUAUGCAAUGUUUGGUUGCUCUCACGGAUUUAUAUUCAUAAUCAAAUGAUUAUAAAAUCACAGAAAAAUCAGUACACAAAAAAGAAGAAGUGGAAGUUAAAGAAUAAGUGAAAUUCAAGAUAAAUUAUUGGGAAGAGUAACUUAAUCAAUUUUAUAGAAACCAAUCUUCAAAUCUCUUCAUUUAUUGGUAAUAUAUACGCAUCAAUCCCUCAUUCGCCUGAAGUCAAAUUUUGUAAGCACGAGACAGAUUUAUAGAUCACUCCUUUUUUGGUCAAGCUCAUACACUGCUCAUUCACUUUGAAAGUAUAAAAAAACCAAAACUAAAAGUGAAAAAGUCGCAUUCGCAAGCCAACCCCAACCACAAGCAUGACGACCCAAUGGUGAAGGGAUCAUGCCAUCUUCCAUUAAUUCACCAGUUCAAAUCAUGUCGCAAGUGAACUUUUCACUAGUUAGUAUUUCGGCAUUAACAACACUGAGUGGUUAUGGCUCAAAUGAGAUAUUUUGAGAUAGACAUAACACUUUAUGUAAUGACAAGAAUGGAUAAUUGUUUUUGAUAAUCUCUUCCCACAUUUUUUAACUUAUCAAAAGUUCUCAUAAGCAAUUGAAUAUGUUCUCCAAGCAUGAUAGGCUUGAGGUAAAAAGAUGAGGGAAAAUUUUAAAAAAAGACCGAAGUGCCCUCAUUUUCUCAAAGAAGGACCUUAAGUGGACUUUGUUUUAAAUAAAAACCUAAAGUGGCCUUGGUUAUUUCAAAUAAAGACUUGACCUUAUCGAUUGUCGGCUAGCUAAAUUUUUCGAUCGGUCAAGAGUGUUUUCGUCCAAAUUUUCUUCUCUUUUCUUCUUUUUUUCUUUUUCGGCAUCGACCAAUAGUUGCUAGCAAAGGCUAGUGAAGGCUCAACGAUCGUCACUGGCCGUUGGGAAGGACUAGCGAGGGCCUGCAAGCAUUCACUGGCAAUGGGUGAGGACCUAAAAGCCCUCACGGAUGGCCACGGGGGGUAAGGGUGUGCAACCGGACCGGGUUUACCCGGUUCCCGGUCCAGCCCACCCGGAAAACAAGGUCGGGAACCGGUUCCGGUUAAAACCGGGCCAGGAACCAGUUCCCAAAACUCAGACCCUGUUUAAACCGGUCCGGGAACUGGUUCCGAGGGAUUACCCACCCGGGAACCGGUUCGACCGGACCGGUUGGAGAACCGGUUUUUACCCCAGCAAAACCCUAAUUUUAUUUCUAUCUUUACCCGCAGAGGCGCAGACGCAGAGAACCAGACUUCCCUAAGCUCCUCUCCCGGCUCCCCUCGCGCUCGCACCACCGCCGCCAAGCUCCUCCUCCUCCCCCGCUGUCACCGUCACCGUCGUCGUCACCCCCGACAACCUCCACCUGCUCAACCCCUUCCUCGCCUCCUCCUCCUCGCUCCAGCCUCUCGUCUUGCCUUCCCCAGAGCCCCCCGCUGCGCCACACCCGUGGGUGCGCUUCGUCGCCAAAGUCCGCGCCCUCCGCGACCUCCACCUCCCGCUCCUCUCCCGGUGGUUCGAGUCCCACCCCUCCUCGCCCUGUGCGGUCGUCUCCGACUUCUUCCUCGGGUGGACCCACCGCUUCGCUCGUGACCGCGACGUCCCACGCGUCGUCUUCUCGCCGUCCGGCGCGUUCGGGCUCUUUGUCGCCUUCGCCCUGUGGUAGGACCUCCUCCAGCCCGACGAGGAGUCGACGGUCUCGUUCGCGAAGCUGCCGGACUGCCCUCAUUCCUGAAAUCGCGAAGCUGCUGACCCUCGCCAAGCUUGCACCCGAGCACUGACGUUGCCUCCGUUCAAUCUCGCCGUUCCACCUGCUGCUGUUGCCUCGCCGACGCCUCUGACCCGUAGAUCUCACCGCGCGCUGUUUCCCGAGCUCCCCUGUUGCCGAUCUACCACCGCCCCCCCUUCGCGAAGCUGCCGCUGCCUCCCUGCUCCGCCCGAGCACUCCUGCUCUGCUAGGCCGAGCACUCCGCCGCCGAGGUCACCCUCAACUCCCUCUCCUCUCGUGGCCCUUCUCACUCCCUCGCCGCUCGUAUCCUGGUGAGCUCCCUCGACCACCCCUGCUUCUUUCUUUCUUUUCUCUUUUUUUUUUUUGGUUUGGCGAAAACGCCGCAACUCAAGUUUCUAUUUCUCGACUCCAUCGCUUCGAUCAAAGAUUUUGAAGCCAAGUUAAUGUUCUGUUCCUUAAUGCCAUUAAUAUUAUCUGUACUUACAUUAAUGUUCUGGUCCUUUUUUUGGUACCUGAAGCCAAGUUAUGAUAUUGGUAGAAUGUCUUUGUUACUCCUUUAGUAUUCCAGUGAUGGAUCUUAGAAGGCAGAUACUUUGGUAGGCUAUAACUACUUGAUGGGAGUGAAGGAGUGAUUGUAAAGUGUAUUGAAUUGACCUUGUCUGUUCCUAGCUAUUCGUGAUUGUGGCGACCUCACUGAUUUAGUGGUUCAUUGACUAGAUAUUGCUUUAGUGUGAGGGAAUCUUUGUUGUUUAAUAUAAGGCAAACUCGAUGUAUCUUGUGGGAUAUGGGGAUGCGAGAUGGUCGAAUUAUAUACUUGGUUGUUUUCUUCAAGAGGAGUCCAAAUUUUAUACAUGUUCCCAAUGAGUUUGGACGAAGGAUGUGCUUGGUUCGACCUUUUUGUUUCAGCAGAUAACUCAUAUAGACUUGCUUUUUUAAGGUUAAUUUUUAUGCAAAACAGGUUCCAAUAUAAACAGGGUCAACCCUGUUCCCGGACCGGAAAAACAGGGUGGGCCGAGAACAGGGUCCAAUGAAAAUAGGGUAGGGAACAGGGUCCAAAAAAGGAGAACCGGUUAUAACAGGGUAAGGAACAGGAUCCAGGUCUAGACCCUACCCACCCUGGACCUAUGAAGCACGGACACGCUGUCCGUGCUUGCGUAUCGUGUCCGACACGUGUCGGACAUCUCGACAUGCUCGGACACGCGGUCAACGCGUGUCGGAUUUUUCGACACACGGUCAACCUUUUCCCGACACGUUUCGACACGCGUGUCCGAGAGGGAGCAAACCGCAAGCGACGGCGAGAGACGGCCGAGCUUAGACUGAGGCGAGGGCCAGCCCUGUGAUGCUGCGAUGGAUCCGACGAGGCUGCAGUUGCGAGGGAGAAAGGACCAAAGGUGAGAGGAAGAGGAGAGGAAGGCGGUUGUGCAGCGAGCGACGAGCAGCGAGGAAGGGGGUCGUGCGUGCGGCGAGGAGCAGCGAGCGGCAAGCGGCGAGGAAGGGGGUCGUGCGUGCAGCGAGGAGCGGCGACCAACGAGGAAGGAGGUCGUGCGGCGAGCGGCAAGGAGGGAGGAGGAGAAGAGGAAGGGUCGCGAGCGGUGAGGAGGAGGAAUAAAGGAACUAGGGUUUCUGAGAAACUCAAAAGUAAUUAAAAANNNNNNNNNNNNNNNNNNNNNNNNNNNNNNNNNNNNNNNNNNNNNNNNNNNNNNNNNNNNNNNNNNNNNNNNNNNNNNNNNNNNNNNNNNNNNNNNNNNNNNNNNNNNNNNNNNNNNNNNNNNNNNNNNNNNNNNNNNNNNNNNNNNNNNNNNNNNNNNNNNNNNNNNNNNNNNNNNNNNNNNNNNNNNNNNNNNNNNNNNNNNNNNNNNNNNNNNNNNNNNNNNNNNNNNNNNNNNNNNNNNNNNNNNNNNNNNNNNNNNNNNNNNNNNNNNNNNNNNNNNNNNNNNNNNNNNNNNNNNNNNNNNNNNNNNNNNNNNNNNNNNNNNNNNNNNNNNNNNNNNNNNNNNNNNNNNNNNNNNNNNNNNNNNNNNNNNNNNNNNNNNNNNNNNNNNNNNNNNNNNNNNNNNNNNNNNNNNNNNNNNNNNNNNNNNNNNNNNNNNNNNNNNNNNNNNNNNNNNNNNNNNNNNNNNNNNNNNNNNNNNNNNNNNNNNNNNNNNNNNNNNNNNNNNNNNNNNNNNNNNNNNNNNNNNNNNNNNNNNNNNNNNNNNNNNNNNNNNNNNNNNNNNNNNNNNNNNNNNNNNNNNNNNNNNNNNNNNNNNNNNNNNNNNNNNNNNNNNNNNNNNNNNNNNNNNNNNNNNNNNNNNNNNNNNNNNNNNNNNNNNNNNNNNNNNNNNNNNNNNNNNNNNNNNNNNNNNNNNNNNNNNNNNNNNNNNNNNNNNNNNNNNNNNNNNNNNNNNNNNNNNNNNNNNNNNNNNNNNNNNNNNNNNNNNNNNNNNNNNNNNNNNNNNNNNNNNNNNNNNNNNNNNNNNNNNNNNNNNNNNNNNNNNNNNNNNNNNNNNNNNNNNNNNNNNNNNNNNNNNNNNNNNNNNNNNNNNNNNNNNNNNNNNNNNNNNNNNNNNNNNNNNNNNNNNNNNNNNNNNNNNNNNNNNNNNNNNNNNNNNNNNNNNNNNNNNNNNNNNNNNNNNNNNNNNNNNNNNNNNNNNNNNNNNNNNNNNNNNNNNNNNNNNNNNNNNNNNNNNNNNNNNNNNNNNNNNNNNNNNNNNNNNNNNNNNNNNNNNNNNNNNNNNNNNNNNNNNNNNNNNNNNNNNNNNNNNNNNNNNNNNNNNNNNNNNNNNNNNNNNNNNNNNNNNNNNNNNNNNNNNNNNNNNNNNNNNNNNNNNNNNNNNNNNNNNNNNNNNNNNNNNNNNNNNNNNNNNNNNNNNNNNNNNNNNNNNNNNNNNNNNNNNNNNNNNNNNNNNNNNNNNNNNNNNNNNNNNNNNNNNNNNNNNNNNNNNNNNNNNNNNNNNNNNNNNNNNNNNNNNNNNNNNNNNNNNNNNNNNNNNNNNNNNNNNNNNNNNNNNNNNNNNNNNNNNNNNNNNNNNNNNNNNNNNNNNNNNNNNNNNNNNNNNNNNNNNNNNNNNNNNNNNNNNNNNNNNNNNNNNNNNNNNNNNNNNNNNNNNNNNNNNNNNNNNNNNNNNNNNNNNNNNNNNNNNNNNNNNNNNNNNNNNNNNNNNNNNNNNNNNNNNNNNNNNNNNNNNNNNNNNNNNNNNNNNNNNNNNNNNNNNNNNNNNNNNNNNNNNNNNNNNNNNNNNNNNNNNNNNNNNNNNNNNNNNNNNNNNNNNNNNNNNNNNNNNNNNNNNNNNNNNNNNNNNNNNNNNNNNNNNNNNNNNNNNNNNNNNNNNNNNNNNNNNNNNNNNNNNNNNNNNNNNNNNNNNNNNNNNNNNNNNNNNNNNNNNNNNNNNNNNNNNNNNNNNNNNNNNNNNNNNNNNNNNNNNNNNNNNNNNNNNNNNNNNNNNNNNNNNNNNNNNNNNNNNNNNNNNNNNNNNNNNNNNNNNNNNNNNNNNNNNNNNNNNNNNNNNNNNNNNNNNNNNNNNNNNNNNNNNNNNNNNNNNNNNNNNNNNNNNNNNNNNNNNNNNNNNNNNNNNNNNNNNNNNNNNNNNNNNNNNNNNNNNNNNNNNNNNNNNNNNNNNNNNNNNNNNNNNNNNNNNNNNNNNNNNNNNNNNNNNNNNNNNNNNNNNNNNNNNNNNNNNNNNNNNNNNNNNNNNNNNNNNNNNNNNNNNNNNNNNNNNNNNNNNNNNNNNNNNNNNNNNNNNNNNNNNNNNNNNNNNNNNNNNNNNNNNNNNNNNNNNNNNNNNNNNNNNNNNNNNNNNNNNNNNNNNNNNNNNNNNNNNNNNNNNNNNNNNNNNNNNNNNNNNNNNNNNNNNNNNNNNNNNNNNNNNNNNNNNNNNNNNNNNNNNNNNNNNNNNNNNNNNNNNNNNNNNNNNNNNNNNNNNNNNNNNNNNNNNNNNNNNNNNNNNNNNNNNNNNNNNNNNNNNNNNNNNNNNNNNNNNNNNNNNNNNNNNNNNNNNNNNNNNNNNNNNNNNNNNNNNNNNNNNNNNNNNNNNNNNNNNNNNNNNNNNNNNNNNNNNNNNNNNNNNNNNNNNNNNNNNNNNNNAAAAAAAAAAAAAAAACCCCCCGAUAAUAAAGAAACGAGCUGUCGUUUUCUAGAUUUCGAGGAAAAUUACUCCCUUUUAACUGAGCUGCAACUGUCUCCCCUCCACCCUCUAUACACAACCAGAAAAAAACUCCUUCCCUUUUGUCAGCCCACGGAAACGGACCGUUUAAGCAAAUCAAAACUCCAACAGACAAAGAGGAAAAAACCCAAAACUUCAUUACGAUCUGAUGCAUAAAGGGAGAGGGGAUCAAUCCUCCAAUCUUAAUUCCUUUCGAUUGACAUUCUUUUUCACAAAAAUGGGUUGUGGGGAGUCGAAGCAUGCUGUUGCCACCAGAAACACCAUAACCAAAAGCAGGAGUUCAAGCGCCCAUCCAGAGAAGAACAAACAAGUGGAACAAAACGUUCCUCAGAUGGAAGCAAUUGGGAAUGGCGCGGCAUUACUUGUGCAACAAGAAAUCAAUGGUGCCGUGAGCCAGGAUACAGGAACUGCAGCUGAUGUUAAGGACAUAACUGAACAUCCCGAGCCUGAACUAGAAGAAGAUAACGAAGAAGAAGUAACAAAGGCCAAGGACGAAGACAGAGAGGAAGAGAAGCAUGUAAAGGAAGAGAAGGAAAUCGAGCUGGAGCAGGAGCUAGAGCCGGAGACGAAACCGGUAGUAGAAGAGGAAGAGGCAGAGCCUGCGAGAUUCAUAUCCCAUGACUCGCCAGAUCAUUACUUCUCUCCGAGAAGAGAUGAGGAAGCACUGGAAGGGAACGUGUCUGAGGGGCUCUCCUCCGAGUACAACUCACCCUGGCAUGAACCGGUGAAGGAGGGUGAGUACGGUAAAGUGGUUGUGGAAGAGAAGAAUCCGACUGGACUGGAAAAGGCAGAGGAAUUGAGGAAGAAGGAAAUUGACUCAACUCCUGAUGAGGUACUUGAAUGAAUCUUCUGAGAUUUAAUGGCUGAGUUCUAAUAAUAGAGACAUGUAUUCAGGAUCAAAAGGUCACGGUCGCAGGUUCGCAGACAUAUGUCUUAACGUGGAUAUGCUCAUCUACACAUCCCGUUAUUUCCCUNNNNNNNNNNNNNNNNNNNNNNNNNNNNNNNNNNNNNNNNNNNNNNNNNNNNNNNNNNNNNNNNNNNNNNNNNNNNNNNNNNNNNNNNNNNNNNNNNNNNNNNNNNNNNNNNNNNNNNNNNNNNNNNNNNNNNNNNNNNNNNNNNNNNNNNNNNNNNNNNNNNNNNNNNNNNNNNNNNNNNNNNNNNNNNNNNNNNNNNNNNNNNNNNNNNNNNNNNNNNNNNNNNNNNNNNNNNNNNNNNNNNNNNNNNNNNNNNNNNNNNNNNNNNNNNNNNNNNNNNNNNNNNNNNNNNNNNNNNNNNNNNNNNNNNNNNNNNNNNNNNNNNNNNNNNNNNNNNNNNNNNNNNNNNNNNNNNNNNNNNNNNNNNNNNNNNNNNNNNNNNNNNNNNNNNNNNNNNNNNNNNNNNNNNNNNNNNNNNNNNNNNNNNNNNNNNNNNNNNNNNNNNNNNNNNNNNNNNNNNNNNNNNNNNNNNNNNNNNNNNNNNNNNNNNNNNNNNNNNNNNNNNNNNNNNNNNNNNNNNNNNNNNNNNNNNNNNNNNNNNNNNNNNNNNNNNNNNNNNNNNNNNNNNNNNNNNNNNNNNNNNNNNNNNNNNNNNNNNNNNNNNNNNNNNNNNNNNNNNNNNNNNNNNNNNNNNNNNNNNNNNNNNNNNNNNNNNNNNNNNNNNNNNNNNNNNNNNNNNNNNNNNNNNNNNNNNNNNNNNNNNNNNNNNNNNNNNNNNNNNNNNNNNNNNNNNNNNNNNNNNNNNNNNNNNNNNNNNNNNNNNNNNNNNNNNNNNNNNNNNNNNNNNNNNNNNNNNNNNNNNNNNNNNNNNNNNNNNNNNNNNNNNNNNNNNNNNNNNNNNNNNNNNNNNNNNNNNNNNNNNNNNNNNNNNNNNNNNNNNNNNNNNNNNNNNNNNNNNNNNNNNNNNNNNNNNNNNNNNNNNNNNNNNNNNNNNNNNNNNNNNNNNNNNNNNNNNNNNNNNNNNNNNNNNNNNNNNNNNNNNNNNNNNNNNNNNNNNNNNNNNNNNNNNNNNNNNNNNNNNNNNNNNNNNNNNNNNNNNNNNNNNNNNNNNNNNNNNNNNNNNNNNNNNNNNNNNNNNNNNNNNNNNNNNNNNNNNNNNNNNNNNNNNNNNNNNNNNNNNNNNNNNNNNNNNNNNNNNNNNNNNNNNNNNNNNNNNNNNNNNNNNNNNNNNNNNNNNNNNNNNNNNNNNNNNNNNNNNNNNNNNNNNNNNNNNNNNNNNNNNNNNNNNNNNNNNNNNNNNNNNNNNNNNNNNNNNNNNNNNNNNNNNNNNNNNNNNNNNNNNNNNNNNNNNNNNNNNNNNNNNNNNNNNNNNNNNNNNNNNNNNNNNNNNNNNNNNNNNNNNNNNNNNNNNNNNNNNNNNNNNNNNNNNNNNNNNNNNNNNNNNNNNNNNNNNNNNNNNNNNNNNNNNNNNNNNNNNNNNNNNNNNNNNNNNNNNNNNNNNNNNNNNNNNNNNNNNNNNNNNNNNNNNNNNNNNNNNNNNNNNNNNNNNNNNNNNNNNNNNNNNNNNNNNNNNNNNNNNNNNNNNNNNNNNNNNNNNNNNNNNNNNNNNNNNNNNNNNNNNNNNNNNNNNNNNNNNNNNNNNNNNNNNNNNNNNNNNNNNNNNNNNNNNNNNNNNNNNNNNNNNNNNNNNNNNNNNNNNNNNNNNNNNNNNNNNNNNNNNNNNNNNNNNNNNNNNNNNNNNNNNNNNNNNNNNNNNNNNNNNNNNNNNNNNNNNNNNNNNNNNNNNNNNNNNNNNNNNNNNNNNNNNNNNNNNNNNNNNNNNNNNNNNNNNNNNNNNNNNNNNNNNNNNNNNNNNNNNNNNNNNNNNNNNNNNNNNNNNNNNNNNNNNNNNNNNNNNNNNNNNNNNNNNNNNNNNNNNNNNNNNNNNNNNNNNNNNNNNNNNNNNNNNNNNNNNNNNNNNNNNNNNNNNNNNNNNNNNNNNNNNNNNNNNNNNNNNNNNNNNNNNNNNNNNNNNNNNNNNNNNNNNNNNNNNNNNNNNNNNNNNNNNNNNNNNNNNNNNNNNNNNNNNNNNNNNNNNNNNNNNNNNNNNNNNNNNNNNNNNNNNNNNNNNNNNNNNNNNNNNNNNNNNNNNNNNNNNNNNNNNNNNNNNNNNNNNNNNNNNNNNNNNNNNNNNNNNNNNNNNNNNNNNNNNNNNNNNNNNNNNNNNNNNNNNNNNNNNNNNNNNNNNNNNNNNNNNNNNNNNNNNNNNNNNNNNNNNNNNNNNNNNNNNNNNNNNNNNNNNNNNNNNNNNNNNNNNNNNNNNNNNNNNNNNNNNNNNNNNNNNNNNNNNNNNNNNNNNNNNNNNNNNNNNNNNNNNNNNNNNNNNNNNNNNNNNNNNNNNNNNNNNNNNNNNNNNNNNNNNNNNNNNNNNNNNNNNNNNNNNNNNNNNNNNNNNNNNNNNNNNNNNNNNNNNNNNNNNNNNNNNNNNNNNNNNNNNNNNNNNNNNNNNNNNNNNNNNNNNNNNNNNNNNNNNNNNNNNNNNNNNNNNNNNNNNNNNNNNNNNNNNNNNNNNNNNNNNNNNNNNNNNNNNNNNNNNNNNNNNNNNNNNNNNNNNNNNNNNNNNNNNNNNNNNNNNNNNNNNNNNNNNNNNNNNNNNNNNNNNNNNNNNNNNNNNNNNNNNNNNNNNNNNNNNNNNNNNNNNNNNNNNNNNNNNNNNNNNNNNNNNNNNNNNNNNNNNNNNNNNNNNNNNNNNNNNNNNNNNNNNNNNNNNNNNNNNNNNNNNNNNNNNNNNNNNNNNNNNNNNNNNNNNNNNNNNNNNNNNNNNNNNNNNNNNNNNNNNNNNNNNNNNNNNNNNNNNNNNNNNNNNNNNNNNNNNNNNNNNNNNNNNNNNNNNNNNNNNNNNNNNNNNNNNNNNNNNNNNNNNNNNNNNNNNNNNNNNNNNNNNNNNNNNNNNNNNNNNNNNNNNNNNNNNNNNNNNNNNNNNNNNNNNNNNNNNNNNNNNNNNNNNNNNNNNNNNNNNNNNNNNNNNNNNNNNNNNNNNNNNNNNNNNNNNNNNNNNNNNNNNNNNNNNNNNNNNNNNNNNNNNNNNNNNNNNNNNNNNNNNNNNNNNNNNNNNNNNNNNNNNNNNNNNNNNNNNNNNNNNNNNNNNNNNNNNNNNNNNNNNNNNNNNNNNNNNNNNNNNNNNNNNNNNNNNNNNNNNNNNNNNNNNNNNNNNNNNNNNNNNNNNNNNNNNNNNNNNNNNNNNNNNNNNNNNNNNNNNNNNNNNNNNNNNNNNNNNNNNNNNNNNNNNNNNNNNNNNNNNNNNNNNNNNNNNNNNNNNNNNNNNNNNNNNNNNNNNNNNNNNNNNNNNNNNNNNNNNNNNNNNNNNNNNNNNNNNNNNNNNNNNNNNNNNNNNNNNNNNNNNNNNNNNNNNNNNNNNNNNNNNNNNNNNNNNNNNNNNNNNNNNNNNNNNNNNNNNNNNNNNNNNNNNNNNNNNNNNNNNCGACUCCUGAUGAGGUACUUGAAUGAAUCUUCUGAGAUUUAAUGGCUGAGUUCUAAUAAUAGAGACAUGUAUUCAGGAUCAAAAGGUCACGGUUGCAGGUUCGCAGACAUAUGUCUUAACGUGGAUAUGCUAAUCUACACAACCCGUUUUUUCCCUUGAUUUUGAUACAUUUACUGUGCAUUUGGACAUUGACGCGAAGGCCAAGAAGUACAAACAUCUCAGACGUGACUGUUUGAGCUGGUUUUCUGAUCGAGAUGGUUGACUCUAGAAAAAGUUUACGGAAUCAUGUUUCUGCGCAGGAAGUCGUGGCUGAUUUAGCAAGUGGAGAAGUAGCGAAGAGCAACUGAAUCGAAGAAGCAGCAUUGUGAGAACAAUUUCCAUAACUAAUCUCAAGCAGCCUUUUAUGUGUUAGUUACUUAGAAUAACAGUCAUGUAGUUUGGUUCUAGAUGCUGAAAAUUGUCAGAACAGAGAACAGACUUGAGGUUGGAGCCUGGAAUGCAAUUUAUAUCAUUUGAUAUGCGUGCAUUGGGGCUGGAGAGAUGAUCCUAAUUUCUAUGUAAAAGAAACUCCCAAGGGAUGCUGUCACCUUGCGGUGUUACACUCUCAGAAGACAGUUGAAAUCAAAAGGAUCCUUGAAUCACAUAAGGUGAACAAAUCAUAAUCAAAGAGUCAUGGAGGCUAGAUUUAAAGUACUUAAAACAAGUACACUAGCUCAAAUGCAAUUUGAACAUCUAGCUAUAUCUGAAAUAAUGACUACGACAUUGGCACUUCAUUUUAAGACAUCAAGUGAAUAGCGGCAGUGUAUCAAAAUUUUAUUCUAAACUUGGAAUACCUAAAACUAAUGUUCUCACAAUAUCUGAAUGCAAGUCCUUGGCGGAGAAAAUGUCGUGACUGGUAGUUUGGAAAGUGGAGGGCCACAUCUCCAGAACCACAUCAGAAAGAUCCAAUUUUCAUGCUUAGAUAUAAGUAGAGCAAUUUUUUUCCUAAUUGUAGUGUGUGAGCUCGGAGCCUAGUAUGAUCACAUUUUCAAUGAUCACUCAACGUGGACAUCUUUAUUUCUGAGAUGCCUAACAAUGUGGGAAUGUGCCUGUCCUAAUUUUGAUGGAUUAGUUAUAACAGAAGCUGAGGUUCGGUAUCAAUUCUUCCCCAGAUAGAGGGGAUUCUCAAUCAUCCUGACUAGAUUAUUGAAAAAAGAUAUAUCUAUAUCAAAAUCAUCCACGAAAUUGUUGAUGACCCUUACUUACACUAUGCAUCAGAAGAUGAAAAACACGAAACCCCACUGCUCUUUGGCUGUAUAUCGGAAAAAAAAUAGAGUUACUGAGAAUUGUUGAUUUUGUCACUAUCAAAUUACGUUGCGAUAUCCUAUCGAAACAGGAUAACCGUGUCUAGCAAAUCAGCUUAUAAUUAAUUAUCCCUGGAGAUUGUUUUCUCUGCCGUUUAUUUCAAGGAUUUCUUCAAGAGAAGACUUUAAGUAGGCAUUACUGGAGAUGGUGCUACAAAAAAAAAUGAAGCAGCUGUAACAAUGGAAUGGUAGACCCGUCUACUUGCAUAUACGCUCGAAAAAAAUACAGGAAAUGAAGAUUUGAUCAGGAUUUGAUUACAAGGGUUUGUUGAGCUUUAUGGGAUUAUAUACUUGAGCAGGUAUUACCGACUUCCUUUAUAUCGGCUUGAUCGAUGCAGGAAUCCGUGCUUACAGAGAUGAUGAAGAACCGUGCAUUGGGGGUAGAGAUUGGCAUUAAACUUCUCCAAGCAAUCAAGCGGUCAAGAAUGUCCAUAUCGAUUUUGUCAAAACAUUAUGCCUUUAUUGAAUGGUGUCUCAAGGAGUUGGUUCAGAUGCUGGAGUGCAAGAAAACCAAGAGACAGAACAUCAUGCUAGUUUUCUUGGAUGUGGAACCUUCUGAGGUUUGGUAGCAAGAAACAAGAGGUGAUACAGUGAUGGAACUAUUAGCGAACGGAAGGCCACUCCAUGGAAGUUCGAGCACUAAAGGGAGGGGACGUAUAAAGCAUGCCCGACAGAUCAUUCAGAAAUCAUGCCAAAAAUGGCAUUGUUCACCGGGGUUUGACUUUUUCUUAGCUUAAGUAUAUGUUGUAAGUCCAUUUUCAUUCUUCCACUUGGCGAAUAAUUUCAACAAGGAUUCUGUCCAAACGAGGUCUUAAAUUUUUCUAAUUUGGUUUUGCCUGACAAUCCGUUGGUCAACCCAAAUUUCCAAUUCCAAGUGUUCUUCUACUCCCUAAGUAUCAGCCUCAAAAGUGACUUAGAGAAAACAUUCAUCAAGAUGGUUUUUAGCGAGUUGAAAAAGGGUUAUUCAGUAUUAUCGGAUUGCUUGGUUAAAGUAGACAACCGCGUGAGUGAAAUCAUGAGAAUGAUUGGCCCUUAUAUAGAUGAAACACCGAUUGCUGGUACCCAUGGAGUGGGCGAUGCUAGAAAGACCACUCUUGUCAUAAUCAUCUACAAUCAACUUUCACCUGAUUUCGAAGAUUGUUGUUUCCUUUCUAACAUUUUAGAAACUUCGAAGGUGAAGGGUGGUGAGUAAUUACAGAAUUAGCUCAUCUCUGACAUCCUCAAAAGGAAAUGGACAAAUAUAAGUAACCGUGAUGAAGGGAUUAAGAUGAUUAAAGAUAGGCUGUGUUUCGAAAGGCUUCUUCUCAUCAAUGAUGUCGAAAUAAAGAAUCAAUUGAAUGCAUUGAUGGGCAAGGGUGAUUGGUUUUGUGAAGGAAGUAAGCUUAUCAUCUCUAGAGAAACAAUAGGUUCUCAAUGUCCUGAAGUGGAUUGGACCUAUGAAAUUAAUUGCAUGGAUUUUGACAAAUCUCUUCAAUCUUUCGACAAACAUGCCUUUAGAAGAUAUUGUCUUUUGGAUGAUUAUCUUGCCCACACCAGAAAUGCAGUAUGCACUACUGGAGGUUCCUCUAACUCUCGAGAUUGUUCUUUCUUGAUUAAAGGAACGAUAGUACUUCAACCCCUUAAAAUAGUGAAUUUGAAUAAAUGCAUUUCGCUUAAACUCUUUUGUUUUUAAAAUUUUCCAUUGGGCAGGGAAAAACAAAAGUUGAAGCUCUUCGUCUCCACUUUGACCAUGAGCGGCAUUACUACUUUACCUAUAAGGACUUUGAGAAAAUAUCUAAUCUAAGGUUUCUUCAAGUUGACGAUUGGAAGGAAUACUUUCGUGCAGAAGAGAGGCUUCUUUGGCAUGAAUCGCUAUCAAAUGUUCUUCCAAUUGAUAAUUUCUAGGAGAAUCCAGAUCUCCUUCCACAAUUACGAUGGCUUUCUUGGCCUAAAAUUCCCCCAACAUUUAAGAUUACAAAUUUCUCCAUGAAGAAUGUGGUUAUUCUUGAUCUAUCAAAGAGUAAAAUUACGCAUGAUUGGAAGGGGUGGAGCCAUAUGAAGGUAUGUUAUAUGCUAGACAACACUUAUCAUUUCGUCUUAUUAGAUUAUAAGUAAUCUUUGCAUAAUUUUUCUUUUUCAUAGGUGAUGAAAAUUUGAAAGUUAUGAAUUUGACCAGAUGCGUUUGCUUGGAGAGAACCCCUGACUUCUCUGCUCAUUCAAAAUUAGAACGUUUGAUCUUACGGGAUUGUCGCAAAUUAGUUGAAAUUGACAAGUCGAUUUGUCAAUUGAAAAGCUUAAUUUUUUUAGAUGUAACAUCUUGUGUGAAUCUUCGAAGGUUGCCAGACAAGAUGGGUAGAGAUCUUGCAAGUCUCAAAUACCUAUAUAUGAGCGAUUGUGAGUCGUUGGAGGGGCUUCCGAAUACAAUCGGAAAUUUGGAAUCAUUGAAUGAGUUGAAUAUAAGUGGAACGGAGAUUAAGGAACUCCCUAAUACACUCUGGACAUUAGAGAAGCUCGAAGUAAGGCGAAAUGAUGCAUCAUUUUCAUAUGGAAAUCGGCAAUUGCAUAUAUAGAAAUCUAUCUCUGAGGAUCUUGAAAUUGUAUGGUACGACAAUACACGUGGUAUUGAGGCUUCUCGAAAGUCUUACAAUUCUAAAUUUGUCUACAUUUUACACAGAUGAGCCACUAGAUCUCUCAAACCUGCCUAAUUUAAAAGAAUUAUGGCUGGACUUCAGGCCAUCUUCUAAUGAAUUAUGGCUGAACUUCAGGGCAUGUGAUUCUGAUGGGGAAUCCGAUGGGCCUGUGGAAGAGGCUCUUCCGAUGCCAUUGCGGACCGAGGAUUUAAGCAAACUAGAAUCCCUAUCCCUGAGCUCUCGGUAUGCGAACACCAUACAAAUAGAUAUGAGAAGUCUCAUCCCCCAACUCUGGGAUCUCUCACUCUCGAGGUGCCCUAAUUUGCGUUGCCUCCCGAGCCUUCCCUUCACUUUAUCAUCCUUAGAAUUGGAAUCUGAAUGCUUGACCACCUUACCCAUGGAUAUACGUAGUCUCCUUCCUUGACUCCAGUCACUUUCACUCAAGUGCCUUAAUCUGCAUUGCCUCCCGAGCCUUCCCUGCAGUUUAUUAGAGUUACAUUUGUGCGCAUUCAAGUCGGGUUGUUCCAUGGAGGAUCUAUCGAAUUUGAAGACACUAUCAACUCUUCGCAUCAUUGAUUGUGAUGUCUCACAGAUUUGAGGCCUUGAUCGUUUGGAGAACCUACAAUAUUUGGGGCUUUUGCAUCUUCAACAGGUGGAGAUAUUACCCGAUCUAAGUAAUCUCAAUAAAUUAGGGUCGCUUGUAGUAUUUCAUUGUGGAAAUCUAGUUGAGAUUCAAGGCGAACUCCCACCAUCUUUGAAAAAAUUGGAGAUUAAUCAAUGUGGAUCUUUACAAAAGUUGCAUGAUUUGUCAAGCUUGAAGAGAUUGCAACAAGUUAAAAUAUGGGGUUUCAGGAAAUUAGAUGUGGAGGAUCUAUCAAAUUUGAAGACUAUCAAUUCUUUCCAUCUGUUACUGUGCUAUCUCAGAGAUUCGAGUCCUUGAUCGUUUGGAGAACCUACGAGUAUUGUCACUUUUGGAACUUCAACAGGUGGAGAUAUUACCCAAUCUAAGUAAUCUCAAUAAACUACAGACUCUUCAAGUAUUUGUCUGUUGUGAUCUGGUUGAGAUUCAAGGCGAACUCCCACCAUCUUUGGAAGAAUUGGUUAUUCAUGAAUGUGGAUCUUUACAAAAGUUGUUUGAUUUGUCAAGCUUGAAGAGACUGCAAAAAGUUAAAAUAAUGAAGCAAAUUGCAGCUUCCGACUUCUUUCUUCUUCAUUAAGUAUACUUAAUUCAUAAGCAAGUGUAGUCUAGUAAUCUAGAGUUUUCAAAAAAUGGAUCAUAUUUUAACAAUUUGCAAUAAGUCUGGGAAAAGAUCGCAUUGUCUAAUGAAUAUCGCGUUGAUGUAAAUAUCAAGUUGCUAUAACUUUGCCCAGAACGUGUAAUUUUGUCUCCGGGAUAUUCUAUCAAACAAGUUGACUGCAUGGACUAACUUGAAUUAAAAACACACAAAGUCAACUCUUCUCUCUACCGUAUGAUUCGACGAGCGAUACCCCGAGAAUCUUGAGCAAAAGGCACGCAAAAUUCACUUUCUCAGAAGACAGACAUGGGGAAGUGCAGUUUUCUGAUUCGAUCAAUCCACUGGGAAGGGAGCAGGGCAUCGGCGAGCGGGAGGAAGCUGAAGACGCCGUCAGAGGCAUGAGUGCGCCCGUGGAGGGCAAGGAAGGAUUGUCGACGAAGGGCCAGCGUACAAGCUAGGCCCGGUGGCUAAUGAGAGACGGCCAUUUGAGGGCAUGUGCAAGAUCACGAUGUCGAACAAAAUCAAGGUGUUCUUUCGCAACACAAACACUUUUGAGUUGCUCAAGAUCUGCGCUUCUCCGUGUGUAUAUUUUGUCUUCACCUACAUUUAGAGACGAUGGAGGCCACGACCGCAAAGAUCUGCGCUUUCCCCGUGAGGAACGCAUGACCCACGGCGGUGGCUAGGCGCCACCGCCGUCACCACCGCAAUCUUGCCCGUUCGCAUGUUCUCCGUGCGUGAAUAUAUAUAUAUAAGACUGUCGAUGAUAUUAGCUCACGUAUAAUGACGUGGCAGUCUACGUGUUUAAGAGGAGGGAAGGGAAAAAAAUCAGAAAAAUCAUAAGAAACCAAACGUCCUCUUUUGUCAGCCUUAAAUUGUCGACUGUACCACAUAAGACUGUCGAUGAUAAUUGAAUCAUCACGUCACCGAUUUUCAUAGAAAAUCAGUUAAAGGAAUUAUGUUUGAAUUAUCAAAAUGUUUAAGAUUAAAUUGAUAAAGUUGAAAAUUUUAAAAUUAAAUUCCAUACAAUAAGUUAAAGAUUGAUUUAGUAAUUUCUCAAAUCACACUCUAACAGGACACGCUAACCCAACCCCCGAGGAUUAGAAAGUAGGAAGGACGAAUAAAAAAUCUGAUCGUUAUCUUCAAAUUACUUCAAAUAUUUCUCCUUUUAUCGUAUAGAGUUCGACUCCGAAAGAUCAAAUAUUGUUUAAUUAUCCAAUUCCACUACAGAAAAAUUAUUCAUGGAUCCCAAUAUAAUUAAAAGUGACAUGAACUCAAGAGAGAAUGACAAGUUGACAACAGAAGAUAGGAUCGAAUAUUACGUACUUAUACAUUAAAUAGGUUACUAGUAAUUCUGCCCUAACUUGGUAGCACUCUUUGUAAAUUUUUUGUGACGAUGGUCAAUUUUUCUAAAAUCUUAAGCCUAUUUAUCGAAGGCAUGGUCAAUAUUUAAAUACUCUAACGCUACCCUCAUGCAUAAGCUAAAUAUUGGUCCAAGACUAAAGUGUAGAAAUAUCUAAUUGAAGAGGCAAAUAGAGACUUGAUAAGACUUGAAUGCGGGAACUCUUGCUUAGGCAUUGCCUAAAAUCUAAGUACUCCAACACUCUUCACGCAUUAGAUUUCGGCUAAUAUACUCAAUGUAGACUAUAGAAUUUGUGCUUAUAUAUAUAUAUAUAUUAUAUCAAUGGAAUACUUAUAGAUUUGGAUAUUCAUACAUUACUCAAGUAAGUAUACAAACCAUUCUGACAGAACAUAAGUGGUAAACUAGAAUAGAAAUGAUGACUAAUGAUCAAGCUUUUUACCCUUUUAUCAAUUGAUGAUUGUAAUUCAAAUAGAACCAAGUGUGAUUAAUUUAACUGUAUAUAGUAUUAUACACGGAAUGGUGACAGGUUGGAUCGUCAUUAAGAGAUGACAUUCACAAUGCUAAAGAGAUCUCACUGUAAUUAUCAUUCUAUUUAUUUAAAUUGUGAACCUUUUCCACUUUAUAAAAGAGAAAUCAAUUGAAGACGAGCUGAUGAUACUUGGUCACCUAGGAGAAACAUCUGAAAGGGUCACUUCAUUAACAGUGGAAGUUUUGUGAAUUAGACCGAUAGGAUUGAGUGUUCUCACAUUUCUCCCAACUGAAAAUGCAGGCAAAGAUGGUCGGGUAUGUGGGAUAGUAUUGGCUCCUCGCAUAUGAACCACAAGCGACAUGGUUGGUUGAUCUAUUGGGUCUUCUUGAACGCACAAUAGACCGAUGUGUAUGCACUUUACCACUUGAACUGCAUCACAUGACUCUUUGAUUGAUGGAUCGGUAAGUUCCAAACUUCAACCUUCGGACCACAACUUCCAUGCUUGUCAUUUUGGAAGGGAAGUAAGCAAGGACAAUUGCACAUAAUUCUGAGGUUUCAUAUUAAAAAAGUGUGGUGACUAGGAUUAUACAAGGGUGAGAAGGCUUUCACCGUGCUCUUGGAGAUGAAAACCGUUAUUCUUUCGCCUACUUAUCAUCUCUAGCAAGAGAACUCCAAAACUGAAGACAUCUGAUUUAACAGAAAAUAGUCCUUGCAUCGCAUAUUCCGGUGCCAUGUAUUCACGAACCGAAAUUAUGCGAUGAAGUGCAAUUACUUGGAAGUAAGAAACAAUUGUUGAGAAAUAUUGUGAGUAAUAAGGGUAAAAUAGUAACUUAGUUAUGAUUAGGGUUAAGCACAUAUGAGCAUAUAUAUUUGUAACCCUUUUUCACUUUUUAAUAUAUAUAGAAAAUAAUUAUCUCUUUCACAUGGUAUCAGAGCAAGGUUGGUCGGAACCCUAGACGACGGAACAGCCACUCGCCGCUGCGACUCGCCGGAAUAGUUGGCUGUCGUCGCCGCUCAUUGUUGAAACCUCCUGCCACUCAGACUUCCCUCUUCCUUUCUCUCGCUUCUUCGUGCGGCUCGCGUGCGCGGCUCGUGCGGAUAAUUUUGUGAAUUAGACCAAUAGGAUUGAGUGUUCUCACAUUUCUCCCAACUGAUAAUGCAGGCAAAGAUGGUCGGGUAAGUGGGAUAGUAUCGGCUCCUAGCAUAUGAACCACAGGCGACAUGGUUGGUCGAUCUAUUGGGUCUUCUUGAACGCACAAUAGACCGAUGUGUAUGCACUUUACCACUUGAACUGCAUCACAUGACUCUUUGAUUGAUGGAUCGGUAAGUUCCAAACUUCGACCUUCGGACCACAACUUCCAUGCCUGUCAUUUUGGAAGGGAAGUAAGCAAGGACAAUUGCACAUAAUUCUGAGGUUUUAUAUUUAAAAAGUGUGGUGACUAGGAACAUACAAGGGUGAGAAGGCUUUCACCGUGCUCUUGGAGAUGAAAACCGUUAUUCUUUCGCCCACUUAUCAUCUCUAGCAAGAGAACUCCAAAACUAAAGACAUAUGAUUUAACAGAAAAUAGUCCUUGCAUCGCAUAUUCCGGUGCCAUGUAUCCACUGUUCGAAAUUAUGCGAUGAAAUGCAAUUACUUGGAAGUAAGAAACAAUUGUGGAGAAAUAUUGUGAGUAAUAAGGGUAAAAUAGUAACUUAGUUAUGAUUAUGGUUAAGCACAUAUGAGCAUAUAUAUUUGUAACCCUUUUUCACUUUUUAAUAUAUAUAGAAAAUAAUUAUCUCUUUCACAUGGUAUUAGAGCAAGGUUGGCCGGAAUCCUAGACGACGGAGCAGCCACUCGCCGUCGCGACUCGCCGAAAUAGUUGGCUGUCGCCGCCGCUCAUCGUCGAAACCUCCUGCCACUCAAGCGACCCUCUUCCUUUCUCUCGCUUCUUCGUGCGGCUCGCGUGCGCGACUCGCGCGGUUUGCACGCGCUGCUCGUGCGACUCGCGUGCGCGACUCGCGCGGUUUGCACGCGCUGCUCGUGCGACUCGCGCAGUUUGCACGCGCUGCUCGUGCGACUCGCAUGCGCAGCUCGCGCGGUUCACACGCACUGCUCGUGCGGCUCGUGCGCGCUGCUCGCGUGGCUUGAUUGCGCUCGUGGCUCACACGGCUUGAUCACGCUUGCGGUUUGCACUGCUUGCGCGACUCUUGCGUGCUACUCACCUAGGAGAAACAUCUGAAAGGGUCACUUCAUUAACAAUGGAAGUUUUGUGAAUUAGACCGAUAGGAUUGAGUGUUCUCACAUUUCUCCCAACUGAGAAUGUAGGCAAAUAUGGUCGGGUAAGUGGGAUAGUAUCGGCUCCUAGCAUAUGAACCACGGGCAACAUGGUUGGUCGAUCUAUUGGGUCUUCUUGAACGCACAAUAGACCGAUGUGUAUGCACUUUACCACUUGAACUGCAUCACAUGACUCUUUGAUUGAUGGAUCAGUAAGUUCCAAACUUCGACCUUCGGACCACAACUUCCAUGCCUGUCAUUUUGGAAGGGAAGUAAGCAAGGACAAUUGCACAUAAUUCUGAGGUUUCAUAUUAAAAAAGUGUGGUGACUAGGAACAUACAAGGGUGAGAAGGCUUUCACCGUGCUCUUAGAGAUGAAAACCGUUAUUCUUUCGCCCACUUAUCAUCUCUAGCAAGAGAACUCCAAAACUAAAGAUAUCUUAUUUAACAGAAAAUAGUCAUUGCAUCGCAUAUUCCGGUGUCAUGUAUCCACUGACCAAAAUUAUGCGAUGAAGUGCAAUUACUUGGAAGUAAGAAACAAUGAAAAGCUAUUUCUAUAUUUAAACUUCUGUGAUAGGUAUAUGCUCAUUUUGGUGUUGUUGAGCUGAUCAUCAGAGUUCUUUGUUGGCCUAGUGAAUCAUUCAAACAUAUGACAGAUGUAGAAAGAUAUUAAAGAACUUACUAUGUUCCAACAACCCUAUUUGUGUUGGCCUCAUCAUCUUGAUUUACACCAAAGAUCAUUGCCAUUCCUAAAUCAGAUAUCUUUGAAUUCAUCUCGCCAUCUAGUAAAAUAUUACUAGCUUUCAGAUCCCUAUGGAUAAUUCUUAGGCAAGAAUCCUCAUGUAAAUAUAGAAGCCCCCGAGCUAUUCCAAAGGUGAUGUUCAUGCGCAUCUUCCAGUCUAAAGAUUGCCCCAUAGUUGAACCUGUCGAUCAUGAGAGACUCAGAUGAACAUCAACUAUAUGAAACUAAAAUUAACUAGCUAAAAUAUUCAUUGCAUCUGCUAAAGCUCAAACCAAAAAGGAAGACAUCUAGGCUUUUGUUGGGCAUGUAUUCAUAUAUCAAGAGUUUUUCUUGCUCUUACAAGCGGCAUCCCAAUAAUCAAACAAAGUUCCUAUGUUGUAGUCUAGCAAUCGAGAUCACUUCGUUCUUAAACUCGAUAAGUCCUUGGCCCGAGGUUCUUGAAAGCCUUUUAACUGCAAUUUCUUUUCCAUUUGCCAAUGUGCCCUGAAACAGGGUAAUGUCAGUAGUGAAAUCCCUAUAUGAGAAUUAGCAAUGAUAACCAAAUUGGAAUCAGUUCAUGUUUGGAUAGUAACCACCAGUUUUCCCAAUUUUCCCAUAAACAAGUGUUAAGUCUCUUCAAUGCUUACCUUGUACACAAGGCCAAACCCGCCUUCCCCAAGUUUACAUUCAUUGGAGAAGUUUUGUGUGGCCACACGUAUAAUGUCUAAUCGUAUCACAGAUAGUGCCUCGCAUGCGCCAUCGACGGUCCCCGCGCACAUGAGGCACGCGUGUAGCUGACGUCACGGUGACGUCAGCUGGCGCGUGCCUCACACGUGCCAUCGAUGGCCCCGACGCACGUGCGGCACGCGUGCAGCUGACGUCAGUUGGCGCGUGCCUCGCACACGCCAUCAACGGCCCGCGCACGUGCGUCGCAGGUGUAGCUGAUGUUAGCUGGCGCGUGCCUUGCACGCGCCAUCGACAGCCCCCACGCACGUGCGUCGGCCACGCAUGCGCGUGCAACGCAUGCACCUGCGUCUUCGAAUCGGCGCGUGCAAGCCGUUUCGCUCCGGUUGCGCGUGGGGGCGCAUCCGACGGCCUUUGGCGGCGUUCCGCCACUCGUCGUGCUUGUCUCAACGAGACCCUCGACCCUACACCAUCAGAAACUGAUUUCGACUUACAGAAAAUCGAAAAAAUGGAUGAACAGUGCUCGGGUGUCGGGAUUUUUCCACCCCCAAUCGAUGUUGGCCGAUUUUCAAUGAAAAAUCAAUAAAAAAAUCAUUCAUAAACAUGAAAGGGGUUGGGAAAAACAUGAAUAAGGAUUGGGAAACAUGAACUCUCGCUCUGAUACCAAUGUCGGGAAUAUUGGAUUCCCAAAAAUCGGAUUCGACACUAAAUCGAACCCUUAAAACAAGUGCGGAAGACGAGCCUAGGAAAAAGACAUGUAUUACCGAUCCUAAGGCACAUCACAUAAUCGAACAUACCUUGUUAGCCAUAGAUUAAACACUGACAUUGAUAUGAGGAAGAAGAAUUAAUCCUGUUCGAUCCGAUGACGCCAAUUCGCCUUGAAGGGAAGAGAGUUCUGACUCCUUUUGUUACUGUUCUUCUUUUGGAGUGUUUGGAGGGAGAGAGGGAGGAGGAACGUACUGUGGCACCCCAAAACACCUAAGGUCACCACAGGUACCUAUCGCUCCACCUAAUGAACACUAAUUACAUCUCUUAGUAGAAGCAUCGUAGUUCAUAGGCAUUUUUUUUUAAAAACGGUCCCAGCACAACUUAUUAGUGGAAGCACAAACAAGUCUCACCAUUUCUCCCUCCAACAAUCAUGAUACAAUGCACACCACUAAGCACCAUAAGAAAAGAUAAAGCCAAGACACUUUUAUUUAUAUAUUUUCAUGAUGGAUUUCUCGGGACAGUACAACCAAAAAGAAAGGCCAAGACUUUUAACUACACUUGGCCACAACCCAAAAGAUACCUCGACCCCUAUAAUGAUCACGUGUCAUCCUCCAUCUAUUAGUGUCGGCUAUCUCCAAAAAGAAACAUCAGCUCUCUACUCCUCAUGCGGCCAUCACACCUGACUUAGGCCCAUCACAUUAAUUAUUUAAAACCAUCAGUUUGUGCACCGACAGGAGUGCCUUGGAUGCAGAGGAUCAAGCAUGAAAUCUAGAAAGCGAAGGAAAUAUUUCUUGGUGCAUCGAGAAUCUUUUUUUCUUGAACUUGGAAAGAAUGCGAGCACAGUAAGAGUAAUUCAAAGACGACCAUGGACUUUUUUUUAACUCAAGAGGAGUAGGACAAUAAGCGACUUCUGGAGGGCGAGGUGAAGAAAUUGAUCAAGAACCAAGUUUUGCAGCUGCUCUCCCUGAUUCCGGGGUUGGUAAAGACGAAUUAGUCCGAUUUCCACAUUCUGUUGUCAACAGGGACAAGCACCCGAUUGGCUCUUUUUUUUUCUAGAAGAAAUGAGGGCGAACUUUCCUAGCUUGCCCUACCAACGAAAAUACCUAGUGGAGCCUAAAAAGAUCUUCCCGAGUAGCCUCCCAGAGCUCACCCCACAGGUUGCCCAACUCCAGCCCGUGUAGACGGAGACCUGCGGUCAGACCUUACCAGAGAAGAUGGACUUCUCGACAAGUUUGUCGAGGUCGGACUUGCUAAGGUGGAAGGUGGGCCGCUGCCACCCCGUCCCCCGGGAGGGGAGGCAACGCUAUCGAGGGAGGGAGGGUGGGUGGCAUCGGGCAAGAGGUAGGGGACGAAGGUGGCCUGGAGGGGGAAGCUCUUGAGCUUGAUCUUGCAGAAGCAGGGGGAGAAGGAGGGGUGGACGGUAGAGCCCACGGACUUAGCGGCGAUGGGGAUCUUGAAAGUGAGGCUCCCUACUGUGAGCAGAGAGAAGAAGAAGAAAUAAAGGAAAAAAAAAAGAGAAGGAAACUCAUAUUUAAGGGAAAAAGCCAUGAAAAACCUUGAAUUUUGCCCCAAGUGACACAUUUUUUCCAAACUUUUUUUUGUGCCGUGAAAAACCCAAACUUUCCAAACCGUGACACAUUUACCCCAAACUUUUUUUUGUGACACCAAAAACCCUGAACUUUUGUCGUGUGACACAUUUAUCCCAAAAUUAUAGGGUAUUUUGGUCUUUUCAUUUUUUAAAGUUUUUUUUUUCUUCCCUCUUCCCUCCGCUGAUUUGGAUUUAGCCUUUCUUUGCACUAUGAUUCCAACCCAAAGAACUCUACCACUAGAUUUGAAGUCAAGAUGUUUAAAAUAUUUCUAUAUAAGCAUGUACUGAGUUUUUGUGAUUGAGUAUAUAAGCUCUAUCAUUAAUGAUCAUAGUCAACUAUGUCGAAUCUACGACAAUUUUAGCUUGUGGUAGAUCUGAUCAACACCAUCCAUCUUUUCUUUUUUUCUUUUUUUUUUCUUCCUUCCCGGUCAUAGCAAUAUGUGAACUUAUGAAGCCAACUAUUCAUCAUCAAAUUGGAGCCAGCAUUUAAUGGUAAAGUGAACAUUUUCUCAUUGGAAUGCCAUCUUAAGGUUUGAAGGACCUAAAUUGACUGUCCUCUUCUUCAACACAAGGAUUCAACCUCAUUAUUUAAUCGCAAGGCUUAACUAGAGUCGAGAGAUUCUUGAUAAUACACCAAAUAAUAAUGACAUUUUUAAUUCCAUAAUUGCCCUUUAAAUACAGGCAGCCAAAUGAAGUACUCAAAGCCAGAGUCGAUGCACUGGACAACGAGAAGAUGACGUACAGCUACACAAGGGUGGAGGGAGGCGAAUCGGCUGACAAGAUCGAGUCGAUCUCUUAUGAAAUAUCAAGAUGGAGGCAUCUCUCGAUGGGGGCUGUGAGGGCACGAACAGGAGCAACUACCACCCAAAACCAGGCAUUGUGAUCAGUGAGGAUGAGAUCAAAGCCGGGAAAGAGAAGGCCAUGGCCGUCUUCAGGUCCGCGGAGCCCCAUCUCUUGGCCAACCCCGAGGCCUCUGCCUAAAAGCUUUUGUUAGUAUUAUUGUCUCUGUUUGAAGCAAAUUCUGCAUCUCUCUUUGUGGACCAAUUAAGUUCUGCUAAUUAUAAUGCGGUCUUCUCUAUGUGAAAUCCUUGAUUGAGAGUGCUAAUGUUGUUGCUAUUACAAUAAAGGUUCUCCAAUUCUACUAUAGUACGUUGCCUCGUUAAAAAGUGCCUUGGAGCACAGUUAAGAGGUAUAAUAAUGUUGCGGCGAUGCAUAUAUUAAAUUCACGUUGCAAAUUAGUAAAUGAAGUUAUUUUCAUGCGUUUGAAAAAAAUUGGAUGCACUUCUUCAAGGGUAGCAUUUUUCCCUCAGCUUGUUGCUUCCAUUGAUUGCAUCUAAAGCUUCGAGAUGUUAAAUCUUAGAGAAUUCCAUCUAUUUAAAAUUGAUGUGUAAUGUAUAUAGUUGUGAUUCAAAAGAAAGGUUGAUUAGGAUUAGGCCUUUCUUUGCAUUGUAAUCAUAACCCAAAUAGUUCUAUCACUAGAUUAGAGGUGAAGAUAUUUAAAACAUUUAUAUUUAAACGUGCAACAAGUUUAUGUGAUUGAGUAUAUAUGCUCUAUCAUUAAUGAUCAUAGUCAACUAUGCUGAAUUUACAAUGAUUCUAGUUCAUGGUAGAUCCGAUCGACGCCAUCCAUCUUUUCUUUUCUUUUCUUUUCUUUCUUGCCGGUUAUAGCAAUAUAUGAACUUAUGAAGCCAACGGUUCAUCUUCAAAUUGGAGCCAGCAUUUAAUGGGAAAACAAUGAAGCACGAAAUAUAUUCUUACCAUCCUCUUGAUCAAGAAAUGACAACGCCUUGACAACGAUUCUGAUGCAAGCCUAGGGGAGGCUUUCUCAAACAAUAGGAUCGGGAGAGUGACUCGCACACAAGAAACGGGACGAACAGUAAUUUCAGCACUGCGCAAGCUCAGGAGAACAGUCGUAUCUUUGUCGAUACAGAUCGGAUCAACCUGAUUCCAAAGCCAAAUGAACAAAAACUUCUGGAUCUACAAUUUCUGUGUUUUGGGUUUUUUGAAAUAAGCACUGUAGGAUAGUCGAAAUUGGGUUGGAAGUAACGAACAGAACAGGAAAAUAUAGGAACUUCGUUGGUUGCUCUUCUAGGCCUCCAAGGAAAUUGAGGGGGCACUGAUUCUUCUAGAUCGAUGACUGCAACUCUUCAAGGAUGCAGAUUUCAAAAGCUCCAACUCUUCAAGGACGGAGUGAAAACUCUUCUAGGUUUUCAAGGGUUGAACACUACAAGGUUCACCAUACUUGCUUCAAGCAAAGUUUUUCAUUCAUCAAAAGCUGUUCGUCUUCUACAAGAAAUUGGGCUUAUAUCGUCAAAGAAAUAAAGACGGAGCAUUGAAACUAGGAGAAAUAAAGACGGAACAUUAAAACUAAGAGAAAUAAAGACAGGACAUUAAAAUUAGCAGAAAUAGUAAAAGCAUAACGUCUUCAUGGCAAGGUGUCUUUCCAACUUCCGGGAUGGACUCAAGAUGUCGUUAUGACUUCUCGGUUUCGUCGAGCUUUAAUGCGGGCCGAUCUUCUUGGUCGAGAGAGCCGGUCUUCAAUGUGGGCUGCAUCAGAUUCACACGCAAACACUUCGAAUAUUUGUGGUUGGAUACAUUAAUUGACUCGGUAUAAUUAAUCACAGCACCAUCAAAAGGCAUAAGAGAUUAUCCUUGAAAACACAUGACCAAGUGGCCAAUUAAUCGUAACUUGAGUCAACUAUUAGGGUUUGCCCCAGUGGCCACCCUUCCAACAUGGAAGGGGGAUGUGAGGGGUUCGAAUCCCCACAUUCUCAGGAGAGAUUGGGGUGGGGACGAGAAAGUUUUAGGAGUGGGUUUCGACUCUCACGUCCUGCAAGAGGCAGGAUAAAAGUCUGAGAGUGAGUAUUAGAGUAGGAUUAAAGUAAGACUGACCCAAAAAAAAAAAUUGUAACUUAAGUCGAGACCUUUUAGUUCUCAUCCAACUUCAGUAUUGAAUUAUAUUCUUUGUAAGGUUAUUCUCCCUAUUCUGGUCUUUCUGAUUGUGUUCGUACGCAUCAUUCUAUUUCCAAGUUUUUGUCAUAUGAUCGUUUAUCUCCUACCUUCUCUGCUUUUGUCUCGUCGUUGUCUUCUAUUUAUGUGCCUAGCAGUGUUGCUGAAGCUCUUGCUCAUCCGGGUUGGCGUCGUGCCAUGGAAGAUGAAAUGGAGGCACUAAUUCAGAACAAAACUUGGAAGCUUACUUCCUUACCUAUUGAUAAGCAACCUCUUGGUUGUCGUUGGAUUUUCACUGUUAAAGUUCACCCGAAUGGUACUCUUGAUAGAUUGAAGGCACGGUUAGUUGCGAAGGGAUAUACUCAAACUUAUGGUGUUGACUAUAAUGACACCUUCUCUCCCGUGUACAAAAUUCCUUAUGUCCGUGUUUUUUUUUUUCAUUGACUGUGCAAUUUGGCUGGAUCCUUCAUCAAUUGGAUGUAAAAAAUGCAUUUUUACAUGGUGAUCUGGCUGAGGAGGUCUACAUGGAGCAACCAUUUGGGUUUAUUGCUCAGGGGGAGAAUGUGGUAUGUUGUUUACACAAAGCUUUGUAUGGACUUAAACAAUCUCCUUGUGCUUGGUUUGGUAGAUUUAGUGAUACGGUUAUCAAAUUUGGAUUAAAGCGGUGUCAGGUAGAUCAUUCAGUUUUCAGCUCCGUGUCUUCAACUAGUUGUAUCCUUCUAGUUGUAUAUGCAGAUGAUAUCAUCAUUACUGGCAGUGAUUCAAGUGGUAGUAAAAAACUUAAGCAAUUUAUGCAUAAAGAAUUUAGUACUAAAGAUCUGGGACGUCUUCGAUACUUUCUUGGUAUUGAAGUAUCCUAUUCACAUGCUGGUAUCAAUUUAUCGCAAUGAAAGUAUGUACUGGACAUCCUUGGUGAAGUUGGAUUUCUUGGAGUAAAGCCAGUUGAUACCCCUAUGGAUCCCAAUAUGAAACUUGAUGCAGAACAUGGAGAAUUACUACAUGAUCCAGCAAAGUAUCGAAGGUUAGUUGGUAAGUUAAACUAUCUUACUAUCACCAGACCUGAUAUAUCCUUCGCGGUUAGUAUAGUAAGUCAAUUCAUGAGUUCUCCUCGUACCACUCAUUGGGAUGUUGUACUUCGAAUCGUCAAAUAUUUGAAGGGAGCACCAAGUAAAAGACUACAAUUCAAGAAUUAUGGUCAUCUAAACACUGCAGGCUUCUCUAAUGCUGACUGGGCUGGAUGUCUUGUGGAUAGGAGAUCUACUUCAGGCUAUUGUGUGUUUCUUGGGGAUAAUUUAGUUGCAUGGAAAAGCAAGAAACAACAUGUAGUUUCCCAAUCAAGUGCUGAAGCUGAAUAUCGUGCUAUGGCACAUGUGACAAGUGAAUUAUUAUGGUUGAGAAUGUUACUAUCAGAGAUUGAAAUGUCACCGUCAAAUCCAUCAGUGCUAUAUUGUGAUAAUCAAUCUGCUAUUCAUAUUGCAUCUAAUCCAGUCUUCCAUGAGCGAACUAAGCACAUUGAGGUUAAUUUUCAUUUUGUGCAAGAAAAAGUUCAGAAAGGCGAGGUUAUUCUGCAACACACAAAGUCGGAGGAUCAACUCGCGGACAUUUUUACAAAAUCUCUAUGGGGGAAUAGAGUGAGCGUCUUAUGUAACAAGUUGGGUUUAUUUGAUAUCUAUAUCCCAACUUGAGGGGGAGUGUUGAGAAAUAUUGUGAGUAAUAAGGGUAAAAUAGUAACUUAGUUAUGACUAGGGUUAAGCACAUAUGAGCAUAUAUAUUUGUAACCCUUUUUCACUUUGUAAUAUAUAUAUAUAUAUAUAUAUAUAUAUAUAUAUAUAUAUAUAUAUAUAUAUAAAAUAAUUAUCUCUUUCACAACAAUGAAAAGCUAUUUUCUAUAUUUAAACUUCUGUAAUAUGUAUACGCUCAUUUUGGUGUUGUUGAGCUGAUCAUCAGAGUUCUUUGUUGGCCUAGUGAAUCAUUCAAACAUAUGACGGAUGUAGAAAGAUAUUAAAGAACUUACUAUGUUCCAACAACCUUAUUCGUGUUGGCCUCAUCUUGAUUUACACCAAAGAUCCUUGUCAUUCCGAAAUCAAAUAUCUUUGGAUUAAUCUCGCCAUCUAGUAAAAUAUUACUAGCUUUCAGAUCCCUAUGGAUAAUUCUUAGGCGAGAAUCCUCAUGUAGAUAUAGAAGCCCCCGAGCUAUUCCAAAGGUGAUGUUUAUGCGCAUCUUCCAGUCUAAAGAUUGCCCCACAGUUGAACCUGUCAAUCAUGAGAGACUCAGAUGAACAUCAACUAUAUAAAACUAAAAUUAACUAGCUAAAAUACUCAUUGCAUAUGCUAAAGCUCAAACCAAAAAGGAAGACAUCCAAGCUUUUGUUGGGCAUGUAUUCAUAUAUCAAGAGUUUUUCAUGCUCUUCGAAGCAGCAUCCCAAUAAUCGAACAAGGUUCCUAUGUUGUAGUCUAGCAAUCGAGAUCACUUCGUUCUUAAACUCGAUAAGUCCUUGGCCUGAGGUUCUUGAAAGCCUUUUAACUGCAAUUUCUUUUCCAUCUGCCAGUGUGCCCUGAAACAGGGUAAUGUCAGUAGUGAAAUCCCUAUAUGAGAAUUAGCAAUGAUAACCAUAUUCGAAUCAGUUCAUGUUCGGAUAAUAACCGCCAGUUUUCCCAAUUUCCCAUAAACAGGUGUUGAGUCGCUUCAAUGCUUACCUUGUACACGGGGCCAAUCCCACCUUCCCCAAGUUUACAUUCAUUGGAGAAGUUUUGUGUGGCCGCACGUAUAAUGUCUAAUCGUAUCAGAGAUAAUUCUUGAGAAGCCACCAGCUUUUCUCCUCGAGAUCUUUCCUUUGAAAACUCUUCUCCAAUUUCUCGUCUUAGAUGAAGUAACUGAACCUCUGGGCUGUUUUCCUUCUCUGAGAGUCCAAGAGCUUACUCUUGUUAGAUAAAGGUUAGAAGAUGGUCAUUCCAAUGGCAAGCAAGAUGAAUUCACUCAUACAUUUCUUCAAUCUCUUUGUCCUCCUUAGAAAUAUAAACGGACCCAUGAUGAUUAUUAGUAACCUCGAUCCAAUUACUGAGCUAACUAUUGCAAUCCACGGAUUUUGUUUGACCCCUGUCAAGAAAGGAAAAUUCCUUGCAUCUAAACAUACCACAAAUCUGCAGACUCUUUCUUUCACCAAGUGUAAAUAGUACUAAGAACUCGUUGAAAGCAAGAGAGUAUGAUCAUAGUUAAGAUCGUAAAAGAAAGUCAAGUGCAAUAUGAUACAGAAAACAGCAUAUAUUGAGAAUUAGAAGAAACGGAAUGACACCAUUAUACGCUUACCAUGACAAAUUGUGUGCCCAUUUUGAGAAUUAGAUAACUCGUACCUUCACUGCCGGACUCAGUGCUGGUUUUGUUUGUUGUAGAAGGUGCUGGUGCUUGUCCUAUACGUUCCCCACUAAGAUUCAUUUGGUACCGUACAUUACAACUCGGCUGAAGAAUUCUCACACCUCCCCUUUUAAAAUGAAGAGCGGUAGGAAACUCUCUGAUAGCCGAAAGCAAGCAACUCUUACAGACUGAUUUUGCUAUGUCGGGGGUGCACUGUGCAAUCUCAUGCAUGGUCACUGAACUUGAGACAUUAACGUUUAUGGUUGCAUAUAAACUUUCUGAGGAGAUCACCAAGUCUGUUACAUUUCUUGCCAAAUCCAUCACUUUUGCUGCAAGGUCCUCAUUAUCGAAAGUUUGUUCCACAAUCCUGUUGAAGGAAACUGAACUGUUUGCAGAGUCGACAAUGAAAAGAGUCGGUCUUGUCUCCAUGAUAGAGAAGAACGGUCUGUUGGAGUAGCGCAUGAGACACUCGUCGUACUGUAUGGUCCCCUCUUUCUGUCCAGGACAUCUUUCCACGAGGGUGUUGCUAGCUUCCUGGAUGCAAGACUGACAGCGAUUGGCAGCAACAUCGCCUAUAAAGAGGAAUAGGGAAGUUGCAUUAGUAGUCACUUAUAUCUGGGUGGUAAUUUUUCAGUUGGCAUUGGAUCAUCGUACUUUGUAGAGAAUUUUAAUUAAGACCAAUAUAUCAGGUCCAUUAUAAAUCCUAUUUCCAAGUGAGCCAAUUCCAAAGAUUAUAAUGAUUGAUUUGGAAGGUAUUACUCAAAAAUUAAAAUUUUUGGUAUCUUUCACUUGUGAUUUACCUGCAGAGGAAGAGACCAUAAACUUUGUCCGGAUCUUCACCUUCCGUUGUGUUGUAGAAACCGCCAAUGGGUCCUUUGCUGUAAUCAGCGGAGUUGCCCUUGGAGAGGAGGCUGCUGAGGUUGUCCUGAAACUUGGUAAAAGCAGCGUAGUUGCCCCUAGCUAAGCACCACUCCUGAACAUAUGUCAGUCCACCGGCAGGAGUGCCUGGGAAUCUAGGAUGAAGAGGAUCGGGCAUGAAAGCCAGAAAGCGAAGGAAAUAUUUCUUGGUGCAUCAAUAGUCUUUUUUUCUUGAACUUGGAAAGAACGCGAGUACAGUAAAAGUAAAUCAAGUGCAAUAUGAUACAUAAAGCAGCUUAUAUUGAUAAUUAGAAGCAACCGAAUGAUACCAUUAUAGGCUUACCAUGACAAAUUGUGUGCCCAUUUUUAGAAUUAGAUAACUCAUACCUUCACUGCCGGACUCACUGCUGGUUUUGUUUGUUGUAGAAGGUGCUGGUGCUUUUCCUCUAGGUUCCCCACUAAAAUUCAUUUGGUACCGUACAUUACAACUUGGCUGAAGAAUUCUCGCACCUCCCCUUUUAUAAUUAAGGACGGUAGGAAACUCUUUGAUAGCCAAAAGCAAGCAACUCUUACAGGCUGAGUUUGCUAUGUCGGGGGUGCACUGUGCAAGCUCAUGCAGGGUCACUGAACUUGAGACAUUAAUGUUUAUGGUCGCGUAUAAGCUUUUGGAGGAAAUUGCCAAGUCUGUGGCAUUCCUAGCCAAAACUGUCACUUGCGCCGCAAAGUCCUCGUUAUCAAAAGUUUGCUCCACCAUCCUGUUGAAGGUAUCUGAAACGUCCAGAGGGUUGAGAAUGGGUUUAACCGGUUGUCUCCAUGAUAGAGAAGAAUGAUAUGUUAGAGUAGCGCACGAGACACUCGUCGUACCGUAUGAUAGCCUCUUUCUGUCCUGGACAUCUUUCUAUGAUGGUGUUGGUAGCUAAAACGAUGCAAGACUGACAGAGAUCGGCGGCAACAUCCCAUGUAAAGAGGAAUAGUAAAGUUGCAUUAGUAGUCACUUAAAUCUAAAUAGCAAUUUUACGGUUGACAUUGGAUCACCGUACUUUGGAGAGGAUUUCAAUUAAGACCAAUAUAUCAGGUCCAUUAUAAAUCCUAGUUCCAAGUGAGCCGAUUCCAAAGAUUAUAAUGAUUGAUUUGGAACGUAUUACUCAAAAGUAGAAAUUUUUGGUAUCUUUCGCACGUGAUUUACCUGCAGAGGAAGAGACCAUAAACUUUGUCCGGAUCUUCACCUUCCGUCGUGUUGUAGAAACCGUAAAUGGGUCCUUUGUUGGAAACAGCGUAGUCGCCCCUGGAGAAGAGGCUUCUGAGGUUGUCCUCAAACUUGCUACGAGGAGCGCAGUUGCCCCUUUCUGCGCACCGCUCGUGAACAUGUGUCUGUGCACCGACAGGAGUGCGUGGGAUGCAGAGGAUCAGGCAUGAAAUCCAGAAAGCGAAGGAAAUAUUUCCUGGUGCAUCGAGAAUCUUUUUUUCUUGAACUUGGAAAGAACGCAAGCACAGUAAGAGUAAUUCAAAGACGGCCAUGGACUUUCUUUUAACUCAAGAGGAGUAGGACAAUAAGCGACUUCUGGAGGGCGAGGUGAAGAAAUUGAUCAAGAACCGAGUUUUGCAACUGCUCUCCCUGAUUCCGGGGUUGGUAAAGACGAAUUAGUCCAAUUUCCACGUUCCGUUGUCAACAGGGACAAGCACCCGAUUGGCUUUUUUUUUUUUUUUUUUCCAGAAGAAAUGAGGGCGAACUUUCCUCGCUUGCCCUACCAACGAAAAUACCUGGUGGAACCCAAAAAGAUCUUCCCGAGUAGCCUCCCGGAGCUCACCCCGCAGGUUGCCCAACUCCAGCCCGUGUAGACGAAGACCUGCAGUCAGACCUUACCAGAGAAGAUGGACUUCCCGACGAGCUUGUCGAGGUCUGACUUGCUGAGGUGGAAGGUGGGCCGCUGCCACCCCGUCCCCCAGGAGGGGAGGCAACGCUGUCGAGGGAGGGGGGUGGGUGGCGUCGGGAGGGAGGUAGGGGACGAAGGCGGCCUGGAGGGGGAAGCUCUUGAGCUUGAUCUUGCAGAAGCAGGGGGAGAAGGAGGGGUGGACGGUAGAGCCCUCGGACUUAGCGGUGAUGGGGAUCUUGAAAGCGAGGCUCCCUACCGUGAGCAGAGAGAAGAAGAAGAAAUAAAGGAAAAAAAGAAGGAAACUUAUAUUUAAGGGAAAAAUCCACGAAAAACGUUAAACUUUGUCCUGUGUGACACAUUUAUUCCAAAUAUUUUUUUUGUACCGUGAAAAAUCCAAACUUUCCAAACCAUGAUAUAUUAAUCUCAAACUUUUUUUUGUGACACCAAAAAUCCUGAACUUUUGUCAUGUGACACAUUUACCCCAAAAUUAUAGGGCAUUUCGAUCUUUUCAUUUUUUAAGAUUUUUUUUCUUCCCUCUUCCCUCCGCUGAUUUGGAUUUAGCCUUUCUUUGCACUGUGAUUCCAACCCAAAGAACUCUACCACUAGAUUUGAAGUCAAGAUGUUUAAAAUAUUUCUAUAUAAGCAUGUACUGAGUUUUUGUGAUUGAGUAUAUAAGCUCUAUCACUAAUGAUCAUAGUCAACUAUGCCGAUUUUAGCUUGUGGUAGAUCUAAUCAACACCAUCCAUCUUUUCUUUUUCUUUUUUCUUCCUUCCUGGUCAUAGCAAUAUGUCCUUCCUGGUCAUAGCAAUAUGUGAACUUAUGAAGCCAACUGUUCAUCAUCAAAUUGGAGCCAGCAUUUAAUGGUAAAGUGAACAUUUUCUCAUUGGAAUGCCAUCUUAAGGUUUGAAGGACCUAAAUUGACUGUCCUCUUCUUCAACACAAGGAUGCAACCUCAUUAUUUAACCGCAAGGCUUAACUAGAGUCGAGAGAUUCUUGAUAAUACACCUAAUAAUAAUGACAUUUUUAAUUCCAUAAUUGCCCUUUAAAUACAGGCAGUCAAAUGAAGUACUCAAAGCCAGAGUCGAUGCACUGGACAACGAGAAGAUGACGUACAGCUACACAAGGGUGGAGGGAGGCGAAUUGGCUGACAAGAUCGAGUCGAUCUCUUAUGAAAUAUCAAGAUGGAGGCAUCUCUCGAUGGGGGCUGUGAGGGCACGAACAGGAGCAACUACCACCCAAAACCAGGCAUUGUGAUUAGUGAGGAUGAGAUCAAAGCCGGGAAAGAGAAGGCCAUGGCCGUCUUCAGGUCCGCGGAGGCCCGCCCAUCUCUUGGCCAACCCCGAGGCCUCUGCCUAAAAGCUUUUGUUAGUAUUAUUGUCUCUGUUUGAAGCAAAUUCUGCAUCUCUCUUUGUGGACCGAUUAAGUUCUGCUAAUUAUAAUGCGGUCUUCUCUAUGUGAAAUCCUUGAUUGAGAGUGCUAAUGUUGUUGCUAUUACAAUAAAGGUUCUCCAAUUCUACUAUAGUACGUUGCCUCGUUAAAAAGUGCCUUGGAGCACAGUUAAGAGGUAUAAUAAUGUUGCGGCGAUGCAUAUAUUAAAUUCACGUUGCAAAUUAGUAAAUGAAGUUAUUUUCAUGCGUUUGAAAAAAAUUGGAUGCACUUCUUCAAGGGUAGCAUUUUUCCCUCAGCUUGUUGCUUCCAUUGAUUGCAUCUGAUGCUUUGUAUAUUGUUGUGAUUCAAAAGAAAGGUUGAUUAGGAUUAGGCCUUUCUUUGCAUUGUAAUCAUAACCCAAAUAGUUCUAUCGCUAGAUUAGAGGUGAAGAUAUUUAAAACAUUUAUAUGCCCUAUCAUUAAUGAUUGAGUAUAUAUGCCCUAUCAUUAAUGAUCAUAGUCAACUAUGUGAAUUUACAAUGAUUCUAGUUCAUGGUAGAUAUGAUCGACGCCAUCCAUCUUUUCUUUUCUUUCUUGCCGGUUAUAGCAAUAUAUGAACUUAUGAAGCCAACUGUUCAUCUUCAAAUUGGAGCCAGCAUUUAAUGGGAAAACAAUGAAGCACGAAAUAUAUUCUUACCAUCCUCUUGAUCAAGAAAUGACAACGCCUUGACAACGACUCGCACGCAAACACUUCGAAUAUUUGUGGUUGGAUACAUUAAUUGACCCAGUAUAAUUAAUCACGGCACCAUCAAAAGGCAUAAGAGAUUAUCCUUGAAAACACAUGAUCAAGUGGCCAAUUAAUCAUAACUUGAGUCAACUAUUGGGGUUUGUGUCACAUCCCAAAUUUCUGAUUCUAUUUUCAAUUAAAUGAGACGGACUUUUCAACGACACGCUUAUAGUUCAAUUCUUCGAGCUAAUCACUCACGAGAUAAUUAGUCUAUCAGGUGAAGCCGUUAAGGAAUUUAAAUGCAAUAGGCUUGAGAAUCUGACCAUGAACUGACUGCUUGACUGUAUAAAUCUGCAAUGAUCAUUACGACAUUAUCAGAAUCGAACAAAGAUCAGUAAUAGGUCGAUUCGACUGAGACAUGUAAUUAGGGUGUGGGUGAUUCCACUUGAUUUCAAUAUCCUCGUCGACCGGCAUUGAACUAAUUAUUCUGUCGUUUUGGGUACCCUGUGUCCGUAUUUGAAACCUCAAGAUUUUCACGACAAUCGAGAGUCGCCAAUGUGUCGAAGAUUAUUUCGUGGCUUGAAAAUAAUCAACCAUGGGUCAAUUGCACUGAAAAUUUCCUAAAAGCUACCCGAUAGAUUAGGACGUGCUCAAAUCGCGCCAAAUUGAAAUUAACCGUGAUUUUAAACUUGGAUUCAGAAAUUGAAGGUUCUGGCAUGUCACAAUUCAUUUUAGGAACAUCGACUCAUCUCCAUAAGAUUUUUCUACAAAUCGAGAUUUUUGGCGGAAAAGCAAAGUAAGGCCGUUUUUGUUUGGGAUUGUCAGAGGGCCGUUUUUAAUCGAAUCUUCAGGAUGCAAGUUGGAUCAUUUGACAGGGAAAUGUCAUGAGAAGGCCGAGGACACAUGGGUUGAUUUAAUUGAGCUUCAAUUGGAUGGAAUUGAGAGAGAAUUGAAUGGAUUGAAUGGGGGAAUGUCCAAAAUUCGUAGCUCCCAUGGCACACCACAUUUUGCACCUAUUGCCAAGCUUGUAAAGGAAGAUUGGAGGAGAGAGAGUGGCUGAGGUCAUGUGGUGUCAUGGUGGGGGCAAAGCCAAUGAAAAGAUGGCAAGUGUUGAGCUCUAGAGAGCCCAAAGAGACACCCCCCCCCCCACUCUUCAGCAGCUUCUUCUCCUUUAAUCCAAGGCUUUCUCCAUUAUUGUUAAAGGAGAGAAGCUCAGCAAAAACCAGAGGAACCAAGCAGCAUCAGCCCUCCACCGUCGCAUGCCCAUCGGACCCCAUUUCCUCCUCUGUUUUCCCCCCGUUCCAGUUUCUGCUCCAGCCGAUCUUUCGCCAAAGAUCUAAGUAAAAAGUUAACUUCCCGAUUGAAUCAGCGAACGAGCCACCCAUCACUGCGAAGACGACAUCCAGCCCGUUCCGGAGCAUCUCACCGCUCGCCGAAACAAUUCUCCGGCAGUCCCGUACGGCCGCCCGAAGCCGCCGCUCGCCGGACCGUCUAGACUCGCCUGGUUCCGCCUGUUUCGCCCGUUUCGCGGUUUUCAGCCAUUUUCUCCCCAUUUCUACCCUACCUCCACCCAUACCAACCAACAGUAAGAUCCCUUUGACCCCCGAGAGCCGCUGGUUGCCAACCACCCGCUUGCCGGAGCUCCGAUCAGCCCGUUUUCGCCGUUGAAGUUUCUGGUUUCUUCUCUGCAGUUCAACUCAGAUCAAAAGCAUAAGACAGCAAAAAGUUCCAGACUUCGAGGCCCGUUUUCAGUGUCUUCCCGGCCUCCAUUGGGGUUUAUCGACCACCUUGGUGUCGUGGUCGCCGUGAACUCAUCGGCGCGCAAAACCGGUGAGUUUAUCAUGAUUAGCUUAAGGGGUGUUUAGAUUAGUCUAAUUAGGUUUAGGUGGUUAGAUUAGAUUAUUUGAAUGUAAAUUAGAUUAGUUGUAUGAUUAGUUUAAUGGAUGUUUGAUUAGGGCUAAUUGUAUGUUUAAAUUAGUGUAAUCUAGUUUAAGCCCUAAUUAAUUAUUUUAAAUUAAAUAAUUAUUUCGAAUUUAUAAAUAUUAUUUUAUUAAAUUAUAUUAUUAUAAAAUAACAUUUAAUUAUUUAAUUUUCGGAAUUAAAUUUAAUUAUUUAAUAAUUUCGAAAAUUUUGCCGGGAUGGCUGGUCGUUAGAAUUUCGCGUUGAUCGCAACAGUGCAGUCGGUUUGUGCUAAUUAUAUGUUAAAUUGAGAAAUUGAGUGGAAAUGAUAAUUAUGGUUAAUUAUUCCAAAGUGUGGAAUUGAAUGAAAUUGGAGAAGUUUUGGUAUUUAACUUGAAAAUACCCGGUGUUGGCUUAUAGCACCGUAAUUGGUUGGUAAGACCAGUUUGUAUCGAUUGAUUGAAUGGUUGUUUAUGUGGGGAUUUAUCCCAAAGAUGUUUAGUAUCGAUAUUCGAUUGGAAUUUAAUUGUGAAAGGUUGUGAAUGGAUCUAGAAAAUCGUCGAAGUUCGACUGUGCCCUGUUAGACUGUGAUUUGCCACCUGACAAAGGUCGCGCCUGAUAAGGCCGUAAUCUGCCACCUAUUAAAGGUUGCGCCCGUUGGGCCGUAAAUUGCCACCCAAUAGGGGUCGCGCCUGAUAAGGCCGUAAUCCGCCACCUAUUAAAGGUCGCGCCCAUUGGGCCGUAAUUUGCCACCUAAAGAUAGGUCGUCUCCUUUCGACUGUGGUUUUUAGUGAAUGAUUUGAUUGAUUAUUGAAUUGUACUGACAUGCAGGAAUGGACUGAGGCGAGGUAAGUCCUCAAUUCUCUUUGUGUGGCUAGAGCACCCUGGAGCUUAUUUUCUUCCUAAUCGAGUUUUAGAGGGUAGGACUCGCUGAGACAUUGUCUCAUCCCGGUUGUGGGAUAAUAUUUCAGGUCCCUAAAUAGCGGAUCCUCCUGAGCUUUUUGGUAGACCAGUGAGGGUGGCUGAGAGGAUUUUUGGCUUCACCAAUCUCGACUGAAGAGCUAGCAUGGACCUGUCUAGCUGAUCUUAGGACAGCUUAGUUUUUGAGGACUGAUCUUCUAUGGAUCUUUUGUUAAUAGCCUAGUCCUGUAAAUGAACUGGUUUGAUAUGUAUAAAAAGUAUGUGGUUGGUUUUGAAAAUGUGAUCUUGCUUUUCUAUCCCAAUUGAAUUUUUGUUUGGAGAUUAUUUACUUGCUUCCGCAUGUGCAUUAAAAAGAAUGGGUCAGCGACAUGUCCUGGGAAGUCGCUUUUGUAUCGACUAGAGUGGGAUGUUCGCGCGCUCGGAGGAUUGGAGCGUGAUAGUUUGCCCCAGUGGCCACCCUUCCAACAUGGAAGAGGGAUGUGAGAGGUUCAAAUCCCUACCUUCUCAGGGGAGAUUGGGGUGGGGACGAGAAAGUUUUAGAAGUGGGUUUCGACUCCCAUGUCUUGCAAGAGGCAGGACAAAAGUCUGAGAGUGAGUAUUAAAGUAGAAUUAGAAUAGGACUGACCCAAAAAAAAAAACUGUAACUUGAGUCGAGACCUUAUAGUUCUCAUCCAACUUCAGCAUUGAAUUAUAUUCUUUGUAAGGUUAUACGAUAGCCCUUUACUCUUUACAGCCUUGGGAACCGGCUUAUCCGUCUUAGCAAGCUAAUUCAUCAAUGCAAGUGGGGUUGAGGAGUGCAUUCACUUUGUUUGUCAAGCCCUUCGGUUCGAUUAUUAAGGUACAUCGGCGAGGUUAACAUUUAGUGUGGGGGACACGAAGUUGCCGUCGUGGCACGAGGAAAUAAUCAGUUUAAGAAUCCUCUCGGAUUAAGUUGACUUCUCGAGAAAGUGUGCAUUAUAUGACGAUGAGAUGCAACACGAAUCGCAUGGCCGCAAGUUUUUCCAUUCACUACACCGCACUCUAACCAUCAUGUAUUAUCCACAGCCCCGCUUUUAGAAUCACGUGCUAUCCCGAUCAACUCUUCUCUCCCACUUCGCACCUCAGAACGUACCCUUAUUAGUUAUUAUAGCGAGAAUUAUUAACUUUCCUCUGAAUCUCGACGAAGAAAGAUAUCUUUGGAGCUUUGGAGCCAAUAAAAAAUACACCGAUUCAACGAGGGCUACCUCCUCUCGGACCUAUAAAUAGUGCGCUCCCUUGCCGUUCUCUUCACACUAAGCUCAAGCAAAGUUGAUUUCAUCGUUCGUAUAAUUUCAGUAGCGAGUCCCUAGAGAUCGAUCAUGGUUGUGUUCAAAUUGAGUGACGAGUACAAUUCCCCCAUUCCUACGGCGAGAUUCUUUAGGGCCUUGAUUGGGGACUUCCACAACCUUAUCCCCAAGCUCAUGCCUGAAGCUAUCGAGAGCAUUGACAUCGUCCAAGGCGACGGAGGAGCCGGAACCAUUAUGCAAAUCAAUUUCACUGAAGGUAAAGUUUCCUCGAGGGUUUUUAAGUAUUGACUCUCCCAAUCUUGUGUAAUGGAAUUGCACAUUUUCGUAAGUAAUGACAUAGCAAUAAGAUGGCCCACCAAAAAGAAAAACACGAUGAUUGUUAAGAUGCUAUAUUGUUUGAUCAGGCAAACUUUCCUAAAGAUAUUUGUCUUCUGUGAUUAGUUCAAAUCUAAUUAGUACGUAUCUCCCAUUUCAUACGCAGGUGGGGAACUCAGUUUCAUUAAGAGCCGAGUAGAUGUGCUAGAUGAAGAGACAUUAACGUGUGUGUACAGACUGAUUGAAGGCAGUCAAUUGAUGGAGAAGUUUGAAUCCAUUGCUUACGAAGUUAAUUUCGAGCCGACACCAGACGGUGGGAGCAAGAGCAGGAUAGCCAGCACAUACUACACCAAGGGCGAUUUUCAGCUCAACGAAGAAGAAAUCAAAGCUGGCAGAGAGAGAGAGGCUUAGGAAUAUACAUAGCCGUCGAAGCAUACCUCCUCCAAAACCCGGAUGCCUAUGCUUGAUUCCGGAAGUUCUUCUCUCAAAUAAAUCUGGAAUUACUCGUGGUACUCUGUGUCUUCUGUAGUGAGUGUUUGGCUUGUCUUUUGGCGAUGGACUUGACCGUCCUUUUGAGUGUGGAUGGCAAUAAGGAUACAUACUUUGUACCUCAUUUGAAGCGGUAAUCUUAACCUUCGCUCUGAUACCACAAAAAGGGGAUGUCACGCCCCGAUCCUCGAACGCGCGCACAUCCUUCUACUUGGUCGAUUUUAUAAUGCGAUAUCCCAGGACUAUGUAUCGCCGACCCUUUAUUUUUAUUAAGCACAUGCGGAAGCAGUUAUAAAUCCCCAGACAAUAAAACAAUGGGAUAGGAAAGUAGGCCAUAUUUUUCAUAUUGAAAUUCACAACCACACUUUCAUUUACAGCACAACUCAUAGAGUAUUUACAAUACUAUUUACAACAUAAAAGUCUCACACCUAUCUAUACCAAGACAGGGUUCACAAAAGGGAUGGGAUCUCAAUCCACAUCCGGGUUAUAAUCAAGAUCCCUCUCUGGAUCAUCUUCUACUUCAAAAUACUUUCUCCUUCCUCAGCUUCUCCUUCCUCAGCUUUUCCUCAGGGUCCUGAAAUGGUUAUUCAAUAACCAAUGAGACCACGUCUCAGCGAGUCCUACCCACUAAGACUCGAUUAAUAAACUAAUACGCCAUCCGGUUGCCUAAGCACAACACGAGUCAGAGGACUUACCUUAGCCUCAGUUCCAACCUGCAAUUCAAGGUUAAACACAGAUAUUCAAACAAUUCACGACAUACGAUCAAACAUUGGCCAAUCGACUAAGUCGAUUACAUGUCAAUUAGACCCUCUCUCGGUCAUUCCCACUCGUACCACGCUUUCUCAGUGGUGUACUCAUUCACCAAAUCACAUGUGUUUCUCGGGCGUCGUUUUCGCCAAUGACAUACCGAUCACCGACACCGUGCGUUCUUUAAGGCGCCGUUUUCACCAGUGAUAACCUUGAUCACCGAACCACGUGUCUUCUCAAGGGCGCCGUUUUCGCCAAGGUGACAUCGGCUAUAGACAACAUCGUGCGUUCUUUAAGGCGCCGUUUUCACCAGUGAUAUUCCCAUAACCACCGAACCACGUGUGUCUAUAAGUCAUUUACGUGCGUUCUUUAAGGCGCCGUUUUCGCCAGUGAUACUUCCAAUCACCGAACCACGUAUGUCCAAUAACAUCGUACCUGAUUGGUCUCACCAUUCUCCCUACUAUAUAGCCCAUCAACGUACUGGCGCUAUAUAUCCAUACUCAGUCAUCCAUCAAUCAAAUAUUCAAUCACAAACAAUUUAGGAUAAUUCCUAAAAUUCCACAAUAAAUUCAAUUCCACACAACGUAGAGCUCAAAUAAAUAAACGGACUACACCACGACAAUCAGCACGAAAUUCCGGUCACCGGCCAUCCCGGUUGAAUUUCCGGAAAAAUAAUUAAUUAAAUAAAUAAAUUUCGAAAAUAAAUAAAUAAACAUUAAAAAUCCAAUUUAGGCCUAUAUUGCCUUAUUGGAGCCCGAAACGGGUCGGGAAAAAUCCCGAGAUGCAUUCAAUAAAUCACCAAAUAUUUGUACUUGCUAAUAACUAGGUCUAACCACCUAACAUGCAUCAUUAAGUCACUAAAUUAAUUACUCUAACCUAAUCUAACCACCUAAGUGCAUGUAAUUAAAUCUAACCAACCCUAAGACAUAAUUAGCAAAUUAAUAAAGCAUUAGUGAGUAAAACUCACUUGACAAAAGCGGAGAUCGAAUCACCGCAACGGCGACGCGACGGCGGCCGAAAAGCCGAACUUUCGGCGGCGAUGACAAACACACGGACCGGGCCUAAAAGCCUCGCAAGCUUGCAGAAAUUUCUAGGCUUGGGCUUGGCUCCGCGGGCUUCAAAAACUGGGCUUGAAAUAAAACUGAAUUGGGCCUGACUUUGCUGGGCCCAAAAAUUUGAAAUUGCUGGGCUUUCCAAUCCAAUUGAUGCUGGGCUUCAAGACUAGGACAGAAUUGGACUGGGCUAGGACAGAAUUGGACUGGGCUUGAACUUGGGCUAAACUGAUGCUGGAACUUACAAGCUGAUGGCCUCCAAAAACUAACUGAAACUGAACUUGCGUGGGCUGGAUGCUGGGCCGUGUUUGAUGGAGAUGGGCUCACGAAACUCGCUGGAUGUCGUGGCUGGAGACGCGGACGAAGGGAGCUCCUUCGUUUGAGGUUGGCGCGGCAAGGUUGAAGCAGAAACGGAGCUGGGGAUGGGUGGCGUGAGUGGCCGACCAACCUUGGUGGAGAAGGGACAAUUUCUCGCGGACGGAUGCUGGCUUCCUCGGUGGUUUCAUUCGGUGGUCAACAAGGUGGAGAGAACCUGCUUUUGUUGACCGUGGAGUUGCAGGCCAUGGACGCGUGGAGAGGAGAAGAGAGCUUCGGUGAGUGGGGUCUUCGUGGAGUCUUCAACGUGGAGAAGAAUGUUGACCGAAGAAGUGGAAGACGCCUGGCAGCUUGCAGGUGUUGUUGGCGACGGAUCUUUGCACGGAUGAGGGGCUGUUUCGCUGGAGAUUGACCGAUGGAGAUGGGAAUUGAUUUGUUGCCGACAAAUCCCAGUGGAGGACGCGGCUUCGGUCUUCAGUGCAGCUGGUCUAUCGAUCUUCAAGCAGCGGUAAUGGAAAGCAAAAAAGGGAGGUUGUCGCACGAAAUGGGAAAUGAUGGAAUGGAAGCAUCUCACGGCAACAAUUUGGAGAGGAUGAGGGAGAGGUGGGCCUUAGCUUGAUAUUUUGCAAUAAUAUCUUCCAUGAAUCAUUCUUAGCCAAGUAAAAACACUUGGCCUUCAUUAGACCAUCCAAAUGACCCCCAUAACCUCUCAACUAGUCCAAUAAUGCUAGGGUGAGAGGGUGAUACGAAUUUCACCAUUUGAACUUCAAUUUCUCCCAUAAAUUCCCAAAUUGAGAUCCAAUUUCAAUGUAGAAAAAUCCCAAAUGAUUUUCUAUAAAUCCCCGAUACACAAUGGCUUAGCUUGAAAGCCCAAGUUCCCAUUAAUUUAGCCAAUCUGAACUUUUGCCAAUUUCCGCGACGUCCGAAUCCAAUUUCCGUAAAAAUCUCGGGACCUCCGAAAAUCUUCUGAGACUGAGUCGAUGCUCCUAAAAUAGCUUGUGACAUCACUGAACUUUCGAUUUCUGAAAUAUGACUCAAAUCGACGGUUAAUUUCACUCCGGCGUGCUUUUAGUGUGACCUAGACUACCGGGUAGUUUUCAGAACUUUUUAGGGCAAUUGACUCGUGGUCGAUUUUCUUCGAGCCACAAUGAACCCACUCGACACAUUGGCGACUCUCAAUUGUCGUGAAAAUCUCGAGGGCUCGAUUACCAACACAGGGUACCAAAACGACAGAAAAUCAAAUUAGUGCCGGUCGACGAGAAUUUUCCAAUUUAGUGGAGUCACCCACGAUCGGCCACACAUCUCAGUUGAACCGACCUAUCUCUGAUCUCAGUUCGAUCUUUAACUGUGCAGUAAUGACCUCUAAAGAUGGACACGGUCGAGAAGCCGCUUCCUGGUCGAAUUCUCAAGUCUAUUGCCUUAAUAUUCUUUAAUGGCUUACCCAGCUAGUCUAGUUAUCUCGAGAGUGAUCAGCUCUGAGAACAACCCUAUAGACACGUCAAUGAAAUGCCCGAUUAAUUUAAUAGAAAACGAUACUGAAAAUUCUGGAUGUCACAACUCUUCCCCUCUUAUAAAAAUUUCGUCCUCGAAAUUUAAACCUUACAAGACUUGAUUAAAAAGGUGGGGGUACAAUUCUCUCAUUGACUCCUCAGUCUCCCAUGUCGCUCCUUCUGUACCGUGGUGUUGCCAGACCACUUUGACUAAGGGAAUGGUCUUUGUACGCAGAACUUGCUCUUUGCGAUCGACAAUCUGGACCGGUCUUUCAACGUAUGACACACGGUCAUCCACGUCCAAUUCUUCAAAAUUGAGUACGUGGGUCGGGUCAGGCUCAUACUUCCUUAACAUCGACACGUGAAAGACGUCAUGCACUUGCGCCAAUCUUGGCGGCAACGCAAGACGAUACGCUAAGGUCCCGAUUCUCUCAAGAAUCUCAAAUGGACCUACGUACCUCGGACUCAGUUUGCCUUUCUUACCAAAGCGCGAAGUUCCCCUCAUUGGUGACACCUUCAGAAAAACGUGAUCACCAACUUGGAAUUCCAAAGACCUCCGGCGCUUAUCUGCAUAACUUUUCUGCCUGCUCUGCGCUGUCUUUAAUCUGUCUCUGAUCACUGUCACGGCAUCUACUGACUGCUGAACCAACUCUGGGCCUGUUAUCUUUCUUUCUCCGACUUCAUCCCAACAUACUGGUGUUCUACAUGCUCUGCCAUACAGCGCUUCAAACGGGGCCAUCUGAAUACUCUGCUGAUAGCUGUUAUUGUAGGCGAAUUCUACGAGAUGAAGCUGAUCUUCCCAACUUCCUUUGAAGUCUAUAACACAUGCUCUCAGCAUGUCCUCAAGGGUCUGAAUUGUCCUCUCAGACUGGCCAUCUGUCUGAGGAUGAUAUGCUGUACUGUACUGAAGCUUUGUACCAAGAGCACUCUGCAAGCUCUUCCAAAAAGCAGCAGUAAAUCUUGGGUCUCUAUCAGAUGUUAUCGUAACCGGCACUCCAUGCAUUCGAACCACUUGGCGCACAUAUAGGUCUGCGUGCCUAUCUAAACUGAGGUCCUUUCGAACUGCAAUGAAGUGAGCCGACUUUGUCAGUCUGUCGACUACUACCCAGAUUGAAUCAUUCCCUCUUUGACUCCUUGGUAGUCCAGUCACGAAAUCCAUCGUGAUAUGCUCCCAUUUCCAUUCUAGAAUCGCGAGAGGUUGCAGAAGUCCUCCCGGCUUGCAAUGCUGAGCUUUCACUUGUUGACAUGUCAAACACUUGGCCACAUGCUUAGCGAUAUCCGCCUUCAUACCUGACCACCAAUAAUGUUGACGUAGAUUCUGAUACAUCUUAGUGCUUCCAGGAUGAAUGCUGUAACUGCUACGAUGUGCUUCAGAUAAGAUUUCUUCUCUAAGCUCUACAUCAUCAGGUACAACCAAUCGUCCUUGGAAUCUUAGUGUCCCGUCAUCAGAAAUCUGAAAAUCAGCCUUUCUUUUCUCUACGUCUUCCUGAAGAAUUCUUUGUACAUCUGGAUCUGUCGGUUGGAGUUGUUUGAUUCUAACUUGGACAUCCGGUUCAAUUCUGAGGGCGGCCAUAAAACUCGAGAGGUGGCCUACCUCAAAUUUGAAUACCGAAUCCCGAGCUCUCUCGAUUAAGUUCCACUCCUUAAUCAGUAUAUGAGCCACUGAAGACUUUCGACUUAAAGCAUCGACGACCUUGUUCGCCUUUCCUGGGUGAUAUAAAAUAUCACAGUCGUAGUCUUUCAGCAAUUCCAUCCAUCUGCGCUGUCUCAUGUUCAACUCCUUUUGAGAGAAUAAAUACUUGAGACUUUGGUGGUCCGUGAAGAUUUGAAACUUUUCCCCACACAAGUAAUGUCUCCAAAUCUUCAGGGCAAAGAUAAUUGCGGCGAGCUCUAGGUCAUGCGUCGGGUAGUUCAAUUCAUGAGGUCUCAACUGACGGGAGGCGUAUGCAACAACCCUACCAUGUUGCAUUAGCACGCAACCCAACCCCUUGAAUGACGCAUCACUAUAGAUUUCGAAUCCUCCAGGACCAGAUGGAAUUGUCAACACCGGUGCAGUAGUCAGCUUUUCUUUCAGCUCUUGAAAACUACGCUCGCACUUGUCUGUCCAUAUGAACUUCUCGUCUUUCUUCGUGAGCUUAGUUAGAGGUGAUGCUAACGCUGAGAAACCUUCUACAAACCGUCUGUAAUAACCUGCCAAUCCCAGAAAACUUCUGAUUUCUGUCACUGAUGUCGGUCUCUGCCAAUUGAUCACGGCUUCUAUCUUGCUCGGGUCGACGGAGAUUCCUUCUCCGGAAAUCACAUGACCUAAGAACGCGACACGAGUCAACCAAAACUCGCAUUUGCUAAAUUUAGCAUACAACUGAUGCGUCUUUAACGUCUGGAGCACCAAUCUUAGAUGAUUCUCGUGCUCUUCGUCACUUCUCGAAUAGACCAAGAUAUCAUCAAUGAACACAAUCACAAACUGAUCUAGAUAUUCCUUGAAUAUUCGGUUCAUCAUAUCCAUGAAGGCAGCUGGAGCAUUCGUCAACCCGAAUGGCAUCACUGUGAACUCAUAGUGACCAUACCGAGUACGAAAUGCUGACUUAGGAAUAUCCUCUUUCUUAAUUCUCAGCUGAUGAUAUCCCGUCCUCAAAUCAAUCUUCGAGAACAUUGAUGCUCCUUGUAGCUGAUCGAACAGAUCAUCAAUCCUUGGGAGUGGAUACUUAUUCUUAAUGGUCACUUGGUUGAGUUGUCUAUAAUCAAUGCACAACCGUAAUGAACCAUCUUUCUUCUUUACAAACAAAACUGGUGCUCCCCAAGGUGAUGCGCUAGGACGAAUAAAUCCUUUGUCUAAUAAUUCCUGCAUCUGUACUUUCAAUUCUUUCAAUUCUGUCAAUGCCAUUCUGUACGGUGCCUUUGAGAUCGGUUCUGUCCCCGGUGCUAGUUCAAUCACAAAUUCAAUCUCUCUUUCUGGCGGUAGACCUGGCAAUUCCUUUGGGAAAACAUCUGGAAAUUCUCGAACUACUGGAAUGUCUUCCACUUUCAGCUCUUCAACUGUCGUAUCUACAACAGUUGCCAGGUAACCUUGACAACCCUCGUCUAACAGACGAGUUGUCUCUUGCGACGAGAUUAGGACAAUCGAGGGUCCUCCCCGACUUCCUACAAACUCGAAGCUAUCACCUUCUAUCGGGUCAAACUGAAUCGUUUUACGAUAACAGUCCAUUUUAGCUCUUUGCUUGGUGAGCCAGUCCAUGCCAAUUAUUAAAUCAAAGUCAUACAUGGCUAGGACUAAAAGAUCUAUUUUCCCCUCUCGCUCACCAAUCACUAACUUGCACCCCGAACAACCCAAAGCAGUAAUAAAUUUAUCUUUCAAGGGUGUAGAUAUACACAUUGCCGACUCCAAUAAUAUAGGACUGACUCCUAUCAACUUAACAUACUGUUCAGCAAUAAAUGAGUGAGUUGCUCCCGGAUCAAACAAAGCAUAAGCAGGUUGGUCGUUGAGCGAAACCAUACCUGUUAUCACGUUAGGCGCAGCUUCUGCUUGACCUUGUGUAAUUGCAUACACAGUGCCUUGAGCUGGAGGUCUCUGCUGUCCUCCUUGCGGCACGUUCUGAGGGGCAUACCCUCUUAUCUGUCCUCUCGGUGGUGGCGGUGGCAAUUGAGGUUGUCCUCUCUGCUUCUUUGGACAAUACCUUGCGAUGUGGCCCUGUUGGCCACACUCAAAACAGGCUCCUGUCCUGGCUGGGCACGGAGCUGUCCCGUGUCGCCUUCCACAAAAGCGACAUAUACCCGUGUUAUUGGACAUCUGUCUAUUGAAUCCGCUCCUCUUGAAAGGUGAGGCAUGAGAUCUACCUCCGGGCAUGGGUCUUUUUCCCUGACGAAUAUUCUCUCGAUUAGAGUUGAAUCUCGACCCCGACAAGGCAGCUCUGUCAUUCUGAUCUUUCUCGAUCAUUUGGGCUCUCUCAUAAAGAUCAUUAUAAGUCCUCAAGUUCAGGGAAACCAAUGUACUUCUCAAGUCUGGCUUGAAUCCUUCUCUAAACCUCCUCGCUCGGUUUACUGGAUUCGCAAUUAAUUCAGGAGCAUACUGUGAAAGUUCAGCGAACUUUGCCUCAUAUUGAUCGACAGUUAGGGAACCCUGGCGAAGACGUUGAAAUUCUGCCAUCUUCACCUCUUUGGCAGUUUCUGAGAAAUAUUUGACAUUAAAAGCUUCUCGAAAGGUGUUCCACUCUGGAACAACGCCUUCCGGGAAUAUGGUUUCUCGGGUUGUCUUCCACCAAGUAUCCGCAACUCCAUCCAGCUGGUAAGUUGCAAGUAGUACCUUUUCAGUCUCAUUGCACAUUAGUAGUGCGAAAGCUUUCUCCAAUUUCUUGAUCCAUGAAGCAGCAGCUUCAGGGUCUCCGAUCCCGGUAAAUUGAGGCGGAUUCAACUUCAUAAAUUGUUCUACCAACUGAUGAAUUGGUCUGUUCCCGACCACUAUUCCAGGUGGACCUUCAGCUUGGGCUGCGGCAGGUGCAGCGACAGGUACAGCGGCAGCUGCAGCAGCAAUAGCAGCAUUGGCAGCAGCAGUGGCGGCGGCUCCAACAGCGGCAGUAAAGGCGGCAGUCUGAUCUCGGGCCUGUUGCCCCAUUAUCUCACGCAUAGCAUCUAGAGCCUGGUUUAUUCCAACAGUCCCUUGCUCACCCGGGGCUGCUACCCCAGCACCAACAGGAGGUGGUGCUACUCCAGCCUCUACAACCGGUGGAAUCAUUCCACUCGCGCUAGCCUGUGCUGGCGCUCGACCACGGCCUCCUCGGGUACCGACUCUAGUCGGCGCUCUGCCCCGAGUCACGGCCCUACUGGCCCUCUUUGCAGGAGUCCUCGGCUCCUGAUCGCUCAUAGUGUCGCUUUAAAGAACUGACACCUGCUUCCAAUUCAACACUGAAUUAGAAGCGGAGCGAUUCAAAUAACAAACAAUUUUAGCACUCAGCUAACACAGACAUGCACCAGCAUGAAUUUAAAGGCCUUUCCUACUAACUAUCCCAUGGUCAACGCUCCUUAUCACUCCAAUCUUAACCUUCGCUCUGAUACCACAAAAAGGGGAUGUCACGCCCCGAUCCUCGAACGCGCGCACAUCCUUCUACUUGGUCGAUUUUAUAAUGCGAUAUCCCAGGACUAUGUAUCGCCGACCCUUUAUUUUUAUUAAGCACAUGCGGAAGCAGUUAUAAAUCCCCAGACAAUAAAACAAUGGGAUAGGAAAGUAGGCCAUAUUUUUCAUAUUGAAAUUCACAACCACACUUUCAUUUACAGCACAACUCAUAGAGUAUUUACAAUACUAUUUACAACAUAAAAGUCUCACACCUAUCUAUACCAAGACAGGGUCACAAAAGGGAUGGGAUCUCAAUCCACAUCCGGGUUAUAAUCAAGAUCCCUCUCUGGAUCAUCUUCUACUUCAAAAUACUUUCUCCUUCCUCAGCUUCUCCUUCCUCAGCUUUUCCUCAGGGUCCUGAAAUGGUUAUUCAAUAACCAAUGAGACCACGUCUCAGCGAGUCCUACCCACUAAGACUCGAUUAAUAAACUAAUACGCCAUCCGGUUGCCUAAGCACAACACGAGUCAGAGGACUUACCUUAGCCUCAGUUCCAACCUGCAAUUCAAGGUUAAACACAGAUAUUCAAACAAUUCACGACAUACGAUCAAACAUUGGCCAAUCGACUAAGUCGAUUACAUGUCAAUUAGACCCUCUCUCGGUCAUUCCCACUCGUACCACGCUUUCUCAGUGGUGUACUCAUUCACCAAAUCACAUGUGUUUCUCGGGCGUCGUUUUCGCCAAUGACAUACCGAUCACCGACACCGUGCGUUCUUUAAGGCGCCGUUUUCACCAGUGAUAACCUUGAUCACCGAACCACGUGUCUUCUCAAGGGCGCCGUUUUCGCCAAGGUGACAUCGGCUAUAGACAACAUCGUGCGUUCUUUAAGGCGCCGUUUUCACCAGUGAUAUUCCCAUAACCACCGAACCACGUGUGUCUAUAAGUCAUUUACGUGCGUUCUUUAAGGCGCCGUUUUCGCCAGUGAUACUUCCAAUCACCGAACCACGUAUGUCCAAUAACAUCGUACCUGAUUGGUCUCACCAUUCUCCCUACUAUAUAGCCCAUCAACGUACUGGCGCUAUAUAUCCAUACUCAGUCAUCCAUCAAUCAAAUAUUCAAUCACAAACAAUUUAGGAUAAUUCCUAAAAUUCCACAAUAAAUUCAAUUCCACACAACGUAGAGCUCAAAUAAAUAAACGGACUACACCACGACAAUCAGCACGAAAUUCCGGUCACCGGCCAUCCCGGUUGAAUUUCCGGAAAAAUAAUUAAUUAAAUAAAUAAAUUUCGAAAAUAAAUAAAUAAACAUUAAAAAUCCAAUUUAGGCCUAUAUUGCCUUAUUGGAGCCCGAAACGGGUCGGGAAAAAUCCCGAGAUGCAUUCAAUAAAUCACCAAAUAUUUGUACUUGCUAAUAACUAGGUCUAACCACCUAACAUGCAUCAUUAAGUCACUAAAUUAAUUACUCUAACCUAAUCUAACCACCUAAGUGCAUGUAAUUAAAUCUAACCAACCCUAAGACAUAAUUAGCAAAUUAAUAAAGCAUUAGUGAGUAAAACUCACUUGACAAAAGCGGAGAUCGAAUCACCGCAACGGCGACGCGACGGCGGCCGAAAAGCCGAACUUUCGGCGGCGAUGACAAACACACGGACCGGGCCUAAAAGCCUCGCAAGCUUGCAGAAAUUUCUAGGCUUGGGCUUGGCUCCGCGGGCUUCAAAAACUGGGCUUGAAAUAAAACUGAAUUGGGCCUGACUUUGCUGGGCCCAAAAAUUUGAAAUUGCUGGGCUUUCCAAUCCAAUUGAUGCUGGGCUUCAAGACUAGGACAGAAUUGGACUGGGCUUGAACUUGGGCUAAACUGAUGCUGGAACUUACAAGCUGAUGGGCCAAAAUUGCUGUAACUGAACUUGCGUGGGCUGGAUGCUGGGCCGUGUUUGAUGGAGAUGGGCUCACGAAACUCGCUGGAUGUCGUGGCUGGAGAAACUCGCUGGAUGUCGUGGCUGGAGACGCGGACGAAGGGAGCUCCUUCGUUUGAGGUUGGCGCGGCAAGGUUGAAGCAGAGACCAACCUUGGUGGAGAAGGGACAAUUUCUCGCGGACGGAUGCUGGCUUCCUCGGUGGUUUCAUUCGGUGGUCAACAAGGUGGAGAGAACCUGCUUUUGUUGACCGUGGAGUUGCAGGCCAUGGACGCGUGGAGAGGAGAAGAGAGCUUCGGUGAGUGGGGUCUUCGUGGAGUCUUCAACGUGGAGAAGAAUGUUGACCGAAGAAGUGGAAGACGCCUGGCAGCUUGCAGGUGUUGUUGGCGACGGAUCUUUGCACGGAUGAGGGGCUGUUUCGCUGGAGAUUGACCGAUGGAGAUGGGAAUUGAUUUGUUGCCGACAAAUCCCAGUGGAGGACGCGGCUUCGGUCUUCAGUGCAGCUGGUCUAUCGAUCUUCAAGCAGCGGUAAUGGAAAGCAAAAAAGGGAGGUUGUCGCACGAAAUGGGAAAUGAUGGAAUGGAAGCAUCUCACGGCAACAAUUUGGAGAGGAUGAGGGAGAGGUGGGCCUUAGCUUGAUAUUUUGCAAUAAUAUCUUCCAUGAAUCAUUCUUAGCCAAGUAAAAACACUUGGCCUUCAUUAGACCAUCCAAAUGACCCCCAUAACCUCUCAACUAGUCCAAUAAUGCUAGGGUGAGAGGGUGAUACGAAUUUCACCAUUUGAACUUCAAUUUCUCCCAUAAAUUCCCAAAUUGAGAUCCAAUUUCAAUGUAGAAAAAUCCCAAAUGAUUUUCUAUAAAUCCCCGAUACACAAUGGCUUAGCUUGAAAGCCCAAGUUCCCAUUAAUUUAGCCAAUCUGAACUUUUGCCAAUUUCCGCGACGUCCGAAUCCAAUUUCCGUAAAAAUCUCGGGACCUCCGAAAAUCUUCUGAGACUGAGUCGAUGCUCCUAAAAUAGCUUGUGACAUCACUGAACUUUCGAUUUCUGAAAUAUGACUCAAAUCGACGGUUAAUUUCACUCCGGCGUGCUUUUAGUGUGACCUAGACUACCGGGUAGUUUUCAGAACUUUUUAGGGCAAUUGACUCGUGGUCGAUUUUCUUCGAGCCACAAUGAACCCACUCGACACAUUGGCGACUCUCAAUUGUCGUGAAAAUCUCGAGGGCUCGAUUACCAACACAGGGUACCAAAACGACAGAAAAUCAAAUUAGUGCCGGUCGACGAGAAUUUUCCAAUUUAGUGGAGUCACCCACGAUCGGCCACACAUCUCAGUCGAACCGACCUAUCUCUGAUCUCAGUUCGAUCUUUAACUGUGCAGUAAUGACCUCUAAAGAUGGACACGGUCGAGAAGCCGCUUCCUGGUCGAAUUCUCAAGUCUAUUGCCUUAAUAUUCUUUAAUGGCUUACCCAGCUAGUCUAGUUAUCUCGAGAGUGAUCAGCUCUGAGAACAACCCUAUAGACACGUCAAUGAAAUGCCCGAUUAAUUUAAUAGAAAACGAUACUGAAAAUUCUGGAUGUCACAACUCUUCCCCUAUACCACUUCAAUUUCCCAUUAAUUUCGUAAGAAAUCUCAUCUAAUUUUUUUCUCGCGACAUGCUUGUUUUGAUAUAUCAUUUUAAACAAUUUUGCCAAAUGGUGUUACGUCUCUAAUCAAAGUAAAAAUUAGAUAGUUGUUUAUUUUGGAAAUAUACAUGUGUCUUCCUAAUAAGGCCUCUCAGAAUAUUGAAAGACUAGCUAAAAUGGAUCAAGAUACUAUAUAAGCCAAAAUCAAACAAUAGACUUCAAGUCUCAAAAACUGGUUAAGUCCUAACUUAUGACUAUGUAGGUAGCCAAGACCUACGGUAUCCUGUUUGAGAACAACUAGCAGAAGUGAAGAACAAGGGAUGAUUCAAGAGUGUGAAUGGUGUAAUAAGAACUUUUUGUAGAGAACAAUCCUCAAUUCUCCACAUUUAUAGGUAGUGUUGAUAAAUCGAUUGUUCAUCAAACUUGGGUGCUAAUAUGCACGAGACAAAUUUAUACACCACACAUGCCUUUAUCAAAUUCAUGCACGACUCCUUCACGUGGAAGGAGUUGAAAAAGAAAGAGGAAUGAACGUGAAAAAAUUGUAGCCCAACCCCAAACGCGACGACUUAAUCAUAAGCGGGUCACACUAUUUUUCAUGAGUUAACAAAUUUGAUUUGCAUUGUGAGCAGAUUCUUGGUGAGCUUGUAUCCUACAUAUAUUGCUACCUCAUGCGUAGAUAUUUCCUGAUUUCCAGCACGCCGGUAAGAUAGCAACGACAGGCCUAUAUACGUAUCCAAACUGAAUAGUUUUGGUUCAAACUUAACCUUCCACGGUGAACGUGAGACCGUAACGUCAGAGGGGGAAUCACGUUUGAUUUUUCCUCUCUAUCCUCUUGAUAUGCGAAGGCAAAAAUCGCAGCCCAUCAAGAGUCGGUUGCGUCGGGCAGCAAGGCCAGGUCGGACCACCUCUAAUUAUCAAGCCGCAGCUCGCAUCUCGCGCGGGAGCCGACGCUGCCUUCAAUUCGGCGGCAGGGAAAAUGAAAAUACAAUUUUGCCCCUCCUCUCUGACUGGCGGGGAAUCUUCGCGCCACUCGCAUGCAGCGAAAAAUGAAAAGAACAACCGAAAGGAAAAAACCACACCCCAAAAGAUAAAAAGGAAAACCAAGAAAAAAUUUAAAACAAAAAUACAAAAAGGCGCAAAAAACCCUCCUCUGUUUCCUUCAGUUUCCGACUCCGAAUAUCCCACCAGCCCCCUCCAACUCUCUCCUCCCAUUUUUAUUUCAGAUCUCUCUCUCUCUAGAACGAGCAGCGAGAACCUGGAUUGGUUGGUCUCUGCCAAAAUAGGUUCUUUAGCACUGCCAUGGCCAAGCCCUCGAACCAACAGGUGUCGUCCGAUGCCUCCAAGGAGGAGGAGGAGGAAGAGGAGGAGCAGCAGCAGCAGCUCAACGAUUGUUGUUUCUGCGGAGGUGGACCACUUGCGCUAGUGCAAAACGAUUGACGCACUUGCGUUUGCCCUGUGUGUGGUGACGGUUGCUACCAUCGUUGUUUCUGCUAUUCCGUUCAAAGAUUUCUUCCAAAGGAGUAAGAUCACUUGGGAUGGGCAGUCCAAUAAUGAUGCUGCUAUAUAAACCAUGGAGCAGCGUGAACGGUGAAAUGAUUUGUGAUUAUUAGUUCGAUGACCUUGAACACCUGAUUUCAUAUCCAAAGGCAUUAAUAACCGAUCAGAAGCUAAUGAGAGAAGGCAGCAUAUGCCCACAAAAUCUCACCUGAAGAAAUUGGCCAUUCAAUACUGAGGACCUAUUCUUUAAGCAGCAUUAGCAACAGUGUCAUAUUAAAAUGUAAUGCUCCUCUUUCCCAUAAGGCUACUUCACUUAAACCUACAAGCUACAGUCCAUUACUCAACUGAAAAAAAGCUGAAUAUCUGCUAGUCAAUUACUGUGAGAUACUCGACGAAUUUAAUCCCCAAAGUAGAAACAGCAGGUUGAAAUUCUCAUGUCGAACAAAUAUAAGGAAAUUUGAUUGAUCUGACCCUAUUCUAAUGGUAGCAUUGAUCCAAACCCGCUAAUCCAAGACCUUAACAAAAUCAAUUAAAUACAACAUAGCGCUGUCAGUCAUAUGCUUUGAAAACAUUCAAAUCUACACCUAAGGGAUCAUUUAGCUAUAGUUUGCCUCCAUUCGAUCAGGCACUAUAGCUCCACCACACGGUCAAUGAUUUCCCCCAACCCCAAAAUGCCUAAUUAGCCAAAUUCAUUACACAUAUCUCACUUCCCCAAGCUCAAAACCGAUGUAUUCGAUACUAGAACUUGUCCACACGAACCUUUUCAUGAUCCGGACUCUCAAUCCGAAUCAAGUCAAGGAUUGCAACCAUAACUGAUUACAUGAACACAAAUUGCAAUGAAGCAUUGUCAGAUCGAGGGACAGAUCGAACAGCGUCGUCAAGGGAAAAAAAGUGACAUCGCACAACAAAAGAAAUUUCAAUCUCCGUACCUUUCCAUAUACGCACAACGAUCACACUCGAUCAAAUGGCGCGAUCGCCCCACGAGAUGGAGAGGUUGAUUGUGGUCUUUGAUCUUGUAAGUUCGUAGACUCUACAGUGAUUUUCGCAACGGAUAGCAAUCGAAAGCUCCAGCAACUUGGGGGGAAAGGAAGGAGGGGGACGAUGGAUUUGCUGAUUUUCCUGGCGCUUGCUCUCUCGGUGGGCAUAUUCGGUGUCACGUUCGGUGAUUUUGUCGUUUCCGUGAGGGCAAUGUAGGAAGUUUAGCUAAAAUGAGACGUGCUCCUGGACAAGUUUGCGUUCUCCCUCUCUCCUCGUUUAGCGGUUCCUUUGAUGUCUUUCGAAUGGGCACUUCGACUCAGCAUGGUUCAAUUAAGUCGAUGUUACUUAUCCAUUCAUGGAUAUUGGUGGAGGUAUAUAAAAAUGCGAUUACUCUAUUAUGAUCGCAAGAAGCUUGAGUUAAAUAUUUUUGAUUCCAAGCUCGUAUCAAUCUCAAACUAGAAUUAUGCAAAUCUUUUCUUUGAAUUCGAAAAGAAUAUGAUUCAACAUAUGUGGCAAGUGAGCUGAGCUUAAUUAUGGAUUAUGGAACCCCCCAUCUCUCGUGCUGAGAGAAAGUUUGAGAACGCAACUUGCCAUGAUGUAUUAAUUCUUGAAUAUGCGUCGAAGCUUAUAUGGAAGUGGAUUCAAUAGUUUUUACUUUUUUAUAGAUCAAAUGUAAAUAUAAUAGUUUAGUGAACUUAUACACUUACCGAUGGAUCGAGUGGUUAUGACUCAAAUAAAAUAUUUGGAACGGAUAUAACACUUUAUGUAACAAAAAAAAUGGAUAAAUCAUAUUGAUCAUCUCUUCUGAUAUCUUUUUUUAUUUAUAAGGGAAAAAGAAAAACGCAACCCAUUUUGACUCAAGCAGGGAGGCCAAGUCGGAUCACCCCCAAUCCUCAUGCAGCUCAACGAUUGUUGUUUCUGCUGAGGUUGGCCACUCGUACUCACUUGAGGUUGCCCUGUGUGUGGCGACGGUUGCUACCAUCGUUGUUUUUGCCGUUCUGUUCCAAGAUCUCUUCCAGAGAAGAGUGAAAGCAGCAAGUAAUAUCACCGGAGAGGGCAAUCCAAAAGAACAGAUUGCUGCAGUGCUAUGGAACAUCUGGAAAGCACGGAAUGACUCCAUCUUUCGCGGUAAGAUCCCACAACCGACAGCCAUGGUAGAUCUGGCACUAGCGCAGCAAGUAAAAUUCAGCAGAUGGCAGAACAAGGAAGGGCAGAAACCCAUUAAUCGAAACCUACCCACCAGAUGGAAGCCACCGGAACAAGGAAAACUUAAGCUGAACGUCGAUGCCUCGUGGUCUCCGGGCGAUUUCUCAGGAUCAGCUGCUGGUAUACUGCGCGACUCGUCGGGGACGGUGGCCGACGGCUUUGUGGUGCCGAUCCGGGCUCUCUCUCCCCAGCACGCCGAAGCCCUAGCUCUGUUGCAGGGGUUGAAGUUCUUGAACCAAACUGAAGCUACGCACGUGGGACUGGGUGUCGUCCAAAGCAGCGGAUGUACAGUUGAAAGUGAUAGUUUAAUCUCGGUGGAUGCUGUGAUGGGCCGGGCCGAAUCCUCCUGGGACAUAAAAGCAAUUAUUGAACAGUGCAAAGAAGAGCUUCUUUUUAUUAAGUCAGUCAAGGGCGUAGCCGUAACGGUCGAGCAUUGUCUCCGCGAAGCAAACCGAGCUGCAGAUUGGCUCGCAAACUCCCACCGGUCCAAAAAUCUUCCUGCAAACUGGGUGAAUUAUCCUCCUCUUUUCCUUUUGGAAAUUCUAUGUUCAGAAUUUUACCCAUCGUUGACUUGUAAGGCUCGUUUAGUACAAUGAAUGAAUGCAAAAUCCUGAUUUCGACCAAAAAAAAAAAUAAUAAUAAUGAUACUGCCAUAAAACCAUGGAGCAGCGUGAACGAAGAAAUGAUUUUGAAUAGAAUGACGAAACAAGGAUAAGAUGUCCCUCAAAAGUGUUCUUACUGGUAGAUGAAUCCAACGCUGGAUAACUCAGUUACUACCUCCUCUUAGACAAGCUACCAAGAUGGAAGGGAAAGUCUGACAUGGAUUUCUGCCUACAAAGGGAUUGCUGCAUGACCUCAAUAAAGCAUAUGCUUGAAUGUCAAGGAUUGAAGAGUCUACAAAUUCUCUGUGCUUGACAUGGACUCCUGCCUUAAUUGAGUAUUCUGCAGUCAUAGAAAUUCCAAGCUUUGAGAGUCUGGAAAGUCUUAGAACUUUGGAGCUGAACAAACUCAACCAACUAGGCAAAUUGGAUGAUUUGAGUGGCUUGAAGAAACUAAUGGCUUUUCUUUUACAUCAUUGUGGUAAUCCGGUCGACUGAAUUUGUUGGAAAAUUUAUGGAUCUCCACCGCCAACUCACUCCUGAAGUUUCCUAAUGUAUUAACGUUAAAGAAAUUAAAACGGAUAGGUAUACUUCACCAUAGGUGAUUUGGAAAUUCACCACAUUAUGUAGUUGCUUGAUCGAACUUGGCGAGUUUCUGCAAGAGAGAAAACAAUGGAUACCUGCUCUGUUGAGUACUUUUUUCUGAUAAGAAGUGCCUCCUAUUCUAUUACAGAUAUAAAUUACUCAGAGGUUUAUGUAAAUUUUCCCUUCAUGUGCACUUCACAUGUCGACUUCUUAUAUGGUUUUGUAAUUCUAUAUACCCUUAUUCAGGUCUUCUUUGUUUUAAUUGGUUUGGUUAAAAUGUUUCAGUGGCUUUGAAUUGCUAAUUAACUUACCCAGUGAGGUCGAGUCAAUUUGUAUAACUUCUAAGUGCAUUAUCUUGUUAAUUUACUAUAUGGUGAUUUAUCGGAGAAAUCCUUAAAAUUGUUGCUUCAUAUUACUAAAUCUGAAGUUGUUCGAUGCCCAUGCUUCACGCAGGAGAAUGUUAACUUCAUCACACUGUAGAAAAUAAAUAUUUGUUAUAAAAAGUGUGAAAUAUCUCAGCACUGAGGGCAUCACCUCUCCGAGAAUAACCUACUCAAAAAUGCAAUGUAAAGAAGAUAAAUACUCUACAUCGAUUAACGCAUGUCCAGUUUGUUUUUCGGGUAGAGCAUUGCUCUUAAGUUGGAUUCACAUGAGUUGAAGAGAAGGUGUAACGAUUCUUAACUAAAUUCAAAAAUGUUUCCCAUUGCAAAUGGACUUGUUUUUACAUAUCCAAUGUUGAGGUAAAUCUGAAAUAAUAGCAACCCAAAUCAUUUAAUUUCCAAUGAACAGAAGUGUGGCAAAAAAAAUUCCAAUUUUAAAAAUUUAACAUGGAAUUGUCUCACGCUGACCGCAAGUUCUUAUCCUUUCACCUUUUUUUUUUUAAAUACAUAAUCCCAAGCAUUAAUUGAGAGAGUGAGAAGCCACACCUCCAAAAAUAUUAUCUGAAAUAGAGAACUUUCAUACUUGAGAUUGGGGGGAGUCAAUAUUCUUUUUAAUCGUCAUAGUCAUUGGAGAGGCUCCACUCAACUUUUGCUGGUCAUUGGAGAGGCAUUUGAGUUCAAUCGUGAAUUUGGACAUGCUAAUUGAAUUGGAUUUCAAAUGAGAUCUAAUAGGUCACGUCAAGUUCAUGAGCUUAUUCACCACACUUGUUAGUGGCUCAAAGUUUUAAUACAAUACUUUAGAAUAAUAUUUGUCAUCUACAUCAACACAAGACUGUACUUAGACAUUGGUUUUGUGUGCUCUAUUUUAAUAGUAUUUUGUAUAAUAAUAAGCACAAAGCAUGGAUUUUGUGUCCAACCACAAUGCUUUGUGAGGAGCAAUUUAUUGACACUAACGAGGGGUUUAGUGCGAACUCCUCAGUUAAUACCUUGAUCAAGAGAAAGAGAGUUGUGAUAUGUACAGGCAAAGACAUGAGUGUGCCUUGUGUAGUGCCAUUCCUACAAUAUGGGGGCAAGUGUGUGGGCAUUAUAAAGACAAGUGUUGUCAAAAAAAUCCAAUUGAAGAUAAAGUUACAAUUUACGGUCGGUUAAGCAUAAAGUAACCCCAUAAAGAGCAAAUAAGUUAAAAUUCAAUAAUACAAAAAGAACCUGAAGAGUUUCUUUUAAUAUUAUGUUUUAGACACCGAAAGUGACUAAACUGCUCCCCCGUCUCUUUAGAAUUUCACUUUUUUUUUAUUUGGGUUAAUACCCUGAAAAAUCACAAACUGGUACACUUGUGAUAAAUUUACCCAAAACUAUUUUUUUGACCAUGAAAAACCCCAAACUGGUAUAUCUGUGACAAAUUUACCCUGACUGACUAUAAAAAACUAUAAACUUGUACAUUUAUGACAAAUUUACCCCAAACUAAUUUAUUCGAUUGCAAAAAACCCCAAAUUAGUAAAUUUGUGACAAAUAUACCCUAUGCCAAAUUGGAUUAAUACCACACAAAAAAUUACAAAAACUGUAAACUGUGACAAAUGAAGCGUAAAAUCCUAAAUUGGUAUAUCGGUCAACUGUCACAUGUCAUUUAACUUAAUAAUUUGAGAAUAAAAUUUAACAAAAACUAACAGAGGUAAAUUUAUCACAAGUGUACCAGUUUGAGGUAAUUUUAUCAAGGAUAUACCAGUUUGGGGUUUUUUAUGGUAAAAAAAAAUAGUUUGGGGUAAAUUUAUCACAAGCGUACCAGUUUGGGAUUUUUCAAGGUAUUAACCAUUUUUAUUUUCUUCUUUUGGAAUUUGAAUUCCACUAAUUUAUUUACCUCGCAAUCGUACUUCUCCCCCAUCAGAACGUGAGCUUGGACAACCAAUCAAAGGCCAGGCAUCCUUUUCUAUGGGAUUUAGCCCCAUCAAUCUGCAAAGCGUCUCUAGUACAAUGGGCCAAGGAUGAAUCAGCAAAGCCCAUAAGCUUUUCUCUUCGCUGCACCGAUGAGCGCUUCGCCGUCCCCAAAGCCAUGCAUCUCUUAUCAAAGCCGGAGGAGUCCAAACUCUAAGUUGAAGUCUGAGACUGCUUCGUGUGCUGAGAAACUCUGACGGUUUUCUACUAGAGCCUUUGCUUCCGCCGGAGCUGCUGCUGAAGUUGGGCGCCCGGAUCUCGCGAACCCGUCCGCCGAAAUGCCACCGCGGCCUCGGCACGCGCGGCUGAUCGCUCCCUCCGUCGAGCCCCCGCUGAAGGAUCCCGUCGAUAUUUCUCCUCGAGAGCUUUUUGCCGCAGUCGGAGCCAUAUCUGAGGUUAGUGUCCAAGGGCCCACUUUUGGUGUUUAGAAAGAACCCUAGCAUUUUGUCAGCUUUGACGGGCGGCAAUGAAUCAUUCUUAGUACGGAGAUCUCUCCAUUUCGCUAGUUCUUUGGCUUCCGAGUUUUUCCCAUCUCAGGCUGCCACUGCUUUUGCUGAUAUCCUGUUUCGACUUCUUUUUUUGCUUUGAAUAGGAGAUCAAGCGAGAUUAAUGGAGGGGAGUGCAAAUGGACGGCGCGUGUAUGGAAAUGAUGGAGCAGCAAAAGGCGCUUCUGGUACUCACGCUUCAACAGAAGGUCAAGAAGUGGCUACUUCAUCGGGAUAUGACCAUAAAGUAUUCUUGAGCUUCAGAGGACUGGAUACUCGAGCAGGUUUUACCGACCACCUUUACACUAGGCUUAAUGAUGUGGGAGUCCACACUUUUAAGGACGAUGAAGAUCUCCGCAUUGUGGAAGAGUUUGCCUCAGAACUUCUCCAAGCAAUUAAACAGUCGAAGAUCUUAAUACCUAUAUUUUCGAAAGGUUAUACUUCUAGCGUAUGGUGUAUGAAGGAGCUAGUCCAGAUGGUCGAGUGCCGGAAAAAUGGAAGACAAAAGAUCAUGCCCAUUUUUUUAUGACGUGGCACCUUCAGAGGUUCGACACCAAAUUGGAGGUUAUGCAGAGGCCUUUCGUUCACAUGAAAAGAAGCAGAGAAGUUUAAACGAAUUGAGGGAGAAGACGAUGGACAAGUGCACCUUGCACUUCAAAGAUUCUUGAUCCAAUACCACAAAUUGUUCACUUGUGUUCAAACUUUAAACGAAUUGAGGUAACUUAUUUCAUCCGACAGCCUAUGUUUUCCCUUUUCUACAAUUAAUGUUUUUUCACAGAUAUGAACGGAGAAGUUUCACAUGCACUUUUUAUUACCUUCUCACUGAAAAUCUGAUGAAGGUAUUGAAAUUAUGAUACCUCUGUACAACCAGAGGUUUCUUAAUUAUGUACUAGCAUUUUCCUAGUUUGGUUUGGCUUUUUUUGGCUAUAUUUUCUUUGGAUGGUUUCUCUGUGCAUUUAUGUUUCCCAGCUGGAGUUAUACAUGUCGAUUGCAUCGUUUUUAUUUGAUUGACAAAUUAUAAGAGGUCCUUGUCAAUUUGCUAUUUCACUUAUGUCAAAGUUGAUAACCUCGCUUCACUUUGGAGAGAACUUUGUUAUGUUGUAAACCACUAGAUGGAAUGGGUGUUGGAAGGUCAUAGCAAUAUGGUUCUCAUCCUGGAACUUUACAGCAUAAUCAACUCAUUGUUGCAACUGUGAAGUGGGCAGACCGUCCAUAUUGAUAUGCUUAAGUUCAGUUUAUUCUAGGAAAGAUGUGCUUCUUAGUGGGAUUUGCAAAUGUUACAGAGAAGUUAUAAAAUAAAAGAUGAAUUUCACUUGAGUAGUGGCAUCAAUAGUUGGUGCAGCAAAACUUCCAUCUAUGACCAGAGAGGAGAACCACCAAUGGCUCACUUCUCCAAGGUAUCAUAAAUCAUCUCGGACAUAUGAUAAGUCUCAUGUCAAUGGACUCUUAUGUGAUCUCAAUUAUUGCCUGCAUUUUCUAGAAAUGGUUAUGCCUAGGUGAUUACCUGUCAUGGAAGCCCUUCCAUUCACCUCAAGCUAUACUAGAGGACUCUUUUAGGUUUUAAGAUUGACAAGAAGUGCUCAGGGAGACAUCUAAAACAACCAGCUUCUGGCUGGUUCCUAAUGUUGCUGAGAGGAAUUAGAGUUUGAAAAUUUUACAGAAAUCUUUCUGUGCAGGGAGUUGUGGCUAAUUGGGCAGCUAUACAAAUGAAGACCGAAAAAAGGAAAAUGAAGAUGACAUUCAGAGUGAAGUUUUACAUCCACUUUAUAAUUACUUUGGGAGUUGAUGCCUGGAAAUCUGAAGAAGGUAUUGAAAUUAUGUACCUAUGUAGAACCAAAGGGUUCUUAAUUAUGUGCAAACAUAUGUUUUCUUUUCUUAGUUUGGUUUGGCUGUUCUAGCUAUAUUCUCUUUGGAUGGUUUCUCCUUGCUUUUUUGUUUCCCAGCUGGAGGUAUGCAUGUCGAUUGCAUUGUUAUUAUCUGAUUUAUGACAAUUCAAUGGAGAUCCUCAUCGAUUUGCUGCUUCACAUAUUUUGAAGUUAAUACCCUCUGCUUUGCAUUGGAGAUAACUUUGCUCUACUAUAAAUGGGAUGUGUCUUGGAAGGUCAUAGCACUAUGAUUCUCAUCGUGGAAUUUUACAGCAUAAUCAACUCAUUGUUGCAACUAUGAUGAGCCAGACUCUGUAUUGAUAUGCAUAUGUUCAGUUCAUUUUACAAGAAAGGCGUGCUUCUUGGAAGGAUUUGCAAAUGUUAUGGAGAAGUUAUAAAAUGAAGAAAGAGGAAUUUCACCUGGUUAGCGGCAUCAAUUGUUGGUGCAGCAAGGGUUCCAUCUGUGAUAGGAGAGCAGAACUAUUUAGCUUCUCCAAGAUAUCAUAAGUCAUCAUAAUGUUAGGCUAAAUUUCGGUAUUAUCAGUGCAUAUGAUGAGUCUCACUUGGGGUCUGAAAUCAUGUAAAUCGACCCUUGUGUGAUCUCCAUCACUGCCUCCAUUUUCUCGAAAUGGUUAUGCCUAGGUGGUUAUAUGUAAUAGACGCCUUUCAUUCACCUCAAGUUAUGUUAGAUGACUCUUUUGGUUUAAGGAUUGACAAGAAGUGCUAAGGGAGACAUCUCAAAUGACUGGCUUCUUGCUGGUUUCUAAUGUUGCUGAUAGAUAUUAAUGUUUAAGAAAAUUACAAACAUUUUUCUUACGUUUUUGGGCAGUUGUAUAGAUGGAGACCGAAGAAAGGCAGAUGAUGGAUGAAACUUGAUGUUGACCGGAUUCCCACUCAUAUUCUUGGGGUGGUAUGCCCUGUAUUCAUCUGUUUUGGCAUCAUGUUUUUUUCCUUUAUUUGGGCCCACAAAAAUGAUUAUUACAUUUCAACUUAAUGUGUUUUCUGUUCAUUGUUAUGCAAUAGAACUUGCUUAUCAGUAACCAAAUGUUAUUUUAUGAGAAAACACCUGAAGGGCUUGUCUGGAUUGGGAGAAAAAUUGUGUGUGUUGUGCUUGAGGUAGUCUUAGUUGCUCCUGCCAAAACCAGUUCAUGGACCUCUCGAUGUGAAAAUGGUGUUCAAGGUAGUCUUAGUCAUGAGUAUGAUAGGCACUCACAACACAAGAAUUAUGGAUUGUGGGAAUUCAUGGAAUGGACUGUGUUGGAGAGACAACUCUUGCUUAGCUUGUCUACAAUCAGCCUGCACAUGGUUUUGCUGCUUUUUUUUUUUCCUAGCAUCCGUUAAACUUCAGAGCUCAAGGGCAUCCAGUUCUUGUGGAAUAACUCAUCGCCAAUAUCCUCAAAAGGAAAUUGACAGAAAUAAGUGAUGUUUAUGAAGAGAUCGAGACAAUUAAAGAUAGGCUUUUUAGUAAAAGAGUUCUUGUCCUUUUUGAUGAUGUUGACCAGAAGAAUCAAUUUGAUGCACUCGUGGGUAACAUCUGUGAUAUUUGGGCAUUACUGAAUUCUUCAAUGCGGAAUAUCAAGCGUUGAAGGAUCUUGAAAUUCUCAGUGUUUUUUUUUUCUCAUUGAAUAUAGGUGCUUUUUGUUGAUCGAAGGUGCUGCCAUCUUGAAAUACUUUGCAGAAAGGGAUGACAUGUGGGAGGCCUCUGAUCGUUUCAACUUGAAAAGGUUCAAAUUAGGCAAUGUCUGGCUUGCUUAGAAGAUUCAGCCAUUUCUUGAAAAAUUUAGGAGAUAAUGUCAGCAGAGGAGUUCACUAUCCAAUAAGAAGUGGAUGUGGUUCUUGAAAGGUCCUGCUUUCCUAACCAAGUCUGUUGUCAAUGAAGAUUUAAAACUUAAAGAAAUUGCUUAUUGCCCUAUGUCAUCUCAGCAGAAAUUCAUUGUUGUCUUUCCUGGGAUCGUUAUCUGUUAUACACAAAUUAACUCCACACUUUGGCAGGUUGACUUGAAAUCUAUUGUUCUUGUAGGUAUAGUCAUUACUGGCCAAUUUUGCAACCGUAUUCUACCUUUAAGAUGGAUUGUUGUAUACUGUUCACAAAAUGGGACCAUGUUUUCUUUUGAUCUAUUUCAUGAGUUUGAUUUGGUUUUUUUGGGGUGGGGGGGGGGGGGUGUUGAAGGUUGGCUAAUUGAGUUACCAGUAAAAGACAAGUCAAAUUGAUGCUAUGCUACUACAUUCAAGUACAUUAUAGUGCUACUACAGUCGAGUGCAUUACUUUUAUCAAUUUACGUGUUGGUCAUUUAUGUGAGAGAUUGGAACUUGCUGGUCUGUACUUUAAAUUUGAACCUUUUAACCAUGCCUUGUGAAACUCAACUUUGUUAUGCCUCAAACAAUGAAGGAUAUAGUCAAACAUGUAGGUUUUAAUCCGUGACAAAAGCUCUUUCAUUCACUUUUGGUUACCUAGGAAUGGAGCUUUAGGUUUUGACAUUAGUAAGGAGAAUCGCUGAACAAUAAAAGAGUCCUAUAAGACUGCCUGAGCUAUUUCUCUUGGUAAUAAGUGAGAAAAACUUACGGGAUCUUUCUAUAAAGGUUAGCUGGGGCUAUUGCUAUUAACUCAUAGAUUUGACGAUAGUAUAUCUUUCCCAAUAUUUUAGUGCUAUACUUUGGCUUUUACUGUCAUGUACAAACUCCAGCUACCGUACAAUGUCAAAAGUUUAACUGUUCUCUUGCGCAAUGUGCUUUGAAUGGUCACAAUUGGCAAUUUUUGCUUUGAAAUGAUGAGGGAAUUUCAGUUUUUCCAGUUUCCACUAAUGUUAAUUCCAGCAUAUCAAAAAUAGAAGGUAAAAGCUUAUGGCUGUCAUUCCAAAGGCCGAUCAGAUCAUUCUUACAUGUCUAAGCCAAGAUGACAUAAAUUGUUUACCUCCUAAAAGUUGAAAUUCGGCCAAGCUUGCCAAUUGAAAUGAUGCAAACUUCAGACAAGAUCGUCAUUUGUUUCCAAGAUGGCUUGAUUUAACAGUUAAUCUACAUAAUUUCCUACUAGGGAACAGUUGAAGUACUUGGUUGCACCGAUUUGCCAAUGAGCCAGUAGUAGAAGAUAAGGUCACUGAUUAAAAAAUGUUCUCCCUAGACAAUCUUUAUUUCACCUUAUAAAACCGGUUAAUCAUGAAACCGUGCAAGUCUUACAGUUCCCAGUUCCCGAAUUCACACACAUCUGACAAUUUUGCGAAGUUCAACACGAGUUUAACCCACACCCCCCCCCCCCCCCCCCCCCCCCCCCCCCCAAAAAAAAAGGAAAAAAGCUGCGUGAUUCAACUAUGGAUAGCUCAGCUCAGCAUGCACACAUCAUUAUUAGGUUUUAUCGAGUCUGACAGGUAAACUAGCAAGCGCAUUCAUUCAAUAGAUAUCACAGACUAGUAUUUACGAGGAGGAUACAUGCAACUUCCUGCUUNNNNNNNNNNNNNNNNNNNNNNNNNNNNNNNNNNNNNNNNNNNNNNNNNNNNNNNNNNNNNNNNNNNNNNNNNNNNNNNNNNNNNNNNNNNNNNNNNNNNAAUUUCAGCAGAGAUCCUGUGCAUCUUGUGAUGGACAUGGAAGAAGAUUGAUGGAUGCAUUACGUGAAUAAAUUUCAUCUAGAGCUACAUAAUGAUCUUCAAGAAAUUAGGUGCUUACUUAGGAGCAUGUCACAUUAAGUUACUCUAGGCAUCGGAGUCUUGACAUUGCUUUAAUGCAGAAGCAAAAAGGACUCCUGGAAAGCGUAAGGUUUUCUUUGUCUUCGCUUCCAUAUUCCUUCAAUCAUGUGUCCAUGAUGAUCUUGCACAAUCCCCAUGUCUCCGCCAUUAAUUCUACACCAUAGUAGACUAAAUGGUCUGCGAGGCCGUUGCCGGUUACCAAUCUGCAGGAACACACUCUGAUGAGUCAUCCAUAAAUAUUUCCAGUAAUGAAGAACAGGCAUUCUUUAGAACAAGCUGGUCUAUCACAUGAGCUAUUGCACCUAGCAUGAUAAAUCCACAAAAUAAUUGCUUGUAACAGGUAGUUACGACUGAAACUACCUCCUUACCUGCUGCACAUUGGAUCUUUCUCUAGAGCCAUCACAAACUUUCUCGACCUGAUAAACCAAACUACCAAAUCCUAUAUUAUACAGCCACGCCUCCAAAAAAAGAAGGAUUCCAAUCACAUGUGAACAUUGACAUAGAAAAGAUUAAGAUUAUCACCAUACAAGCAGGCGGAAUCAAAUUAUUUUCACAUUAUCUCACGUCAAUAUGUUUAUCCAUGGCUGUCAUUGAGCUAAUCGACAAUAAUUAUAGGCAGUAGACAUGCAUAAUUUAUAUGAGUAAUACAUUGUAAUUGCACAGAACUUAAGACUAGGUGAUCAGCCAUCAUCAUCAUCAUCAUCAUCAUCAUAGAGAGAGAGUAAAUAAUUCACAUUAUUACGCAAAUUAAAUUUUGGAAUUGGUAUGAGAAACUCAUGAUAUAGGAAUGAGAAGAGUUCCUUAAAUAUUGUUAAAAAGGUCAUGAGUACUACGAAUUGCCCUACUUUGUUAAGAAGAUAAAAUAAACAAAACAGUUCAAAUUUAUACGCUGAAAAAAGUAGUAUGAAUAUUGUUGGAAAAGAUAAGACUUCUCCAGUUUAGAUAGGCUGAAAUAAAUGCAAAGCAAACGUCCAAUGCAGUCAGCGACAAUUCCCCAUAAUUUAUGUGAUAUUCCGUCAAGAUCAAAGUCAUAGCACCCUAGCGAAGUGAUGGUAUAUCUUCCAUGGAAACCAAGAAUAGUACGAAGGCAAAUGAGGCACAAUAUCAUGUCCAUUACGAGGUUGGGACACCUAGAGUGCCAUAACUUGGCACGGAGGGACACUUAAAUGCCAUAACUUUAAAAUGGUACACUUAAGUGCCAAUAUCGGAGUAAAAUGGGACACUUAAAGUGCCACUCCGGCGAAAAUCCGGCCAAAUGGCUGACGUGGCCAUUUUCCAGCAAGUUUGAUUCAAAACGGCGUCGUUUUUGCAUUUUCUCCGCCAUGUCAGUGUGCAAAACAACGCCGUUUUGGACCAAACUCGCCGGAAAGUCGCCAAGUCAGCCAUUUGGCCGGAUUUUCGCCGGAGUGGCACUUAAGUGUCCCAUUUAACUUCAAAAUUGACACUCAAGUGUACCAUUUUAAAGUUAUGGCACUUUAAGUGUCUCUCCAUACCAAGUUAUAGCACUUGGGCUGUUCUUCUGCCUGUCCAUUACUUAUAGGUAAUGUAUUUGGCAUGCAGUAGUAAGAAAAAAACAUUGCAUUGCCAAUAUAGGGUUGUGCAGAUGUCAAAACCUGGACAAUUUGUGCUUCUUGGUUUACCAGGAAAUUAAGCGUCCUUAGUUAUAUAAGUAAAUCAAGCGAGUGCUGGUUUGGAAAAAACAGCUUCUGCACACAUAAUUAGACAGCUAAAUUACUUAAUAAUUUCACAAGACGAAAGAGUACUAUGCAUCAAUAACCAUAUAUUGCAUUUCACAUACGAAGGUGAAGGAUGGAACAGCCCUUUCUCUCCAUAAGGUUGGAGGUCUAGCGUUACUGUCUAGAUCCCAUCCAUAAUUUUCCCAAAACCAAACCCCAUAGCCACAACAAAACCCACCAAGCCUCACCCCCACAAAAAGGUGUUAAUAAUAUGGAAUGGUGGGAUUGGGGGUGAAUUCACAACCAAUGCACAUUUAAAUGCUUCCACAAGAAGCACUUGGAUGUUGGUGAGGUGAGUCAUAUCCUGCCAAGAACAUAAACAAAAAAUUCCAGGUUCGUGGUGAAAUUGCCCCUUGAACCUCAAAACUUAUAGUCAUAAAUAGCAAAGGAGAAACUAAAUGUUAAAAAGGGCCAUGACGCAUGCAAAGGGCCACGACCCAUGGGCAUGAUAUCACAAUCAGCUCCGAACAAUUUUCAGCAAGAAACCAGCAAACAAAAAUGACAUUUUAAAUCAUCCAAAUGUCUGGACAAGAUGUAACUUAUGAUCUUAUUGUAGGCCACAUGAAUGUCUGUAUAAUCUGAGUCCAAUCCAAAGUUUGACCCUCAAAAAUCACAACUUGACAUGGAGAAGAGAAUUAAUGAGAUAUGACUUUGGGGUGGGCACCAUUUCUGGUACCAAUUCCACAACAGGUGCCUAGAAAACUCUGGACACUCUGUCCAGUAAAGCAGAGACAAAAGGCAUAACUUAGACAUUUUAGAAUUGGCUCCAGCCUACAACAUAUCUGGCCUGUAUUCAUACUGAAAAGGAGCUGCUUCUUUUGGUUAGAAAGAGACUGAUAGAAACAACACACAGAACACAGAUUUAGGAUCAAUAUAUUCUAGUUUAAAUUGCAUUAACCCUUCAAGAUCAAGUGCUUGCAAAAGCUAUAUAGCCAGACCAUAAACAUAUCAAUAUUCCCAUAAAGUUUCCAGCAAGUAAACUUUAUAAUGAUUAGUUGGAAGUCUUUAUCCACUAUAUAUGGGUAUUCAGUCAACUUGAAGCUCCAUGGCUUAACGUGUAAGAUAAUUCACACAACUAAAAACGUAGACCCUAGGUGGUUUAGGUAAAGGGAUGUUUGCAACCCAUUCUGCUUGUGUUUUGUCUAUGGGUCUAUUUACCAAAAAGACAAAAAAGAGAGAAAAAAAAAACAAGAUGCUGACUAAUUGUAAAUAUAAAUAUGAAGCCAUGGAAAGUUCAAGGUAUCCGGAGCUUAAACUCUUCAAGGCAGAGUCGGCAGGGAAUUCCAAGUAAUUCUUGACAGACCAAAACUGAAAAAAUGGAAGAACACAAUAGAGAAGAACCAAUAUCUGAACCACAACAAUUUUUUAACUGUGUUACCACAAGAUCAAAUCAGCAAAAGGAUGCUAUAUCCCCUCCCAUAGAAUGCCCUAUCACCAUGAUGUUGAUGUCUCUAUAUAAAUCCCUGGCUCUUUUAACAGCAUCCAAAGUACCAGGUUGAAUUGUUGUAUUGUGAUAAGCAUAGUAAAUCCAUGAUGAACGUAAGCAAAGACAACAAAAUAAGAAUGUGAUUCAUUCCAAAUCAGAAGUAUCCACAACUUAUCAUCUCUAGAACUCACCAUGGCACCACACAUGCCAGGGUAGUUUAUGUCAAGCUGUUUCCAAUAGAGAUCUUCAACCCAAUUCUAUUUGCUAUAGACAUAAAUAGAAGUAAUCACUAAAUGAAAAGCUCAAACAACUUUUCCAAGAACAAAAUUAGUGAAGUAUUUGAUCUCCUCAUGACAAAAUCUAAAAUUACAAGCACAUAACAUUCACGUCUUGAUGGAAAUGAUUCACUGUUUUCCCUUCUUAUGGACAGCAGACCCAUGUAUUUUGUGUACGCAUUCACUGGAGGCUACUCUUCUUAGCUUAAAUUUUCAUGAAAUCCUUCACGUGUCAAUGUAAGAGGAAUAAUCGCUAAAGUUAAAAUGCAUACCUAUGUUCUUGAGUACCUUUGAAAGCUAUAACUGCAGCGAUAAGGUCCUGGCUAUAUAUAUAUAUAUGAAUGAAAUAAAGACAAAAAAUUAGAUUAAAUUCAAACAUAAAGGCAUCACAAGCAUCGCAAAUUGGUCGCCACUGCGACACGAAUUAUAUACUUGUAAACAAUGCUGGACAUCAACUAUUAGUUCAAUGACUUCGAACCACUAAUUUUAGAUCCAAAGGCAUUAAUAACCAAUCAAAAGCUAAUAAGAGAAGGCAGCAUAUGCCUACAGAAUCUCAUAUCAAGAAUUGGCCAUUUAGUACAGAGGACCCAUUCUUUACGCAACCUUAGCACCAAUGUCAUAUUAAAACGUAGUCAAAUUACCUUUUCUUUCCAUCACAACUAGGACACAUCCAACUAAAAAGUUAUGUCAAAUUUGACAUGUAAACUUGCCAAAUAUAAAGCUCUGCAUCUAAUUACAAUGUUAUUGUAUUGAAAUGGUGAAACCUGAAGGGUAAUAACAACAAGCUCUAGGUAAAUGUGAAAAUCUUUAUAAUGAACAGUUACAGCAGAUGCAUACUCCACCACCAUCGUCGCAAGAGUGUGAUUGUAAAUAGCCGUAUGAGCCUUGGACCUCACUCUAGAUUCUGCAUUUACUAGUUGAGAAAAAUUUAGAUUGAAAAUGCAAUUACAAGCUCAUUCAAUUACAAGCAAAGAAGCAAGGCUGUUAUGCGUCUAGCAAACUAUUUCGACAAUCAGGGGGUAGGAACACUUCAAGGAAACAUCAACUCAAAACAAUAUUUCAGUAAAUUUCUACCCUUCCUCCUUCAUGAACUUAAAUAACCAUAUAUCAAUGCGAUGAAAGGCGAAAAAGUAAACAACAUAAGGUUCCUCUUUCCCAUAAAGUUAAUCCAUUGUAACCUACAAGCUACAGUCCAUUACUCGACGGGAGAAAAGCUGAAUAGCCGAUGGUCGAUCACCGUGCGAUACUCAAAAAAAUUUAUCCCCAAAGUAGAAACAGCAAGAUGAAAUCUGUAUCGAACAAAUAUAAGGAAAUUCAAUCGAUUUGACCAUAUUCCAGUGGUAGCAUUGAUCCAGACUUGGUAAUCCAAGAGCUUUACAAAUCCAACCAAAUACAACACGAUGCUCGCUCAGUCGCAUGUUUUGACAACAUCCAAAUCUACACCAGAGGGAUCAUUCGACUAUAGUUUGCCCCCAUUCAAUCAGGCACUACAGCUCCACAACACGGUCAACGAUUCCCCCCAACCCUGAAAUGCCUAAUCAGCCAAAUUCACUACACAAAUCUCACUUCCCCAGGCUCAAAACUGACGUACUCGAUACUAGAGUCUGUCCAUAUGAACCUUAUCACAAUCUAAACUCCCAAUCCGAAUCAAGUCAGAGGAUCACAACCAUAACUGAUUACAUGAACACGAGUUGCAAUGAAGCAGUAUCAGAACCACCAUCACCCUUAGCUCAACCAUGAUCAGUUCCGCUCCACAUUAUUCUGCAAGAGGGACGGAUCGAACAACGUCGUCAAAGGAAGGAAAAAAAAAAACGAUUUCGCGCCACAAAAGAAAUUCCAAUCUCCGCAACCUUUCCAUAUACGCAAAACGAUCACGCGCGAUCAAAUGGCGCGAUCACCCGGUGAGAUGGAGAGGUCGAUUGCGGUCUUUGUCCAUGUUGCUCGAAUUCAAACCUCGAAUCCUGGUCUUCGCAGCGUUCGUGGACUCUGUAGCGAUUUUCGCGACAAAUGGCGAUCGAAAGCUGCGGCGACUUGGGGGGAAAGGAGGGCGGGGAUGAGGAGUUCACCGAUUUUCCUGAUUUGCUCUCGGGCGCUUGUUCUAUUGGUGGGUAUAUUCGGUGUCAUGUCUGGUGAUUUUGACGUUUCUGUGAGGGCAAUGAAGGAAGUUUUGCUAAAAUGAGACGCGCUCCUGGACAAACUUGCGUUCUCUCUGUCUCUCUUGUUUUGGCGCUUCCUUUGGACCUUUGAUGUCUUUCAAAUGCGCACUUUGACUCAGCUUGGUUCAAUUAGUGGGUUCGAACUAGAAUUAUGAAAAAUGCACCAAAAUUGGAGUCAAUAUUACUUGUUUUUUGUUGAUAUUCAUGGAGGUAUAUAAAGAUGCGGAGUACUCUAGUAUGAUCAUAAGCUUAUUGAGAUAAAAUUUUUGCAAUUCCAAGCUCAAAUCUAUCUCAUAACUCGAAUUAUUCAAAACUUUUCUUUUGUUAAUAUUAUUCAAACUUGGAAAGAAUGCAAUUUGACAUGUGUGAAUCAAGCGGGGCUUAAUUAUGGAUUAUGGAACCACAAUUCAAGAACACGGCUUAUGAUGGCGUAUCGAUUCUUAAAUAUUUUUUGAAACUUUAUAGAAGUGGAUUUGAUAGUUUUUAUUUUUUUUAGAUAAAUGUACAUACAAUAGUUUGAGAUGAGUCGUUUUAUCUAAAAUUUACAAAGUAUUUAUAGCGCGAAUAUGAUUGGAUUGAUCACCAUAUUAUAAAAUGAUGCCAUCGCCAUCUCAUAAUUGCUUGAUUGAUAAAUGAGUAGUACAAUCCUAGGGAUUGAAAACUUUACUUUAUGUGGAAAAGAUUAUUAAAUAAAAGAAAAAUGUCCAUAAUCUUUGAGAACAAAAGCCAUUGGACUUUUUUCACGGGCUAUAUUUGAAGUAAAAAGAGUUGUGACCUCACGCAACAAAAGUCACGUAAUGUCAUUUUAAAAAUAUAAAAGAGUGUUAAAAUAUGUCUCGAGUUUAAGUCCAAUGUGAAAUUUCGAAUAUUCUCAAUUGAAUAUGUUACGGAUGUUCGAAGUUGAGCAAAGAAGAUCCGAAGAUCAACUUCCCAAAGUUUGAAUCUGCGUUGGAGAAUUGAGCCACUGAAAUAGGAAAGUUCAACUUUGACUUGGAUUUGGAUUUUGUUUAAAAUAUAUAGAGAUAUCUUUUGGAUAAAAUCGUUUUAGAUAGAAAACAGAAUUCUAUGAGAAGUUGGCAAAAGAAUAAAGAUUUUACUUAUAUAUAGACUUGUGACCGUGGGUGGUAAAGGUGGAUCACAAAUUGUCUUGAAGCGCCGCGUGAGUACUUGGUGUUCCACCGUUGAUCAUGAAGAAAAGUUCUUGAAGCGCUGUCUUGUCGUCGAGUGCUUGGGAGGGAUUUUCUUUGUCAUGAAUUACAUCCAAGGAAGUUUAGUGUUGAAACCAAUUAAAUCUUGCAAUAAGAUUUGCGUGUAAUUCCUUCGUGAGAUUGAGAGAUUAUUUCUUGAGGAAUUUCGGGGCUAAACACUGUAUGCGUUAUUGGGUGUAAUUGGAGCUUGGGAAACACCAAGAGAGUGUUUGAGUGACUUGAGUGUGUAAUUUCCUUGUAUUGCUUGAUCUAUAAUGAAAUUCACUGCUGCUCUCCCCGUGGACACAGGUUUUUACGACUGAACCACGUAAAUCUUGUGUCCGAUUUAUUUUCUUCUUCAAUCUAUAUUAUUGUUCGAUCGCUCGCCUUUUCGCAACAAAGAGUGUGAAUGAUUUUUAUUUUUAAAUCACAUUUAGCUCACACAAACAAAAUAAUAUAAGAACCCCACCCCAAUGCAUGGUAUACGCGAUGUUUGGUGGCUCCCAUAGAUUUAUAUUCACAGUCAAACGUUUAUAAAUUUACAGAAAAAUCAGUACACCAAAAGAAAAGUGGAAGUUAAAGAAUAAGUGAAAUUCAAGAGAAAUUACUGGGAAGAGUAAAUUAAUCAAUUUUAUAGAAACCAAUCUGCAAAUCUCUUCCUUUAUUGGUAACAUGUACGCAUCAAUCCCUCAUUCUCCUUAAGUCAAAUUUUAUAAGCACAAAACAAAUUUAUAGAUCAUUCCUUUUUUGAUCAGGCUCAUACACCACUCAUUCACUUUGAAAAUUAAAAAAAAAAAAACCAAAAUUGAACGUGAAAAAGCCAUAAUCACAAUCCAAACCCCAAGCAUGGCAACCCAAUGAUGAAGGGAUCAUGCUAUCUUCCAUUAAUUCACAAGUUCAAAUAAUGUCGCAAUUGAACUUUUAACCGGUUAGUAUUUCAAGUAUUCAUAACAUUCUAUGGAAAGAUUUUUAAACUUUUGGUAUAUUAGUUACAAUGAUAGACUCGCACACCUAAUGAUGGACUGAGUGAUUAUGGCUAAAACAAGAUAUUCUAUGAUGAACAUAACAUUUUAUGUAACGAUGAGAAUGGAUAAUCGUAUUGAUCAUCUUUUCCCACAUUUUUUAACUUAUCAAGAAAAAAACAAUUGCAGUCCAUCGGGACUCGGGCGGGGAGGCCAAGUCGGACCUCCCCCAAUCCUUGUGCCGGUGGGUCCAUCCUGCUCAUAAGUCCACAUUAGCUUCAAUUUCCACGGCGGAAAACGAAAGUUCAUUUCCCUCCACCGGCUGGCGGGAAGUUUUCAUAUCACCCGCAUAAAAUGAAAACGAGAAAAAAAACCGCAAUAAAAAAACUAACACAAAAAUAAUAAUAAUAAAAGUGAAAAACUAUUUAAAACAAAAUUACGAAAAAACGCAAACCCUCCUCUUCGCUUCCUCCAUUUGCGGACACCGACUCUGAUCGAACGACCCACUCCUCCUCUCUCCUCCUCAUCCUCCUCCACUUGUUCAAAUCUUCUUUGUUUAAUUUUUGUUUGUUUAGAUGUUUAGGGGCUUUGAAUUGCUAAUUAACUUACCAAGUGAGGUCAAGUCAAGUUAUAUAAAUUCCAAGUUCAUUAUUUUGUCAAAUUACAAUGUGGUGAUUUAUCUGAGAUAUCUCAUAAAUUGUUGUUCGUUUUACUGAAUUUGAAAUCAGUCGAUGUCCAUGCUUUCUAUAGGAGGACAUUAACUUCAUUAUAUUGUAUACAUUAAAGUGGCCAUUACAAUGUGUUCAAAAGUAUCAUACUAACAGCAACGUGAAGACGACAAAUAAUCUACAUUGGUAAACGCAUGUCCACUUUCAUUUUUGUUUUUUUUUUUUUCAGGUAAACCACGGCUCUUUAUUGGAUUCACAAGAGUUGAAGAGAAGGCGUAGUGAUUCUUAAUUAAAUUUUUAAAAAAAAAUUCUAAUACGAAUGGACUUGGUUUGACAUUAUCUGUUGUUGAGGUAAAUCUAAUAUAAUGAUCCAAACCAUUUAGUAUCAAGUGAAUAGAAGUGUGGCAAAAAAAUUUCCAAUUCUAAAAGUAUAACAUGGAAUAAUUUUGCAAUGUUCACGAGUUCUUAUAUUUUUCGCCUCUUUCUUUUCUUUUGUAGUAGAUAAUCCAUAAGCAUUAAUCGGGAGACUAAAGAGCCACUCCUCCAAAAACAUUAUUUGAAAUAAAGAACUUUCAUAUUUAAUAUUGGGGGGAGUCAAUAUUUUUUCCCAUCUACGUUGACAUAAGACUAUGCUCACACAUUGAUUUUGUGUACUAUAUCUUAGUAGUAUUUUGUAUAAUAAUUAGCACAAAGCAUGGAUUUUGUCUAACUAGAUUGCUUUGUGACAAGCAAUUUAUUGACACUAACAAGGGAUUAAAUGCGAAGGAUAGUUUAUCAUGAAAUAAACAUGAUCUUUUCUUUAUUUGAUUGAUUGCUGGGGGGAGAGCUUUGACGUAGAUCAAGCAACAUAAUUUUACUGGGUUUGAUGUUUUGAAGUCAAUCCGGGCCUUGGCCCAAUAAGCCCUUUAAACUAGAUAGACCGGAGUUCACCUUAAUUAGGAUGGGGAAACGAACUUAGUUGGAAGUUCCAUGUCUGCUUUUGUUGACUUUGACUUUGAAUGAAUCUGCCAAUUUUUCUAGGGCCAAAAGUCGAUUCUCAUCUACACAAUUUCUGCAUCACGUCAACCAGUGAUUUUCCACGUCAAGAAACGUAAAUAAUUGUCGACUUUGAUGGCUUGGAGUGAUGCUUUGAGGAAGCAUCCUUAUUGACUGAUUUUGCAACAAAACUGGGCCAUGACUCUUUGUAUGUUCAAUCGAUCAUUUGGCUUCUGAGUUCAAAUUCAUUUUUAGUACCUUUAAGAUUCUGUGGGAAAGGAGUAGAAGUCUUGAUAGUUAGGGCCCAUAUAUGCACGAAAAGUCUUUCUUUUCCUUCCAAAGAGUAUGAGUUAAGGUAGUGGUACCCCACUUGUUUUCUCUUCUUUCUGGAGCUUUUGAGCUAUAAUGGAACUUAUUAUUCUCCAACUUGGUAGGAUCAUCUGAGAAAUGCAGCUCGGAUACUUAGAAAUGUUACCAUUCUGGCAUCUCUAAGUGUCUCUAGAUUCUGAACUAAAGAUCGGAGUGGUUUCCUACUUAAAGGCUGUCCCUGAAGAGCUUGAACGAGAGAGGUUUGCCCACAACGGGAAGGCAUACCUGCAGGAAACUGACUCCGUCCUCCUAAUUUCAAUUCGAAUGGAAGGAGUAUGAUUUUUAAAAAAUCUGCAAUGAGACUUUUGGAAUUUCGUGAGUGAUAAUCAAAAAUGAUUUUUCAUCAAACAAACUAACCUUAACCUAAAUAAUGAAGAAAGAACAUGAGAGACAAUUUCAUCUUUUGUUUUCUUUCUUUGGGAAAAUGUUACCCUUAGGAAAAAAAAUGUACAAAUGUUUGCAAGCUAAUGUUGUUGAUGAAUCCAGACAAAAAAAAAAAAAAAAGACGAUAAAUGUCAGAUUUGAAUGAGGAUGGACCAUAUAAUUGAUGCCAAUGAAGACCCAAAGUGAACAAUCAUAUUACUUUGCAUUCUUUUCUGUCUCGAAAUGGAGAAGAACAGAAGUGAAAUGCUAAAAAGAAGGUGGACGAAUGUAAGGUCUCAAGCGCGUAGUGGAAAAGGACAAAAGAAAAGCAAGAAUAUAAUCCAAUCCAUUCCACUUCUCUUAAAAUGAGUUGAAAAACACUUAUCUAAAAGUAUCGAAUUGCUUGGUCACUAUUGAUCACCAAGUAGAUAAAAUCAUACAAAUGAUGAGUGCUCAAACAGGUAAAUUAAUGAUUAUCGAAAUUUAUGAGAUGGCUGGCAUUGGAAAGAUGAUUAUUGUCAAAAUCAUAUACAAUUAACUUUCACACGAUUUUGGAAAUUGUUGUUUUCAUCCUGAUAUCCAAGAUUUUUCGCGAACAUAACUAGGGAAAGAAAUUCCUAGUGGCCCGGAAAAAGAAGAGGGCAAAAUAGGAAGGAGCACUAAUUAAUAAUUUCUUGCCACCGAAAUGCAUCCUCAUGUUUCUGUUUUUUUCCCGCACGGGUUCAAAAUAUUGCCGACAACACAAAGGCAGGCUAAUUUCAAAGCAUGGGCGGGUUUUCUUUCCCGUGUUAGCGGGACCCACUUUUUCUUUUUUCCUUUGCUUUGGUGCCUAAUUUCUUUUCAUCAUCACCUUGCUUUUUUGAUAAGAUUUUCGUUGGAUUCUCGCGGGCCGACUUCGUCGUGAAUGACGAUUGAGGUCCUCUGCGUUAGUUAUUCGAUAGUUGAUUGAUCGGCGGCCACCAUUUAUUUGGGGGCAAAAGUCCAUUCUACUCCCAAAAUUUUGCACCACAUGGUUCAAUGAUUUUCCAAGUUAAGAAACAUACAUAAUUGUGACUUCGACGGGCUGGAGUGAUACUUCAAGAAAUUAUCCUUACUGACCCAUGUUGCAACAAAAUUGGCCCACAACUUUGCAUAUUCACCCUAUCCUUUGGCUUCUAAGUUCAAUGACCUACCAAAAAGUCAUUCAAAAAAUCUUCCCUUUUUAGUUCCUUAAUGUUUCUGCGGCAAAGGAUCAAAAGUCUUGAUAGUUGAUGUCCACAUCUAAUACUAAUAGUCUUUCUUUUCCUUUUAAAAAGAGUAACUGUUUAGGCAGUGGAAUCCCACUCGUUUCCUCUUCUUCCUAGAGUUUUUGAUUUAUAAUGGAGGAAGCUCAAUUUCGAUUCAAAUGGAAGGAGCCUGAUUUUAUAAAAUUGUGACAAGACUUUUGGACUUUCAUUUUACUAAAACAAGAGUUUAGUGGAGUGCAAUCAAAGUUAAAGCUAUUGGAAAACAAAUUUGAUCUUCUGUUGAUCUCAAUUCAAGGAAUUUGAUACUUCCAUGAGUCUUUUUUUACUUAUCGGCUUGACAUGAUUAAUAAAUUCAAUCUUAAUUUUUUUUAUUGUUUUAAAAGAUUUGAGAAUUUAUGAAUUUUGGAGUGGAAACCUUUUUACAUCUCUAAAUUUGGUGAGAUUUUAUUUUUCCUACGUGCUUCCUCCAUGUUGUCCUCAUCAAAAUAUCAAUUAGUUUGUUUAAUCAAUAGCUGUACCCUAUCGAGGUCCCAAAGCCUUGUAGAUGCUGGUGCAUUCACAUUGCGCAUGCACUGGCCCGCAACUUUGAGGAGGUCAGCUCAUCAACUAUGAGGGGCAUGGGGUUAGGUUAGGAUUUUGGAAAAUCAAGGGAUUUGGCACAAGGAAAAAAAUGUGCAGUUUUAAGCUCGUCAUUGAUCAAGCAAACCGCCACUUCGGAUCUACAACAUCCGUCAUGGACCAAACUUUGACGGAACAUAUUUUUUUGGUUAUCAUACAAGUUUUGAAUUUUGAUGAUACAAAAAAUAGUUUGGAUAAUUGGUAUUGCGAUGAAUAUAAAGGUUAGGAAUUCUUAGGGAACCACCGCUUGCUGUCGUCAAAUUUGCCGGUGACCCAUGGCCAUCACAAGCUCUCAAAUUUGCACGUCAAUCCAUUGGCGUGUUAACGCCUUGCCUGUUGAAGUCUAUCUUCUAUGCCUUCGUCUCUUUUUCUUUUCACUUAGAGCUCAUAAUCUAUGUCCAUGGAAUUCGCAACCGACAGAAGUUGCUAGCCUCGCACAGCCAUAGAUCUAGGGUUGCUUGGCCGCCGGUGUGGGCCUCGACUUAGUGAGUUUGCUUGAUUUUCUAAACAACGGAGAGAGGCCCUCGGCUUUGUUUAUCAUUAAAAUCAAUACCCAAAAGGAAAAAGAUAAAUAAAUUCCUCAGAUAUUUGGGUCUUUUGGCAUCGGCAAAAAGACAAAAUGCAAUAGAUUUCGAGUGUAGUGAAACAAAGGAAAAGGGGUAGUGAAUGUGGAUGGAUGGAGCGGGUGCUGUCAAUUGUCGGUGUUCACAUGGGGUGCUGUCAGCUUUUGUUGACUUGACUUUGAAUAAAUUAUUUGAGGGUAAAAGUCGAUUCUCAAUCUGAAAUUUCUGCAACAUAUGGUCCGGUGGUUUUCCACGUUAAGAAAUGUAAAUAAUUUGUCAACUUUGAUAGGUUGCAGUGAUGCUUCGCGGAAGUAUCCUUACUGAUCCAUUUCGCAGCAAAAUUGGCCCACGACUCUUUGUAUAUUCACCAAAAUCUUUGGCUUCCGAGUUCAGUGACCUCUAAGCCAUUCGAAAAAAUCUUCUUAUUUUAUUUCUGUGGUAAAGGAACAAAUGUCUUGAUAGUUAAGACCUGUCUAUCUCUGUACAAAAAGUCUUUCUUUUCCUUUCAAAAGAAGAUGAGUUUAGGCAAUGCAUCCCACCUAUAUUCUCUUCUUCUCUGAGCAUUUGAGCUAACGGAGGAAACUCAAUUUCAAUUCGAAUGAAAGGAGUCUGAUUUUAAAAGAAUCUGCAAUGAGACUUUUGGAUUUUCGUUUUUACUAAAACAAAAGUUUAGUGGAGUAUAAUCAAAGCUAAAGUUAUUGAAAAACAAAUUUGAUACUUCUUAGGAGUAUUUUUUAACUCAUCGGGCCAUCGUGAUUAAUAACUUCAAUCUUUUUUUUGUUGUCACACUUGGAUUUAUACCUAAAAAGACUUAAGAACUUAUGAAUUUCGGAAUGGAACAAUUUUACACCUCCGGAUCUACGCAGAUUUUGCUUUCUAUCGUGAAACAUGGAAUGUAGUUACCACAAGAUCAAUUUAGAAAAUAGAAAAAUAAUUGCAAAUAAAUGCCAGCCAAUCAAUAAAAAAGUUUUUUUUUUUGGUAAAACCAAUCAAUAAAAAAGUUGAUACUAUAUGAUUUAACUAAAUGGAAAUAGAAUGUGAUGCAUAUAUAUAGUCUUGUGUUGCAUCGAAAUAUGAUCCUGAGAUUGGUUGAUAUGAUCUUGAUAUGGACUCCAACAAUCUAAAACCUAAGCUCCCCGUGCCUUGUCUUAGCGUGGUAUUAGCAUUAGCUUCCAUUCUCAGAAAGAGAGAAAAGAGGCUUGCCUUGCAUCAAAAUAUGAUCUUGAGAUUGGUCGAUAUGAUAUUGAUAUGGACUCCAACAAUCUAAAACCUAAGCUCCUUGUGCCUUGUCUUAGCGUGGUGUUAGCAUUAGCUACCGCUCUCAAAAAGAGAGAAAAGAGUUAGAGAGAACAGCGUGUGGGGGCCGUGCGACUGAAACCAAUGAUUGACCCAAGUCAAAGUCUACGGAGAAUUGGACUACCAACAGUUCAUGAUGGACCAGCUUGCUCAAGAAGGAAUCGCACCAAUGAUUGGCCCAAGUCUACGAAGACUUGGACUACCAAGGGCACACGCUAAAGCUAAAGCAUUGGCGGGACGACUUCUUUUCCACGUUAGGAUGACCCCAUCUUCUUUUUCUUUGCUGUAUUGCUUCAUUUCUGUUCAUUAUUCGCUCUGCUUUUUAACAAGAAUUUCCCUUAGAUUCUUCGAGGUAGUUUCGCCGUGAAUGACUAUUGAGGUCUCCGGUAGGUUAAAUACUAUAAGAAUUUGUAAAAUAACACGCAUUCAACGUGUCACAUAAAAGAUGGCAUUUUAAUUACAACGGCUAGCAAUAUGUGGAUUUUUUUUUUAAAGUUGUUUAAAAUAUGUGCACUUUUACUCAACAGGUACAAGCUCUUUAUCAUUUGAAGUUUAACCAAUAAAUCUAGAUUAUUUACAAGUAAUUUAAACAAGCAUACUUAAAUCGAUACAUUAAGUCAUGUGAUCAAAUCAUAAUGUGCCAAGAGUGUUUUUAGACUUAUCAAGUUAUUGUGAUUAAUAACUUCAAUCUUAAAUGUUGUUUUUGGUCACACUCGAAUCUAUACCGGAAAAUACUUAAGAACCCAUGAAUUUUGGAAUGGAACAUCUUUACACCUCCAGAUCUAGUGAGAUUUUGUUUUCUAUUGUGAAACAUGGAAUGUUUAAUUACGACAAUCUUGAUUUAGAAAGUAAAAGAAUACUUGCAAACAAACACCGUGUGCCGAAAAAUACGUUGACUUUUAAAUAGUCUAGCCAACUGUAUCAUCAAUUAAUAGAAAAUUUGAUACAAUCUAAUUUAAUUAAAUGGAAAGUAUGAAAGUGCCGCAUAGAUUUAGUUUUUGCAUUGCAUUGAAAUACAAUCAUUAGAUUACGAAUUGCAUGAGAUUGGUCGAUGUGAUCUAAAACCUAUGCUUCCUGUGCCUUGUUUUAAUGUGGCAUUAACAUUAGCUACCUUUCUCAAGAAAAAAAGAAGAAGACAGAACAGCGUACGGUUGGUGCAAGAAGACUGAAACAUCACGGGAUCAUAGGGGCAAAGUCAAAAGUCUACGAAGACUCAUGACGAGCCAGCUUUGCUCUAAAAAGGAAUCACAACCAUGAUUCAUUCAUUUGGUAACCUUCUCCCUCAUAGUUAUACUUCCAUAAGCGUAGGGAUUUUAUCAAAAAUAAGGAAAAAGAUGUCACUAGAUCAUUAUGUAAAAUCCAAUGACGACUCAUUGUUCUCCCAUGCACCCGUAAAAUUUACAUGUAACAAAUCGAUCUCCAAUUCUCAUAUUCAUCGCACCAUUUCCUCCAGUCAUAUACCAUCACAUGAAAAUAGAAAAAAAAGAAAAUUUUUAGGGUGUCAAUCUGGCUAAGAAUUUUUUUGUCGCGGGAAAAUGCUUUUAGGAAAUUCAAUUUCAGAUAAAGGGAAUCGGAAUAAUUUGAUUACAAUGAAAACAAGUUAAAAAAAAAAAAACUGAUUUUAUCAUAAUUGGUAAUAAGCGACUCCACUAAAUAUGGCUUAUAUCGUCAAAAGUAUCAUGGAAUGACUAAUAAACUAGAAUUGAUAUUACCUUCAUUUAUUCUAUAAUCCAUCAAAAUAGCAAUGAUUACAAAGAAAUUAAGAUAGAAAUUAUGAAACCAUAUUUGUAAAUUAUAGAUUUGAUCGUGCUUUGGGAAUGUAGAAAAAUUGAGCAUUAAUAAAGUAUAGUAACUUUGAAGGAUAGCAAGAAAAUAAGGGUAAUGAUUCUUUUUGGCCAAGUUGUUUUUCUCUAAACUUAUUAUUUUUAGGGUUAAUAUCAUGAAAAAUUUCAAACUGAUACACUCAUGCUAAAUUUAUUCUAAACUAAUUUUUUGACCACAAAAACUCAAGCUGGCAUAUUUGUGACAAAUUUAAUUUCCAUUCAUUUCUGUUAACUUGGAUUGAUAUUAUGAAAGAACGCAAAUUAGUACACAUGUGACAAAUAGAGAGUAAAACCCCAAACCGAUACAUCUAUUAAUUGUCAAAAUUUGAUGUCUACUGUUGUUCACUUUGACUUUGAAUGAAUCCACCAUUUAUUCGAAGGGCAAAAGUAGAUUGUAAUCCCAAAAUUUUUGCACCACAUAGUCCAAUGAUUUUUUGCGUUAAGAAAUGUAAACAAUUGUCAACUUUGGGAGGUUGAGCGAUGCUUCAAGGAAUCAACCUCAUUGACCAAAUUUUGCAAUAAAAUUGGCCCACGACUCUCUUUGCAUAUUUAUCCAAUCCCAUGGCUUCUAAAUUCAAUGACCCACCCAAAAGUCAUUCAAAAAGAUCUUUCCUUUUUACUUCCUUAAUAUUUAUGUGGCGAAGGAACAAAAGUCUUUGAUAAUUAAGACCCGCAUCCAAUAUGAAAAGUCUCUCUCUUCCUUUAAAAAGAAUAUGAGUUAGGCAAUGGAUCCCACCCAUUUUCUCUUCUUCUCUAGCUUUUGAGCUGUUGGAGGAAGCACAAUUUCAAUUCGAAUGGAAUGAGUUUGAUUUAAAAAAAUUUGCAAUGAGACAUUUGAACUUUCGUUUUACUAAAACAAAAUUUUAGGGGAUAUAAUCAAAGCUAAAACUAUCGAAGAACAAAUUUGAUCUUCCGUUAGUCUCAUUUGAUGAAUUUGAUACUUUUUUAAAGUCUUUUUUUUUAACUCAUUGAGUUAUCAUGAUUAAUAACUUCAAUUUUGAAAUUUCUUUUUGUCAGGUUCAAAUGUAUGUCUGAAAAGACUUAAAAGCUUAUUAAUUUCGAAACAAAACAAUUUUAUACCACCAAAUCUAGUGAGAUUUUAUUUUUCCUUCUCGGCUCCUCUCCACCAUGUUGUCCUUAUCAAGUAUCAAUAGGCUCAAAUUAAUCAAUAUUUGUAGCGAUUGAAAUCCAAAAGUCUUGCCGGUGCUGGUGCAUAUAGAUCACUCAUGCAAUUGCGAGGAACUUUGAGGAGGUCUUUUAGAAUGACCACAGCCAUGAGGUUUUGAGGUUUUUAGGGUUUUGGACAAGUGUGAGUAGAGCAGUGAUAGAUCUAAUCUUUUGAUAUAAGAACGUGCUUACAGUAGCAAACUGUAAUUUUUUGAUUUAUAGGUUUUGUCUUGUUUGGCAGUUCUUUUGGGAUUUGUUUGCUUGGAAGUUUUCUAUCUUCUUCCCAUAUUUGAUUACGACAGAUAAAAAAAAAAAAAUUUCUUUCUACCAAAAAAAAAAAGAAAAUCCAAACUCAUGUAUACCAAUGGAUAACGUGGGUGCACGAGUUGGGUUCACAUGUGUCGGUGCACAGACAACACCCCCUCGACGUAUAGAGACGGAGAGAGAGAGAGAGAGGGAGAGCGUGCUAUAUAAUAUGUACAGGCAAAGACGCGAGUGUAAAGUAACUCGCGGAGGCAGGACGAGUUAAAAUUCAAUAAUACAAAAAGAACGAGAGAGAAAGAGUUUCUUUUAAUAUUUUGUUUUAGUCACCGGAAGCAACUCAAUUGCUCCUCCUUCUCUUUAGAAAAUCCAGGGUUUUCUACCAGAGCCUUGGCUUCCGCCGGAGCUGCUGCUGAAGUUGUGCGCUCAGAUCUCGCGAACCCAAACGCCACCGCAGUGCAGCUGAUCGCUCCCUCCGUCGAGCCCCGGCGAAGGAACCCGUCGAUAUUUCACCUCGAUAGCUCCUUGCCGCAAUCGGAGCCAGAUCUGAGGUGAGUCUCCAAGGGCCCCACUUUUUGGUGUUUAAAAAGAACCCUGGCAUUUUGGCAACUUUGAUUGGCCGCAAUGAAUCAUUUUUAGUACAGAGAUCCCAUGGCUUGGAAGGAUUUACCAUAUCUGGCUGCCGCUGCUUUUGCUGCUAUCCUGUUUCGACUUUUUUCUCGAGGAGCAGAUCAAGCGAGAUCGAUGGAGAGGAGUGCAAAGAGACGGCAAGGAGAGUUAGCGAGAUCAAUGGAGCGGGGUGCAAAGAGACGGCGCACGGGUGGAAAUGAUGGAACAGCAGGAGGCGCUUCUUCUACUCACACGUCAACAGAAGGUCAAGAAGUGGCUAUUUCAUCGGGAUAUGACUAUGAAGUAUUCUUGAGCUUCAGAGAACCAGAUACUGGAGCAGGUUUUACGGACCAUCUUUACACUAGAAUGAUAGAUAUGGGAAUCCGCGCAUACAAGGAUGAAGAAGAUCUCUCAAAGGGAGAAGAGUUUGGCCCAAAACUUCUCCAAGCAAUUGAGCAAUUGAAGAUCUCAAUGCCUAUCUUUUCGAAAGGUUAUGCCUCCAGCGUAUGGUGUCUCAAAGAGUUAGUCAAGAUGGUCGAGUGCCAAAAAACAAAGGGACAAAAGAUCAUGCCCAUUUUCUAUGAUGUGGCACCUUUAGAGGUUCGACACCAAACUGGGAGUUAUAAAGAAGCCUUUCGAUCACAUGAAAAAAAGAAGCGACAUGAUGAAAAGAUUGUGCAAGAGUGGAAAAAUGCUCUCAGUGCAGUUGCGGCAAUAAACGGGUGGGACUUGCACAGCCAGACCAAAAGGUGACUUUUCCUAGCAUGCCAUCUCAAGUGCAUUAUAUCAUUAGAACUCGAUGCAUUUCAUAUGGUUUCUUUUCUGGAUUUGUGUUAGCCUUGUUGAAAUUGAAUUCCGUGUUAUUGAAGUUAUACUGCAUAAAUCAAAUUUUUCCCAUUUUUUCCAAGCAACAUUUUUUUUCCAGUUCACUUACCGACGCUAUUUCAUCUACAAUGGAAUAAAUCCUUAAAGUAACACAUUUCAAAUUCAAUUUGGUCUUCUCAGAAUUAGUUUAAUGUUCACACAAUUUUCUAACCCAUUGUCUUUUGCCUCCAAAUAACUCUAGGCGAGAAGGUGAGUUUGCAAGAAAAAUUACUCAUAAGGUUUUCAAGGAGUUGAAAAAGGCUUAUCUGGUGGUAUCAGAGUGCUUGGUUAGUGUCGACAACCACGUGGAUGCAAUCAUGGAAAUGAUAGGUGCUGGGACAAGUGAAACACGAAUCGUAGGAAUCCACGGGAUGGGUGGCAUCGGAAAGACAACUACUGCCAAAAUGAUCUACAAUAAGCUUUUAGACAACUUUGAAAAUUGUUGCUUUCUUCAAGAUAUUCGAGAAACGUCAAAAGGUAAGGGCAUUCAAUGCUUACAGAAUCAGCUCAUCUCUGUCAUCCUCAAAAUAAACUGCAUGGAUAUAAAAGACAUUCAUGAAGGAACUCAUAUGAUUAAAGAUAGGUUGUCUAAUAAAAAAGUCCUCCUUCUUCUCGAUGAUGUGGAAGAAGAAAAUCAUAUUAAUGCACUUGUAGGUAAACGUGAUUGGUUAGGCAGAGGGAGCAAAAUUAUUAUUACUACAAGAAACAAAGAUAUUCUUGAGGUUCCUGAAGUGGACUGUAGUUAUGAGCUUAGCGGCAUGGAUCCUAAUGAAUCUCUUCAACUAUUUAGUAGACAUGCCUUCAGAAAAGAUUAUCCUUUGGAUGAGUAUAUCGACCAAUCCAAGAGGGCAAUAGCCAUUGCUAGAGGUCUUCCACUAGCUCUUGAGGUCAUAGGCUCACUUUUAUGUCGCACUAAAAAGGAAAAGUGGGAUCUCACAUUGAAGAAGUUGGAAAAUGUUCCUCAUGCAGCAGUUCAGAGUAAGUUGAAAAUAAGCUAUGAUGCAUUAGAUGUUUGACAACAAGAUAUAUUCCUCAAUGUAGCUUGUCUUUUCAUCAGAUAAAACAAAGACAUUGUCGUUUAUUUUUGGGAUGAAUCUAAAUUUCCGGAAGAAGCCAUUGAAGUUUUGCAGAACAUGUCUUUGAUAAAUAUUAUAGAGUAUAAUAAAGUGUGGAUGCACGACCAACUCAGAGACCUUGGAAGAGAAAUAGUUCGUCAAGAUAGUAAAAUAAAAAUAGAGAAGCAAAGGAGGGUGUGGGAUCCCAAGGAAGCAUUGGAUUUGCUGAGGAGACAUGAGGUAAAAUCCCCCAUACAAUAAAUCUCCAAGUUACUUAUGAACAUUUUCUUUUAAAAAAGUGCAGUUACUUUAUGUAUUCUCUAGCGCCAUUGUGACCCACUCAAUUAAUAUUUUUGCUUUUUUAAUAUUAGAUGAAUGGUAAUACUCAACUCAACCCCUUAAAAUGGUGAUCUUGAAGCGUUUCCCUUCAGCUUUUUUCUUCUUAAAUUUUUCUUUUAGGCAGGGAAAAAAAGAAGUUGAAGCUCUUCGUCUCAAGUUUUACCGUGAGGGGCAGUUCCAUUUUACCUAUGAAGACUUUAAGAACCUUUCAGAUCUAAGGUUUCUUCAAGUUGACGGUUGGGCAAAUUAUUUUGAUGCAGAAGAGAGGCUUUUUUGGCAUGAAUUGCCAUUAAAUGUUCUUCCAACUAAUGUUUUCUCGGAGAAUUCAGAUCUCCCUCCAUAAUUACGAUGGCUUUCUUGGCGUGAUCUUCCCCCAAAAAUUAAGAUUACAGAUUUCUCUAUGGAGGAUGUGGUUAUUCUUGAUUUGUCUCAGAGUAACAUUACGCAUGAUUGGUAGGGAUGGAGCAACAUGAAGGGUUAUCAUAUUCCAAAGUAAUCUUUGCAUCAUUUUUCUUCUCAUAGGUGAUGAAGAAUUUGAAAGUUCUGGAACUGCGCCUUUGUUUUAGCUUGGAGAGAACCCGCAACAUCUUUGCCCAUUCAAAUUUAGAACACUUGCUCCUAGCGACUGUUGGAAUUUAGUCAAAAUUGACAAGUUGAUUUGUCAAUUGAAACGCUUAGUUUCCUUAAAUUUAUAUGGAUGCGAAAAACUUCGGAGCCUCCCAAAAGUUGUGGGUGGAGAUCUUGCAAGCCUUGAAUACCCAUCUCCAAAACAAUGCAAUUCGUCGGAGAGGCUUCUAGAUACAAUCGGAAAUCGCUGAUUGAGUUGGAUCAAAGAACUACCCAAUUCUAUCCGAAAGUGGAAAAAUUUGAAAGUAUUGAAUAUGAUGAAUAGUGCCAUAAGCAAAAUACGCGGUGCCCUCUGGAUUAUUGUGACCCUUGAAGAAAUAGAAUUUGAAACUAAGCAUGCUUUUGAUGUGGAAAUUGGCGAUUGCAUCUGUGAAAAUUGAUGCCUAAGAAUUUUGAGAUUGAUGAUUGUUAAAAUAUACAAAGUACCAACGCUUCCCAAAAGUCUCGUCAAUCUGGAGUUGCAUACAUUGUACAUGAAUACGUUUCCAAAUCAUUCAAACCUGGUUAAUUUAGAGAUAUUGAAGCUGGGGUUUGGCCCACGUAAUGAUGGUGGGGGAUCUGGUGGGCCUGUGGAAGGAUAUCCAAUGCCACGGUGGAUGGAGAAUUUAAGCGAACUAGAGUUCCGGACCAUCCAAUAUUUUCUCGAGUUUCCGGACCAUCUCAGUAGUGUCCGUCCCCGACUCAAGUCACUUAAACUCGAGGGCGCUCAUCUGCGUUGCCUCCCAGCCUUCCCUUCACUUUAUCAACCUUGAUGUUUUACUCUAAAUUCGUGACCACCCUACCCACAGAUAUUAUAAGUCUUCUUCCCCAACUCAAGGAUCUUUCACUCAAGUGCCCUAAUCUCGAUUGCCUCCCAAGCCUUCCCUCCAAUUUAUCAGCCUUGGAUUUGGAGUCUGGAUACAUUACCACCUUACCCAAGGAUAUGAGUAAUCUGCGUUGCCUCCCGAGCCUUCCCUCUAGUUUAUCAGAGUUGCGGUUGACCGGUUGCAAGUCGUUAUCUUCCCUGGGGGAUCUAUUGAAUUUGAAGGGACUUUCAUAUCUUUUCAUCGAUGAUUGUGCAAUCUCAGACAUUCGAUGCCGUGAUCCUUUGGAGAACCUAAAACAAUUGGGGCUCUGGAAUCUCAACAGGUGGAGACUUUACCUUCUCUACGUAAUUUCAACAAACUAGGUUUUCUUCAUGUAUUAGAAUGUGGUAAUCUGGUUGUGAUUCAAGGCGAACUACCACAAUCUUGGGAAGAAUUGAAGAUUUGUGGAUGUGGAUCUUUAAAGGAGUUGCCUGAUCUGUCACGCUUGAAGGGACUGAAAAAGGUUAAAAUAAAGUGUUGCGGGAAUUUAAACAUGGAGGCAAUUUCUUCGCUUUGCUUGGAGAAGUCAGUUGAAUUUGGGGAAGAAGACAGUGAUGACGAAUCCGAAUCUGAGCAAGAAGACGACGAAUUUGAAUUUGAAUCUGAGGGAGAAGGCAACGAGUACGAGGAAGAAGACGAUGAAUCUCAAUAUGAGGAAGAAGAUAACGAAUGAGUGCACGAUCAUUUGAAAGCUUCUUGAUCCACGUCCACAAAUUGUUCCCUUGUGUUCAAGCUUCAAACGGAUUGAGGUAAGUCAAUUCAUCUGACAGUCAAUGUUUUCCCUUUUCAGCAAUGUACUUCUUUCACGGAUAUGAACGGUGAAGUUUCACAUGCACUUUUUAAUUAACUUUUCUCGAGUUGAUGGCUGCAAAUUUGAUAAAGGCAUUGAAGUUACGAUACCUCUGUACAACCAAAGGGUUGUUAAUUACGUACAAAUAUCCGUUCUCUUUUCCUAGUUUGGUUUUGCUUUUUAGCUAUAUUUUUUCUCGGAUGGUUUCUACUUGUUUUAUGUUUCCCAGCUGAAGGUAUGUAUGUCGAUUGCAUCGUUUUUAUUUGAAAUGUAACAAAUUUUUAGAGAUACUUGUCAAUUUGCUGCUUCACAUAUUUCGAAGUUGAUAACCUUGCCUUGCAUUGAAGAUAACUUUGUUAUGCAGUAAACAAUCCGAUGGAAUGGGUGUUGGAAGGCCAUAUAACUGCGGUUCUCAUCCUGGAACUUUACAGCAUAAUCAACUCAUCGAUGCAAUUGUGAAGAAGAUAGACACUCUCUAUUGAUAUGCUUAUGUUCAGUUUAUUUUCCAAGAAAGGUGUGCUUCUUAGUGGGAUUUGCAAAUGUUAUGGAGAAGUUAUAAAAUGAAGAAAGACGGAUUUCACUUGGGUAGCGGCAUCAACAGUUUGCGCAGCAAACUUCCACCUGUGACAGGAGAGAGGAGCUACUUAGCUUCUCCAAUGUAUCAUAAAUCAUCUUAUAGUCAAAAGCUAAUAUUUCAGUAUUCCUGGUGCAUAGGACAUAUGAUGAGUCUUGCUGGGGUCAAAAAUCAUGUAAGUGGACUCUCGUAUGAUAUCCAUUAUUGCCUACAUCUUCUAGAAAUGGUUAAACCUAGGUGAUUAUCUGUAAUAGAAGCCCAUCCAUUCACCUCAAGCUAUACUAAAGGACUCUUUUAGGUUUUGAGUUUGACAAGAACUGUGAAGGGAGACAUCUCAAACGACCAGCUUUUUGCCGGUUUCUAAUGUUGCUGAGAGGUUUUAGAGUUUGAGAAACUUACAUAAAUCUUUCUGUGCAGGGAGCUGUGGCUAAUUAGGCAUCUGUACAAAUGAAGACUGAAUGAAGGAAAAUGAAGAUGACAUUCUGUCGCCUGAGUUUCCUUUCACAUUCUUGGGGGCGGCAAACUGUUCAUCCAUUUGUCGAGAGACAGAAACUUGAAGAUUAGGGAGGAUAGUCGUUGCCUAAUGAUGAAAUUGUCAAAUCUGUUGAACUCGAUGUUAAGUUUCAGUUGAAUUUUUUGCACUUUUUUUCUAGACCAGGGCAGGGGGGAUUCAUUGUGCGAUUCGUGGCAUCAUACGUAAUGUUUUUUUUUGGGGGGGGGGGUGUAAAAGGGCUAUUUAAGCAAACCCGAUAGUUUAUUAAUCUUUUUUUGUGGGGCCAGAGAAUGAAUAUUGCACUUCAACUGCAUGUGUGUUCUCUUCAUUGACAUGCAAUAGAACUUGCUUAUCAGUACACAGAUAUUCCUCUGCGAGGAAACACUUGAAGGGCUUGUCUGGACAGGGUGAAAAAUUGUGUGUGCUUAAAGAAGUGUUCACGGUAUUGCCUGCCAAAAUCAGUUCAUGGACUUCUUGAUGUGAAAAUGGUGCUCAAGGUAGUUUUCCUCAUGAGUAUGAUGGGCACUCACAGCAUAAGAAGCAGGAAUUGUUGGAAUUCAUGAAAUGGACGGUGGAUGUCAGUUGAGUCUCACCAAAAUUAUCUACAAUAGUCUUCGCAUGGUUUUGAGUACUGUUGCUUUCUUUCUAACAAUCGUGAUACUUUAGAGCUCAAGGGCAAUCAGUACUUAAAGAAUCAACUCAUCUUUUGCGUCCAUAAGUGGAAAUUUACUGAAAUAAGUAAUGUUGAUGAAAGGAUCAAGACAAAUGAAAGAUAGGCUAUCUAGUAAAAGAGUUCUCUUCCUUUUUGAUGAUGUUGACAAGAAGAAACAACUGAAUGCGCUUGGGGCAAAUAUCUAUGAUAUUCAGGCAUUACUGAAUUUUUCGAUGCUAAGGGCGCGAAUGACAAUCAUUCUGGCCAGAAAUUUAUUUCUCGAAAAUAAAUAGAUUUUCUAUUCUAUUUAUAGAUGAGUUUUUAAGCAAAAAUAACCGUUUGAUAACGAUAUAAAAUUUCUACUCCAAAAAUAUAAAUUCAUUUGAUAAUGACAAAAAAUUUCUUCCUUUCAAACGGCGGUGGAUCGAUGGACGGUGGUGGACCGGCGAUCGUUGGCAACGGCGGCAAUCAGCGGCUGGCGGCGACGGCGGUGACCGGCAACCUGCGGCCAUCGACUGGCGGCGUCGGCCGGUGGUCGGCGGCGACGAAUGGAGAACACAAUAAGAAGAAUUUUUAUUUCUCAUUUUUAUUCCAGAAAUAAAAAGUAGAAAAUUUCUACUUCUGAUUUUUAUUCCAAACCUAUUUUUGAAACAAAAAUCUAUUUCAGAAAUAAAAAAAAUUGAAUAAGUUUAUCAAACGGAUUUCUAUUUCAGAAACGAUUUUGGAAUAGAAAAAUUAUUUUUGGAACAAAAACAGGUGUUUGUCAUAGACUCCCUAAGCAUCAAGUGCCGAUGGAUCUCGAGAUUUUUAGUGCUUCACGUUGUUCAUCACUGAAUAUAAUCUCUUCCAUUGGUUACUUGAUAUCUCCAUCGAGGCUAUCCUUCAUAACCACCACAAUUACACAACUUCCUCUGUCGAUUCAAGCUCUUACAAGCCUUAAAUACUUGUCUUUGAAAGAAUGUAGAUGUAUACAGAGGCUUCUAGACUCGAGUGGCAAUCUACAAUGGCUAAUUGAGUUCAAUAUCUCCUACAUGUGCAUUAAAGAGCUACCUACUCGAUGGGAAAUGAAAAGUUUGAAUGUUGUGAGGAUGAAUAAUUGUUCCAUUGGAAAGAUACCUAGUGCCUUAUGGUUGCUGUAAAAGCUUCAAGAAAUAGAUGCAGCAAGGUGAAACCUUGCAACUGGAACUAUAAAUGACAUUUGUAGAUAUUCCUCUUUGAGGAUCUUGAAAUUGACACUGAUUUAAGCAUGAUGAGUACAAGUACCAAGGCUUUCUCGUCUGUUUACACAUUGAUUCAUCAAUGGUGACACAAUUUAGAUUUCUUAAACUUGACUAGUUUAAAUGAUUUGUAUUUGGGCUAUUUGACGAGAUGCUUAGCCGUUGACAGUUGUCCACUUGUGGAAGAUCCCAUGCCAUGGUGCAUUAUGAGAUUAAAUAAAGUGGGGUCUUUUACCUGCUUGUCUGCUGUUGUAAUUACUUGAUCAACAGACAUUGGUCAGCUUUCUCUACUCAAAAGACUAGAACUCCAAUGUGCUAAUUGGCUGCACCUCCAAAGGCUUCCCUCAAGUUUGUCUUAUUUAUCUGUUGAAUCUUGCUGGUGGAGGAGAACAGCGAUGGAUCUCUCAAAUAUGAAUAGACUAUCAGAACUAAGAAUGGUAAAAUCUGCAGUAACAGAGAUUUAAGCCCUUGAAUAUUUGAAGAAUCAUGAAUUGCGAAACUCUUUGAUCUUGAAAAGGGAGAGUUUCCUUAAUCCGACUCAUUUGAAGAAGUUGAAGUUAGUUGCAAUAGAUUAUUGGGAGCAAUGUGGAUUUUGCUCGUCGCAAACCACCAGAAUCUCUGGAAGAAUUGUUGAUUGGAGGCCCUGCCAUACCCGAUCUAAGUUGAUCGGGUCUAAAUUUUUGGCGAGCAGGGGAUAACAAGUGUGAGGCCUGACUGUUUCAACUUGAAGAGGUUCAAAUGAUGCAAUGUCUAGCAUUGCAUAGGAGAUUCGUCCUCGAAAAAUUUAGAAGACAUGCUCUACACAGGAAUACAUUUUCCAAUAAGAAGUGCAUGUAGUUCUUGAAAGGUCAAACAUUUACAACCAAAUAUGUUGUCAAGAAAGCUCUGAAACAUAAACAAAUUGCUUAUUGGCCUAGGUCAUUUUAGCAGGCUUCAUUAUUGCUUUCCUGGAAUUGUGUUCUUUAUACUAAUUAGACUCACAAUUUGGCAAAUUCACUUGAAACUUGCAUCCUUGUAUAGUUAAAUACUGGCCUUUUUGCAACCACUUUCUAUUUUGAAGAUGGAUGGCUGCAAAAUGCUCAUGAAAUGGACCGUGGUUUCUUUUGAUCUAUUUCUUGAGUUAGAUUUGGUUUAGAGAUAUUCCCUUUUGACGAUUUUGGUUGGUGAAUAAAAUUUCUGGUAAAAGACUAAGUCAAAUUGAUGCUAGUUUACUAUAGUCAAGGGCAUUAAUCUUGUCAAUUUACACAUUGGUCUUUUAUGUGAGAUCCUUGAACUUGCUCAGUUGUACAAUUUGAAGCUGAUAGCCAUGCCCUGUAAAUAUUAACUUCGCUACACCUUUAACAAUGAAGGAUGUAUCCAAAGUGUAGGUUUUAAUCAGAGACAGAAGCUCUGUCAUUCACCUUUUGGUUAUCCUUGAAAUGGAGCUUUAGGUUUCAACAUCGAUAAGGAGAACCACUGUCCCACAAAAGUCCCACUUGACAGCCUAAGCUUUUUUCUCUUGGUAACAAGAGAAAUUUACGGGGUCUUUCUAUGCGAGUAAGCUGUGAUUAACUCAAUUAAUGCAUAGAAUUGACAACUAUCUCACCAAGUAGAGGAAAAUAUACAUAAGAUGACAAUAUUUUUUGCCAAUGCUGGUCUCUUGCACAAUGUGCUUUGAAUGGUCAUAAUUAGCAAUAUAUCCUUUGAAAAGAUGAAGGAAAUUUAGUUCUUCAGCUUUCCACUAAUGUUAGUUCCUGUAUAUCAAGGAAAAAAAAUGUAAAAGCUUACAACUCUCGUUCCGGAGGCUGAUCAGUGUUACAUGUCAAAGCCAAGAUGACAUAAAUUGUUUACUCCUAAGAGUUAAGAUUGAGCAAAGGUUGCCAGUGGAAAUGAUGCAAGACAAGGUCAUCAUCUGCUUCCAAGAUGGAUUGAUGUAAUAAUUAAUCAGCAUAACUCCCUGCCAGACAACAGUUGAAGUACUUGCGCCAAGAAGUCUUUAGUGACAAUGUGCCUAUAGUAGAAGGUGAGGUCACAGAUGGAGAAGUGGUCUCCCAAGGCACUCUUUGCUUCACCUUAUAAAAACGGUUAAGUCUGGUAAACAAAGCCACGGGCCAAGAUAAGACUGAGAGGUCAACUAGCGAACGCAUUCAUUCAAUAGAAAUCACGGAGUUGUAUAAACAAGAAUGACACAUUCAACUUCGCACUAUUUACAUUCAGAGUAAAUUUGAGUAGAGCUCUUAUGCGUCUUGUGAUGGAUGUGGCCAACAGAUUGAUGGAAUCCAUUUCAUAACCGUCAUCACAGAGGUCCCCGAUAAUCUUUGAGAAACCAGGUGCUGACCUGGGAGCAUUUUAACUGAAGUUGCUCUUGGCAUCGGAGUCUGAAGGCAGCCUCAAUGUGGAAGCAGAAGGAUUCCCAGAAAAGAAAAGAUUUCCUUUGACGUCUUCACCUCCGUAUUCCUUCAAUCGUGCAUCCAUUACGAUUUUGCAUGAUCCCUAUGUCUCAGCCAUUAAUCCCACGCCAUAGUAGACUAAAUGGUCCGAGAUACUGUUACCAGUUACCAAUCUGCACGGAUGCACCCUCAUCAGUCAUCCAUGUACAUUCUCUAGAACAAGCUGGUUUGUCAUGACUUAUUGCGUCUAGCAUGACAAAUCCACAAACUAAUUGCUUGAACAAGUAGCCAUGACUGAAACUACCUCAUUACCUGCUACAUGAUGAGUCUUCUCCAGAGCCGUCACAAACUUUCUCGACCUGAUAAACCAGACUACCAAAUCCUAUAUUAUUCAGCCAUACCUACAAAAGGGAACAUCCCAAUUACAUGUGAACAUUGACAUAGAAAAGAUUAUGAGUAGUCACCAGAGAAACAGUUGGAAUCAAAUCAUUUUCACAUUAUCUCACAUCAAUAUGUUUAUCCGUGGCUGUCUUUGAGCAAGUCGCCAAUUAUCAUAAGCAUUAGUAGACAUACAAUAAUUAAAAUGUGUAUAAUUGCACAUAAACUAAGACUAAGUCAAGACUAGGUUAUCAGCCAUCAUAAAAAAGAGAAAGAGAAUAUAUAGCAAACGUUAUUAUGCGUCUUAAACUUUCGAAUCAGUAUGAAAAAACUCAUGAUGGCUUUUGCAGGAAUGAGAGUUACUCAAAUAUUUCUCAGAAGUCACGAGCACCACAAACUACCCUGCUUUGCUAAGAUGAAAUACAAAAAACUUAUUUUUCUAUGCUGAAAAAAGAGAGUACAUAAAUUGUCGGAAUAAAUGAGACUUAGAUGGGUUGGAAGAAAUGCAAAGCAAACGUCAAAGUCAAUCAGCAACAAUUCCCCACAACAUAGAUGAUAUUCCACCAAGAUCAAAGCCUUACCUCUCUAGGGAAGUGAUGGUAAGUCUUCUGUGGGAACUGAGAAUAGUAAGGAGGCAAAUGAGGCACAAUAUCAUGUCCAUUGGUAAUACGUAUUGUAUUUGGCACAUGUCACUGUAGUAAGACGCAAACACUGCAUUGCCAAUACGAGGUUGUCCAAAUGUUAAAACCUGAACAUUCUGUGCUUCAUGAUUGACCUGGAAAUGAAGCAUCCCCAGUUAAGCAGCAGGCGAAUAACAACUUCAGCGCACAUAAUUAGACAGCCAAAUAACUUGAAUGUUAAGACAUCAAUGGCCCUGUCAGGAUGGGCAAAAAAAAAACAUUGUGCAUCAAAAACCAUAUACUGCAUUUCACAUACAAUGGUGAACAAAAGAGCAUCCCUUUCUCUCCAUGAGGUUUGAAGGUCUAGCGUUACUCUGCAAAGUUCCCAUCCACAAUUUUCCCAACACCAAACCCAACACCCACAAUAAAACCGACCCUACCCUCAGCUUCAAGAAAAGAUGUUAACAAUAUAAAAUAGUGGGAUUGGGGGUGAAUUCACAAUCGAGGUGCAUUUACAUGCUGCCACAAGAAGCAAUUGGAUGUUGGUGGCAUGAGUCACAUCCUGCUAAUGGCAUAAACAAAAAAUUCCAGGUUCACAGUGAAAAUGCCCCUUGAACUCCAAAACUUAUGUCAUAAAUAGCAAAGGAGAAACUAAAUCAAAAUAAGGGCCACAACGCAUGGGCAUGAUGCCAUAGUCAGAUAAGAACAAUUUUCAAGACGAAACCAGAAAACAAGUAGUAAAAUUUUAAAAUCAUUCGUGUUAGGACAAGAUGUCAUGCUUGCUACUUGUACUUCAAGAAAAGGUAUAGUCUAAAGUGUAUGCAACCUAUGAUCCUAUCAUAGGCCACAUGAAUGUUUGACUCUCAAGAAAUCACCACUUCUCAUGGAGAGAGAACAAUGGGACAUGACUUUGCGGUGUGUACCAUUUCUGGUACCAGUCCCACAACAGGUGCCUAGAAAAGUACACUAGACCACUAUUUAACAAAGCCGAGACGAAAAGCAUAAUUUAGACAUCUUAGAAUUGGCUCCAACCUACGACAUAUCUACCCAGCAGUCCGACUGAAGAAGGGCUGCUUCAUUUGAUUAGGAAGAGACAGACAGCAACAGCACGCAAAACACAAACUUGGGCUUGAUACAUAAUGUAUCUUAAAAUGCCUUAGCACUUUAAGAUUACAAUACAUAAAAUUUGAGCUUCAAGUGCCUAAAAAAGUAAUAUGUCUGGACCAUAAACAUAUCGUCAAUCCCAUAAAGUUUCCAGCAAGUGAACUUUGUAAUGAAUAGUUGGAUGUCCUUACCCACUACAUUUAAGUAUUCAACCAACUCAAAGCUCCAAAGCUUAACACGUGCGACUCAAUUCACUAACUAGAUACUCCAAUAAUUGGUGGUUCGCGCAAAGACUGAGUGCACCCCAUUCUGCUUGUGUAUUGUCUAUGGAUUGAUCUAACAAAAACAUAAGAAAACAAGAUGCUAUUAUGAAAAAUUGUACAUAUAGCUAUGAGAGCCAUAGAAAGUUCGAGAUCCAUGUAAAGAGUCUAGAAACUUCAAGGUAAAGUUGGCAGAGAAUUCCAAAUAAAUCUUAACAGACCAAAACUGAACAGUUGGAAGAACACGAUAGAAAAGAAACCAAUAAAAUUCACAAGUCCCAGGCAUAACAGUUUUUCCAAUUUAUCUUACCACAAGAUCGAGUCCACAAAAGGAUGCCAUAGCCCCUCCCAUAGAAUGCCCUGUCACCAUGAUGUUGAUGUCUCCAUAUAAAUCCUUGGCUCUAACAACAACAUCCAAAAUACCAACUCGAAUUGUCGUAUUGUGAUAAGCAAAAUAGAAUCCAUGAUGAACCUAAGCAACAAUCAAUAGAGUAAGACCAUAACUCAAUCUAAAUCAUAAGUAUCCACAGGUAGUGAGAGGCUUAUCAUCUCUGGAACUCACCAUGGCACCACCGCACCAGGCAUGCCGGGGUAAUUUAUGUCAAGCUGUUUCCAAUAGAGAUCUUCAACCCAAUUUUGUAUGCUAUAGACAUAAAUAGAAGUAAUCAGUAACUGAAAAGCUCAAAUGAUAAAGAGAAGUGACAGAAUUUUUCACUGAACAAAAUUAGUGAAGUGUGGGAUCUCCUCAUGACUCCAUCUGAAAUUACAGGAGAGUAACUUCCGUGUCUUGGUGGAAAUGAUUCACCCUUUUUCUGUUCGUAUGGACAGCAUUCCCAUGUGCCCUGUGUGCACAUUCACUGAGGCCGCUCUUCUUAGCUUAAAUUUUGUUCAAAUUUUUUGCAUGUCAAUUAUAAGGGGAGGAAUUGCAAAAGCUAACAUGCAUACCUAUGUUCUUGGGUACCUCCGAAAGCUAUAACCAUAGCAUUAAGGUCCUUGGCCACUCCAACAUAUGCCUAUAUAUAUAUAAAAUAGUUUAGAAAAGAGACAAAAUUAGAUGCAAUUCAAACAUAGAGGCAUUGCAAGCAUCCAAAUUGAUAGGCCACUGUACAAUGAUUUAUAUACUUGUAAGCAAUGCCGAACGUCACCUAUCAGUUCAAUGACUUCGAACCCCUGCUUUCAUAUCAAAAAGGCAUUAAUAAACAGUUCAAAAGCUCAUAAGAUGAGGUAGCAUAUGCCCACAAAAUGUCAUCUUAAGAACUGGGUACUUAGUACUAAAGAUCCAUUCUUCACACAACCUUAGCAACUAAAAAGUAGUCAAAUUACCUUGGUCUUUCCAUCACAUCUAGGACAUGUCCAACUAAAAAGUUCUGUCAAAUCUGACAUGUAAACCUGCAACAAAGAGCUUUGCAUUAAAUUACAAUUUUAUUGUAUUGAAAUGGUGAAACAUGAUGCGUAACAACAAUAAGGUCUAGGUAAAUCUGAAAUUUUUUUUAAAGAGCACUUAUGGCCGAUGCAUACUCCACAAAUAUCGUGGCAAGAGUAUGAUUGUAAACAGCUUUAUGAGCCUUGGACCUCACUCUGAGUUCUGCAUUUACCAGUAGAUAAAAUUCCAGAUUGAAAAGUGGUCACGGGCUCAUUCAAUCACAAGCAAUGAAUUGAGUUUUUUUAUCUCUCUAGCAAGCUAUUUUGACGAAUCAAGUGACGGGAACGCUUUGAGGAAAUAUCAACUCAAAACAACAUUCAGUGUAUUUUUGCAGUCCUUCGUGAACUGAAAGAACUAUUUACACAAUGCAAUGCGAUGAGGAGGAAUAAGUGAACGACAUAGGUUUCCACUUUUCAAUAAAGCUGCUCCAUGAAAACCUACAGGCGACAGUCCAUAACCAAACAAAAGCUGAAUAGCUGAUAUUCAAUCACUCUAAGACAUUCGACAAAUUAUAUCCCCAAAGUAGAAACGGCAGAAUGAGAUUUGCAUCAAACAAAUAUAAGGAAAUUCGAUCAAUCUGACCAUAUUCCAGCCAUAGCAUCAAUCCAAACUUGGAAAUCUAAGGGCUUAACAGAACCAACCAAGCACAAUUCGACGCUUGUCCUUUAUAUGCUUUGAGAACAUCCAAUUGUCCACCAGAGGGAUCAUAUAGCUAAAGUUUUGCCCCAUUCAGUCAGGUACUAAAGCUCCGCGACACAGUCAACGAUUGCCCCGUACCCUGAAAUACCCAAUCCCCCAAAUUUACAACACAAAUCUCACUGUCAAAGCUCAAAACCGACGUACUCAAUUCGAGAGCCUUUCUAUUCGCACCUUCUCACAAUCAAAACUCCCAAUCCGAAUCGAGUCAGAGAAUGGGAGCAGUAACUGAUCACAUGAACGCGAAUUGCAAUUACCUCUCGCCCGGCUCGUGGCAACCAAGCACGUCAGAACCACCAUCGCCCUCAGCCACGACCCGUUCCGCUCCAUAUCCUGCAACAGAAAACGGAUCGAACAGCGUCGUCGAUUAUUAAAAAAAAAAAAAAAAUCUCGCCACCAAGGAAAAAAAAAAAAAAACUCCAAUCUCCGCACCUUUCAUGUACGCAAACAAUCACACGCGAUCAAAACGGCGCGGAUGGCCCGGCGAGAUAGAUACAGAGAGAGAGACCGAUCGCGAGAUCCUCGCCCGCGUCGCUCGAAUUCGAAUCUCGAUUCUGGUCCCUCGCGGCGGCGUCGUUCGUGGACUUUUAUUAUGGCGAUUGAGAGCCGCAUUGACUUGAUGGGGGCGAAGGGAAGCGGAGGACGACGACGAAGUUACGUAUCUUUCCUGAUUUGCCCCCGUGAUCUUCCCCCGUCGGCGGGCAUAUUCGGUGUCCGCGUUCGGUGAUUUCGUCGCUUGCGCGAGGGCAAUGAAGGGAGUUCGUCUGAAAUCGGGGAGCUUUGAGAAUGACCGCGUGGCGAUUUCUUCUGUUUUAUUCUGCUUUUGGACAAAACUCGGGAUCCCAUCUCUCUCUUUUCGGAGCUUCCCCUAGGUUUCUCCACGUCAGCACUUUGACUCGCCGCUUGUCUCAAGCUAGAAUUCCCCCAAAAAAAACAAAAAACUAAAAUUAAUGCUAAUAUUCGUGGAGAUAUAUGAAAAUGCGAGUACUACUUCGGACGAAUGUUUUAGAAUUCAAGCUCGAAUCCAUCUAAUAUCUCGACUCGUACGAAUUUGAAAAUAAUGUAUUACAUUUGAGUGAUUGGCGAGUGGAGCUUCAUCCCGAAUUGUGAAACCUACUUCUCUUGAUUUAAGAGAGAGUUGGAGAAGGUGACUUGCUGUAUGUAUUGAUUCUUGAUGCUCUUGGUGUCUUUAUUGACUUGGACACAAUAGCUUUUAUUUGGACUGAUAUCAUGAAAAACUCAAAUUAUUUUUUUGAUCAUUAAAAACUUAAACCCAUACAUCUGUAACAAAUUUACUCAUUAUUAGUUAGUGUUAAAAUUUACUAUUAAAUUGUUGAGUUAGAUAACAUGUAAUGCUGAUGGAUAUACUAGUUUAAAAUUUUACAUAUCAUUAGUUUACGUUAAAUUUACUGUUAAAUUGUCAGGUUUUAUGACAAUUGACAUAUGUACAAAUUUAAGGUUUUACAUUUCAUUUAUCAUAGUUGUCAUGAUAUUGAUCCAAUUAAAUGGAAAUUAACGAAAAAUAAAUUCGUCACAAAUGUACCAUAUUGAAGAUUUUUGUGGUAAGUUCGUCAAAUGUAUACUAGUUUGAGAUUUUUUAUUGUUAAAAAAUUAAUUAAGGAUAAAAUGAUCACCAGUGCAUCAAUUUUGAAUUUUUCAUGAUAUUAAUUCUUUUUAUUUUUUAGAAUUUCGAGUUUAGUUGCUUUGUAUAAAAUAUACAAACUACUCAUAAUGUGAGCACAUUUAGAACUGAUCACUGCCUUAAAAAUCACAGCAUUGUUAUCUUAUAGUUGCUCGGUGGAAUGUAUGAGUCGUACGGAGAUUAAAUGUUUUACAUAUAAAAAGAACAUGAAGUCCAAUGAGUUCUAAUCUCAAACAAAAAGGUUGCAAGUGUACAUUUUAAGAGGAAAGAUUGUGAAUGAAUUUUUAUUUUUUAUUUUGCAUUUAGCUCACACUAAUAAUAUAAAUAAGAACAUUAAUAUGAGGCACGUGCCAUAUUUGGUGGCUCUCACAAAUUUAUAUUGGUAGUGGAAUAUUUAUAAAACUAUAGUGAAAUUAGUACACGAAACAAGUGGGAGUUAAGAAAAAGGCGAUGUUCAAGAAAAAUUAUCAUGAAGAGCAAAAUGAUCAAUUUCGUAGACACCGAAUCUUUUCCUUUAUAUGCAGUAGAGAUGAAUGAAUUGGUGUGACUUAGGUCAAACUUUACAAGCACAAAACUGAUUAGUACACUGCUCAGUUUUUGUUGCUAGGCCUAUACACUACUCAUUUGCUUUAUAAAAAGAAGGGGUAAGUACAUUAUCAGUGCCAAAAGUUGCGUACGGCGCUCACUUUGGUGCCAAAAAUUUCUGUCGGAUCACUUAAGUGUCAAAUCAGAUGAAAAAUGAUAACUUUGGUGCCACCGGCGAGAAAUUCCGGCCAAAAUGAUUACGUCGCUUUUUUAUUUUAAAAAAAAAUUGACAUGGCUUUUAAAUGACGUCGUUUUCCGUCAUCCUUAAGAAAACGAUGUCAUUUUGCCGUCAUAUGUGGAUGGCCUCACAAAAACGAUGUCGCACAGCUCAUAUGGGAUUGAAAUUAGGGUUUUUUUUGUUCGAUCCUUGCCCAACGCCGACCUAGCUUGCUUGGCCACCGUUGCUCAGCCUCUGUUGUAGUUGCUUGACUAGGUGAGCAAGGAGAGGCUGAGGUUGUUUCUCGGGCAAGAAGCGACGGGAAGAAUAGGAGGCAAGGGUGGAGGAGGAGGAGGAAGAAGGGGGCUCGAAGGUGGAGAGAGAGAGAAUACGAGGAGGGCGAGGGAAACAACGAGGGCGCAUAUGGAAAUAGUGGAUUGGGCUCUGCUCAAGAAGUGGUUGGUGCUGGUGUUGUUCUUCGGGGAAGAAGAUGACUGUCACGCCCCGAUCCUCUAAGCACGUGCACAUCCCUCCUUGGUCUCUUAAUAGCGAUAUCCUAAGAUGCAUCACCGACCCAUUCAUUUUAAUAUACGCAUGGGGAAGCAGAUAUAAAUCCCUAGACAAUAAAACAAAGGGAUAAGGAGGUAGGGCCUUAAAUUUUUCAAGCCAACAUCAACCUUUUAUAAACGCAUAGGUUUAUUUAAAAUAUCAGGUUGCUUACAAAAAUAUCGGCUAAAUUAAAAAGGGGCUGUCUUAUGACUAAUGAGUUAGAUAGCUUUGCCGAUUCUGUUUCCUCCACUCCCCCAAACUCUGGGACUUCUGGUCCUGCACCAACACCAUCUACAGACCUGAAAAUAGUUAUACAAUAACCAAUGAGACAACGUCUCAACGAGUUCUACCCCUAAGACUCUAUUAGGAAGAAAAUAUACCCUAAGGGUUGCCUAGGCACAACCACGAGUCAGAGGUCUUACCUUGGCCUCAGUUCCUUCUUACAAAUCAGUUCAAUUCAUAAAUACUGACGAAUACAGCGUCCACUCAAUUCAAUCAGAUCAAAUCAUCGAUCAAUCGACUUCGUCGAUUACAUGUCAUCAAGACCAUCAUGCGGUCAUUUCGAUUAAUCACUUUCAACUCUUGAUUUUGGCCCAACAGGCACAACCUAGAUUAAGUGGUCAUCACCGCCCCACUGGCAACUUUUCUAUAUUUGGUGGUAAUCACAGCUCCACUUGGCAAUUUUCUAGGUUCAGUGGUAAUCAUGGCCCUACCUAGCAAUUUGCUUAGAUUUAGUGGCAUCACGGCCCCACUCGGCAAAUUUUUUAUAUUUAGUGGCAUCACGGCACCACUCGGCUAAUUUCUUUAUUGAGUGGGAUCACGGCCCCACUCGGCUAUUCUUAGGUUUAUACCCACAUUAAUAAAUUUUCGGGAUAAAUCUUUAUAAUCACCAAUUCACUCAAUUUUCACCAACCAAGGCUCAAUUAAAUAAACAUACCGCACCACAAUAACUAGCAUAAAAUUUUCUAGGUUCAGGGUCUAACUUAGGCCCGUUAUAGCCUAAUUGAAAGCCGAGACAAGUAGGGAAAAUUCCCAAGACUUGUUUAAUAAAUACUAAUACGAGUCUACUUGUUAAUGUCACUAGCUAACCACCUAACAUGCAAUGAUAAGACACUAAUUUCAUUGUUCUACUCUAAUCUAACCACUUAAGUAUGCUUAAUUAAAUCUAAUCAAUCCCUAAACAUAAUUUACCAACUAAGCGAAGAUUAGUGAGUGAAACUCGCUUAUUAAAAGUGAAGACGGGAACACCGCGACGACACGUGACGGCGGCCAAAAUCCAAAUUUUCGGCAGUGUCGACGGACACUCGAGCCGGGCCUAGAAUGGGCCCAACAAAUCUCAGCCCAACUGAGAUUUGUUUUCAACUUGGGUUGGGCUUCAAAUGGGCUGCUCUUUGGGGCUUCAAUGGACUUGCUGGAAUUAUACGAACUGGGCUUGAUGGACCCAAUGAAAAUCGCUGGGCUAACUUUCAUGGAAAUGGGCUGAACAGGCCUUGAAUGGGCUGGAUCCAAGCUGGGCUUGAAGAUGGGCCUAACCGUGAGUUGUUGACUGAUCGCGGGCUUCGGUGGAUUGCUGUUUGUGCGGAUGGAAGGCUGGUAGCUGGGAGACACGUGAUUGAGGAGCUGCUUCUAUUGACUCUGUGCUGGCGUGAGCUGCUGUGGUGUUUGCUGGCGCACGAAGAAACGAAGAUGGCAGGCGCGUGGACGUGGCUUCGGCGGUAGAAGCGUGGGGACUUCGGUCAACAAAGUGGGAAGAGUUUUGCUGCUAUUGACUGUGAGGAUGUGAUGGCAGCCAAAGAACAAACGGAGAGGAGAGCAGACAAGCGACGAGCGGCUUCGGUGGACGUGACUUCAAGGGGUCAACGAAAGAGCUUCUGUGGGCUUGCUGUUGACCACAGAGACACACAGCUUCGAUCGUGGGCUGUCGGUGGCUUCGCUGGACGCACAACGGAGCCGCAGCUCAACGAAGCCAAGAGGAGGUUGACGCUGGGGUUGUUGCGGUUGAUGAUUGACUCGGACGAAUGCUACGGUGGGUGAAGUUGCGGGAGAUAGCAAUAAGAGAGAUGGUCCAUGAAGGGAAUUUCGUUGGUGGAGGCGUGCUGGCCGAAGCUAGGGUUUGUUGAUUGAGGGAAAACAGGGAAAAAUGAAAGCAAAUCCGAAGCUGCAGAAAGGAAAAGAGUCGGCCAUAUGGGAUGUGCGAAGGAGAUGGAGGUGGCGUGCAUGAGAAUUUUGAGAGGGGGGACCCAAAAAUCAUCAAACCUAUCUCUUCUAUUGAUGUCUUUGUGGCAUCCCAAAAAUUCAAGGCGACCUCCAGUUACAUUAAAGUCUAUGAAUAAGUGAUGGAAGCACCAUCAAGUUAUAUUAUAGCCACUUAAUCCAUGAUUUGCAAUAAGAUUUAUGGCCAAGCUUUUAAUGGAGAGUUAUGUGAUAGGAAAGAAAAUUCUAUCAUUGGUCAUGUGUAUUAUAAAUUGGAAUUUAUGGAUUUAUGACUACAAGUUUUAUGGCCAUAUUAUUUUUGCAAGUUAGGUAUUUAUUUAUGUGAAAAUGAUAGUAGAUUAUUAAAAGGAUAGUGGGCCGAAAUUCUUAGGCCAAGCUGGCCCAAAAACCCAGCCCAAGACCCCCACCAUUUUGGCCCAAAGCCAGGCCCACGAAGCCCAAAGGAAAGGGCUGCUGUCGACCAAGGGGGAGGGGGGAACCGGUUUUGCAUGCCUCCCCAUUUGCCCCAUGAAGCUUGCCAAGUGUUCUUCCCUAGUUGCCAAGUGUGGCUGCCCCAUUGGCCUUCUUGGGCGGCCACAUGCAAAUUCAAUCAUUGCAAAUGAUUGUAAGGGAAAGUAAAGAGGGGGAGCCGGUUUUGGUGAGAGAGAGAGAGAGUUGUCGAGAGAGUGAGAGAGGGAAACUGAGAGAGAAGGAGGCCGUGCGUGCGAGGGAGAGGAAGGAGGUCCGUCCGCCGUUUGUCCGCCUAGCUCGCUGCCGUUCGUUCGCCGCCUUGCCCGCUGUUUGUCGCUGUUUUGUGCUUAAGUUCGAGGCAAGUAGAAUCCUAAAACCUACCCUUUGCUUGCUGUAAUGUGAGUGUUGAAGAUGGUGGAUUUUGGUUGUGGUGGAAGUGAUGAAAUUUGGAGCUUUGGGGAGAGAUUCGUUGGCCUAACAUGCUGUUUCUGGAAAAAACCAAUCUGACUGUUCAUGAGUUUGUGAGUUGCAUGCGACUUUUUAGUUGAAAUCUUGCUUUGGUAUCUUCAUGAAAGUUGUAGAGGACUUCUUGAAGUUUAACAUACUAAAAUUUGAGACAAAAUGGACAAGUAUUGGGGGGUGAAACCCUUUUUCUACGAAAAUAUUAGAUCUGGAAACUGUUUUGUUAACCUCUUGGUGACUUUGUGUGCUGCAUGUGACUUUUUAUUUGGAAUUUCACUUCGACCUCUUCGUGAAAGUUGUAUAGGACUUCAAGAAGUAUAACAUAUAAAUUUGAGAUAAAAAGAACAAAUAUUUCUUGGUGAAACGAGUUUCCUUUGAAGAAAUUAGAUCUGGAAUUUGUUGUGCUGACCUUCAGUGAUUUUGUGGAUUGUAAAGUAUCUUUCUUGUAAAAAUAUCACUUUAAUCUCUAAUUGAAAUUUGUAGUGGACAUCUUGACGUAGAACAUAUCAAAAUUUCAGAGUAAAAAAACAAAGAUAGGUCAGUAAAAUCAUUGUUCUUUGAGGAAACUGGAUUUGGGAAAAUGCUACUUCGACCUAGUAUGAUUCUGUGAUUUUUUAUAAAAUCAUCCAGCUGAAAUUUGAUCAUAUGUCCUUAAUGAAAGUUGUAGGUAAUAUUAGGUAAUAUUCUGAGGAGUAACAUACUGAAAAUUUAGAAGAAACGAACAUAUAUAGGUCGGAGAAACGAGUUUCUUUUGGAAGAUGAUAAUCUGGAAAAGAUGACUCCGAGAACAGGGAGAAUAAAUCGUCUAUAUCUAUUAAUAUAGAUCUGUUUGGGUUUCAAUUUAUUCAUGAGAAAUUUACCUUUAGGACUUUUCUAUAACAUGUCAAAAUUUCGGAAUUUUUGAAGUUCAUUUGGGUAUUUAAUUUAAAUUAUUUCCGAAACUGUGCAAGCUGAAAUAUUGAAGUUUUGAAAACUGUGAUGCAUGGACCGUACUGUUUUGUGUGAGAUUCUUUUGGUAUGGUGUUUUUCAUGAGAUAUCUACCUUUAGGUCUCGUCUAUAAUGUGUCAAGUUUUCAGAAUUUAUUAAUGCCAUUUACUAAUUUUCUAGAGUUUUAAUUAAAGGAGUACAUUCUGUUUUAUCCGAAUAUUGAGGUGUUUUCAAAAAAUGAAUGGAAUUUUCCAUGUGAUGUAAUGUUCUGAGUGCUGGAUUUUGCUGCAUAUGUGAUGACAUAUGGCAUGUUAUAUGGCAUUAAAGGCUGAUUGAGAUCCUUGAUAUUGUUGCAUCAAAUGCCAUGUUGAAAUUAAAAUACAUGUGUAAAUAUAAAUUGAGAUAAUAUCAAGACCGUCGGAGGUGUGAGCCGACGAUGCCUUGGGAGUUUCGAGAUGCCCGGAGGUUUGUGCCAAAUGCCCGGAGGUUUCUGCCGGAGGGUCCUCGUGAUGCAAGUUGAGAUAUGAGAUGCCCGGAGGUUUGUGCUGAAUGCCCGAAGGUUUGUGUCGGAGGGUCCUUGCGAUGCCAGGAUUAGGUGCGAGAAGAGGGAUGCAAACACUGAUCCCUGGAAAAAAAAAGAAAAAGAAAUGAGAUCCUUUGAAAGUUGAGAUGGAAAUUGAAUCAUGCAUAUGUGUGUGAGCAUAUGGCAUAGGAUAUGAUUGCAUAUGAAAUUGAGCUAAUAUCAUAUGGCAUUGAAAAUGUGAUCAUGGAUGCAUUGAGUGGAUCUCAUGGAAUACAUACAUGAUGGCAUGGUAUGGAUGAUGUGAUCAUGCGCAUGUAUGGGCAUGUGGCAUGGAACAUGGGUUGUUUUGAUACAUGGUGAUAUAUGCAUGGUUGUAAGGUAAGGUAUGCUUGAAUGCAUGAAUGAUAUGUGUUUAUGAGACCUUGAUUGCUUUGCUUGCUGCAUUGUGUAGUUUGGUGGAUCUUUACUGCUGAGUGGUUGUACUCACCCCUUUUGGGAAUUAACAUUUCAGAUUAGAAAGAUGCAUUUGCUACCAGUUGCACGCGGUACUUAUUAUGGCAUACCUACUGAUGCGGAUGUGGAGAGUACAUAGCACACCUGUGUCGGUGCCCCUAGUUUAGUGUUUGUUCGAGUCCGUGUCCUGGUUAUGUACGAUGUCGGUUGUGCUAAUGGCCCGAUUAUCCAGGAGUUCUUAUCUGUGCACAUUUGACGUCAUGGAUGAUGGUAGGGAUGCUACUGCCGUUGCCGCCUGAUGGACCGGGUUGGGUGUGAUGGCACUAUAAUUGGUGGGAGCUGACACUUUUUGGGAUAGCCGACGCAUGUUGAUGGAUGAGCGUAUAUGUUUGAUAUAGGGUCGAGUUCUUUUUGCUUAUAGCCAAGUGUAGUUAUAAACCUUGGCCUUUUGCUUUAACCGACCCAAGAUGUCCAUCUUGCUAAUGUAAAAAAAAGCGACUCGGCUUUGUUUUUCCUUUGGUGUAUAGUUGGUGUGCAUUGCAUUAUUGUUGUUGGAGUAAGGGAUGGGAUGUUGGUUAUGCUUCCGCUAUAUGAAUUGCGCUGGGACCUAUACAAAAAAAAAAUAGGGACUAAAAAAGGGAGAAGAAUUUUAUUGAUUAACCCCUUUUAAGCUAUAGUUCCUCUUUAAUUGAAAAGCCUUUGGACUCGCUUGUAGUAAGGUAAGUAAUAAGUACCUCUGGUGACCCUACCGGAGUUGGGGGUGUCAGAGCCUUGUCCCCCUAAAGUCUACAUAAUUAUCCUCUUAUGUCUCCAAUUCUUUCUUGAAAUAGAAUUCUUCAAUAAUCCAAUUUUUGGUGUCAAAAUAUAGCCCAUCAACCAUAAAUCCGAAUUUCACUUAAUUUAGCUUCAAUUUCAUCCUCAAUUUCCCAAAUUCAAAGUCCAAUUUCAUCGAAGAAAAUCUUGAACAAUUUUUUGUAAGUCCCUGACACUCAAAGGCUCGGCAUGGAAGUCCAAAUUUCCUUUAAUUUGGCUCAUCUGAAUUUCCGCUAAUUUUCUGCAACGUCCAAACCGAUUUUCCGUAAAAAUUCUGGAAUCUCUGAAAAAUCUUUGGAAGAUCAGUCGAUGUUCCUAAAAUACCUUGUGACACGACAGAACUUUCAGUUUCUGAAAUCGGGUUCAAAUUCGCGGUUAAUUUCAAUUCGGCGUGCUUUUGGCGUGACCCAGUCUACCGAUUAGUUUUCAGGAAUUUUUUGUGCAAUUGACCCGUGAUCGAUUUAUCUUGAGUCACACUGUACAUCUUCGACACAUUGGCGACUAUCGAUUGUCGUGAAAAUUUCGAGAUUUCAAUUACAGGCACCGGAUACCAAAACAAUAGAAAAUCAAUUUAGUGCAAAUCGAUGAGAAUUUUGCAAUCAAGUGGAAUCACCCACAUUUUGAUCACAUAUCUUAGUCGAAUCGACUUAACUCUGAUCUCUAAUCGAUCUCUGACGGUGCUGUAAUGAUCCUUGCAGAUCAACAUGGCUGAGCGGUCGAUUCCUAGUAGAAUUCUCAAGUCCAAUUGCCUUUAGAUUUCUUAAUUGCUUCCCCAGAUAGAUUAGUUAUCUCGUGAGUAAUCGGCCUAGAGAAUAACACUAUUGACGCAUCGAUGAAAGGCUCGAUUUAUUUAAUAAAAAACGAAAUCUGAAAAUUCAGGCUAUCACAACUUUUCCCCUCUUAUAAAAAUUUUGUCCUUGAAAUUUAAACCUAUUGCAAUCCUUAACCAAAUAGGUGGGGGUACAGUCGUCUCAUUGACUCCUCCAUUUCCCAAGUUGCUCCUUCUGUGCUGUGGUGUUUCUAGACCACUUUAACCAAUGGGAUGGUCUUGGUUUGCAAGACAUGUUCCUUGCGAUCCAUAAUCUAAACCGAGCUUUCAACGUAUGACACUCUGUCGUCCACGUCCAAUUCCUCAAAAUUGAGCACGUGGGUUGAGUUAGGCUUAUACUUCCUUAACGUCAACACGUGAAAGACAUCAUACACUUGAUCCAACCUUGGCGGCAAUGCAGAACGAUACGCUAGGAUCCCGAUUCUUUCAAGAAUCUCAAAUGGACCUACGUACCCCGGACUCAAUUUUCCUUUCUUGCCAAAGCGCGAAGUACCUCUCAUUGGUGACACUUUUAGAAAAAUGUGAUCACCAACUUAAAAUUCCAAUGGUCUCCGAUGCUUAUUGGCGUAACUUUUCUAGCAGCUCUGAGCGGUCUUUAAUUUGUCUCUGAUGAUGACAUCUGCAUCCACUGACUGCUGAACCAACUUUAUGCAUGUAAUUUUCUGUUCCCCAACUUCAUCCUAACAUACGGGUGUUCUGUACACUCUGUCAUACAACGCUUCAAAAGGAGCCAUCUGGAUGCUCUGCUGAUAACUGUUGUUAUAGGCAAAUUCCACUAGGUGAAGCUGAUCUUCCCAACUUCCCUUGAAGUCUAGUACACAAGCUCUCAGCAUGUCCUAGAGGGUCUGAAUUUUCCUCUCAGACUAGCCAUCCGUCUGAGGAUGAUAUAAUGUACUAUAUUGCAGCUUUGUACCUAGAGCACUCUACAAGCUUUUUCCAAAAUAUAGCUGUAAAUCUCGGGUCUCGGUCUGAUGUAAUUGUCACCGACACUCCAUGCAGAAGAACUGUCUAACGCAUGUACAUCUGUGCAUGCCUGUCCAAAUCAAGGUCCUUUCGUACUACAAUGAAAUGAGCCGACUUUUUUGACCACUACCCAAAUAGAGUCAUUACCUCUCUGACUCCUCGGUAAACCUGUCAUGAAAUCCAUUGUAAUAUGUUCCCAUUUCCAUUUGGGAAUCUCAAGAGGUUGUAGAAAUCCUCACGGCUUACAGUACCGUGCCUUCACUUGCUGACACGUUAGACACUUGGUGACAUGCUUGGCGAUGUCCGCCUUCAUACCUGACCACCAAUAGCAUUGACGUAGAUUCUGAUACAUCUUGGUACUACCAGGACGAAUGCUGUAACUGCUACGAUGUGCUUCUGAUGAAAUAUCCUCUCUAAACUCUAUAUCGUCAGGUACAACCAAAAGUCCUUGGAACCUCAGUGUUCCAUCAUCAGAGAUCUGAAAGUCAAAUUUUCUUUUAUCGGUAUCCUCUUGCAGGAUCUUCUGAACAUCUAGAUCUGUUGGCUGAAGUGCUUUGAUUCUGAUUUGGACAUUUGACUCACUUCUGAGGGUGACCAUAAGAUUUAAGAGGUGGCCUACCUCAAUUUUGAAAAUCGAAUCUUUAGCAUUUUCUACCAAAGUCCAUUCUUUGAGUAACAUUUGUGCAACUGAGGACUUUCGACUCAAUGUAUCUGCGACCUUGUUCGCUUUUCUGGGAUGAUACAAGAUAUCACAAUUAUAGUCAUUCAAAAGUUCCAUCCAGCGACGCUGUCUCAUAUUCAACUCCUUUUGAGAGAAUGGAUACUUGAGGCUUUGAUGGUCGGUGACGAUCUGGAAUCUUUCUUCGUACAAAUAAUGUCUCCAAAUCUUCAAAGCGAAAAUAAUUGCUACGGGUUCUAAGUCAUGCGUCGGGUAAUUCAAUUCAUGAGAUCUCAACUGAUGGAAGGCGUAUGCAAUAACUCUGCCAUGUUGCAUCAACACACAACACAGUCCUCUAAAUGACGCAUAAUUGUAGAUCCCAUAUCCUCCAGGACCAGAUGGUACGGUCAGCAUAGGUGCGGUAGUCAGUUUUUCCUUCAGCUCUUGGAAACUACGCUUGCACUUGUCUAUCCACAUAAAAUUUUCUUCUUUUUUUAAGAGUCUUGUCAGAGGUGACGCUAAUGAUGAGAAUCCUUCCACUAACCAUCUGUAGUAACCUGCUAAGCCCAGAAAACCUCUGAUUUCUAUCACGGUAGUCAAUCUUGGCCAACUAAUAACUAUUUCGAUCCUGGCUGGGUCCACGAAGAUUCCUUCACCUGAAAUCUUAUGACCAUUCUCAAAUGACUCUCGUGAUUCUCAACACUCAUCGAAUACACUAGAAUAUCCUUGAUAGACACAACUACGAACUAAGCUAGAUAUUCCUUGAAUACUCAAUUCAUCAAUCCAUAAAAGUAGCUGGAGCAUUCGUCAACAGUUCAAACUGUAUUACCUUACGCCAACAAUUCAUUACCACAAGAUGCUCCUUGAGCCAACUCUUUUCAUAUAUGAAGUCAAAGUUAUACAUAAACAACUAGUUAGGUACAACUGUAGCCAGUGAUUCUUCUUUCUAUAGCUUUAUUAUAUCAACUGAAAUUCUACAGCCUUAACCAAAAUUCCACUGCGCUACUUUGAUAAAAUCACUCCAAAAAUGUUCUUCCUUUGGUCGGUGCAUGGUUGGUUCGUUCUUGUCCCCUCCGCCAUCCUAGUGGUGUUCUAUCUGUGGUACUUUCCCUCUGUCUUGUCCUCUAAUGAUGGCGUACAUUCCUUGCUCUAGAGGUCUGUUUAGUCCACCCUACUAUAUGUUUUGUAGCACAAAACCUCUUAUCUGACCCAAUUAUGGCUGCGACGGUAAUUACGGUUGUCCUCUCAGUCUUUUGGGGUAGUUCCUGGCUAUGUGACCUAAUUGGCCACACUUAAAGCAAGUACCUGGCCUAGAAUUACAUGGGACCGAUCCGUGUCGCCUUCCACACAAGCGACACACGCCAUUCUGGAUAGGCCCUGCUUUUCCAAUUCCAUCCUUCUGAUUGGGCGGGAUUUGGAAUCUACCUUCAGUCAUGGGCUUCUUUCCUUAACGGAUCCCUUCUCUGUGAAAGCUAAACCUUGAUCUAGACAAGGCAGCUUGCUCGUUCAAACCUCUCUCUAUCAUCUAAGCUCGACGAUAGACUUCUCGAUAAUCUAUCAAGUCCAAUGGCAACAGAGGUUGCUUCAGCUCGGCAUGAAGACCAUUUUUGAAUCUUCGGGCUUUCUCUUCGGGGUCUUCAAUUAAUCUAGGGGCAUACUGAGAAAGUUCAGCGAACUUGACCUCGUAUUGAUCGGCCGUCAUCGAUCCCUGACGAAGGCAUUGAAACUCCUCCAUCUUUUGUUCUCGGGCAACACCCAAAAAAUAUUGGUCAUUGAAGGCUUUGAGGAAGAUGUCCCACACCCAGGGCACUCCUUCUGGAAACACGGCAUCCUCGGUGGCUUUCCACUAGAUGUUGGCAUUAUCUUGAAGUUGGUAUACAGGAAAUACCACCUUCUCCUCUUCAUUGCACAUCAAGAGUGCAAAUGCCUUCUCUAAGUCUUGUACCCAUUGCGAAGUAGCCUCAGGGUCUCCACUACCCCUAAAUCUUGGUGGACUGAGCUUUAGGAAAUACUCCACCAAUUUAUGGAUUGGUUUUUCAGCGACCACUAUCCAUGGUGGACCUUCGACAUUCAUGGCGGCAGGUGCAGCUGCAGGCGCUGCAGUAGGGGCAGCCUCGGCAGUGGCAGCAAUAGCGGUGGUAGCGGCGGCUUGAGCAGUAGCGGCCUGAUUCUGUGCUUGCUGAUCCAACCUCGUUCCCAUAGCUUUCAAGACACGCAUGAUCCCUUCUAGCUUGGGAUCAUUAGGAACUACUAGUCCGGCACCUACUAUAGGUGGUGCCGUACCACUCACGCUUGCCUGUGCUAGCACUCGACCACGAUUUCCUCGGGUACCGAUCAUGGUCGGUGUCCUACCCCGAGUUACAGUACGCAUGAUCCUCUUAGAAGGAGUCCUCUACUCCCGAUCGCUCAUGAUUCAGUUUCACCAACUGACACCUGCUUCCAAUUCCACACAGAAUUAAAAACAGAGCAAUUCAAACAAUAAACAAUUCUAGCAUUCAGCUAUCACAGACAUGCACCAGCUGUGAAUUUAAAGGCCUUUCCUACUACUAUCCCAUAGGUCAUCGCACCUUAUCACUUCAAUCUUAAACUCUGCUCUAAUACCACAAAAAAGGGAUGUCACGCCCGGAUCCUCCGAGCACGUGCCCAUCUUUCCUUGGUCUCUUAAGAGCGAUGUCACAGGACGCAUCGUCGACCCAUUCAUUUUAAUAUAUGCAUGUGGAAGCAGAUAUAAAUCCUCAAAUAAUAAAACAAUGAGAUAGGGACCAACAUCAACCUUUUAUAAACGCACAAGUUUAUUUAAACUAUCAAGUUGCUUACAAAAAUAUCGGCUAAAUCAAAAGGGGGUUGUCCUAUGACUAAUGAGUCAGACAGCUUUGCCGAUUUUGUUUCCUUCACUCGCCCAAACUUGGGACUUCUGGUCCUACACCAACACCAUCUACGAACCUGAAAAUGGUUAUACAAUAAAUAGUGAGACAACGUCUCAGUGAGUUUUACUCCCUAAGACUCGAUUAGGAAGAAAAUAUGCCUUAGGGGUUGCCUAAGCACAACCACGAGUCAGAGGUCUUACCUUGGCCUCAAUUCCUUUCUGCAAGUCACUUCAAUUCCUAAAUACUGAUAGAUACAUCAUCCACUCAAUUCAAUCAAACCAAAUCAUUGAUUAAUCGACUCCGUCGAUUACAUGUCAUCAAGACCAUCAUACGGUCAUUUCGAUUAAUCACUUUCAACUCUUGAUUUUGGCCCAACGGGCACAACUUAGAUUAAGUGGUCAUCACGGCCCCACUGGCAACUUUUCUAUAUUUGGUGGUAAUCACGACCCCACCCGGUAAUUUUCUAAAUUCAGUGGUAAUCACGGCCCCACUUGGCAAUUUGCUUAAAUUUAGUGGCAUCACGACCCCACUUAGCAAAUUUCUUAUAUUUAGUGGCAUCAUGGCCCCAAUCAGUUAUUUUCUUUAUUGAGUGGCAUCGCGGCCCCACUCGGCUAUUCUUAGGUUUAUACCCACAUUAAUCACCAAUUCACUCAAUUUUCACCAAUCAAGGCUCAAUUAAAUAAAUAGACCGUACCACAAUAACUAGCAUAAAAUUUUGGUCGUCGACUUUCCCAGCCUAAUUUUUGGGAAAUAAAUAAAUAAAUAAAUAAAUACAUAAAAUAUUAAAUAAAUGCAAUAAAUCUAACUUAGGCCCGUUAUAGCCUAAUUGGAAGCCGAGACAAGCAAGGAAAAUUCCUGAGACUAGUUCAAUAAAUACUAACACAAGUCUACUUGUUAAUUUAACUAGCUAACCACCUAACAUGCAAUGAUAAGGCACUAAUAUAAUUGUUCUAUUCUAAUCUAACCACCUAAGUAUGCUUAAUUAAAUCUAAUCAACCCCUAAACAUAAUUAACCUACUAAGCGAAGAUUAGUGAGUGAAACUCACUUGUUGAAAGCAAAGACAGGAACACCGCGACAACGACGCGAUGGCGGCCGAAAUCCAAAUUUUCGGCGGCGUCGGCGGACACUCGGGCCGGGCCUAGAACGGGCCCAACAAGUCUUAGCCCAAUUGAGAUUUGUUUUCAACUUGGGCUAGGCUUCAAAUGGGCUACUCUUGGGGGCUUCAAUGGACUUGCUGGAAUUACACGAACAGGGCUUGAUGGACCCAAUGAAAAUCGCUGGGCUGGCUUUCACGGAGAUGGGCUGAACAAGCCUUGAAUGGGCUGGAUCCGAGCUAGGCUUGAAGAUGGGCCCAACCGUGAGCUGCUGACUGAUCGCGGGCUUCGGUGGAUCGCUAUUCACGCAGAUGGAAGGCUGGCAACCGGGAGACGCGCGAUUGAGGAGCUGCUUCUGUUAACUCUAUGCUGGCGUGAGUUGCUGUGGCGUUCACUAGUGCAUGAAGAAACGAAGAUGGCAGGCACGUAGACGUGGCUUCGGCGGCAGAGGCGUGGGGACUUCGGUCAACAAAGUGGGAAGAGUUUUGCUGCUGUUGAUCGUGAGGAUGCGCUGGCAGCCAAAGAACAAACGGAGAGGAGAGCAGACAAGCGGCGAGCGGCUUCGGUGGACGCGACUUCAAGGUGUCAACAAAAGAGCUUCUGUGGGCUUGCUGUUGACCACAGAGACACGCAGCUUUGAUCGUGGGCUGUCGGUGGCUUCGCUGGACACACAAAGGAGCCACGAGUCAACGAAGCCAAGAAGAGGUUGACGCUGGGGUUGUUGCGGUUAAUGAUUGACUCGAACGAAUGCUAUGGUGGUUGAAGCUGCAAGAGAUAGUAGCAGGAGAGAUGGUCCAUGAAGGGAAUUUCGUUGGUGGAGGCGUGCUGGCUGAAGCUAGGGUUUGUUGAUCGAGAGAAAAUAGGGAAAAAUGAAAGCAAAUCCGAAGCUGCAAAGAGGAAAAGAGUCGACCAUAUGGGACGUGCGAAGGAGAUGGAGGUGGCGUACGUGAGAAUUUUGAGAGGAGGGACCCAAAAAUCAUCAAACCGAUCUCUUCUAUUGAUGGUGUUGUCCCCCUAAAGUCUACAUAAUUAUCCUCUUAUGUCUCCAAUUCUUUCUUGAAAUAGAAUUCUUCAAUAAUCCAAUUUUUGGUAUAAAAAUAUAGCCCAUCAACCAUAAAUCCGAAUUUCACUUAAUUUAGCUUCAAUUUCAUCCUCAAUUUCCUCCUCAAUUUCCCAAAUUCAAAGUCCAAUUUCAUCGAAGAAAAAUCUUGAACAAUUUUCUGUAAGUCUCGAACACUCAAAGGCUCAGCUUGGAAGUCCAAAUUUCCUUUAAUUUGGCCCAUCUGAAUUUCCACUAAUUUUCUGCAAUGUCCGAACUGAUUUUCCGUAAAAAUCCCAAAAUCUCUGAAAAAUCUUCGGAGUAUGAGUCGACGUUACGACAUAAAUUUCAAUUUAUGAAAUCGAGUUGAAAUUUGCGAUUAAUUUCAAUCCGGAGCGCUUUUGGCGUGACCCAGUUUACCGGUUAGUUUUCAUGAUUUUUUUGUGCAAUUGACCAGUGAUCGAUUUAUCUCGAGUCACACUAUACAUCUUGUUGAAGAAAAAUCCCUUAUGUGUUUUGAAGCUAACAAAACAUCCUCGUCAGUUAACUCUGAAGAAUCCAAGACUCAAUCGCUUAAGUCUGAAGAGUUCAAGACCUAGGUGUUUUAGUCUGAAAAUCUCUAGACUCUUCUAUCAACCCCAGAAGUGUAGACUUUGAUUUUCUCGAUUCAAUCAAGAUUAAUUUGAGAGAAAAGUUUUCUUGUUUACAGCUUGAGACCUUUUGCACUGAUUCGACAAUCGCCUAUCCUGAAUUGAUGGCCUACUUCUAUUCAAAUCUAUCAUUUUUAGAUGCGAAUAGACUUUCAUUUACUUUCAAGGAUAGAGAAUAUGUUGUGGACGUCGACACUCUUGCUGCCAUUCAAUACUAGUGAUGUUAGUCGGUCUGGUGCAGAUGCAGAGGAUGUCUAUGCAUCACACUUUCCAGAGGUUGAGGUAUCUUCUCCCACAGAAGGUCAAAGGGCUGAAAAUGAACCCCCUAGCUUCUAGACUUAAAGAACGGAGUCUGCAGGUCCAAGCACUGCAAAUGUCCAUUCAGCCGAUUUUUCAAAGCUGUUAGAUAUUAUGAUGGAUCUUAAGAAGCAGGUAUAUGGGAUGGAUUAUGAGUUGCGGGAUUUGAAGCAAGCACUCUUGGCUACUUCCGUUUCUAUGCAGAACCAGAUUAAUGCCCUUAAACUUCAAGUUGAAUCAAAUGUGAAGGGUGCUGAUUUGGAAUCAUUAAAGGAAGGAUUUGCUAGCCUCGAGAAGACAGUUAACUCGCUGGGUGAAUAUCAGCUUGUUCGUAUCCCCAAACAGCCUUGACUUUUAUCAUCUUUUUCAUUGAUUCCUCUGCCUCCUUUUGAUGUGACAAAAAAGGGGGGAGAGUGCUGCAGAUUUGAUCUUCUCAUUCGUUUUUGGAUUUAUGACUUAUUUUGUUUUGGACAUUUGGUUUGGAUCUUUCAUGUUUUAUUUUGUUAAGACUUUGGACUGGUGGCGCGUUUGAACUAAUGCUUUUAAUGAUUGGGUUUGGACUAGUGAACUUGCAGGUUUAUUUUAUACUUGUGAGGAUAAUUAUUUUCUAGACUAACAUUUUUUUGUGGUUGUAGAAGUAAUAUAAAUUAUUCCCCAAAUUAUGUAUAAGUUUUCUUUGCAGGUCAAAAGUUUUUCAAAUUUGCCGAGAUAUUUUGUCACCAUAAAAAAUGGGGAGAUUGUUGAAAAAAAAUCCCUUAAGUGUUUUGAAGCUAACAAAACAUCAUCGUCAGUUAAGUCUGAAGAAUCCAAGACUCAAUCGCUUAAGUAUGAAGAGUUCAAGACCCAGGUAUUUCAGUCUGAAGAUCUCUAAAUUCUUCUAUCAAAGUCUGAAGACUGUUAGACUCAAUUUUACGAGUCUGCCGAAGUUGACAGCAUUUUAAUCCAACGGUUUUGGAAUUCAAAGAUUGGAUAAUAUCUUCCUUGAUUCGUUCUAUUUAGUGGAAGAUCUCUGGCUGAAACUAAGCUCGAAGAUUUUGGAUUUAUCUCGAUUAAUCCGUUGAAGAACAAGCAAGAUUUGGAAGGUUCUACUUAUGGAAACUCAAGAUCCUAAUUGUAUGGGCGAAUAGGAUUAACAAGCUAUCUUCCACAUAUAUUUGACAGCUUGAAGAUCACCUUAAUUGAUUCAUUCCAAUGGGUAGAUUGGAUGAACUCGUUUGGAAGGUCUUAACGUCUAUGAAGGCAUGAAGGAGUAUUUAAAGUAGAGUCAUUGUUGUUCGAAGGGAGUGCGCUGAUAGAAAAUUUCGAAGUCUGAACCUCUGAAACUCCUUGUUCUCAAAUUUCUUGAGCUAUAGUUGUGUACAAAGGAGAGAUAUAUACAGUGAGGAUUUGUGUGAGCAAUAGCCAAGACUUUCUACUAAAGAAGUCUAGAUCAUAAGCUGUACAAAUCUCAUUUGCUACAUAGUGAAUUUAUCCAAUGGACUGUCAGCGUGGAGAGUGGAUGUAGGCUUGAACUAAGCCAAACCACUAUAAACUUCGGUGUCCAAAUCUUCUUACCUUAAUCUCUUUAUUUUAUUGUUGCAUGUUUUAAAACUGCUUAAGUGUUUAGUUUCAAAUCUUUCACUCUGAUUUUAUUUCAAGUCGUGUGAUUUGGGUUAAAUGUUUCAAAAGAAAAUUAUAAACACUUAUUCACCCCCCUAAGGUGUACUUACUAGCCUUUAUCACAUCUUCGACACAUUAGCGACUCUCGAUUGUCAUGAAAAUCUCAAGGUUUCAAUUACAGGCAUCGGGUACCAAAACAACAGAAAAUCAAUUUCGUGUCGAUCGAUGAGAAUUUUGAAAUUAAGUGGAAUCACCCAUAUUUUGAUCACAUAUCUUAGUCGAAUCGACCUAUUUCUGAUCUUUAAUCGAUCUCUGACGGUGCCAUAAUGACCCUUGCAGAUCAACACGGUCAAGCAGUCGAUUCCUGGUCGAAUUAUCAAGUUCAAUUGUGUGACAUUCAAAAUUUUCAACCUGUUUUUUGUGGAGUUAAUCGGGUAUUUCAUUGACACGUGUUGACUGUUGACACCCGAAAUUUUCGUCGACAUUUUAAUCAUCCAUUUUGCAAAAAUAUAAAAAAUAAAGAGCCAAAAAUAAAUAAAUAAAUUAAUAAAAAGAAAACAAAAAAGAGAAAAAAAGAAAACAAAAAGAAAACAAAAGAAAACAAAAAGAAAAAAAUGAAAUGAAAUGAAAAGAGAAAAAAAAGAAAUAAGAAAAACGAAAAAGAAAAAGGAGAGAAAAAGAAAAAAUAAAAGAAAGAAAAAGAAAAUAGAAACGGGGAUCGGGGGGAUUGGACGAUUUUUUUUGGCUCUCUUGGAGGUCUCUCUUUCCUGCUCUCCCGCAGGCUCUCUCUCUAGGGGGACUCUUUCUCUCUGGGGAUUUUUCUCUCUUUCCCUGGUUCUCUCUGGGGGAUCUCUCUCCUUUCUCCUUGUCCGCACCAGAAACCCUAGGCUGGAAACCCCUGAUCUCUGCCGGGAUCGGAGUUCAUGAGUAGGAGAGGAAUCGAUUCGACUCUGAGAAGAACCGGCAACAGUGACGAAACACCGCACGCUCUGGAGUCUCGCCUUAAAGGAACCGCCGCUUAGAGAGCAGCUUCCCCUCCGAUCGAAUUGCACCGCCGUCGCCGCCGUCGCCGUCGCCGCCGUCGCCGUCGCCGUCCUCUCGGCAAAUCUCGGCUCCCGCCGGCCUCGGAUGGUCAUCUUCAUGCCCGCGUUUCCCCGAGCUCUGGUCGGAGGCGAAGGUUUUUCUCCAUUGGCGAGCGAUCGGAGAUCGAGCUUCGGCGGUCGGGGAUCGUGAGGAUUUGGUUCUUUCUCGAAGACCAGACGCUUGCUCGCUCAAUCGGUGAUUCUCUUUCCAGAUUAGGCUCGCCAAAUCAGGUUCUCUUUCUCUCUCUUGAUUGCUCUCUGAUUUGAUUGCGAUCCGUUUUUCACUCUCGCUCUUUCUUUUUCGAUUUUGUACUUGUAUCUGUUUUUUUAGCUCCGAGGUUGCGUGCUUUCAUUAGCCUAUUCUGCCAAGUCACUGUAGCUUGCAUGUCGUUCGUGAUAAAUGCCGUGUUCGGGAUGUUCUGUUUGGCGCCAUUUGCUCCAUAACCUAGAAAUGCCCUCUACCUGUUUGAUAGAAAGCCUGACUCCAUUGCCGAUAGUUCCUAUUGCAUUCCGUUUACCAACGUCUUGAUAUUCAAUUGAAAUUGCGUUGGUUGUGUCUUUGCUGGAUUUCCUGUAUAUAGUUGAUUGAAAUGUGAACUAAUUAGAUGUAUAAGUGAUGUAUGUCCAAUGCUGUUCGUGAUUAUUUGCGUGGAUCAAAUUCUGUUCAUGUGUGAUUUUGUAUAUCAAAUGGUUCUCAUGCAUGUUACUUUGAGAUGUUGAGUCUGCCGAGGAAGAAGAGGAGACUGUUCUGUGCGUUCUUGAUAUUUUUCACGCAAUACUUGUUCACAACCAUGAUAAUCAAACUAAUGAAUUCGCAAAGAACCUGAUCUGUAGUUCUUGGUUCAUCUCCUCAUUUAGCUGUUUGGAUUUAUAUCCCACAGAGAGGGUGAAGCACCGAAUUUAUUUGAUGAUGAGUUCACUAAUUGAAGUUCUACUUCAAAAUGAUUGUGGGCGACACAUUAGGGAUGCUGUAUCUUACCUUCCCUCUGAGCCAAAUGAUUUGCAAUGAGUUGAUGAUUAUUGAUGAUGAACUUGAAGUUGAUUGAACUUGAUUUGCCUUGAUCUGCAAAUUCGAAUACCUGAUAUAUCACUUUCUGUUUUGGCUGAAAUGAGGUGUUAGAUAAGGUUUUUUGACUUCGAGCCCUUCUAGACAGAUAAAAUACACUUCUAGAGCUUCAAUUUGAUAUGUUGCACGCCCUGAACGGACGUCGUUCAGUCAUCGAAAAACACCUGCAGAAUCUAUUGAUUCUGCAGUAGUUUUAGAUUUAUUUGUUGUUCUGAUUGAUUCUCUGUUUCGAAUGACCUUUUGCGCAAAUGACCCGAUAUGAGCUGGUUGUUGUGGUUUUCUGUGUUUGAUGCUUUCAUGAGAGCUGAAGAUGGUUCGACUAGCUUUCCAACGAGCUAUAAUACACCCUGAUCCGAUAUCAUUAGCCACAUGAAAUCUUCUUUAAAAGUUAGGAAGUAAUUCUGGAAAAUUGUUGUGUUCUGCUUUGAUGUGGAAAUUCGUAUGCCUAUUUUGACUGAUAUGCUUCGGUCCUCGAAAUGAGCUGGUAGAUGAUGUUAUUAGGACUUAAUGUCUUCUAGAUAAUUGUAAUAGGCAUCUCAAGCUUUAAAAUGACAUAUUGCAUGCCUGAAUCAACCAUCAUUUGCCAUGUUUAACAUUUUUUUUCUAAUCCAUUCUGAAAUCUGGAAUUUUGCCUUGGUCAGAAAUGCAUAUUAUGUUUUUGCGUGGGCUUGGUUGUCUGUCACUUCCUAUGAUCUUUUAAGAUAGAUUUUGAGGUUGAUGAUACAAAAAAAGUAUAUCACGUGUGGAAUGGUCUUGCUCUAUUGUUCUCUUUUUUAGCAAAGUUUUGUUGUUUGAUAAUUGAUAUUAGAUAUCUACCAUCAAUCCAAUUUCUAAUAUUAAUCACUUUACUCAGUAGCUUAUUUGUAUUCUACCGAUCCAAGCUCUAUGUGUUUUUGCUUGCAAAGAUGUCCAAAGUUAUGUUGUUCUUUAGUGUCAAUUUUUCUUUGCUUGCUGUCUUUUCUUAUUUUUGACUUCCAAGCUCUUUUUGGCUUUCUUGAAGUUGUAUGUGUUUUCAUUUGUGAAUAUCAGUAUGCUAUAAUUGCUGCUCUAUUCUUGUGUAGAUUGUUUUUAUCCAAUUGAUACAUCUCUGCUCUUGAUUUUUUUUUUUUUUUAAAUAUGCAUACUGAAUCUGAAAAAAUGUUGUCUUUUCUAUGGCUAAUUGCAAGAAAUUUGUCAAGCAUGACAUUCUUAGUUCCAAGUCACUUUGCAAUGUUAAUGACUUGUGUGACUUAUUUGCAUUCUGAUUUAGGGUUAAAUGUUUACCCAAACCUUUUUCGCAUUUAACCUUAUGUCAUGUGCAAGUUUCACAUUUUUGUAUAUUGUCUAGGUGAUCUUAUGAACCUUUAAACAUGCCUUGUAUUUUGUCCUGUUUGUGACUUGAAUUUGCUAGAUUCAUGUUCAUGUCUUAUGCCUAUGUUUGUUCGUUACAAUAAUGAUUUCUAUGCGUUAUCUUAGUCAUAUAAGAUGAGGCAAGGGAUCCUUGUUUCUUAGAUUAGGUUUAGAUUAGGACGAAGAUGGAGAAGGCGUAAGGCGUAAAGAUGGUGGAGGUCGAUGUCCACUCCGACCGUUAUCAUGUAAUGCUCAUUUUUCCCGACACAUGUCUCGGGUUCCAUGCAUUGUAUAAAAUCCGACGAGUUGUGGGUUUUCUUCCUUUCCCAAUUGUUUUCUCUUUUAUACAUUUUUGGAAUUGCAUGAUUAGGUUUAACUGCUUUCCCUUAAUUGUUUACUUCACGUCUUGCGAUUUCAUUUUCAUUGUUUGUUUUCCUUUCAUUUCUUAGGAAUAGAAUAGAAUGAAAGUAAUCCACAACGCAUAAUCAUUUAGUAUAGAAUUGACGAUCCUGAAAAUAUAAAAAGAAAUGCAUGAACAUGUUAGGAAAAACACAACAUACUGAUUAGGUACCGAAAGGGUGCUAAUAACAAUAUUAGCGUAACCCAAGUCCCCGAACCUAGAUAUCUAGCUACGUAGGAAUCGAGGGAACACUCCCGACCCUCGAUUGGGUUUCUAGCCGACUCCCAAAAUGAGGCUAGUGGCGACUCCUGUAUAUUCUUAGGUUGUUAAAUACCUAGAUCGUAUAAAUAAAUCCGCUGUCACGCGGGGUACGAGCUUGGGAGAGCUCGCGAUCUCGUGAGGAGACUCUCGUGAUCAAAGUACCCCUAAAUCCGACAUUUCCCCUCUUUGGACAUUUCGAGGGGUGGCGAAAUCGGGUCGCGAUAGGUUUGACGACUCCAUUGGGGACUGGUUACUAGAUUAAGAGGACUUGAAGCCGUUUAAAAAUGGUUGUUGUGUUUUAACUAACAUGUCUUAUAUAGGAUCGCUUGCAUGUCAAAGUCGCGUGAAAAAUCAGGUUAGUCGCUAACCUCGUGUUAAAUGGUUUUGUAGGUGGGAGUUAUAAGGGGAGGCGUGCUUGUAAACCAUUUGUUUUGCAGGUGGUGUAAGGAUGUAUGAAUGUAUGUGGGUUUAUAUUGAAGUGCUGAAUGUUUAAAUUUAAAUGCAUAUUUACAAGCUUUAGCACGACACCGCACACACAACCGCGGUCUAAAACCCCGAUUGCCCAAUUUAGGACCUUAGGAGGGUUUAUGGGUGGAAUCUGCGGGUGGAUGCUCAUGGUAAUCCAUUACUUACAUAAACUCGCUCAUCCCAACCGAUAAAAUAGCACUGACCGGUGAUAGUAGCGGUGGGUAAACUAUUUUUAUCCUUUGGAAUGAGGACCUUGAGCCUUUAGCACCCUCACCUUAGGCGUCAAAACCUCACAGUUUCAUGCGACGUGAUUUGUGCCUGUCAUGUGUCUGGUGGGUAAGAUAUCGUUCCUUCUUCAUUGUGCUUAUCUUUUACUUUCCAUAUUUCAAUUAUGCAUUUUAUAUUUCAACGACGAUAUGUUUUAAUCAUGGUUUAGAUUUAGAUGGGUAAACCCGAAGUGGACGUGAUCCUUGUGCUUGGAAAUCUCAAGACUCUAUUGGUGAAUCUCGACCCAAGACAUAAAGACUACGUGGAAAAAUUCUUGAACCCCAAGGUUUUCGACAGGCUCACAUUAAGGAACAAGAAGACAAUGCCUUGAUUAAUGAAGAAUGCUUGGCCCAUGAUAACAAGUGUUUCCGGGCGAUCCCACCUAGUCCUUAGGUUUUCAUUUCAUGCACUUUUUUUUAAAAGGGAUUUCAUUUGUGUUUCCCUCUUUUCUAUCGAGGUUUCCCUGUAUUCAUUUUUCAUAUCCUUGUAAAAUCGAACUACUUUGUAAGCUUCAAGAAAGCAAGAUUAUGUUUCCCUUGUAAUUGUUCAAUGAAAUGAAUAAAAUUCUUGAACAUUUUCAUGUAAUUUUUAGAAAAGGGGCAUCCUGAUUAAAUACUUGUCGUCAUUCCUUUUCAAUUGUAUAAUUUCUUUUGAGGAAAUUUUGAUAAGAGGAUGUUAUAUGAUAUUGUGAUCAUAUACACUUCUUAUCAUUAUUUCAUCUCAAGAAAAUAUAAAAUUGACUAGGAUUUGUACUUUAAUGGUUUCUCUUGACUGGUACUAAUUCAAGUCAUCUUCUUUUAUAGGAGGUUUUGAAAAACGGCUAAAGAAAGAUUUGUUAUACGAACUCGCUGCCAAACACAGAUGAAAAACGAAGAUACCCGAGCCCGUGUCAUUAAUAUGGAGAAUCAAAUGGUGCAUAUGAUGGCGUUGUUGGCUGACCUAUCCAACCAAGUCAAGAACUUAACGUCUAUAGUUUUUGCUUCUCCUACCAUGAAUCUUCCUACCGCUCAUACACCUACCAUGGAGAUAGGGGGUUCUUCUCGAAACUUUGAGCGCAAAAGAAAAGCUCCUCAAAGGCAAUUCACUCCAUUGCCUAGACCAAUGUCCCAACUACUUCCAAUGCUGAUCGAAAAUCAUCUUGUGGCAAAAGAGAUCCCGAGAGAUAAUUCGCCAAAGUUUGUCGGGUUCAACCUUAAUAAGAUGUGUGAUUAUCAUAUGGGAGAGAGAGGUCAUCAUGUGGACAACUGUCUGGUGCUUCGUUCUAAGGUCCAAAAUUUGCUGGAUAAAAAGCUGCUCAUCUUUAAAGACUUAGCGCCGAAUGUCCAACAAAAUCCCCUUCCAAAGCAUUCUGAAGAGGUCAACAUGAUUUAUGGGGAUGACGACAAAGAUAUACCCCUGAUAGAAAUCCAAAAGAUGGAACAAAUCACGCCAUUUGCUGAUAGCCAGUUGAAAGACAACAUCACUCGUGAUAACGAAGACCUUACUUCAAUUUUGUCGAAAGAUAAAGAGGUCUACUCCUAUGACGGGGAUGAGGAUGAAUACAAAACUUCUCAUUUGGAUAGUGAGUUCAUAAAGAAAGCUUGCGAAAGAGGUGAAGUGGUGGACACCUGGGGACAACCAAGAGGGAAAUACGACUUUAUGGUCAAGUAUAUUCCUCUUCCAAGUUAUUUUCAAAAUCCCGAAGACAUUGUCCCUAGUGGAUGGGGAAAUGAAUUCGAGGAUGAAUUCAUGGCUAUGAUUGAGCCUGUUGUGAUUGAUUUGACCAAAGAGAAAACCUCAUGUGGGAGUGAUACAACUAAUAAAGGUGUCAUUGAAAUCGGCUCAUCGAUUGACAAUUUUGGAACCAUGAAGAUCUCAAGCGCGGGUUUUGGACCUAUUGUGAUUGAAUUGCCACUAGAAGUUGGUGAGUGUUCCAACACUAAGAUGACUCCCACUUAUGACACUAAGGCGGUCCCUUGGAAUUAUAAUACAAAUGAAAUCGACGCUGUCACCCGAUCGGGUCGAAUCUACUCACCACGUGAAGGUGAGGAAAAGAAGGCCGUAACUGAUGAGGAAGCUGAAUAACUCCUCAAAACACUCAAGACAAGUGAAGCUGAAGUGAUUGACCAAUUGCGCAAGAUGCCUACGCAGAUUUCUCUAUUGGAGCUUUUCAAGACCUCUGAAAAACAUAGAAAUGCUCUCCUCAAAAUUUAAAAUGAAGUUCAUGUACCUGAGGCCAUUGGAGAAGUACAGUUGGAGGAGUUUGUGGGUGCAAUACUUCUAAGAGAUCAAAUUACUUUCUCUGAGAGAGACCUCCCUUCUGAGGGCCAAGCACACACUAAGGUGUUAUAUGUGUCCGCUCAACAUUUUGAGACAAAGAUUUCGAAGGUCCUGAUCGAUAAUGGCUCUGCCUUGAACAUUUGCCCUUUAUCCACCCUUCAUAAAUUGGGGAUAGGAAUGGAAAAUGUCUCUUCUCCAACAAUUCCUGUUCGAGCCUUUGAUGGGAUGAAGAGAGAAACAAUAGGAGAAAUCAAUUUAUCACUGACGAUUGGCCCUAUUACCAUGACUAAAAAAUUUCAAGUACUAGAUAUCCCAAGCAAUUUUAGCUUGCUAUUGGGACGACCUUGGAUCCAUGCUGUAGGGAUCAUUCCUUCUAGUCUUCAUCAGAUGAUGAAACUGCUCAUCGAUGGAAAGAUUGUGACCAUCCGACGUGAAAGAGAUGUGGAGACUUUCCAUAACACGGCCAUACCUUUCAUUGAGCCUGAUGUCAAGGGGGAAUCGAGCUAUCACUUGUUUGAGAUGGUGUUUGUCACUCAUGUGCCUGUUGGGUCGAUUAUUAGGAAGCCUCGAUUCUUAAAAGCCUCCCUGAUGGCAAGUAGAGAACCGCUCAAGAACGGUUUUGCUAUGGGGAAAGGUUUGGGUAAGUUCGCCCAAGGCAUUAUAAAUCCUAUUAAGGUGGUCAAAAUCAACAAGCGUGAAGGCCUGGGUUAUCAAGGCAACCGUAAGGAUCAAGGUAAUUGCAAAGGCCCAAACAUCAAAGGUAAAAGCUACCAACGUCUCUUGCUUCCACCUUUGAAAUAUUUCUUUCCUGGACCACCGAAGCUCUUGCAAGAAGGAGAGGCCAAUGUCUAUCACUUUGCUGAUUUGUUUGAAGAUGGUCUAGUUGGCACUAUGGGUAAAGAUGAAGAGCCUACAAUUCCCACUGUGUGAGGGAUGUUUCUAGUUCUUGCAUUUAAUUUUUAGUUGUAUUCGAUUCAUUUCUCCCCUGCAAGGGAAUUCUAUUCAUUUCUCCCCUGCGAGGGAAUUUCAUUCGUUUCUCCCCUGUGAGGGAAUUCCGUUCAUUUCAUUCGUUUGUGCUUGUAAUAAUCUGGAUCAUAAACUUUCUAGAUCCAAGAUGAUAUACAUUGUAAUGCAAUUUUUGCAUAUCAAUAAUAUUCAUGUUUUGUUAAUAGACGUGUGAGGCCCAAAUCAGUCUUAUGAUGAUGCUUUGAGGCCUGAGCCUUCACACGAUCUAUCGUUUCAAAAUGUUUUAUUGGAACGAUGACGUCCAAUGACAUGAGGAUUAGUUCCCAAUAAAUUUUUCAAAAAACAACUUGAAUUUGAAAACAAAUUUUUCAUGUCAUUUACAUUCAUUACAUUCAUUCAUAUGUAUAUAUACUAACCAUUUUUCGAUUGCAUCCCAAGCAUGACAUUUCACAUCAUGAUAGUCAUUUGCAUGGCUUGGAUUCGCAUUCAAAAGACUUUGACGAACCCGAUUAUUCCAACUCAGAGAAUGAAGAUGAUCCUCGAGGUAUUGAAAAAGAAUAGCUCAGACAUGAAAGUCCAAACCUCCUAUCGCCAAACAGCCAGUCACUCUAAAUUUAGGAGAUUCAGAUAACCCUAAAGAAACCAAGAUUGGGGCAGGUCUCUCUCAAGCGGAUGCUAAUGGAUUAAUUGGGCUCUUGAAAGAAAUAUAUGGAGAGUGUGGCACUCAUAUGAACGGUCAUCUCUUAGCUAGAAAAAUAUUGAGGCUUAGUUACUAUUGGUUGAUCAUGGAAGCCGAUUGUAUUUAGCAUGUGAGGUUCUGUCAUCAAUGCCAAGUCUAUGGAGACAAAAUCAAUGCUCCUCCUAAUGAGCUACAUCAAAUGUCUGAGUCCUGGCCUUUUUCAAUGUGGGGCAUCGACAUCAUUGGACCAAUUAAUCCUCAAGCAUCGAAUGGACAUCGUUUUAUCUUAGUAGCAAUUGAUUACUUCACCAAAUGGAUUGAAGCCAAUUCUUAUGCCCAUGUUACUGCAAAGAGUGUGGAAAAAUUCAUCCGUCGUGAUAUCAUCGCUCGAUAUGGAGUUCCUGAAGUGAUCAUCACGGAUAAUGGAUCAAACUUGAACAAUAAAGUGGUGGAUGAUUUACUUGGAGAAUUCCACAUUCGCCAUUUGAAGUCUUCUCCUUAUCGCCCACAAAUGAAUGGAGCUGUGGAAGCGGCAAAUAAGAAUAUCAAGAAGAUUUUAGCCAAAACAGCAGAAAAUUAUCGUGAUUGGCAUGAUCGGUUGCUAUAUGCUUUGUUUGCUUAUCGAACUUCAAUUCGUACUUCGACUGGGGCAACACCAUUCUCAUUGGUUUAUGGAAUGGAAGCUGUAUUACCUGUGGAAGUGGAAAUUCCUUCACUGAGGAUACUUUCUCAAAUCAAGCUCUCUGAAGCUGAAUGGGUUCAGCAAAGAUUUGAACAACUCAAUAUGAUUAAUGAAAAGAGGGUGAAAGCCUUAUGCCAUGGACAAAGCUAUCAGAAGAGAGUAGCUAGGUCAUUUAACCGCAAGGUUAGACCAAGGCAUUUCGAGAUUAACGAUAUUGUCUUGAGGAAGGUUUUACCUAUCAUUUCAGAUCCUCGUGGGAAGUUUACUCCAAACUAUGAAGGUCCAUAUAUUGUAAAGAAAAUGCUACCUGGUGGAGCACUAAUCCUUGUAGAAAUGGAUGGUCAUGAAUUGCCAAGACCUGUAAAUGUUGAUGCUGUCAAGAAGUAUUAUCCAUGAAUAAAGUGAAAAGCCUUUGAGCCAUUUUUGGAUGUUUGCAUCAUGCAUUUUCAUGCAUACAUAUUGCAUCUACAUGUUUGUUAAUUUUGCAGGAUCUCUGAUGAAGAUUCUACCUAUCCGCAAGAGGUUCAUCUCAAGAGUGCAAAACUUUCAAAAGUGUCAAUUCUUCUUUAGAACUUAGAAGUGACCUUAUCCUUUAGAAUGCUAGAGGAGUCGGUUAGAAUUCUAAAAGUACAAUUAGAACUCUAGAAAUGAACCCAUGUGCUAAGCAAAGCCUGUUCUAUCUACAAAUUUUGUCAAACUUUACUUCCAAAAAUCUUCCCGGUAGGGUCAAGGAAACAUGUCAUCUCAGACAAAAUUUCAUUAUAUUUUCAUUUCCCCAGGGAGUUGAAUUUAACUAAAAUAUGCUUUGGAAAACCUGAAAAGGAUUGUAAAAUAUGCCAGGUGGUAGUGCCUAAAAUGAUGAGAGGCAACCCUUUUACCAAACACGUCCUCAUACACUCUUUGAAAGAGUAGAGUGGAAAGAACCACGUCUUAGGGCAUAUGAUUCAUUCACAGUGAAUACAUGAUUUGAGAUGAUCAAGGCAUUUUCAUUUCUCAAUCCCAAACACUAUUGAUAUCCCUUGCAAGCCACUUUGAGCCAAAUAGGGAGCAUUUCAAAAUAACCAUGUCAAGAACAACCCCACAUUGGGCAAAAUAGGAGGUCUUGGUUGAAAAUCAUAGAGCAAAAGAUUAAGAAAGAUUUUAUUGCUUUCACUUGCAUCAAUCUUCUUGUGCUGGCUUUAGGUGAUUUCUUAUCGAAACUUGAAGCAUCCCGAAGUGAUGAAGAGCAUUCCGUUCACUACCACAAACACAAUUAUCCAUUACUUAGCCAAUUUGAGCUUAUGCAAUUCUUUCAUAACCCCAGGUGAUGAUUAUCUCCCCACACUAGGGCAAGGCACAUGAUUUACCAACAAAAUUGAGAAUAUUGGUAAUGUUUGUAAAUGCCACUCGAGAGUCCUAGAUACUCAAAAGAGAAUGAAAACUAGGGGGCAUGAAAAAGCAGUGUGCCUGGUAAAAACAAGGCCAAUGCCCAUGAAAAAAAAAUGCAAAGAAAAGCAAGAAUGUAAAAAAGAGCGAAAUCCAUGAUCAUGCAAAAGAUCAUUUUUCGAAAAACAAAAGAAAUAUCUUGCAAGAAAAAACAUGUAUUGCAAGCAAUAUCAUUAGAACAAAGAGCGAAGCUCUCAUGUCUCAAGACAAAUUACCCAAAGGACUCUCGAGAUAGGUUAAAUUUCAAGAAUCAAAUUUUGAAAACUCGUGUGAUGGUAAUGAUGCCAAGAUAAUCACUCACUUUUUAACCCUUUGAUAUCUGAAAGUUUUUCAAGCCUUUCUAAGCCUCACCCGAACCAACACUACAACCCUUAUCCGAAGUCUCUUCCGAUUGGGAUGGUUCGAGUUGAAAUGAGAAUAUCACAUAGGAGCUACCGCUAGAAGGAGUGGAAGCAAUCCUAUCUUAUCUUAUCUUCAAGGUUCUUGACUUGUAAACCCGAUGAAGAUAUUGAUUGAAUAUUCAUUUCUUGGCCUCAAAGUGCAUACCCUUUGUGUAAGCCCAUGACCAAGCCAUCAUUACGGUCCAUUUAAAAGACCUUUUGAUCAGUGGAUUGUAUUCACUGUGAACGUUUCCAAAAAUCUUAGACAUAGGUUGAGUGAGAUUUCUCCAGUGAGAUUUAAACAAUUUUCCCAUAUCAAUGGUUGGGAAUAAAAGCCCUUUUUGAGAGCUAGUGUGAAAGACCUAUUUUGAUUAGGAUAUUUCCACCUAGCAUAUUUGAUUUAACCCUUAGAUGGUUAAUCAGAUCCCAUUUUGUUAAAAUCUUCUCUGGAAGGAUUUGACAAUCAAUAUUAUUUUGCAAGAUUGUUUCUCCAGCAAUUGAGAAAAUCAUACCCGGUUGAAACCCGUUAGUAUAUGGUGAGACUAUCAUACCUAGUCAAAACCUGUUUGUAUACGGUGAGACUAUCAUACCCAGUCGAAACCUAUUUGUAUAUGGUGAGACCUUCCUCUCAGUCGAAACCCGUUUGUAUACGGUGAGACUAUCAUACCCGUUCGAAACCCGUUCAUAUACGGUGAAACUUUCCUCUCAGUUGAAACCCGUUUGUAUACGGUGAAACUAUCAUACUCGGUCGAAACUCGUUCGUAUACGGUGAGACCUUCCUCUUAGUCGAAACCCGUUUGUAUACGGUGAGACUAUCAUACUCGGUCGAAACCCGUUCAUAUACGGUGAGACCUUUUUCUCGGUCAAAGCCCAUUAUUACACGGUAAGAUCCUUUUCCCAGUUUAAAACACACAGUUCUAGGUCAACUUAAAACCUUGUCCUCAAGUUCUAGGUCAACUUAAAACCUUGUCCCCAAGUUCUAGGUCAACUUAAAACCUUAACCCCAAGUUCUAGGUCAACUUAAAACCUUAUCCCCAAGUUCUAGGUCAACUUAAAACCUUGUCCCCAAGUUCUAGGUUAUCUUUAAACCUUGUCAUUAGGUUCGUGGGUCCAUCCUUAAACCACACGGUUCCAAGUCAUCCUUAAACCUUGUCUCUUAGGUUCGUUGGUCCAUCCUUAAACCACUAGGUUCGUGGAUCCAUCAUUGUCUCUUAGGUUCGUGGGUUCAUCCUUAAACCGCACGUUUCCAAAUCAUCCUUAAACCUUGUCUUUUAGAGAGAGAGCGAGAGACAGAAUGAAUAAAUCUCAACAAGAGUUUAGAUACCCCAAUGAGCAAAGGUAAGUAUCAGGUAUGUCCUUAAUCGACUAUCAUUGCUUUUGUCAUUCUCUAUUUUUCAAAGUUGGGUCGACUAAAAAUUGCAGGUAUCAAUUUUGUUUUUGAGUGGAACCUCUUCGAACUCUCACCCAAAGAGGGGCAGCUGUUGACACUCGAAAUUUUCGUUGACAUUUUAAUCAUCCAUUUUGCAAAAAUAUAAAAAAUAAAGACCUAAAAAUAAAUAACUAAAUUAAUAAAAAGAAAACAAAAAAAGAGAAAAAAGAAAAAAAAAGAAAACAAAAGAAAACAAAAAGAAAAAAAAAUGAAAUGAAAUGAAAAGAGAAAAAAAAGAAAUAAGGAAAACGAAAAAGAAAAAGGAGAGAAAAAGAAAAAAUAAAAGAAAGAAAAAAAAUAAUAGAAAAGGGGAUCGGGGGGAUUGGACGAUUUUUUUUUGCUCUCUUGGAGGUCUCUCUUUCCCGCUCUCCCGCAAGCUCUCUCUCUAGGGGGGCUCUUUCUCUCUGGGGAUUUUUCUCUCUUUCCCUGGUUCUCUCUGGGGGAUCUCUCUCCUUUCUCCUUGUCCGCACCAGAAACCCUAGGCCGAAAACCCCCGAUCUCUGCCGGGAUCGGAGUUCAUGAGUAGGAGAGGAAUCGAUUUGACUCCGAGAAGAACCGACGACAAUGACGAAACACCGCACGCUCCGGAGUCUCGCCUUAAAGGAACCGCCGCUUAGAGAGCAGCUUCCCCUCCGAUCGAAUCGCGCUGCCGUCGCCGCCUUCGCCGUCGCUGUCCUCUCGGCGAAUCUCGGCUCCCGCCGGCCUCGGAUGGUCAUCUUCAUGCCUACGUUUCCCCGAGCUCUGGUCGGAGGCGAAGGUUUUUCUCCAUUGGCGGGCGAUCGGAGAUCGAGCGUCGGCGGUCGGGGAUCGUGAGGAUUUGGUUCUUUCUCGAAGACCGGAUGCUUGCUCACUCGAUCGGUGAUUCUCUUUCUGGAUUAGGCUCGCUAGAUCAGGUUCUCUUGCUCUCUCUUGAUUGCUCUCUGAUUUGAUUGCGAUCCGUUUUUCACUCUUGCUCUUUCUUUUUUGAUUUUGUACUUGUAUUUGUUUUUUUAGCUCCGAGGUUGCGUGCUUUCAUUAGCCUAUUCUGCCAAGUCAUUGUAGCUUGCAUGUCGUUCGUGAUAAAUGCUGUGUUCGGGAUGUUCUGUUUGGCGCCAUUUGCUCCAUAACCUGGAAAUGCCCUCUACCUGUUUGAUAGAAAGCCUGACUCCAUUGCCGAUAGUUCCUAUUGCAUUCCGUUUACCAACGUCUUGAUAUUCAAUUGAAAUUGCGUUGGUUGUGUCUUUGCUGGAUUUCCUGUAUAUAGUUGAUUGAAAUGUGAACUAAUUAGAUGUAUAAGUGAUGUAUGUCGAAUGUUGUUCAUGAUUGUUUGCGUGGAUCAAAUUAUGUUCAUGUGUGAUUUUGUAUAUCAAAUGGUUCUUCUGCAUGUUACUUUGAGAUGUUGAGUCUGCCGAGGAAGAAGAGGAGACUGUUCUGUGCGUUCUUGAUAUUUUUCACGCAAUACUUGUUCACAACCAUGAUAAUCGAACUAAUGAAUUUGCAAAGAACCUGAUCUAUAGUUCUUGGUUCAUCUCCUCAUUUAGCUGUUUGGAUUUAUAUCCCACAGAGAGGGUGAAGCACCGAAUUUAUUUGAUGAUGAGUUCACUAAUUGAAGUUCUACUUCAAAAUGAUUGUGGGCGACACAUUAGGGAUGCUGUAUCAUACCUUCCCUUUGAGCCAAAUGAUUUGCAAUGAGUUGAUGAUUAUUGAUGAUGAACUUGAAGUUGAUUGUACUUGAUUUGCCUUGAUCUGCAAAUUCAUAUACCUGAUAUAUCACUUUCUAUUUUGGCUGAAACGAGGUGUUAGAUAAGGUUUUUUGACUUCAAGCCCUUAUAGACAGAUAAAAUACACUUCUAGAGCUUCAAUUUGAUAUGUUGCACGCCCUGAACGGACGUCGUUCAGUCAUCGAAAAACACCUACACAAACUGUUGAUUCUGCGGUAGUUUUAGAUUUAUUUGCUGUUAUGAUUGAUUCUCUGUUUCGGAUGACCUUUUGCGCAAAUGACCUGAUAUGAGCUGGUUGCUGUGGUUUUCUGUGUUUGAUGCUUUCAUGAGAGCUGAAGAUGGUUCGACUAGCUUUCCAACGAGCUAUAAUGCACCCUGAUCCGAUAUCAUUAGCCACAUGAAAUCUUCUUUAAAAGUUAGGAAGUAAUUCUGGAAAAUUGUUGUGUUCUGCUUUGAUGUGGAAAUUCGUAUGCCUAUUUUGACUGAUAUGCUUUGGUCCUCGAAAUGAGCUGGUAGAUGGUGUUAUUAGGACUUAAUUUCUUCUAGAUAAUUGUAAUAGGCAUCUCAAGCUUUAAAAUAACAUAUUGUAUGCCUAAAUCAACCAUCAUUUGCCAUGUUUAACAUUUUUUUUUCUAAUCCAUUCUGAAAUAUGGAAUUUUGCCUUGGUCAGAAAUGCAUAUUCUGUUUUUGUGUGGGCUUGGUUGUUUGUCACUUUCCUAUGAUCUUUUAAGCAUAGAUUUUGAGGUUGAUGAUACAAAAAAAGUAUAUCACGUGUGGAAUGGUCUUGCUCUAUUGUUCUCUUCUUUAGCAAAGUUUUGUUGUUUGAUAAUUGAUAUUAGAUAUCCACCAUCAAUCCAAUUUCUAACACUAAUCACUUUACCCAGUAGCUUAUUUGUAUUCUACCGAUCCAAGCUCUAUGUGCUUUUGUUUGUAAAGAUGUCCAGAGUUAUGUUGUUCUUUAGUGUCAAAUUUUCUUUGCUUGCUGUCUUUUCUUAUUUUUGACUUCCAAGCUCCUUUUGGCUUUCUUGAAAUUGUAUGUGUUUUCAUGAUACACUCCAUUUGUGAAUAUCAGUAUGCUAUAAUUGCUGCUCUAUUCUUGUGUAGAUUAUUUUUAGCCAAUUGAUACAUCUCUGCUCUUGAAUUUUUUUAAGAAAAAAUAUGCAUACUGAAUCUGAAAAAAUGUUGUCUUUUUUAUGGCUAAUUGCAAUAGAAAUUUGUCAAGCAUGACAUUCUUAGUUCCAAGUCACUUUGCAAUGUUAAUGACUUGUGUGACUUAUUUGCAUUCUGAUUUAGGGUUAAAUGUUUAUCUAAACCUUUUUCGCAUUCAACCUUAUGUCAUGUGCAAGUUUCACAUUUUUUUUAUAUUGUCUAGGUGAUCUUACGAACCUUUAAACAUGCCUUGUAUUUUGUCCUGUUUGUGACUUGAAUUUGCUAGAUUCAUGUUCAUGUCUGAAGCCUAUGUCUGUUCGUUAUAAUAAUGAUUUCUAUACGUUGUCUUAGUCAUAUAAGAUGAGGCAAGGGAUCCUUGUUUCUUAGAUUAGGUUUAGCUUAGGACGAAGAUGGAGAAGGCGUAAGGCGUAAAGAUGGUGGAGGUCAAUGUCCACUCCAACCGUUAUCAUGUAAUGCUCAUUUUUCCCGACACAUGUCUCGGGUUCCAUGCAUUGUAUAAAACCUGACGAGUUGCGGGUUUUCUUCAUUUCCCAAUUGUUUUCUCUUUUAUACAUUUUUAGAAUUGCAUGAUUAGGUUUAACUGCUUUCCCUUGAUUGGUUACUUCAUGUCUUGCGAUUUAAUUUUCAUUGUUUGUUUUCCUUUCAUUUUUUAGGAAUAGAAUAGAAUGAAAGUAAUCCACCAUGCAUAAUCAUUUAGUAUAGAAUUGACGAUCCUGAAAAUAUAAAAAGAAAUGCAUGAACAUGUUAGGAAAAACACAACAUACUGUUUAGGUACCGAAAGGGCGCUAAUAGCAAUAUUAGCGUAACCCAAGUUCCCGAACCUAGAUAAUCUGGCUAUGUAGGAAUCGAGGGAACACUCCCGACCCUCGAUUGGGUUUCUAGCCGACUCCCAAAAUGAGGUUAGCGGCGACUCCUGUAUAUUCUUAGGUUAUUAAAUACCUAGAUCGUAUAAAUAAAUCCGCUAUCGCGCGGGGUACAAGCUUGGGAGAGCUCGCGAUCUCGUGAGGAGACUCUCAUGAUCAAAGUACCUCUAAAUCCGACAUUUCCCCUCUUUGGACAUUUCAAGGGGCGGCGAAAUCGGGUCGCGACAUUGACAACUAGAUUUUUGCCCAAAAAUCAUUUCCAAAAAAUGAGAACUUGUUUUUCCACAAAAAUAUUUCAUGUCAAAUUAUUGCAUAUAGAUUAUCCAAGAGUUUAGUAUAGUUUUUAUAAAUGGAAGAUGUUUUUCCUUUAAGAAAAAAUUAAGUAAAAAAAUUAAAAUCUUUAAAAAAAGAAAAAAAAAAGGAAGAGCAAGUUGGGGCCAAUGAUCUAAAUGUGACUAGCCAAGCCCAGGAGGUCAAAUUGGAAUUCAAAUGGCAAGUUGGGGCCAAAAUGCAAUUUUCAAAAGUAGAGAGAUCAAUUCGCAAAUUUUGCAAAAUUUCGCCCGAACCCUUAAAUCAUCAUCUUGGUCACCAAUUAAGUUGAAAUUGAACUUGGGCUAGGUCGAAUCAAUCAAAUUGGGCCAAAAGGAUCAAAUUUGCCUGGAAUUGGGUAUUUUUGGAUAAGAAAAUGGCUAACUUUGAGGGACUUUCUUGCAAAAUUGGGUGGGCAGAAUUGUGAAAGCUAGUCAAGAUUUUAAACUAAUAUACAUGAGCUUGCUAAUUGAUAAAAAAACUACAUGCAAAUUGAGGGAUUAAAGCAUUCAAACAAGCUACCAAAACUCAGCCCACGAUUAAGUUUUAAUUCGGACAUGCUAAGUAGGCAUAUUAGUGGCCCCACCAUAUCCCACUCAGCCACCCAUUUAGCUCGAUCUUUGCACGUGAUGGAAGACCAUUAUUGGUACUGCAAGUGGACGGAAAUUGGCCAGGGAUAAGCUGUUGGAAGCACGGGAAAAUCGCAACAAAGUCCGCAAACUCAACAGCUGCAGAAGUUAAAAAAAAUUGGCUAAGUCAGAAGAGUAGGUGAACCAGCUCAGUUGACAGACUUAGUAGGUGGACAAAAGACUGACAAAAAAUCUCUUAAUUCAGGGGGGAAGAUCACAAAAGAAAGCUCUUUCAGGGGAUGAGAGGGAGGAGACGAGAGAGGGAGGAGAGAGCUCAAAAUCGUUUCCCAAAAACACCUCCGAAAGCAACUCCAGAAAAAAAAAAAAGACCCAGAAAUUCUAGACCAACCCUCAGAGAGAAAAUAUAAUUUUCACACACUUGCAGCCAAAAUUAGCUAAAACCCUCAACUAGAGAGUGAAACUUCACUCAAAGAUCUUUCCAUCCAUAGGUUGCAUGUCCCAAAUGGAGAUUGGGAAGGUCUCUUAAAGCCCCCCGAAAUAGUGCCCUACUGGCGGGCCAAGAAAGUCCGAAAAUUUUUCUAAGUGUUGAGCCUAGUUGGUUACGAGUGCGGGAAAGCGAGUGUUUUUGAGAAAAUUAAGAGAUAAAUGAGGAUGGCCAUGACCGAAAACCCAAACUAGAAUACAUAUGGCUUGGGUUGGUUUUGAUUUGGCCAUCAAAAGAGGUUCGGAAGUCUAAUUUUGGAAGUCAACGAAAACCUUCGUUGUCACUUUUUUCUUCUGCAGAUCUCAUUUCUAGUUUGAAGGAGCCAACUUCCACGUGCCACCCAAGAAUAAUUUCUUGGCUUCCUCGGCCAAGAAUCACUUGAAAAAGAAACUAGGAAGCAAGAUAAGUAUACUAGAUGUUUUUCUGUUCGAUUUUGAACGUGUUUGGAUAGUGAAAAAUCAAGAGAAAAACCAGCGCGGAAAACUAAUUUUUGAGACUGAAAAUUUUCUAAGUGUUUGAAGCCUCUUCAAGAGCCAUAUAUGUUUGAUUUGCUAUACCCCAUUUUCAUGCAUUACUUGUCUUUGUGAUUUUGAUUAAUGUUAUAUGGGAGUACAAAUGAUGCAUAGAUCAGCUUGGUUUGGUCUUUAAACCCCCUGGGUAAACCGUGAAAUCGUCCACAACUUGAGCCAAAACCAAGCCCCUCCAUAUUGAUCCAUGGCUGGUCAGUGUGGACCUUGCGUAUAUGCUUCUUGAAGAGGUCGUUUCGAUGUGUUCGGUUCAUUGUUUUCUAUAAUUUUUGUUAUAUUUGAAAGCCCAUGUUACCUACUUUCACUCGAAUUAAGUAAUGUUUCCCUUAGAUCCUGCAUGUGAUAAUUGUCGAGGCUUGAAUAUGGGCAUGUAACCUGUUUGCUUGACUUGGGUUCAAACCCAGAUUUGCAAAAUCAGCUCGAACCCGCAUAUUUGAUGACAACUUCAGCUUGGUUUUCAUGUGUUUUAGGCUAUGAUUUUUAUAUAAUCUUACUCUUUGCAUGUGGUAGUAUAAUCUUGAUAUUUUAGUUCCACAUAAGAUUGCUCAUGAGUUGAGAUUGAAGGCCGUAAACAUGGCCCAAAGAAGCUGGUUUAGGGUAGUUUGAUGCACGCCAAAUGUUCGACAAAAUGUGCAAACCAAGUUUCGAUCUUAAAACGGUCGAUUUAAGCUUGAUUAUUGUGAUAUUCAUGUGCUGAGUUGUUCAAUAUUAGCGUAUAUUGGUUUAUGGAAUUAUUAUUAUUAUUAUUAUUUUUAAAAAUAAAAAUAAAAAAAUCCAAAAAUUUCAAGAAAAAAAUAUAAAAGUGAUAGAUGGUAUCAAAUUAUGGCAAAAAUGACAUUUAUGAAAUUUUAUUAAUUUUAUAAGGUCAUUUUUCCUAAUUUAAUGCUAUUUUGAUAUUUUAUAAUCAUUUCUGUAAAUGAUCCAUUUUCCGUAGAUUAAAAUUAUUAAGAGUAAUUUCAUGCAUUUAAAGUAAUGUCAUGCACAUUUAAAUUCCCAUUUUGCUCACGGGGGUCCUGUCCCGGGGCGUGAUAACAAGGCCAUGUAAUAUUAUUUGCCCGACUUGUAUCGGGUUUUCAUUUUCCGCAUUUAUUUUCAAGUCAUUUCAAUUUCUUGGAUGUCUACUUAUGCACCGCUUUUCAUUAAUUUGAGUGUAAAUUUCUUUUCUAAAUUAGGUUAGAAUUAGUGUAGACAUUAAGGAAAACAAACCUACAAGAACAUUUGCAUGGACGCUUAGCGAUUUUAUAAGGAUUAUAAUUGGUAAUCAAGAUUGUGUGACCAUUUAAAUAAACAACCUUUCAAGUUAGUGGUACCGCAAGGGCGCUAAUAGAAACAUUAGCGUAAAUAAGUCCCCGUUCCUAGAAAUCUCUGGUUGCGUAGGAAUCGAGACAACACUCCUGUAUCUUGAUUGGUUUCUAGCUGACCCCAAUAGGCUAGUGGCGACUCCUAUAAAUAUUUAGGUUGUUAAGAACUAAAAAGCAAAAUCCAACGCCACAUGAGGUAUGGGCUUGGGAGAGCCCGCAUAAUGUGGACAUCGAGCCAUAUCGAGGAGGAGGUGCUAAGGACCCAUUAUCUAUUCAUAUUGGUUCGAUCACUCGAGCGCGGGCCAAGCAAUUUAGGCAAGCUGUUGGUGUCAUGGUUUGUGAUCUUUGGCAUGGAGAUGACCUUGGAUCAAAUCUUGAAGAAUCUUGGAAAUCUUGGCGUAAUUUAAUUAUCUGGUCACCAAAUAUUUGACCAAUUCAAAUAGGAAUAUUCUUCUUGUUUAGGAAUAUUCUAGAAUAGGAAUAUUCUAGAAUAUGACGCAUUAGUUUUUUUUAGGGUUGGUUUUAGGGUUUGUGUGGCGGCUAGAAGGCUUAUAUAGAUAAGACUGACUGAAUUUCUUUGGGGGACAGAGAUAUAUUUUAUUUUUAAGGACAAGAAUUGAGAGGUUUUCUUCUACUGCUCUUUUGAGGACUUGACCUUAUCAAGAUUCUCUUUGGCGGUCGAUUUGACUUAUCGAGCGAGAUAGCGAAUUCUUUCGCUCGUGGCGUCUAUAACGUUGGUUGGUUGACACGCGUUCGUCAACAGGUCACGUUCAUACCGAGGUUGCCAAUCAUAGGUUUGAUUGGAGGUCGAGGUUUGCAAUUCGCACCAUCUGGGCCUUCGUAGAACGAUCCUUCCGCAACGAUUCACAUCAGUUUGGUAUCAGAGCUUGCUUCUACAAGGUCUAUUUAUCUUUAAUUUUCUGUUGAUAUUCAAAAAUUUGAGAUUUAUUGAGCUAGGGUUUCGGUUCUAGCUAAUUUAGAGAUUUGAUUGCUUUUGUGCUUCCAUACGUAGUUGUUUGCUAUUAGUUUUAAAUUUUCCUUUAUAGCAUCUUAAAUUGUAUCUGAGUUCGACAAAAAAAAAAAAGAAAAGAAAAGAAAAGAAAAGAAAAGAAAAAGAAGAGAAAGAAAACGUACACAAAAAAAAAAGUGCGCAAGAGAAAAAAAACAGCUUUGGCCAAAAAAAAUUAGCCGAACAAAAAAAAAAUCAAGAAGGCGACUCGUUUGUUAGUAGACUGGAUUGAAACAAAAUCAGUAGUGAUUUGCGUUUCAAUUGGAAUUUCGAAGGUUGUACUUGUUGGUUUGAAAUUGUUACUUGCUGAAUCAAAAUCAAUAGUGAUCUAAUCUUGUUUGAUUAGUUCGAUUGAUUGUCAUGAGAGAGUUGUGAGACAGGUUUUGAGUCCGAUAAAGAGCUUGUGAAAAGAGAAUACGAGAGGAAAAAGGCAAGAGUGUGUAAGCUUAAUUGAGGGUGAAAAAAAGCCUAAACUUGAGUUAAACACGAGGGGAGUGACAAACACUUUGAGAGAAACACGUGAGGGAGUGAUUAGUGAGGAUUUUUGUGACUAACGUUUACUUGCAAGUCUAAAAUAUGUCGCACUAAGAAAGUGUGAAUCAAAAGGAGAUUGGCUCCAUACGAAGGGAUGAAGCGCUCGUGGAAAGCAUCCAGCAAUUGAAGGCCGUAGUGGAGGAGCUUAGUGGCCGAAUGAUGGGGAAUGACAUGAGGGUUGAUGGUGACCGAGAGCUACCCCGGGGAAGGCUGCAAUAUCAAGGAGACACCUCUAGAACAUGACAUAGAAGGCAACGGCAUUAUGAUGAUGAUGAGGCCGGCAUGGAGGAUGAUCGAGAUGCUCGAUUUGGAAGGUGGAAUGGAGCUCGAGGGUUUAGACACCGAGAAGAUAAUGAACUUGGCAAUAUCAAGAUGAAGAUUCCUUCUUUCCAAGGGAAGAAUGAUCCCGAUGCGUAUCUAGAAUGAGAGAAACGCAUGGAGAUGGUAUUUGAUUGCCAACGAUACUCCAAGAUCAAAAAGGUAAAAAUUGCAGCUGUUGAAUUUACUGAUUAUGCUAUAAUUUGGUGGGAUCAACUUGUGACUAAUAGGAGGCGCAAUGGUGAAAGACCGAUAGAGACGUGGGAUGAGAUGAAAGCGGUGAUGAGAAGACGUUUUGUACCUAGUCAUUACCACCGAGAUUUGUUUCAAAAGUUACAAAAUCUCAUACAAGGCAAUAAGAGCGUGGAAGAGUAUCACAAGGAGAUGGAGAUUGCCAUGAUCCGUGCUAAUGUGGUGGAGGAUCGUGAGGCCACAAUGUCAAGAUUUUUGAGUGGUUUGAGCCAAGACAUAGCAAGGGUGGUAGAGCUAUAACACUAUGUUGAAUUGGAAGAAUUAGUGGACAAAGCCAUCAAAGUUGAGCGGCAAUUGAAGUUGGACCGAAAUCACAAGAGUGGAGGAGGUUCAAAUCAGAAUUGGAGAUCCAAUUGGAAGAGAGAUGAGAAGCCAAAUUGGAGAGGAAACAAUACUGAAACCGAAACCUCAAAGGAGAAGGAGAGGGACGGUAAAGUUGGAACGAAUCUGGCUUCAAGUAAAACCGAAAACCCUAACACUAGAACUCGUGAGAUUAAAUGUUUUAAGUGUUUGGGCAGGGGUCAUAUGGCGAAUCAAUGCCCUAAUAGGAGGGUGAUGAUCAUGACUGGACAUGGUGUUAUUGAGUCCGAAAGUGAAAGGGAAGAAGAUGAUGAUGAGAUGCCACCAUUGGAGGAUUGUAGUGAUUGAGAAGUGGCUAUAAAAGGAGACUUACUAGUGGUUAGGUGUUCUCUAAGUGUGCAGGUAAAGGAGGAGGAGCAUCAUCAACAAAGAGAUAAUUUGUUUCAUACAAGAUGUGUGGUGAAUGGUAAGAUCUGUAGUAUGAUAAUUGAUGGAGGUAGUUGUGCGAAUGUGGCAAGUUGUAUUAUGGUGGAUAAGUUGGGUUUGAAGACGACAAAGCACCCUAGGCCUUAUAGACUUCAAUGGUUAAAUGAUAGUGGUGAGGUGAAAGUAUCGAAGCAAGUUCGAAUUCCAUUUGAGAUAGGGAGAUACAAAGACGAGGUAGAGUGUGAUGUUGUACCUAUGCAAGCGGGUCAUAUUUUACUUGGAAGACCAUGGCAAUAUGAUCGAAAAGUACAUCAUGAUGGGUAUACUAAUCGUUAUUCAUUGAUGAUGAAUCAAAAGACUUAUACCUUGGUACCAAUGACACCUAGUGAGGUGUAUCAAGAUCAGUUAAAGUUGCAACGAGAAGCCGAGAGAGAGAGAAAAUGUGAGAAAUCCGAGGGCUUGCGUGGUGUGUUUGAGACUCAAGGAAAAGGAGAGGCCGAGAGAAAGAUUGUGGUAAAAACCGAGGGAAAAGAAGAGAGGAAAGAAAAGAAGCAAAAUAAUUUUUAUGCAAAAUCAAGUGAAGUGAGGAGAGCUUUAGUUCUAGAUCGACCAAUGCUUGUACUUGUGUACAAUGAGGUUUUGUUUUCAACUAACGAUCUUGACCCAAGUUUGCCUAGUCCUAUUGUGUCUUUAUUGCAGGAAUUUGAAGAUGUCUUUCUUGAUGAACUUCCUGGAGGGAUACCACCGAUUCGAGGCAUAGAACAUCAAAUUGACUUGAUUCCUAGUGCGCCAUUACCUAAUCGACCCGCAUAUUGAAGCAAUCCCGAGGAGACAAAGGAACUUCAACAGCAAGUUAGUGAACUAUUGGAACGGGGGCAUGUGAGAGAGAGUCUUAGCCCGUGCGCCGUCCCUGUUUUGUUGGUGCCAAAAAAGGAUGGAACUUGGCGAAUGUGUGUCGAUUGCCGAGCAAUCAAUAAUAUUACGGUAAAGUAUCAACAUCCUAUUCCUAGGUUAGAUGACAUGUUGGAUGAGUUGCAUGGUUCUUGCAUUUUCACUAAGAUCAAUUUAAAAAGUAGCUAUCAUCAAAUUAGGAUGAAAGAAGGUGAUGAAUGGAAAACUGCAUUUAAGACCAAGUAUGGAUUAUAUGAGUGGUUAGUAAUGCCAUUUGGAUUAACUAAUGCACCGAGCACGUUUAUGCGACUUAUGAAUAAUGUUUUGCGUGCUUUUAUUGGUCGAUUUGUAGUUGUCUAUUUCGAUGACAUCUUGAUUUAUAGCCGAAGUCCUGAUGACCAUUUUGAGCAUGUGCAAGCUGUCUUGCAGGUUUUAAGGGCUGAGCAAUUAUAUGCUAAUCUAAAGAAGUGCUCUUUUGUUACCAACAAAUUAGUAUUUCUAGGAUUUGUUGUUAGUGCUGAUGGUAUACAGGUUGAUGAAGAAAAGGUCAAAGCAAUCCGUGAAUGGCCAACGCCUAAGACCGUGGGAGAGGUGCGUAGCUUUCAUGGAUUGGCAAGUUUUUAUCGACGAUUUGUGAGAAAUUUCAGCACCAUUGCCGCACCUUUAACUGAGGUUAUCAAGAAGCACAUGGGUUUCACGUGGGGAGAAGAGCAAGAGAAAGCAUUUAAUCUGCUAAAAGAUAAGUUAACUAAUGCUCCUUUGUUAUCUUUGCCAAAUUUCAGUGCUACUUUUGAGAUAGAGUGCGAUGCUUCUGGUACAGGAAUUGGAGCUGUGUUGAUGUAAGGAGGGCGUCCCAUAGCUUAUUUCAGCGAAAAAUUGAGUGGAGCAACAUUGAAUUAUCCUACCUAUGAUAAAGAGAUGUAUGCUUUAGUGCGAGCUUUGGAGACUUGGCAACAUUAUCUAUGGCCAAAGGAGUUUGUGAUCCACACCGACCAUGAGACCUUGAAGUACUUGAAAGGGCAGCAAAAGUUGAAUAAAAGACAUGCCAAAUGGAUGGAGUUCAUUAAGACUUUUCCAUUUGUGAUCAAGUACAAGAAAGGUAAGGAAAAUGUGGUAGCCGAUGCACUUUCUCGAAGGUAUGCAAUUCUAACUAUUUUAGAAGCAAAGUGUCUAGGUUUUGAGCAUAUUAACGGCUUAUAUACUGAUGAUGAUCACUUUGGGAGAGUGUAUGAAGCAUGUGAACACGCUACAUUUGAUAAAUUUUAUAGGCAUGAAGGUUAUCUUUUUCGUGAAAACAAACUUUGUUUGCCUAAGUGUUCUUUGCGUGAAUUGUUGGUGCGGGAAGGGCAUAGUGGUGGUUUAAUGGGGCAUUUUGGCAUUAAUAAGACUUAUGAAGUGCUGCAUGAACAUUUUUAUUGGCCACAUAUGAAGAGAGAUGUCAUACGUGUCUAUGAGAGAUGCAUUGUUUGUAAGCAAUAUAAGUCUAAAACUAAACCGCAUGGCUUGUAUACACCAUUACCUAUUCCAACACAUCCUUGGACUAAUAUUUCUAUGGAUUUUGUGUUAGGAUUGCCUAGGUCUAAGAAUGGUAGAGAUUCCAUUUAUGUGGUUGUUGAUCGGUUUUCAAAGAUGGCUCAUUUUAUACCUUGUCAUAAAACUGAUGAUGCAUCUCAUGUUGCUGAUUUGUUCUUUAGGGAAGUUGUUCGUUUGCAUGGCAUGCCUAGAUCGAUUGUUUCAAAUCGAGAUUCUAAAUUUCUUAGCUACUUUUGGAAAACAUUAUGGAAAAAAUUAGGAACACGGUUGUUAUUUUCUACUACUUGUCAUCCACAGACCGAUGGUCAAACCGAGGUAGUUAAUAGAACUUUAGGGGUAUUGUUGCAUGCAAUUAUUAAAAAGAACAUAAAAUCUUGGGAAGAUUUUCUGCCACAUGUUGAAUUUGCAUAUAAUAGGAGCAUGCAUUCUGCUACUAAAAUUUACACCAUUUGAGGUUGUCUAUGGUUUUAAUCUGUUAACUCCGUUAGAUUUAACCCCUUUACCUAUUGAUGAGCGUGUGGAUUUAGAUGGAGCAAAGAAAGCUGAAUUUGUCAGGGCGUUACACGAGAAGACGCACGCAAAUAUUGAGUGCAAGAUUGAGCAAUAUGCAAGGCAAGCCAACAAAGGGCGCAAGGAAGUGGUGUUUGAACCCGGAGAUUGGGUUUGGGUUCAUAUGCGCAAAAGAGAGAUUUCCUAAGCAGCGACAUUCUAAGUUAUUACCACGAGGGGAUGGACCAUUCAUGGUUUUGGAAAGAGUUAAUAAUAAUGCCUACAAGCUCGAUCUUACAGGUAAGUAUGACGUUAGUGCCACAUUUAAUGUUUCUGACUUGACUCUUUUUGAUGCCAGUGAUGAUUUGAGGGCAAAUCCUUUGCACGGGGGAGGGAAUGAUGUGGACAUCGAGCCAUAUCGAGGAGGAGGUGCUAAGGACCCAUUAUCUAUUCCUACUGGUUCGAUCACUCGAGCGCGGGCCAAGCAAUUUAGGCAAGCUGUUGGUGUCAUGGUUCAUGAUCUUUGGCAUGAAGAUGACCUUGGAUCAAAUCUUGAAGAAUCUUGGAAAUCUUGGCGUAAUUUAAUUAUCUGGUCACCAAAUAUUUGACCAAUUCAAAUAGGAAUAUUCUUCUUGUUUAGGAAUAUUCUAGAAUAGGACGCAUUAGUUUUUUUUAGGGUUGGUUUUAGGGUUUGUGUGGCGACUAGAAGGCCUAUAUAUAUAAGACUGACUGAAUUUCUUUGGGGGACAGAGAUAUAUUUUAUUUUUAAGGACAAGAAUUGAGAGGUUUUCUUCUACUGCUCUUUUGAGGACUUGACCUUAUCAAGAUUCUCUUUGGCGGUCGAUUUAACUUAUCGAGCGAGAUAGCGAAUUCUUUCGCUCGUGGCGUCUAUAACGUUGGUUGGUUGACACGCGUUUGUCAACAUGUCACGUUCAUACCGAGGUUGCCAAUCACAGGUUUGAUUGGAGGUCGAGGUUUGUAAUUCGCACCAUUUGGGCCUUCGUAGAACGAUCCUUCCGCAACGAUUCACAUCACCGCGCCUAAUUUAGGGCCAUUAGUCUACUUCUUUAGGAAAAUACCCCAAACCUUUUUCCUUUUUCCCCCGGACGGAAAAAGGGAGGUCGUGACAAUGCGUCUAUAGGGUUUUCUCAUAGCUGAUCACUCUUGAGAUAACUAGACUACCUAAGUAAGCCAUUAAGGAAUUCUAAGGCAAUAGACUUUAGAACUUGACUGGGAAUCGGCUUCUCGACUGUGUCUAUCUUUAGAGGUCAUUACAGCAUAGUUAAAAAUUGAAUUAAGAUCAGAAACAAGUCAGUUUGACUGAGAGAUAUGACCGAUCAUGGGUGACUCCACUAAAUUGGAAAAUUCUCGUCGACUGUCGUUUUGGUACCAUGUGUCCAUAUUUGGAUCCUCAAGAUUUUCACAACAAUCGAGAGUCGCCAAUGUGUCGAGUGAGUUCGUUGUGACUCAAAGAAAAUCGACCACGGUUCAUUUGCCCUAAAAAGUUACGAAAACUACUCGGUAGCCUAGGUCACACUAAAAACGCACCGAUUGAAAAUUAACCACCAAUUUGAGUGCGAUUUCAAAAAUUGAAGAUUCUUUCAUGUCACAAUAAAUUCUAGGACACACGACUCAGUCUCAGAAGAUUUUUUUUACAACCGACACUUUUUGGGAAAAAGUCGUCGCCGGACCGUUUUUGUGCAAUUGAAGCUAGAGAUUUAUUUUGGUUGUAAAUUUGAGAAGCAUGAUGGAUAUAUGGGUGAGGAAAAAUGCUAAGAGGAUCAAUGGAUAACCAAUUGAAUUUGGGAGAGUCGAUUGAGAUGAAAUCAAGAGGGAUUUGAAACCAAUUGAAGCCAUUCCUCUCAAAAUUUGUAGCUCCCCCUCAUGCCUAGCCAAAGUGGACUACUUCAAAGGUUGUGAGGGGUGUGUGUGGUUAAAUGAGAGCCAAGGGAUUCUACAUGGUUGAGGUUGCUUGUGGAGGAUAUUUUUGUGGAAAAUUUGACCAAAUGGAGCCCAUCUCUCAUUUUUGUCUUAACCCCUCUCCCUCCCUUCACUUGGCCAACCACCCUACCUUCCCCCCUCUCCAUUUUGUGUGAAAACUAACACAGCAAGGAGGAGAGCAACUGCUGUCCACGCCUAGCCGCUCGUCGCCGCGCCGGUGUCGCCCUCGCCCCAGCGCGCGCGCCCUCCUUGCCGUGCACCAUCGUCCCUUUGGUCAUGUCUCUCCCUCGUCCAGCUGCUGUCCUUGGUCCAUGAAAGCCUUGCCGGGGCUGGUUUUGGUUGUUUCUUUGCUAGUAAAGACCCGCCAUGGCCCGGUUUGGCCUAUUUCCUUCUACCGGUCAAUUCAUGUGCUUAACCGAGUUGUUUGCUUCAAUUUCCAACCAAGAUUAGAUCAAUUUUGUAGUGGGUUUCCAGCUGCCUUUAGGCCCGUUUUGGAGGAGUUCCGGGCCUCGGUUUCUAGGUCCGCUUUGGACAUUGUUGUUCCCCGCGCCGUUCCCGUCAGUUUGAGCCAACUUGUGUGUUAUUCUAAUGAGUUUAGCUCACUAAAUCUCGCUUAGUAGACUAAUUAUGCUUAAGGGUUGAUUAUUGUUAAUUAAGUAGGAUUAGGUGGUUAGAUUAGAGUAGAUUAGUGAUUAUUAAUUAAUUGUGAUACAUGUUAGGUAAUGUGAUGAUGCAAUUAACUAGUUGACGUGUUCUAUUAUUUAUUAAAUGCGUCUCGGUAUUUUUCUCGGACCGUUUUGGGCUCCAAUUAGGCGAAUCGGGCCUAAGUUGGAUUUAUUGGUAAUUAUUUAUUAAUUUUUAUAAUUAAUUAAUUAUUUAUUUAUUUUUUGGAAAUUCGGCAGGGAGAGCCGACGACCGAAAUUUUAUGCUGAUUGUUGUGGUGAAGUCCGUUUAUUUAUUUGAGCCUUACAUUGUGUGGAAUUAAUUUAAUUGUGGAAUUUUAAGAAUUGUUCCUAGUUGAAUUGAAAUUGGACAAUUAAUUGGGAAACAACCGGGUGUCGAUUGACAGCACCAAAAAUAUUUUGGUGGACUACAAAUAAGGGUGGGAUUUGUGACAUCCUGAAAUCUAGGUUUUGAUUUCAAUCGAAAUAGUUGGGCAUUUCAUCGACGCAUUUAUAGUUCUUUUCCCUGAAUUGAUCACUCAUGGGAUAGCUAGUCUAUCAGGUGAAGCUGUUAAGGAAUUCUAAUGCAUUAAACUUGAGAAUUCGACUAGGAAACGACUGCUCGACCGUGCAAAUCUGCAAGAGAUCAUUACGACAUAUUAAGAUCGAUUAGAAAUCGGAGAUAGGUUGACUCGACAAAGGUAUGUGAUUAAGUGUGGGUGAUUCUACCUAAUUGCACAAUUCUUGUCGAUCGGCUGUCGUUUUGAUACCCUGUGUUUGUAUUUGAAAUCUUGAGAUUUCUAUGACAAUCGAGAGUCGCCAAUGUAUCGAAGAUGUACUUUGUGGCUUGAGAAUAAUCAACCACAAGUCAAAUGCACGAAAAUUUCCCGAAAGCUACCCGAUAAAUUAGGACGCACUAAAUUUGCGUCGAAUUGAAAUUAACCGUAAAAUCGAACUCGAAUUUAGAAAUUGAGAGUUUUGUCAAGUCACAAUUCAUUUUAGGAACGUCGACUCAUUUUCAGAAGAUUUUUCUACAAAUCGAGAUUUUGGCGGAAAAGCAAAGUAAGGCCGUUUUUGUUCGAGAUUGUCAGAUGGCCAUUUUUGAUCGAAUCUUUGGGAAGCAAGUUGGAUCAUUUGAUGGGAAAAAGUCAUAAGAAGGUUGAGGAUGCAUGGGUUAAUUUAAUUGAGCUUCAAUUUGAUGGAAUUGAUUGAGAAUUGAUUGAAUUAAGUGUACAAAAUUUCAUGCCACGGCGGAAAAUAAAAUUGGACCCAUUGAAGAUAGUUGUGGGAGUUUUGAGUGAGUGGAAGAUGACCUCAUGUAAGGUCAUGGUGGGCCAAUUUUUGGGGGAUUAAAUAAAGAGAAAAAGAAAAGGAAUGGCCCCCCUUCCUUCUCUCUCUUCCCUCUUUCUCCCCCGUCGGCACCUCCAUCUCUCCAUCUUCUUCUUCUUCUUUGAAACCCAGCAGCUGCAGAAGAUCAGCCGGAGCAGCCGUGCGCCUCUGCUUGUCGCACACCCUUGCCGGACCGCUGUUAGCCGGCCCCCCCUUCUCCUUGCUGCUUCCGUCGACCCUCUCUCCUCCAUUUCUUCUUGUUGCUCGAGGAACCCAGCACGCCGAAGAACCAACAAGCCGAAGACCGUUUGAAGCCAGCAGCUCCGCUUGUCGCCGUCGCCGGCACCACCCGUCCGCGCGUGCCGCUCCCCUUUCGCCUGCACGACCGACCAGCCCGCGUGCAGCUCCACCCUGCUCAUGCGACCCCAAGCCUCCCGCACCUCCGUCCAGCUGCUGCUCCUCGUCGCUAGCCACCAUUGGAGCUCCCUCCGGCCACCGUACGCCUCCGCCUCAGCCCGCCGAGACUCCCUCAACCCCUCUCGGCCCUUGCAUGCCCCAACCGAACUCGAAUCUACCCUUUCUCGGCCUUAAACCGUAGCAGACGGCAGCAAACAAAAAUGGGUAUGGCAGCAGCUUCAUGGCCCGUUUUGGCCGGCUUCCUGACCCCGGAAGCUAGGCCCGCCUUAGAGUGAAUCGAUCCCCUCGGCGUGUCCCCGUCGAUUUGAGCCGCUCGGAUCGCUAAUCGGGUGAGUUUAACUCACUAAUCCAUGCUUAGCAAGUUAAUCACGUUUAAGGGGUGUUUAGAUUAAGCUAAGUGGGUUUAGGUGAUUAAAUUAAUUUAUUUAAAUGUUAAGUGGAUUAAGGGAUGUGAUUAGUUUAGUGGAUAAUUAAUUAAGGCUAAGUAAAUGUUUGGAUUAAAGUAAUCUUGUUUAAGCCUUAAUUAAUUAUUUUAAAUUAAAUAAUUAAUUCGAAUUUAUACUAUUAUUUAUUAUAUUUUAUUAUUAUUAUAUAAUAUUAUUUUAUUUAAUUUUCGGAAUAAAUUUAAUUAUUUAUUAUUUUCCGGAAAUUUUGACCGGGAUAGCCGGUGAUCGAAAUUUUAUGCUAAUGAUCGUGGUGAAGCUGAUGAUCGUGGUGAAGUCCGUUUAUUUAAUUGACCUUCGAUUUGAGCUAAAUUGAAUUUAUUGUAAUUAAUUAUUAAUUUUCGAAAUUAAUUAAUUAAUUAUUAAUUUUCGAAAUUAAUUAAUUAAUUAAUUAAAUUUCGGAAAUUAAGAUUGAGAUGGCCGACGAUCAAAAUUCCAUGUUGAUUAUCAUGGUGCAGUCCGUUUAUUUAUUUGUGCGUUAAUAGUGCUGAAUUGAAUUAAUUGUGAAUUUAGGAUUUAUUCCUAAAUUAUCUGAUUUAGGUUAUUAAUGGAAAAAUAACCGGGCGUUGGUUUACAGCGCUAAAAAUAUGUAAUGGGCUGUUGAAAUUAGUGGGAUAUUUGUAAGUAAAAUUAUUAUAUUUUGGCUAAGGCCAACCAUGUACCCACAUACGGCUAUUUUUAUCGAGAAUGAUAAAAGAUGUAAUUGAUUGUAUGAGAGAGUGGUAUACUAUAUCGGCCUACGGGCGAUAUGUCAGCUUUGGGUGAGCAGUAUACCGGUAUACUAUAUCAGUCUACGGGCAAUAUGUCAGCUUUGGGUGAGCAGUAUACCUUAUUAUCAGCUUUGGGUAAGCACAUACUUAUAGUAUACUAAAUUGGCCUUGGGGCCCAAAUCUAUCAGCUUUGGGCGAGCAUAUACAUAGUAUACUAUAUCUAUCAGCUUUGGCCGAGCUAUGCUAUCUAUUAUCAACUUUGGGUGAGCAGUCCUAGACCAUGGUCGGACUUUAUAGAUAGUAUUGAAUGUACCGACCAGGGAAAGGUCGUGGUGAUAUGUAAUCAAUUAAGUCGAUUGAUCGCUAAGUCGAUCUGAUUGGUGGAAUGUGAUCGAUUGCUGUAGUUAUCAAUAUUAUUAAUUAAACUGAUGUGCAUGAAGGAACUAAUGCCAAGGUAAGCCCUUUGACCUGUUUUGUGCUUAAGCUGUGGGUCCAUCCCGCGCGCUGGCUGGCUUUAAUAGCCAAGAGUCAAUUACUGUGGGACAACAACAAAUUUUAUCUCCAAAGUGAACAAAAAAAGGUGAGAUCUAUAUUGAACAAAUAUAAGAAAAUUCGAUCAACAACUUCCCCCAACCCUGAAAUGCCUAAUCAGCCAAAUUCACUAACAAAUCUCACUUCCCCAAGCUCAAAACCGAUGUACUUAACACUAGAGCUUGUCUGUUCGCACCUUAUCACAAUCAGAAACUCCCAAUUAGAAUUGAGCCAGAGGAUCACAACAUAAACCGAUGCAUGAACACGAAUUGCAAUUGACCUCUCGCCCCACUUGCAGCGAUCAAGCACGUUAGAACCAUCACUCUCCAACCACGACCCGUUCCGCUCCAUAUUCUCCAAGAUAAACAGAUCGAACGGCGACAUCGAGAAAACUACGGCGUGAUCGAGCAGCGAGAUAGAGAGAUCGACCGCAGAUCUUUGUCCGUAUUGCUCCAAUUCUGGUCUCACAAGUUCGUGGAUUUCAUGGCGAUUAAAAGCUACUGUGACUUGGGGCAAAGGAAGGAGAGGAAGAUGAAUUUACAAAUUUUCCUGUUUUGCCUUCGGUGUCUUCUUCUGUCGGCGGUCACAUUCGGUGAUUUCGGUGUUUGCGUGGGGGCACUGAAGUAAGUUCCCCUAGAAUUUCAAAUUUGGGUUCUCUCUCUUGGAGCUCCCCUAUGAUGUCUCCACAUUAGCACUUUGACUCGAGCUUAGUUUUUUUUUCUUUUUUUUUGGUCCGUCUCUCGAGCUUAGUUUAAUUAGCCGGGUCUGAACCAGGAUUCUGAAAUUUGAACAGAAAAAAAAAAAAAACACAACAACAAACCAGGAUUCUCAAAAAGCACCAAAAUUAAAGGUUAAUUAAUAUCCUUUAUCUGUUUAAUUUAUAUUUUUUUAGGUAUAUAAAAAUGCACCCUCCACUAUGGUGGAAAGUUUUUUGAGUCAUAUUUUUGAAUUCAAACUCAAAUCGAUCUAAUAACUUAAGUUAUUCAAACUUCAAAAGAAUGUAACCGAACUUGAGUGACUAAUGAGUUGAGCUUAACUGCAAAUUAUGAAAUCUACUUCUCUCGGGCUAGUAAGAGAGUUUAAAAAGAUGACUUGCUAUUAUGUAUAGAUUCUUGAAUGCUCUCUAAAUACUUAUGUUGAACUGGAUGCAAUAUUUUCUUUUCCUUUUUAGUUAAACGUACUUAUAGUAUUUUGAGUCAAGUCAAUUUGUCUAAAACUUCCGGACUAUUUAUAAUGUGAAUGUGUUUCGAACUUAUAACCUUGUAGAAACUUAUAGCCUUCUUGAAACUUGUGGCAUUAUCUUGUUAGGAAUGCAGUUUGUUGAAGAGAAAAUUAAAAAAAGAAAAAGAAAAAAAAUGACAAGCAAAGUUUUCCUUUGGAAUCAGAAAGAAAGAAAAAUUACAAUGUUGCACUAUAUAAUUCUUACACUAUCAAUAUUAGUUUAACAUGAGAAUUACAUGUACACCAUUAGCAAUAAAAAGCCUCUAUGCUUUAAUGGCACUUUCUUCUGUUACACUCCAUAACUCUAUAAUUAUCUUCCCAUAAUUUCUCUAAUUGAAUACGUUAGCAAUACGAUCGUCAACAUUGAAUCUACAUGUAAAUGAAUGAGGAAUAGAAAAAAAGGUCCGCGAAUGUUGAGAACAAAAAUCAUUGGGCUUUUUCAUUGGCUAUGUGCAAAGUAAAUAGAGUUUAUGAUCUUAGACUACAAAAAUCAUGAUACAUUUUUAAAGAACAAAGAGCAUGAAUGAUUUUUUUGAUAAAUAUAAAAUAAGAACCCAAAUGUAUGGCAGGCGCCAUGUUCGGUGGCUCUCAUGAAUUUAUAUCUAUAGUGGAAUAUUUAAAAAGGUACAAAGAUAGAACAACUUUAUACAAGACUUAAUUUUUCUUACCAAGCUCAUGCACUACUCAUUCACUUUAAAGAAAUGAAAAAAAAAUAUGAACACGAAAGAUUCCAACUCACCCCUAACUGAUUAAAGAAUUACAGUGUUUUUCAUGAAUUGUUAUGUUAUGAGCAUAUUUCUAACCAGUUAGUAUCUUAAGUGCUUAUUGCAUCAUGUGAAAAGAUUUUUUACAUUUUUAGCACGUCCAUGAAGUUACAAUGUCAAAUUUAUAUACUUACGAGUGGAUCGAUUAAUAAUAACUCAAAUCAAAUAUUUUGUGAUGGAUGCCUGCUCUCUUUAUUUAUUGAAACAAAAAUUCACAACCCAUCAUGACUCGGGCGGCGAGGCCAAGACGAUCAACCUCAACUCGAGCCGGGGAUCCAUCUGGCCGUGAGCCAGGCGGUGGCUUCAAUUCCCACGGAGGGGAACGAAAGUACACUUCCUACAUUUCCCCCGCACCGCCUGGCGGGAAAUUUUCGCACCACUGACAUAAAACCAAAAUCGAAAAAAGCAAAAAAGGAAAAUUAAAACCAACACAAAAACGAAAACGGAAAGCGAAAAACAAUUCAAAACAGAAAAUACGCAAAGCGCGACCCCUCCUCCCCUGCUUCCUCCCAGAUCCGGACAUCCGUUCAGAUGAAAACGAAACGGCUACGAUCCUUUCACAAUCCCACUCCCACUUUCUCUCUCUCUCUCUCUCUCUCUCUCUCUCUCUCUCUAGAGCAAGCACCGACGACCUCGAUGGACCGAUCGAUCGGCCGGUCGCCGCCGUAACAGGCUUUCAGCAUCGCCGUGGUGAAACUCUUGGAGCAGCGGGCGUGGCCCGACGGCUCCGAGGAGCGGCGGCAGCAGCUCAAUGAGCCCGGUCGAUGACGAGGAGCUCGAGGCCCAUCGGACCGCCCCGCCCGAAGAGGAUGACGCUGCCGCGGCCUGUGGUGCCGACGAGAAUGUCGGGGCCGAAGAGGACGACGAUGAGGUUCGACGUUCGCCUGCGCCGUUCUUGCUGGAUUAGUAGAAUUCUGCAAUUUCACUGCAAUCCAUGACAAAUCUCUUGGAAUACUCCGUGAGGAAACCCCAAAAGUGUCUGGAUCAUAACAAAUGGCUUCAAAACUUUUCCAUAGGAAGAAGGAUGUCAAUAGCACGAGUAAACCGAUAAAUUGAGAGCUGCAAUGCAGACAAGAUGAUAAUAAUAAAGAACAAGUUGAUUUUAUUCAUAUAAGAGUAUUUUUCGCAUGGUUAACAGUUAAGUGCUUUAAUGGUGUACUACGUGAUGAUAAUAACAUCCUUUUCAGAAUAAACAGCUUGGAAGCAGGAUGAUCGGCAUGAAAACAGUAUUGGCCGUACCGGGUUGCAAUGGCAAGUAGUUCUUUUUCAAGAGCUUCAUGACUUCCUGCACGAGUGUAGCAUCUUCUAUUUAGCAUAAAGCUGCAUUUUGAUACCCCAAGUUAACAGAAGAAAUGUGCAAAUAAACCAAAACGAAAGAAAAUCACUUGAUAUAAUAUCAUAGAUGUUAUGCUUCCACAAUGCCUUCUUACCUACAAUUUUGUCAGCCCUUGGUUUCUAUCGUCAAGGACUAAGUGCGCCGCGGUAAUUUAGAUGCAUAGGCAAAAUAAGGAUAAGAGAUAUAAAUGUUGAUUAUAUUAUGUACUUCCAGCAACAAAUUAAUUGAUGUAAUCUCCUGACCAAAGACACACUAUGAAAAUGCAGUUUGAUUGAGAAUCAGCUCGAAUGAAUAACCAAUGAAGCUAUCGUUUGUAAAAACAUGUUUUGCCCAAAGUAAACGCUCGUUGUUAAGCUUCAGUAAUGAAAUAACUAACUUCAAGUAGAGAUGUCAUUCAAGAAAUCAGAGGCUCGUUGAGCUAGCAAUUCGUCAAAAGAUCAAUUGACAAAGUAUGACACAUAUUAGGUUGAAUCGAGCUUAACAGUGCCCUAGUUAUAAAUGAGAUAACAAGUUUGUACAUGAAAAAUAAAGACAUAACCAAUUUAGACACAUCGAAGCACAUCAAGCAAGUUAAUGUGUUACUCCCACAGGACACGUUCAUACACAUUUAAAAAUAUUAUAUAUACUUUGAAUAAAAUGUGGUUUCAUAAAAUUAUAAAUGAAAAACUCUAUCUUGAGCAUGUUACAUGUGUCACGUUACUACUUCAUCCAUGUUGCAAUUAAAAACUUCCAUGAAUUCAAAGAUUCGACAAUCUCUAUAGUGAAAAAAAGAGAGGUUGAUUAUCAACUGUUAAAAGAUCAGAAUUUUACUUCUCAAAUGGAGCAAGAAGUCAACUGACAAAUCUGCGUAGGUUUUACAAUACAUCAAAAAGAAGCGUAAUAUCCUCCGUUUUUGCAAUUUUCAAUCACGCACCGCGUCCAUGCAUUUGGAGCCAUUGUUCUUUUCGGAUCGAUGGAUUCAAGAAUUUCACAAUACAUCUCCUUUAUGAUUUCUGCAUAAUAUUAUAAGAAUUAAAUAUCAAAUAAUAACACAAUUCGUCAAGAGAGCUCACCACGCAAUUUAUUGAAGAAAGCAAAAAACCGGUGGGUUCCUCCUUUUCAGCACUAGCUCCAGAAACAUGGUAAACUUGACAUUAUUGAAUAAGGGGCUGCAGGCAAUCUAUUGCCAUGAACUGGCCCAGUGAAUUUCAACAUCAUAUUAAAACCUUUUACUGCCAUCGAAAAUGCAACUCCAUUUUGCAUCAACAAGGACAAUAAAUAAUUCAACCCAUAACUGACAUUUAAGAACAUGAAGCAUUCAACUAGAAGAAACAAUUCAACGUGAUUAAUUUCCUACUACAGAAUCAUGUCUCCAGCAUCAAAUUUAUAAGAAGCAAACACAAUGACAACAAUAAAAAGAUACGUCUCUCUAUUCACAAGCACAAUCCCUGAUAGCAUGACCAUUUGUGAUCUAUAUAUGCUCUCCGCUUCAGCUUCCUUGCACCAGCUACACAUCCCUCAAACGAGUUACUCAGACUUCUUCAUCGAUCACCAAAUUCCUUUUGCCCCCGUGUCUAGACAUCAAACUCAACCUAAAAUAGGCCCCUACUAACAAAGAACCAUCACUCUGGCAUCUACAUUCCACGCUGAAAUUCCCUAGCGGCAAAAAAGAAAAUCCUAAUAGACAACAAGCAUGCAUUCUGCGAAAUCGAGGGACUGAGCAGUAGAGCAGAAGGAGCUGUGACUUUGACAUGCUUCGACACAAAUUUGAGCACAUUCUGUGACUUGGUGAUCAUAGGGAGUGAUGGAUCCGGCUGAGCUGAGAUGAAUGGAAGGCUUGAAAAUGCGGUAGAGUCUGCAAGCUCAAAUCAGUCACCUGGUUAAUGAAUGUAGUCAUCCUGUGAUGUAAUUGAAUCAUAACAAUGAAUCUCGUAAAAGAUGCGAUCUUUUUUAACGAAAUGAGGAAAAAAAAAAAGUUUGCACACAAGAGUCGACGGAGAUUCCAGGCAACCCGUGGCUUACACUAGUUCAUCAAUUGAUAGAAAUUUAAGUACAGAUUACUCCCCAACACAGUCCAAAACCGUGUUAGCUAAGUACAUGGAAAAGUACAUGGAAAAGACAAACCCCCUGAAACUGCCCAGUCACCAAACGUGCCUAUUCUGACAUUAACUUAAUUAGAAAAAAAUGACCCAAAUCAUUAAAUCUAAUGAAUAGAAGCGUAGCAGUAUCUCAACAGCAGCACUCAAUAGUCAGAAAAAAUCCUCUUUGUUCGAGAAUGGAUUUUAUAGGACUCCACUUCUAGUCCAUCGACAUUUCCUAGUCUUCAGCAACGUCCAGUAAUCAAACUGAGAGAACCUAAAAAAAAUUGAAAGAGGGGAAAAAUAAAUGGUUAAUACCCUGAAAAACCCAAAACUGAUAUAUCUAUGACAAAUUUAUCCCAAAUUAUAUUUUGACCACAAAAAACCCAAAAUUAGUAUACCUUUGACAAAUUUACCCCAAACUGGUACGUUUGUGACAAAUUUACCCUCUGUUAAUUUUCGUUAAAUUUUACUGUCAAAUUAUUAAAUUAAAUGACACGUGACAAUUGAUUAGUAUACCAAUUUGAGAUUUUACGCUCCGUUUGUCACAGUUUAUAAUUUUUGUGAUUUUUUUUUGUAUUAAUUCAAUUUAACGGAAUGUAAAUUAGUCACAAAUUUAUGAGUUUGGAGUUUUUUGUGGUCGAAUAAAUUAAUUUGGGGUAAAUUUGUCAUAAAUGUACCAAUUUAUGGUUUUUUUAUAGUCAGUCGGGGUAAAUUUGUCACGGAUGUAUCAGUUUGGGGUUUUUCAUGGUCAAAAAAAUAGUUUGGGGUAAAUUUGUCAUAAGUGUACUGGUUUAGGGUUUUUCAAGGUAUUAACCCAAAAAUAAAAGGGAAACUACUCAUAGUGGAGGUCAUCAUGCUUGCUGGUCAUAAUUAUAUGAUGUUGUUGAUUUUCCACCGGCAAAUUGACUCCAAGAUAGAACUACACUCUUGAUUCGUCGAAGAGAAAUUACUCAAGACAGGAGAAAAGCUUACCAACCCCGGCCCACCGCCCCACUCCUUGUUUUUCAAUCGCUACGGAGCAUAUUAAAAUUAGACAUAACUCUACCAAAUCUUAGUUACCCUUGAAUCGGGUCACACGAUUCACCUGUUUAGAUUUGGUAGUGGGAGUUAGUAGCGUGGGAGUUGUAGUCGGGGUGGUGACGCCGUAACGCUCGGAGUGCAACGUCAACGUCAUGAAGCUAGAGUAUUCUCCUUAUUUCAAAGACAAACUAGAAAGAAGUUAUAUGCUACCGCAAAUAAAACAAUGAAGGACAUUCUCAAAAGUUAAACUACAAAAAGGGUGUCUUUAAUUAAAGAAGGUGUAGAACUAGCACCACCGUUUUUGUAAACAAAUUUUCAUAAACAUAGUAAAUUUCCUUUUUAAUUCAUUUUUUCAGCUUAUUACUUACAAGUGGGCCCAGCGCCUUGGUACUAAUACAUAAUAUUUAUAUGCCUUCUCUAGUUAGGAGAAAAACUUAUAUCAACUAUUGAUAUCUAAAACUCUUUAGCUCACUAAAGAUUAAUAUCUAUACUUUUCAGAAUCACUAUGUCACGCCCCGAUCCCCGGACGCGCGCACAUCCUUCUACUUGGUCGAUUUUAUAAUGCGAUAUCCCAGGACUAUGUAUCGCCGACCCUUUCUUUUUAUUAAGCACAUGCGGAAGCAGUUAUAAAUCCCCAGACAAUUAAACAAUGAGAUAGGAAAGGAGGCCAUAUUUUUCAUAUUGAAAUUCACAACCACACUUUCAUUAACAGCACCACUCAUAGUAUAUUUACAAUACUAUUUACAGCAUAAAAGUCUCACACCUAUCUAUACCAAGACAGGGUUCACAAAAGGGAUGGGAUCUCAAUCCACAUCCGGGCUAUAUUUAAGAUCCCUCUCUGGAUCAUCUUCUUCCUCAAAAGUCUUUCUCCCCUUCAGGUUCCUCUUCCUUAGCUUCUCCUCAGGGUCCUGAAAUGGUUAUUCAAUAACCAAUGAGACCACGUCUCAGCGAGUCCUACCCACUAAGACUCGAUUAAUAAACUAAUACGCCAUACGGUUGCCUAAGCACAACACGAGUCAGAGGACUUACCUUGGCCUCAGUUCCAACCUGCAAUUCAAGGUUAAACACAGAUAUUCAAACAAUUCACGACAUACGAUCAAGCACUGGUCAAUCGACUAAGUCGAUUACAUGUCAGCCAGACCCUUUCUAGGUCAUUCCCACUCAUACCACGAUUUCCCAGUGGUGUACUCAUUCACCAAAUCACAUGUGUUUCUCGGGCGUCGUUUUCGCCAAUGACAUACCGAUCACCGACACCGUGCGUUCUUUAAGGCGCCGUUUUCACCAGUGAUAACCUUGAUCACCGAACCACGUGUCCUUUCAAGGGCGCCGUUUUCGCCAAGGUGACAUCGGCUAUAGACAACAUCGUGCGUUCUUUAAGGCGCCGUUUUCACCAGUGAUAUUCCCAUAAUCACCGAACCACGUUUGUCUAUAAGUCAUUCACGUGCGUUCUUUAAGGCGCCGUUUUCGCCAGUGAUACUUCCAAUCACCGAACCACGUAUGUCCAAUAAUAUCGUACCUGAUUGGUCUCACCAUUCUCCCUACUAUAUAGCCCAUCAACGUACUGGCGCUAUAUACCCAUGCUUGGCCAUUACCAAUCAAAUAUUCAAUAACAAACAAUUUAGGACAAUUCCUAAAAUUCCACAAUAAAUUCAAUUCCACACAACGUAGAGCUCAAAUAAAUAAACGGUCUGCACCACGACAGUCAGCACGAAAUUCCGGUCACCGGCCAUCCCGGUUGAAUUUCCGGAAAAAUAAUUAAUUAAAUAAAUAAAUUUCGAAAAUAAAUAAAUAAACAUUAAAAAUCCAAUUUAGGCCCAUAUUGCCUGAUUGGAGCCCAAAACGGGUCGGGAAAAAUCCCGAGAUACAUUCAAUAAAUAACCAAACAUUUCUACUUGCUAAUAACUAGGUCUAACCACCUAACAUGCAUUAUUAAGUCACUAAAUUAAUUGUUCUAACCUAAUCUAACCACCUAAGUGCAUGUAAUUAAAUCUAACCAACCCUAAGACAUAAUUAGCAAACUAAUAAAGCAUUAGUGAGUAAAACUCACUUGACAAAAGCGGAGAUUGAAUCACCACAACGGCAAUGCGACGGCGGCCGAAAUCGAACUUUCGACAACACCGGCGGACUUGAACUGGGCCUUAAGCUUGGCCCAACAAAUCUCAGCCCAAUUGAGAUUUGUUCUUGCACUGGAUUGGGCUUCACUUGAUUGAACGGGCCUUGAAUGGGCUGUCCUCGCAGCCUCUAAUUUUGCUAGGCUUGGGAGCUGAAAUCGCUGGGCCUGACUUAUGGCCCAAAUGGACUGAACCUGAGCGGCCCAAGAUAUUUAAAAUUUGCUGGGCUGAUGAUGCUGAAGAUGGGCUGAGCAAUUAAACUGAAGGUGGACUGAAGACUUUUGGCUUCGCUGGACUGCAGAGUUGGGCCGCAAUCCACGAAGAGAAAUUUGUGUGGGCUGCUUCGGUCUUUGCUGGAGGGUACUGCGACUUCAGCCAAUCAAUUUCUUCGGCGGUUGAAAUGAGCUACAGGAGAUUUGUUUAGUUGACUCAACAAAUUGGAAGGAGCGGACGCGUGCGACUUCGGUCUUCGUGGCUUCAACUCGAUGCUGGCGAUGGGUCAACUAAGGAGAGGAGGAGCUCGGUUGUUGACUGAAGAUGGCGGCUUCGUUGGUUGAGUUGUUUUCGUUGGCUGCACACAUGGAAGACUUGAGGAACCGCUGCACGUUGGCCGCGUGGAGUUGCUGCGCUGGCGUGUGUUGCUUCGGUCGAUCUCAAGCAACAAGAUGGAGAUACCAACAGCGAAGGAACCACUGAAGCGGCAGACAUGAAGACCGCACAAGAAAAAGACACGAAGCUGCUGCAGCUUCGGUGGAUGCUGAGUUCUCGGUGGGUUGUGGGCUCCGGGGAGUCAACAACGUUCUGCCGUGUUGACUGGUGUGCUGGCAGAGUGAAGGACGCUCGGUGGGUCUCGCUGAAUGAAGACCAGUUGAGGUGGCGAGCUGGCUUGUGAGUUGCUUCGUUCAGCGUCGCUUCGCUGGCUUCAACUGGCGUGGCAAGACCGAAGUGGAGCUGCAGCAUCGACGUGGAGAUGGACGAAGGAAGCAGCUCGCUGGCGUUGGACUCGUUGAAGGUGCAAGGGACUUCGGUGGAAUGGCAUGAAGAGAGAGGGAUGCUUCGGUGGUGAGCAGGGAUUAGUGGGGCUGAAGCGUGAGUGGGGAACAACUGGUUUUCGGUGGGGGAUUGAACAAAGAUGGGGCUACAGAGAAAGUGAAUUAAAAAUGGGAGCAGCGAAUGCAAAGAGAAAGAAAACAAGGCUGCAGGAAAAUUGAUGGAGGGGAUGGUCGCUCGAGAGAAAGGAGGGGGAAAAGUCGGCGAGUGAAACUUGCUCGAGAAGGUGGAAAGGAAUGGAUGAGGAAGAGGUGGGCCUUAGCUUGAUAUUUUGCAAGAAUAUCUCCAUGAAUCACUCUUAGCCAAGUAAAAACACUUGGCCUUCAUUAGACCAUCCAAAUGACUUCCAUAACCUCUCAAGUAGUCCAAUAUUGCUAGGGUGAGGGGAUGAUACGAAUUUCACCAUUUGAACUUCAAUUUCUCCAAUAAAUUCCCAAAUUGAGGUCCAAUUUCGACGUAGAAAAAUCCCAAGAAAUUUUCUAUAAAUCUCCGACACACACGGGCUCAACCCGAAAGUCAAAUUUCCCAUUAAUUUAGCCAAUCUGAACUUCGGCCAAAUUUCCACGACGUCCGAACCCAGUUUCCGUAAAAUUUCCUGAAUCUCCGAAAAUCUUCUGAGACUGAGUCGAUGCUCCUAAAAUAGCUUGUGACAUCACUGAACUUUUGAUUUCUGAAAUCUGACUCAAAUCGACGGUUAAUUUCACUCCGACGUGCUUUUAGUGUGACCUAGACUACCGGGUAGUUUUCAGAACUUUUUAGGGCAAUUGACUCGUGGUCGAUUUUCUUCGAGCCACAAUGAACCCACUCGACACAUUGGCGACUCUCAAUUGUCGUGAAAAUCUCGAGGGCUCAACUACCAACACAGGGUACCAAAACGACAGAAAAUCAAAUUAGUGCCGGUCGACGAGAAUUUUCCAAUUUAGUGGAGUCACCCACGAUCGGCCACACAUCUCAGUCGAACCGACCUAUCUCUGAUCUCAAUUCGAUCUUUAACUGUGCAGUAAUGACCUCUAAAGAUGAACACGGUCGAGAAGCCGCUUCCUGGUCGAAUUCUCAAGUCCAUUGCCUUAAUAUUCUUUAAUGGCUUACCCAGCUAGUCUAGUUAUCUCGAGAGUGAUCAGCUCUGAGAACAACCCUAUAGACACGUCAAUGAAAUGCCCGAUUAAUUUAAUAGAAAACAAUAUUGAAAAUUCUGGAUGUCACACACUAUCCUCCCCGCCCCCCCCCCCCCCCCAAAAAAACAUAUAUUCGAUUAAUUAUUUUGUAAUAUUCCUAUCAAUGCACAAAGGCACAAACUGAUAAUUCUACUACUUAUUUAUCAUGCAUUUAGAUCAUAAAGUUUGAAUCUUUUCUAUCUCAUAAGUUAUAAAUAAUCUUAUAAAAAGGGACAUAGUUUUAUCUUUCCACGAAUUCACGGAUACAAUUUCUUCGGGAUAAGUACACUAAUGGUGCCAUAAGUUGUGUACGGCGCUCACUUUGGUGCCAAAAGUUUCUGCCGGAUCACUUAAGUGCCAAAUCGGAGAAAAAACGAUCACUUUGGUGCCACCGGCGAGAAAUUCCGGCCAAAAUGAUUACGUGGCUUUAUAUUUUUAAAAAAAAAUUGAUAAACCCUCUAAACGACGUCAUUUUCUGUCCUACUUAAGAAAACGACGUCAUUUUGCCGUCCUAUGUGGAUGGCUUAGGAAAAACGGCGCCGUAUUGCUCAUUUGUGAUUGAAAUUAGGGUUUUUUUUUGUUCAUCCUCGCCGAUCAAGCUUGCUCAGCCACCAUCGCUUGGCCACCGUGCUCGGCCACCGUCGCUCGGCCACGGUGCUCGGCCACCAUUGCUCGGCCACCGUGCUCGGCCAAGAAGUGAUGGGAAAAUAGGAGGCGAGGGCAGAGGAGGAGGAGGAAGAAGGGGGAUUGAAGGUGUAGAGAGAGAGAGAAGACGAGGAGUGUGAGGGAAACAAGAAGGGCGUAGAUGGAGAUGGUAGAUUGGGCUUUGUUCAAAGAGUGGCUGGUGCUGGUGUUGUUCUUCGAGGAAGAAGACGCCGCCGCCAUGGCUUCUCUCUCUCUGUUGGUGUUGUUCUUCAGGGAAGAAGACGACAUCGCCAUGGCUUCUCUCUCUCUGCUGGUGUUGUUCUUCGGAGAAAAAGAUGAUGCUGCCAUGGCUUCUCUCUCUGCGCUAGUGUUGUUCUUCGGGGAAGAAGACAACGCCGCCGCCAUGGUCUCUCUCUCUCUCUCUCUCUCUCUCUCUCUCUCUCUCUCUCUCUCUCUCUCUCUCUCUCUCAAUUUGGGGAUUAGGGUUUCGACUUGCGGUGCCAAACGACGUCGUUUGGUGGUUUACUUGCUGACUGGACUCUCCGGCGAGCCACGUCGGUAUAAGAAAUUAAUUAAAAAAGGCCACAUCGGAUUUCCGGCCAAUUUCGUCGGCGUUGGCACCAAAGUGAGCGUUUUUCAAAUUUUUUGGCACUUAAGUGAUCCGAUGGAAACUUUUGGCACCAAAGUGAGCGCCGUACACAACUUAUGGCACCAUUAGUGUACUUACCCCCAAUUUCUUCAUAUACGUGAAUAAUAUCUUUCAAUUCAUUAGAAAUUUGAAUAUUUUGUAAUAAGAGAAUUGUGCCAAAUCUUUUAAAUAAUAACUUUUCGCAUACACUCAAUACGGGUACACUUUUGCUAACAAUAUCAGAAAGGAACGAUAUAAUUGAUCAUAAAGAUUAUGUAAUAGUACACACGAAAGUUAUUGGCUGGAAAGGAAAAAUGAGAGGAACAAAAAGAACUACUUUUUAGGAAAAAAAAAAAAAAAGAGGGAGGAUACUGUUAUAAGCUUCGAAGAAUAAUACUUUUGAUCACGCAAUUUGUAAUAUAUGCUUGGUUAUUUUUCUCUAUUUCUGAUAAUAUACACUUAAACAAAAACACAAUUUAUUAGUAUUCAGAAAUAUUGCAUUCAAGACAAAGGUGAAAUAGCAUUCUUCUCGUCAAAAAAAUAAUAAUAACAUUCUUAAUUUUACUCCAAAUUCUAGGACAUAUUUUUAUUUUCUUCGUUUAUUUUCUUACUUCACAUCGCAUAGUCUUUGUUCAUUACCAAGACCAUAACUUAUUAGUGUUUAUACCGCGGCAGCAAUUGCACAUUAAAAUUUUCUUCCUUCCUCAAAAUCUGAAUUUGACACAUCAUAGUCAUGCAUUAUUUUAUGUGUCUUUGGUUUUGAACAAAGUUUUCAAAAAGACUAGAACUUCAGCAUUUUUUUUUUUUUUACGUUUCCUGAUAAUAGUUUCUUUCUAGAAACACUUUUUUAAUUUCUAUUCCUGAAAAUAAUUUAUAAACAAUUUAAGGCGUUUAGUAACUAUAUAAAAUUUAUGUUUCUGAAACAGAAAUACGUUUGGUACGACUCCAAAUAUUUUUGUAACUAAAAAUUUCUUUUAAUUUAUUAAUAAUUUUAUUACUUUUUUUCUUUUUCUUCUCCUUCCUCUAAUUGGUCGUCAGCCUUGACCAUAGCCAGUCGAUGACUGGCCAAACGAGGGCAGAAAAGGUUGUUGGCCUUGGGGGAGCCACACCGGCCACCAACGAGGUCCCCCUAAGCCUCAUCGUGGCUGGGUGAGGACAAGCCUUGCAGUGUGAGGCCGAGCCUCACUUGACCACUGCGAGGCUAGGCAACUCCAUCAUGGACGACACUAACCUCGCGAUGGCCUAGGAAGGCUCGGUCUUGCCAAAUCUGGGCAAGGUCGAGCCUUGCCCAGCCACUACGAGGUUUGGGGGGACCUCGCCAAGGGUUGGCAAGGUUGCCAUGCCUUGUUUGGCCUGUCGCCAACCAUCACCGAGGCUGCGCGACCGGCUGGGGGAAGUAGAAAUGAAGAAAAAAAGAAAGAAAAUAAAGGGAAGAAAGGAAGAUAAAAGAAACACUUAUUUUUUUGAGUUGUUUCCGGGAAUAAGAAACAAUUUUGUUUUUAUUUCUUGUUUAUAUUCCAAAUCUAUUACUCCUGGGGAAAAAAUUACCAAAUGCGUUUCUAUUCUAAAAAACAAAAGAACUAAAAUAUUUAUUCCCGGAAGGGUUAUCAAACACAGCUUGACAAAUCCCUACCCUAAGAAUGGUAACCAGGCCAUGCAGGCCCAAACAUAACACGAAUUGGCUCCCUUGGGCCCGAGAACGUGAGGAGCUGUUCCAGGCUAAGCCUGUUAACAAUAGGGGUGAUUGUAGACUUGUGGUCCGAACGAAAGUGAAGAUGGUAAGAGUAACACAAGAUCUCUCAAUGACGAUUUGUCAUGAAUUUUAGUUAUGAAAAGAAAAUACUUGUAUUAACAAAAAAAAAGGGGCAAAAACGGUAAAGAUCAAUACUGAAUAAAUUUUCCACUGGCUUCUUUUGACAAAAAUGUUGCCGACGACACUGAUAAGAUUGAUAAUAUUAUUUGUAAACCAUUGGAAGAUUAGAUUAGAGUUUAAUUUGUUUACGAUUUGAUUCUGCCAUCGAAAGGUUAGAUUAGAGUAUGAUUUGAUUCUGCAAUCGGAAUAUUAGAUUAGAGUUGUACAUAUAAUUUGAUUCUAAUUAUUUCAAUUGCAAAUAAAUUGAUCCAGACCAGGCUUUCAUCUAACAGACAUAAGGGUAUGCUAAAGCAUUGGCCUAAUCGUCUUUUCCACAUUCGGAUGACUCACCUUCUUUCUCCUUUGCUUUUAUUGCUUUAUUUCUUAUCAUCAUCAGUUUGCUUUUUGUAACAAGAUUUUCCUUGGAUUCUCUCGGGGCCAAUUUCGCCGUGAAUGAUGGCGUGAAGUCCCCAAAAGAUGGUUUUGUAGUGGGAGCAAAAGUGAAGAUAGUGAAGAAGGAAUAUUUGUGUGAUUGUUCUUAAUUAGUUAUGAGAAUAAUAAUUUAUUUUAAAUUAUAAAAUCUAAAUAUAAAAUAAUUGAAAAUUAUUACGAGAUUUAUUUUUUUAAGAAUUCAUGACCCAUAAUAUAUUAUGAGCAUAAUAAGAUAGAGCAGUAAUAAAUAUUUUUUUUGCCACUGAAGUGCACCCUCAUGUUUUUAAUUCUUUGCCUUGCGGGCUUCUGUCGACUGAAGUCCCGCUGACAAUACGAAGGCACACUAAAGCAUCGGUCACCGAGCCAUGCCACCCCAGCACUGUACAGACUCGCCCCUCUUUUUUCAUGAAUGUAACUAUGAAAAGAAAUUCCUCGGGCAACGGGAGAGGAAGGGGGCUAAAACAGGACGGGGCAAUAAUGAACAAUGCCUUGCCACCGAAAUGCAUCCUCCUCGCGUUUCUUUCCUCUUUGCGGUCUUCUUUUAACUAAAGUCUUGCCGACCGAACAAAGAGCGCCAAAGCAUCGAUGGGUUUCUUUUCCACACUGGCAGGACCCGUCUUCUCUUUCUUUGCUUUAUUGCUUUAUUGCGUUUCAUUGUCGCUUCUCGUUGAAUGAACCUCGCUUUAUUACAAGUUCCCAAGAAAUGGUUUUGUACUUGUCAUCAAACCGGUGGGUUAAUUAUUUUGAUAAUUUUUUUCUUUGCCAACAGCAUUUGAUAUAUCAUCCACACCACAAUUUCAAUAUUUUCGAGUGGAUUUUCAAUGAGGACUUGUAUAAUAAUGUACUUCCGCCGUUUCGCGCAACAUAUUUUAUUUAGUGACGACUUUAAUUAUUUUUCGCUGGCAAUAUGUGGAUUUUUUUUUCAAUUUUUUUCCCAAAAUUGUGUGCCUUUACUCAGCACGCACAUGCUCGCCAUCAUUUGAAGUUUGAAAACUAAAAAAAAAAUGGACAGGAAUUCGUUCCAUUGAUCACUCAAAGAACCGCAUCCCAGAUUAUAUCACUUCUAGGACCUUAAAAAUUGUUAAAGACUUAUUGUCAUCAUUGAGGUUUUGUUUUUUAACAAUAUUGACGGAUAAUAUUUUUUGAAUCACAAAAAAAGUUGGGUUUUGAUGUCUCACCAGGCAAAAUUUAGACUUUUCAGUGAAAUUUUCCCAACUCAAGUUAGCUUUGUUUGUCUACUUUUGUCAACUCAAAUGAGUACAUUAAAUCUUUAUGAUCAUCUUAGACGGAACUUUGUUGGAAUGUACUUUUCAAUUGCUGAUAUAAAUUUGAAGUUUUGAUGAUAUAGAAAAAGUUUUGAAUAAUUAGUCUCAUAGCGAAUAUAGUUUUGGAUUUUUCGCAGAAUUGCCACCCGUUUUCGCUCAUCCAUUGCCAUCACAAGCCCUCACUUUCAUGUGUGGAUCCACCCAUGACAUAUAACUCCUCACCCGUUCGACUUGUCUACUAUACCUUGGUCUUGUUUUUUUCUCCGUGCGGAACUUGCGAUCUAUGUCUAAUGGAAGUCGCAACAGGCAAAGGUUGCCAGCCUCGCACAGCCAUGGUUGCAUAUGGCCGCGGUGUCGGAGCUCAACUUAGUCAAUUCGCUCGAUUUUUUGAGCAAAAGAGAAAGGUCCUCAGCCUAUUUAUCUUUAUAAUCAGUACCAAAAAGGAAAAGAAAAUUCCAGUCCAGGAGGGCAUUUGGCACCAGCAAAAGGCAAAUGCAAUUGAUGAUCUACAGAUUCCAAAAAAUGAAAAGGGAGGGAGAAAGGACAGGGAUCGUGGUUACAGAUGAAGAGCGAGCUAUCAAGAUGAAAAGGCCAGGAUUUGUGAAAUGCAAAAGUUGAAGAAGCAGAAGAUUCGGGAAAUAUCGGAUCAGCAAAAUGCUGCUAUGGACACUGAUAUGGUGCCUUUCCAUUCUAAAAAUGACUAUUUCUUGCAUUAUUUCGAGUUCAUGUAUUGAUUAUGCCAGUAACAUUUUCUUGUUUUUGAAAUAAUUUUUCAAGAAUGAUAAGGGAAAAGGGCGGUUGAAGUAUCUUCCGCAGCAAACUUAGAUUUUUGCUCAUUUUGCCAGAGGAAACCAGUCUGCUUCACAGAAAAUCAAAGGAAGGUACCAUUACCAAUGACAAUUCUCUCUGGUUUUUUGUGCAUUGCAGAUAUGAUCUCGUGUACAUAUGUUCCUUUUUUGACAACCUGCUGAACAAUGUCUACAUAGGUCCUAACUUUCCUCAUACUUCAUAGUUGCUUAAUUGGGACCGAAAGCUUUGUUUGAUCCUUGACGGGCCGUUUGCUAUAUAUUAAUAAUUGCCUAAUGCUGGAAUUCUUUAGAGGAAAGGUGCCUAUGGUCCAGUGGUCUAACCCUUGCUGGACUUCCAGUUACAUUUGGUGUUAAGGUUCCAUAUUCAAAGGGAAUUGGGAUUUGGUAACAUUUAUGCAAACCAACAAUGUUCAAUUGUAACCUUAUAUUGAUUGUUCUCUCCCAGUGGACAAAUAAACAUCUGCUCAUGCUUAAAAGUGAAGAAAACAUGUUUGUGAAGUUCAAGUCAUCAUUUCCCAGACCAUUUCUG
RNAcentral lists this long non-coding RNA (286086 nucleotides) under Eucalyptus grandis. Its description in RNAcentral is "long non-coding RNA (EGRA_LNC005174)". Lineage: Eukaryota; Viridiplantae; Streptophyta; Magnoliopsida; Myrtales; Myrtaceae. The record is from RNAcentral.